This 238899-nucleotide long non-coding RNA is filed under the name Coffea arabica (coffee). RNAcentral describes it as "long non-coding RNA (CARA_LNC003527)". Lineage: Eukaryota; Viridiplantae; Streptophyta; Magnoliopsida; Gentianales; Rubiaceae. The record is from RNAcentral.
GCCUUAUUUCUAUCACAACAAUUGCUCAAAAGAAAAUUUGACAUUUUCAAAGAUACUGAAACAAAAAACAAUGCAAAGAAAUCAUAGCAGCUGAAUGUUGUUGCCCAGAGCCAGGUACUAGGCCUUUAAUACUGCAGAAUAGAGAAGAAAAACGAAAGAUCGAGAUAGAAGCUUCAGCGUCUCCACAUUACGAAUUCAUUCGGGGAGCAGAAGACGAAAACUAGCAAGCAUGAAAUCUUGCAAAAUACAUUGUCUCAAGUUUGUAAAAGAUGAUGGAUUAAGAUUCAGAAGUGGGAGUCAGAAACAAGUUUACUAACCUGUUAAAGAAGCACUUAUAUUGCAGUUUGCUUGGUGUUCAAUACUCUGGUGGAUAAACUAUGAGCUUAACUGGGCUAGUCUUUUUACUCUUUUGAUGCAAAAGCACUUCCAAUUGUAGUUGCACAAUUCUCCUUGCAGAUGAAAAUGCCGAAUCCUUGGUAUGCUCAACUUUGAUCAUCUCGAGGCUUUUCAUGUGCACAAAGUCAGAUAGGAUCCGCUCAAGUGUUUUGCACUGCUUGAGAAUAAGGCAUCUGAGUUCUGGGAAGUCAUUGGAUUUAGCAUCCCAACGCGUUUAAAUCUGUGGCUCCAAUGGAGAAAACUUUCAGAGAAGGAAAAACCCCCUUGUUUUGUCUUCCAAUAAUCUCCCUUGAAGGCAUAGUCCUUCAGCUUGAGAACCUCAAGAUACCAAAGAUUUCCGAGUAUAGACAUGUAGUCCCAAUUUAGACUUGUGUUAUGCAGGCUCAGCCUUGUCAGCCUUGGUGGGAACUUGUGUGCCUGAGGAAGGGCAAGCAGCUUGGAGCUCACAUCAUCACAGUAUAGCUUCAAAUUUUCAAGAGAGUUCAGUUCGCAAAGACAAUCAAACAAACUAGACUCACCAUUGGCUUCCAUAAGAUUGUUUAACUUCCCACAUAUUCCAAGCUUUUUAAGGUUUCUAGCCCUUUUAAACACAUCUUUUGUAAGACUUUCAGGUGAAACGAUAGAUAGAGUUUGUAGGCUUUCAUCGCCAGGAGAUUGCUCCAGACAUUUAGGCAAGAUUGUGGAGGUAUUAGUAUAUAGACACCUUAGCUUUGUCAAGAGUGGAGGAUGUGAUGUGAACUACAAGAGUUUGCAAGUUAAGCAAGCUAGAUAUUUUUCUGGGAAGGACUGUUAGCUCGCAACAGAUGGCAAUAAACUUUAGCAGAACAAGGUUAAGCAGUUGGGUGGGAAAACGAGUUCCAGGGAGCUUGGUGGACAAGAUAUCCAACACUCGGAGUAGUUUGAACUGCUUAAAUACAUCUGAGCAGAGAUGCGGUUCAAUGUUGUUUCUUCCAGGCCAAAGCUCAAGAAUUAACGGACUUUCUGAGCAGGCUGUUGAUUGGAAACGUAGCUCGCGAAGUGUGAGUUAAUGCAGCAAAGGCGACGGUUGGAAGAUGAAACCGUCCCCACGUCACAUUCUUGGAAAAAAUUUUCAGCUUUGGCUGUCCUUUUGCAGAAGUCACGCAGCGUAUCAUGGACUAAACACGUCUUAAUCCGACCACUUAAGGUUCUCUGCCUCACCAUCACUAAGGGCCUGUUUGGAAGUGAGUUUUUUGGCCAAAUUUUUUAGUUACAAGUUUUUUAACAAUUUUAGUUACAGGAACUCAAAAAAAUUAUCAAAUUUUUUAAUUUACACACUUCAAAAUAUCUAAUACACAAAAAACUUCUAUCUUUCUUCUUCUUUCUCCCCCACCCCAUCCACCAUACCUUCAUCGCCGGCCACUACCUCCACCGCCGUUUCCGACACCGGCCACCUAUUCCGGCACCGGCGUUCCUAAAAUUUUUUUUCUUCCUUACUCCCUCCCUCUCUCCUUCCCUCCCCUCUCCCCCUUCCCUCCUUGGCCAAACUCCCCCGACCUAUGCAGCAGCAACAGUUACUUUCCUCCUGCUCUGGUUUUUCUUUCUCCCUCCAGUCCCGCCAACGCUACGGCUGACGGGGGAACAGGGGAACAGGGAAGGGGGUGGCGGGAAACGGGAAACGGGAAGGGGAACAGGGAGGGGGAAACGGGAGGGGGAUGGUGUGCAAAGGGGGGGGAAGGGGCAGAGGAGGUGGCGGGAGGAGGGGGUGGCAAGGCAACGGGGGAAGGGGAAGGGGAAGGGGAAAGGGAGGAGAAGGGUGGCGGGAGGGGGAAGGAAGAAAAAGAAGAAGAAAGAGAGGAAAGAAAAAAAAGAAAAUUGAAAAAAGAAAAAAAAAAAGGAAAAAAAAAUUCACCUUACAAAAACUUUUACAAAAUUUUUUAUCUUACAAAAACUUCUACAAAAAAGUUUUUCACCUUACAACUUGUCCACAUGUGUGGGGACCACCUAGAUAGCUUUAGUCUAUCUUUCUUUUGUUUCUUAAAUAGGGAGAACGUAGGGAAAGAAGACAUCUCUAGUUUUUAGUCUUUUAGUUUAGUUUUAGUUUUUCUUUCUCCUGACUGGCCUCUGACACACGCCAGGUGUUCGACGAUAUUCCCCAACGGGAAAACCACAUUUUAUUCCUUGCUUCUUAAUAGAAAACGCAAUGCCUUUGCAAUCUAUUAAUCCGUAUGGUGAUUUAAUUAUGCGGCGUGGCUAAGUCUUCCAUCUAGUCAAGGGUCAACUCGACGGCGCAGUCCCGCAAAUCUGUGAGAUCUAAUUAGUUUUCACGUGUUCCUUUAUCUAUUAAUAUUUGCAUGUUGUCUGAUUUAAUUUUCAUGGGAUUAUUUUGUUAAUUGGAUGUCAAGGGCCCGAUGUUCUCCCUAUUUAAGAAACAAAAGAAAGAUAGACUAAAGUUAUCUAGGUGGUCCCCACACAUGUGGACAAAGCCUCCAAAGUACUUCUUGUUCCAAGUCUCUUUUUCGUAGCUUUCUUUGAAGAGCCCAAAUGACUUAUAACUUUGUGGUCCCUACCAAUCCAAGGGCCCAAGGAUUGAAGCCCUUAGAAGUCUCCAUAUUCUUCAUAAAAUCCCUCCUUUUUGGUAGUUUUCUGUUUCAUUCCUGAAAUUAAGUCCAGAUACCAAAUAUGAGUAGAUAUCAGCAAUUAACACAAUAUUUAUCAGGGAUAAAAGGGGAAAUUAAUAAUAAAAUUACUAACAAAUUAUACCCUAUCAGGGGGAGGGGGUUGCUUGCAGAGAGGAGGGGGAAGGGGCAGAGGGGUUGGCGGGGGAAGGGGUGACGGGGGAAAUGCAGAGGAGAGGAGAAGGGGAAAGGGAGGAGAAGGGUGCGGGAGGGGAAGGAAGAAAAAGAAGAAGAAAGAGAGGAAAGAAAAGAAAAGAAAAUUGAAAAAAAGAAAAAAAGAAAAAAGAAAGAAAAAAAAAAGAAAAGGAAAAAAAAAUUCACCUUACAAAAACUUUUACAAAAUUUUUUAUCUUACAAAAACUUCUACAAAAAAUUUUUUCACCUUACAAAAACUUCUACAAAAUUUUUUCAAAAACUUCUACAGUGCACUACGGUAAAGUUUUAAUCAAACUCCCAAAAAACUCAAGUUCCAAACAAGCCCUAAGUUCCUAUCAACCAAUUCCCGCAAAUAUCGCUCUGCAGUUUCCUCCAUGCUUUCUCGAUCAAUUUGGGGAAUGAAGCCUUCCGCUAUCGAACAAUUGAAACAAUUUUGAAACUUGGAUCUCCAAGUCUUCAGGGAAGACACUAAGGUAGAGAAAACAUGACUUGUACACAUGAAGCAAGUUAUCAUAACUCCGCCUUAUUAAAUCAUCCACUAAUUGUUUCUAGCUAUCACUAUAUAACUCAUCCAUACUAAGUGAUUUUUGAGCCAUAUUCUCCCACCACUUCUCGUUUUCUGGAUCAUUCCUCAGAAUUCCUGUUGUUACCAAUAUUGCUAAUGGUAGCCCGCCACAUUUUUUCAAAAUUCUUGAUUCAGCAGGUCGCAGCUUAUCUGGACAUUCAUUUUCAUUGAAAACCUUCGUCCUCAGUAAUUCUUCAGCUUCUUCUUGCUGCAUAAUUGCCAUGGAUAGGGAUCAGUCUUUGUUGCAACACGCUUGGCCACAGACUCUUGUCGAGUAGUUAUCAACACCCUACUGCCCUUGUUAUGAUCUGGAAAAGCAUCCUUGAGAUCUUCCCAUGCUUUUGUAUUCCAAACAUCGUCCAUGACAAUCAAAUACUUGUACUUCAGUGUCUCUCGGACCUCAGCAACUAAUUCUUGCACCGACAUGUUACGAUCCCUAAUGUCCUUGAUGAAGGUACUUAGUAUACUAAGAAGCACUUCUUUCUUGUUGUAAUCCUUCGAAACACUAACAAAUAUGCGAGUGACAAAAUGAUAUUCAACUUGAGGGUUAUUCAGAACCUUUCUAGCAAGCGUUGUCUUCCCGAGUCCAAGAAUUCCAUGAAUCGACACUAUUUCAAGUGGGUUUUCGUCACCAUGUUGCUCUGCCUCUUUCUCUUUCUGUCGGACCUGCCUGGGUCUAGGUUUGGUACGCCAAGAAGGCCCAGUACUGUCUCAGCUGCAUCCUCAAACUCAAUGAUUCUGUCCUCCAUUGAUUGCUUGCAAGCUAUUUGCAUGAAAGUAAAGGAAUCAAUGACGGAUUGAAACAGUUGAGCUAGGAGAUAAUAAGGGCCUGAAAGUUUAAAGCUCUACUCUUGAAUCUAAUGAAGGAAUCUGAGACAGGUAUAAAAUGCAGGAGGACAGGAUGGAUCCAGAUAAAUUACCAAACAUUCAAUAUUGUGAAGGUGGUAGCCACAAUUUACGUUAGCACAAUAACCGAUUAUUACUUGCAAACAGCAGAGAGUCACAAGACAUCCAAGAAUUUGAAACUGUUAGAGAUGUGCACAUGUGCCUUAGUCUGCAGAACGAGUCUUUAGGAAUGUUUUAUUUGUUGCUUGUUUUAGGAAAUCAGUUGCAUAUGUUUAGGAGUUGUUAUUAUGUAGUGGGUUAUGCUUAGAAGUCAUGGGAACAUGGUUGUUAUAUUUUUCCCUAUAUAUAUUCAGCAAUAAAGAAGUAGUUUUGUGCUUCCCAAAAGCUGAACUACAAAUUGGUAUCAGAGCUUUUAUUUUGAGGGACCUAUAAGAUUGAGUGAUAUAAACAAAAACUUUCAGAAUGGAGGCUGAUACACAAUCACUCUUCAAUCAUGUUAAUCCACCAGUUUUUGAUGGCCAAAAUUAUCAAGCAUGGGCUGUUAGGAUGACAGUCCACCUUGAGGCAUUAGAUCUUUGGGAGGCUAUAGAAGAAGAUUAUGAUGUUCCACUGCUACCAGCAAAUCCAACGGUGGCACAAAUGAAGAAUCAUAAGGAUAGAAAAACAAGGAAGUCAAAGGCUAAAGCAUAUCUUUUCUCUGCCGUUUCAAGCAACAUAUUUACCAGGAUCAUGAAUCUGGAAUCAGCCAAAGACAUAUGGGACUAUCUCAAGAAAGAGUACCAGGGCAAUGAAAGAAUGAAGAAUAUGCAAGUGCUCAACCUAAUCAGAGAGUUCGAGAUGGUGAAGAUGAAGGAGUCAGAAACGAUUAAAGACUACUCUGACAAGCUGCUAGGCAUUGUUAACAAGGUGAGACUGCUCGGUAAGGACUUUUCUGAUGAGAGGAUCGUCCAAAAAAUUCUUGUCACUUUGCCUGAGAAAUAUGAGUCUAAAAUUUCUUCUUUGGAAGAGUCUAAAGAUCUGUCAAGCAUAUCCUUGGCAGAGUUAGUUAAUGCUUUACAGGCUCUAGAGCAAAUAAGAAUGAUAAGUAGGGGUGGCCACGGGUCGGGUACCCGCCCCGAAUGCUAAUUGGCUGACCCGACCCUAACAUAUCGGGUCACUAUUUUUUUGACCCUAAUCCGCUCCGAACUUCCUCGGGUACCCGAUCCUCGGAUACCCGAAAAAUAGGGGCGGGUCAUAGGGUACCCGCCCCUAUUUAAAGAAUGCAAAUUUUGCAAACUCAUAAGACAUAAGAUGAACCUGCUGGACGAUAGCAUCAUUCAACAAAAAAAAAAAAGGCAACAACAUCAUUCAAACUAGACAAAGACAAAGCAUAUUCAAAUCUCAAAAAUGAUCAGUAGCAGUAGUUCCACACUAAAUCAUAAAGUUAGAAAUAUCUACUCUGAUACAUAACUUCCAAAAAGGGCAUAUAAAUGAGAAAAAUGUACACUAUAUAGACAUUCUCAAAUCCAGCAAACAUGGCAUAAUGCAUUGACUAGGCAUAAAUCAAGAAGCUGUCUUCAUUUUCCUCCCCUAGCCAUGCCAUGACAGUUUCAACAACCUCAAAUGUUUCAACAACCUCAACCUUCUACAACACAUGAAGGAGCACAAUCUUCAAGAAUCAUCAAUCUUCAAUAUUAAUAAUUAGGGGUGAGCAAUUACGGUAAAUACCGAUUUACCGACCGAAAUCGAUUUCAAUUUGGUAAAUCGAAUUUGGUAAUUCGGUAAUUCGGUCGGUAAAUCGGGGAUAUAGUACAAGUUGAAAUCGAAUUAGGUUCGAAAACGAUUUUAUAGUUUUUGAAUUCGGAUAUACCGAAUUCGAAUUCAUUUCGGUAAAGCGGUAAUAAUAUACCGUUUUCAAUUUCGAAAUUCCCGAAUUAAGUUACAUAGGAAAUAGUUCAUUAUGUCCGAUAUUCAUAUUGGUCCAAUUUCAGAUUUUCAGACGUGGUGCCCUAAUUCCGCUCUUCGUCCCCUCUUCCUCUCGCUCCUCUGCACUGCCGCGGCCCGCGGCGCAGUCCCAUCUUCCUCAGUUCCCCUCUUUCUCUCGUUUCUUCUCCUCUCCUCAUUCUGCUCAGUCCUCUCCUCAGUCAGUCCUCUGUCCUUUCCUCUCCUCUGCUCAGUCCACUCUUUCUCCGUUUCCCAUUCUGACCGAGGUUUCACCAUUGCUGACCGAGCGGAGCAUCCACUAUCACCAGGAGGUCCAGGACCACAGUUCGCUAGUGCUGAUUCCAGUGAAGCCUUGGAUAAGCCUAUCAGGUAAAUGGGUUUAUGAAAAAGACUCAAUAAUUGGAUUUUCAUUUGGUGUUUUUUUUUUCUUUUGGUAUUUGAUUCUGGAUGUCGUUGUUUAAUUUGCUAGUUUUUUUAUAUGGGCUAAUUUAAUUUCAGUGGAACUUGUAUGAUGUUUGAUGCUCAAUUUCCUUCCUGAUUGAAUCUUGAUAAAAGUUAUGAGUUUUUGAAUUGGAUAAGAGUAGUUGAGCCGGUACAAACUUGAGCAAACUUGGAUCAGUUUCAUUCUUCUUCUAGUGCAGCAAACUUGAGCCGGUUCUCCCUCUCUUCUUCUUAAUCUUUGCAUUUACAAAUCAUCUAAUGUUGAUUCCUGGAUUUUUUGUCCUGUCAGGUAUUAUUGUUAAUGGAAACAUUGCCUGGUAUUAAGUGACCGUGGACGUUUUAUUCGUGUGAAUUGCCAAAAUGGAUAGACUGUUGAACUCAAGUCAAUGUCGAAAUUGGUUCAUUUCUUCAUUUAAAGCUUUAGAUCUGUUCCAUAUAUUUUUUUUGAGGUUUUGGCCUCUGUUUUGUCAUGGCAUUAGUGGGAAGUCUUUUGUACAGAUUAUCACAUGUGCCAAUUAUCUGGCCACUAGAAUACAUACUCCAAUACCCAUUGUCUUCGAUUAUCUGAAAGGAGAAAAGUAAACAUUAUUCUAGGCUAUCAUUAAGCUUCAAAUUUACCAGUAGCAACUGAUGUUACUGCUUACGAUUGCAAUGCUGCUUAGGAUGAAGAUGAUUGAUGCCCACUUAAAUGACUAGGAGUCAAGAGCAUACUGUUGCUUGUAUGGGAGUGACCUUGUAAUUAUGCAGCUUUAUCAUAUAAUUGGAAUUUCGAUGUUAGAUUAAUUACUAAUGCUUUUGUUUGUGCGUGGGACUUUGUGGUCUUAGUAAAAACAUUCCCAGACAGCACUCAUUGUGUCUCUAGUUGAUUUUCUCAGCGUUCAUUGAAUGUUGUCCUGAGUUGGUUCUUCAAUUUCAUCUAGUCUUUUAUUUCAAUUUUAUUGCUAAAUGAUUGUUGCACUAAAUUGUAUAAUUUAUUUGCUCAGAUUCUCGCAAAACUUAAGGUAUGUCUACUACUAAUGAGGGUGAGAGUAAUCCAAGUCACAAUGAGUUAGAACAAGAAGGAUCAUCUAGAGGUCUUCUUCCUAGUCCUACAACACAAAGCUGUGAAGAAUCUGGUUUUGGCAAGAAAAGAGGAGAGUACAAGAAGAGGUCCAAAGCUUGGGAUCAUUUUCAUGUAAAGCAUGUGAAUGGAGUUCGUCAUGCAAUUUGCAAAUACUGUGAGAAGGACAUAGCCGCGGAUCCCAAAAGUCAUGGUACGACUCCCCUUAAUACUCAUGUAGCUAAAUGUCCUCUAAAUCCUAAAAAUAAGCACACUGGCCAGGCUACUUUGUGUUUGGGUGAAACUGAAACAUUAGAGGGAGAGGUUAAAGGGGCACUCAUAAGUUGGAAAUUUGAUGCGGAAGCCAUUAGAAAAAGCAUAGCUUAUAUGGUAAUUGUUGAUGAAUUGCCAUUUAAACAUGUAGAGGGUAGAGGUUUUCAAUACAUGAUGCGGACUGCUUGUCCAUCAUUUAGAAUUCCUUCGAGGUGGACUAUUUCUAGAGAUUGCUAUCAGCUGUAUUUAGAUGAAAAAAUUAAGUUGAAACAUCUCUUGAAGAAUAACAGUGGCAAAAUUUGUCUAACCACAGAUUCUUGGACAUCCAUUCAAAGGAUAAACUAUAUGUGCCUCACUGCCCAUUUCAUAGAUAAUGAUUGGAAACUGAACAAAAAGAUCCUAAAUUUCUGUCCUAUUGCUAGUCACAAGGGAACUGAAGUUGGUAAGGCCAUAGAAAAGUGUCUACUAGAAUGGGGAGUUGAUGAUAUCCUAACUGUUACAGUUGACAAUGCAAGUUCCAAUGAUGUAGCUGUCAGCUAUUUACGAGGAAAACUUCAAAAUUGGGGGAAAGCUGUGUUAGGGGGGAAAUGGACUCAUGUGAGAUGUGUAGCUCACAUAGUGAAUCUAAUUGUUAAUGAUGGCAUCAAAAAACUGGGGGAAUCAGUUGAUUGUAUCAGGGCAGCAGUUAGAUAUGUUAGACAGUCACCUUCUAGAUUGAAAAAAUUCAAGGAAUGUGUGGAAAUUGAAAAAAUUGAAUGCAAAAGAUUGCUCUGUUUAGAUGUCUCUACUAGGUGGAAUUCUACAUAUCUAAUGCUAGACACGGCUCAAAGGUUUGAGCGGGCUUUUGAGAGGUUCGAGGAGCAGGAUCCUUACAUGCUUCAAGAGUUAGAAAAUCUGCCAACAAAAUCUGAUUGGACAAAAGCUAGAUUCUUGGUAAUUUUUUUGGAGAACUUUUAUCAGCUAACUGUGAAGGUUUCUGGUUCCAAAUAUGUGACUUCAAAUAAUUUUUUCACUGAUAUUAGUCACAUACAUGGCAUUUUAAUUGAAAUGGCAGCAAGUGAUAAUGAAGAAUUAAGUUCAAUGGCAAGAUCAAUGAAGGAGAAAUAUGAUAAGUAUUGGGGAAAGAUUGAAAAGAUGAAUAUGCUGAUUUUUAUUUCCUCCAUGCUUGAUCCUCGAACUAAACUUGAAUACCUUGAAUUUGUGGUUUGCCAAAUGUAUGGUGAGUCCGAUGGUACAACAAUAGCUGGCCUUGCAAAAGAUGCAAUGUUUGAGCUGUUUAAUGAAUACAAGAUGCUCAACACACCUGCCUCAAAUUCUGUGUCUCAUGUUUCUUCACUUUCAAGUGAAUCUCAAAGGAGUAAAACUACAUUUUAUGGACAUGGGAAUGCCUCUAAAACAAUCACUGAUCGGUACAAGUUGGAGUUUAAGAAGAGAAAAAUGGAACUUGGGGGUAGGGAUGCAAAAUCUGAAUUAGAGAAAUAUUUGAAUGAGGAUUGUGAGGAAGAUGAUGAGAGAUUUGAUAUCUUGUUAUGGUGGAAGGCCAAUAGCCUUAGAUUCCCAAUCCUUUCAAAACUUGCUCGUGAUGUGUUAGCAGUCCCAAUUUCUACUGUGGCCUCCGAAUCUGCUUUUAGUACCGGAGGUCGUGUUCUUGAUACAUUUAGGAGUUCUUUGACUCCUAGAAUUGUGCAAAGUUUAAUAUGUGCUCAAGAUUGGUUUCGGUCCUCCAAGACAGAAUUAAAUGUAGAAGAAAAUCUGGAAGAACUUGAAGCCUUCGAAUCUGGUAUGCUAUCAAAAUUUUUAUUGCAAAAUUUGAAGUAUUUCUUUAUUUCUAAUAAUUGCCUUUAUGAUACUUCAUGAAUUUUGUUUGUUCUUGCAGAGUUGCUGAAGACCGGAACUGAAUCAACUGUAAUUGACCUUUGAGAGGUCACAAAUGCUGAAGUUUGAGAGUUGAACCACCUAUAAUUGUUUGUUCUUGUGGAUUGUGGAUUGUUUCUAGAUAAUUGACCUUUAUGAUUUCUGGAUUGAUUUCUGUAAUUUCUGAUUGUGGAUUUAUGAUUUCUGGAUUUGUGGAUUUGUCAUUUCUGGAUAUGUAUGAAGUUUGGGAUAGUUAGUAAUUUUGAAGUUUUCUAGAUUCUGUUUGGAUUUGUGAUUUCUUAAGUAAUGCUGUUUUGAACUGGUAGGCGUUAGCUACUGGGAAGAGGUUUUAUAUGUUGUGAUUUGGUAGUGCAAUCAUCUGGCUAUUGUGCCUAUGGACGUGAUUACUACUUCUAUUUUUUGAUUAUUUUGGUGCAGCUUUAUGAAUGAUAAUUGUGAACAGCACUUAUUUUAUUGCUAGAAAUUAUUUUAUUAUACAAAGCAAAACAGGCUGCAAUUGCUUCAGGAAUUCGGUCAAUUCGGUCAAUUCGUGUUUACCGAAUUCAAUCCGAAUUGAAUUCGAAUUCGGAAUUUGGUAAUUCGAAUACGAAUUAGGUCGAAAUAUCCCAACACCAUUUACCGAAAAUUACCGAUUUCAACCUACCGAAUUACCGAAUUCGAAUUCGAUGCUCACCCCUAAUUAAUAAUAGAAUGCUCCAUUGAAACCUGAAAAAAAAAUUUCCAAGAAUAAAAGCAACCAAGAAAUAUAUUAGCACAAGUUGAAACUCAAAUGAAUAAGAAAAUUUGCACUGAUGCUCCAUAAUAAUAAUACUCCUACAUUUGUUUAGUGCAUAUCAGCACUGAUGCUCCAUUAAAUUGUAGCCAUUCAACGCAAAAAACCAAUUCCAAUUCCAAUUCCAAUUUUCUUGUGCUAGUUCUAAAGAAUUAAGAAAGCAUGACAGUAGAGAAUCAAGUAAAAAUGAUAUCACUACUCUAUAAAGAAUGGCAUUUUGAAGGCAGUAAUUUACUCCCUAUUUGAGUGCAGGGAUCCUUUCUUUUCGCACCCAAUCAAAUACAGAGGAGGCACUGAUACAUAUAUUAGAUGUCCACCGGCUGCUUUAGCUUUUAACCAAACAAAUUUAUUCAAAAUAAAAGUUGUUCCUAAUCAAUAUCCACACAUUCCUCAAGAAAAAUUCCAACUCCACAUCGUUGCCAAAAUCAGAAACCUAUCAAAACAUGAGUUAACAGCUCCAGAUCACUUCCUCAGAGCCAUCGCAUGAGUUGCAGAAAGGGCAAUCGUGAAAUUCAAAGCAUGAGAAUCAAGCAACAUUUUCACUUUUAAGUAUCUGAGUCUUAAUUUUUGUUUUGCAUUUCCAGUGUCUGUUUUUUGGUAUCUCUUUAACACUAGUUUCCUUUUAUUAGUGAAUGUAAAUUAUGUAAUAGUGAUGAUAUGAAGCUUUUCCGUGACAAAUGUAGGGUUAACACUUCCCAAAAUAAAAAUUACUUCCCAAAAUUUUUACUAAAAUUUACUUUUGGUCAUUUCUUCAAACAAUUUGAGAGCAUAAAAAAGAUUAGCAGGUCCAAGUUCAAUUUGAGUCAUGGUUGACCCAAAAAUUUUCAACAGAUGAAACAAAAUUUUAACCAUUCAUAAUGACAAAAUGAUAAAAGCAAAUAAGCAUGCUAAUCAAAAGCAACGAAAAGCAAUUGGCAUGUGAUUCAUAUAAACAUUUGAAAUUAUUAAAAGGAAAUUUGGGAUAGAAGGCAGAAAGACCUUUAUAGGGCUAUUCUGAAUCUCUGAUAAUGGUUCGGCAGAUAGUGGUGGAUUCCAACGACGACCAGCGGCAACUCUUGCACUUCAGCUCUUCCUUUUCCUCUCGUCCUUUUUUUAUUUUGGCUUUUUUUCCUAGUUUUUCUUUUCUUGAUUUUUCCUUUUUGAAUUUGGAUGGAAUAUAAGAGUUUAAAGCUAAGAUUGAAGGACUUUUGGAGGUUGGAUUAGAUAAAGAUUGAAAAGAUGGAAAUGGUCUAUAGAUUUUUGUGGGUGAAGUUUAAGGGAAGGUGCAAAAUGGAAGCUGAGGUCUCUGGUUUAGUUUGAUUAAGGCUGUUGAUAAUGAAGGUGAAGAAGUUGCGACGGCGCUGAAGUGAAGACUGAAGGCUGGAGUGUCGAUUGUCGACUGAGAUAUGUUAGGAACUUAGGGUUAAUAACUUUAAAAUAUUAUAAAUUUGCCCCUAUAUUUUUUAAUAUUUGUAAAAUAUACCCCCGGGUCGGGUACCCGCGGUUUUAGAUUUUGUGAUCCGUAUCCGUAUCCGAAUUUUAUGGGUACCCGACCCUAUCUGCUCCGCUGAUAAAAAUAGGGUCGGAUACCCUAAUUUUCGGGGCGGGUCGAUCGGGUUUUCGGAUUUUCGGAUUUUUUUGCCCACCCCUAAUGAUAAGGAAAGAAGAAAUUGUAGAUGGUGCUUUCAAAACCAAAUCAGAAAAUUCAAGAGGAGAAAAAGACAAGAAAAUUAUGGAGAAGAGCAGCAAGUUUAGCAAAGCCAACAAAAAUGAUGCAAGUUCACCUUGCCCAUAUUGCAAGAAGUUGAACCAUAUGCCAAAAAGGUGUUGGUGGAGACCUGAUAUCAAGUGUAGAAAGUGUGGCAAUAUGGGACACAUAGACAAGGUCUGCAAAUCGCAACAGUUCAAAACAGCAGGAGUGUCCACAGAACAACAAGAGGAAGAACAACUCUUCGUGGCUACGUGCUUUGCUACCAAUAACAGCUCAAGUGAUUCCUGAUUGAUAGAUAGUGGCUGCACCAACCACAUGACCAAUGAUCAAGCUCUUUUUACAAAAAUUGAUAAGACUCUCAUUUCCAAAGUAAAAAUUGGAAAUGGUGAGUUUAUCUCAGUCAAGGGAAAGGGACCGUGGCUAUUGAAAGCUUGACAAGUUUGAAACACAUCACUGAUGUUUUAUAUGUGCCUGAUAUUGAUCAAAACUUGCUUAGUGUUGGACAGCUUGUUGAAAAAGGCUUUAAAGAUAUUUUUGAAGACAAGUGGUGCUUAAUCAAGGAUGCAAGGGGCAAAGAUAUGUUUAAAGUGAAGAUGAGAGCCAAGAGCUUUGCCUUAAAUUUGAUGGAGGAUGAGCACGCAGCACUUGCAAGUCAUAUAAGCAAUGCAGAAUUGUGGCAUAAAAGACUUGGGCAUUUCCAUCAUGCUGGACUUUUAUAUAUGCAGAAAAAUAACUUUGUGAAAGGUGUAGCAUUGUUGGAGAAUAAACUAGCAGAUUGUGUGGCUUGUCAAUAUGAAAAGCAAGUAAGAAAACCAUUUUCUCAAUCAGCCUGGAGAGCAUCACACAAGCUGGAACUUGUACACACAGAUGUUGGAGGAUCUCAAGCAACUCCAUCCUUGAAUGGUAGUAAAUACUAUAUUAUCUUUAUAGAUGAUUAUACUAGAUUUUGCUGGAUUUAUUUUCUCAAAUCCAAAGCUGAGGUUGCUAACACUUUUUGGAAGUUUAAAGCUUUUGUGGAGAAUCAAAGUAAUUGCAAGCUGCGCAUAAUAAGGUCUAACAAUGGGAAAGAGUACACAAAUGAAGUUUUUGACAAGUUUUGUGAGGAAACCGGCAUUGAACACCAACUCACAGCAUCUUACACCUCACAACAGAAUGGUGUGAGUGAAAGGAAAAAUCGGAGCAUCAUGGAGAUGGCGAGGUGUAUGCUAUAUGAAAAGGAGUUACCAAAGAAUCUUUGGGCAGAAGCUGCAAGCACAACAGUUUUCCUGUUAAACAGGCUGCCAACUAGAACUGUACAAGGAAAAACACCAUUUGAGGCUUAGUUUGGCUACAAACCAGAUUUACAAAAUCUAAGAAUUUUUGGUUGCCUCUCUUUUUCUUAUGUGCCACAGGUGAAACGAGACAAACUUGAUAAGAAGGCAGAAGAAGGUAUUUUUGUUGGUUAUAGCAGCACUUCCAAAGCUUACAGAAUUUUCCAACCACAAAAUGGGAAAAUUAUUGUAAGUCGAGAUGUCAAGUUUAUGGAAGAUAAACAAUGGAGUUGAGAGGAAUCAUUAGAAAAACAGGUGCUAGUGGAUUCACAUUAUCUUGAUGACAAUAUCGAUGAUGUCCCAACUCGUGGCACAAGACCUCUAUCUGAUAUCUAUGAAAGAAGCAAUGUUACUGUUUUUGAACCUGCAGAAUUUAAGGAAGCAGGGAAAGAUGACAACUGGAUUGAAGCCAUGAGAGAGGAGCUUCGUAUGAUCGAGAAGAAUGGCACUUGGGAAUUGGUAAACAAACCUCAAAAUAGAAAGAUCAUUGGAGUGAAAUGGGUUUACAGAACCAAAUUCAAUGCUGAUGGUUCUGUUAACAAACUCAAAGGUAGGUUAGUUGUGAAGGGGUAUAGUUAAAUUUUUGGGGUAGAUUUUUCAGAAACUUUUGCUCAUGUUGCACGUUUAGACACUAUCAGGAUGUUGUUGGCCUUGGCUGCACAAAAAGGUUGGAAACUUUACUAGUUGGAUGUAAAGUCAGCCUUUUUAAAUGGUCAUCUUCAAGAAGAAAUCUAUGUUGAACGACCAGAAGGAUUUCAUGUCAAAGGACAGGAGGAGAAAGUUUACAUAUUGAGAAAGGCUUUAUAUGGCCUUAAGCAGGCUCCUAGGGCCUGGUAUAGUAGAGUUGACAAUUAUCUUCAAAGUCUUGAGUUUGUUAAAAGUCCAAGUGAAGCCACUUUAUAUGUGAAGAAAUCAAAUGCCAACUUAAUUAUAGUGUUUGUUUAUGUUGAUGAUCUGCUUGUUACAGGAAGUAAUGAGAAGCUAGUGGAUGAAUUUAAAGCUGAGAUGUUCAAAAACUGCAGCACAUUUGUAAAGAUGGCUUCUACUCCAAGUUCUAUUGCCUUGUCCAUCUCUCACUGAUUUGUUUCUUGCUUUGAUUUCUCUGUUGAAAGAGGAAAGCAAGCUAAAAUCUGAUCAUUAUUACUAGGUCGGAUUUUCCCCCACGGUACGUUGACUUGACUUGGAUGCUUGCCCUAUCCCCACAAAGUCAUCAGCUCAAGGUGGGGCAGCAACCAACGACUUGAUGUAGAAUAGAAAUUCUCCGAAAAUCCAUUAUUGGUUUGCACUCUUAUCCGAGAUUUCGUAGAAAUUUCAUCAACCGAUACAUGGUUCAAUCUCUUUCAAAUUUUUUAUUAACCCUCUUGGAUUCACUUUUAUUUCCUAGUCGCCUAUAGUAAAAGUAGAUAUAGAAUAAGAAUUAUUAUAUUGACAAAAAAAAAAAAAAAGCAACCGAUGACUCGAUGACUACUUUGUGGGGUGGGGCAGAAACCAAUGCAAGUCAGUCAAGUCUUUCCACACACAUAUAUAUAUACUAGGCAUUGUGCCCCGCGAGUUUCGCGGGUGCCCAUUAUUGACUGUUUAAGAGUAAUGUAAGAUUUAUUUAAUAAUUAAUAUUUAGAGUGUUUUAUAUGAUAGUAGGGUUGGAAUAAUAAAUAGAGGAACAAUAUAUUGGAUUAAUAUAUUUAUAAAUAGAUAAAUAAUAUUGUUGUGAUUUGUAUUUAAUUUUUUAAGAGUAACAGGAUGUAAAUAUUAUUUAAAUUAAUGGAAUGUAAAUCAUUUUUUAAGAGUUGAGAUAAAUUAAUAAUUUGAAAUAAUUUCGAUGUGUUUAUUUUUAUAUUGUUAAAUAUAAGUGGAAGUAGAAUAAAGAAAAUUUAGAGAAUAGAUAAUUGCUAUGUGUAAGAAGCUGUAGUGGACAUGUUUAAUUAUGAUUGUUGGAUAAAGUCUCUGCUGAUGAGUUGCAGAUGAUAAUUGUUUUCAUUGAGCAUGGUGAACAAGAUGACACUUCCUUCAUGUAAGAAGUGUUUUUGUGUAAAUAUUGGCCAACCUUCUGUUAUUUCUAUUCCUUCUAGCUGAAAGAUCCAUCGAAUUUUAGCAUGAUAGCAAUUGAUGACUCCUAUGUUGUCUGUUUGUAUAUGCGAUGGUAUAUCACUAAUGAGUACUUGAGAUAAAAAAUAGGGAAAAAAUGUAGUUGCAUUAUGAAAUGAGAGUAGCAUGGUAGUGUAUGAAUUAUAUUGAUUGGAAUGUAAUUUGUAUGAAACUCACAAAAAAUUCAAAAUCGUGUGUUAGAUAAUGGAAGAGUUUAGUAUUAGAAAAACUAAAAGAAAGAAAUAUAGUGAAGAAUAUAAAUUCAUAAAUAUAAUAUAUACAAAUUAAGGAUUUUUAACAAUUUGAAAUUAUAAAUUUAGAAUCAUAUAUUUGUAUUUAUUGAUCAAAUAAUUGUUUUUUGAAUCAAUAAAUAUUGGAUUGAUUUAUUUUUAAGUUUAUAUAUAUUAGAUACAUGUCAAGUACAUAUGAUUUUCAUUCAUUUGUAUUAAUACGAAAUAGCAUAAUCAAUUUAUAUAUUUGACUGGAUACACAUAGAAUUUGUAUUCAUUUGCAUAUAUUAGAUGCACGUAGGAUUUUUAGUGAUUUGUAUAUUUUUUUAUAUUUAAUAUUUUUGCUAAUAUAUACAUUUUGGAGAAAACUAAUUAAAUUUAUAUACAUUAGAUACAUGUUAAGUACAUAUGAUUUUCAUUGAUUUGAAUUAAUACGAAACAGCAUAAUUGAUUUAUAUAUACUGAUUGGAUACACAAAGAAUUUUUAUCCAUUUGCAUAUAUUAGAUGUACGUAGGAUUUUUAGGAAUUUGCAUUUUUUUCAUAUUUAAUAUUUUUGCUAAUAUAUAUUUUGGAGAAAAUUAAUAAAUAAGCAACAAAAUAAAAAAAGCUAUUUUAUGUAUUAUAUGUGCAUAGCAUUUUUAGCGAUUUGUGUAUUUUUUUAAUAGUUAAUAUUUUUGUCAAUAUACACACUUUCGACAAAAUUAAUAAAUAAGCGAGUUAAUAAAUAAGCAGAUAAAUAUAAAGAAGGAGAGAAAAUUAUAAAUAUAGAAAUAGUCUUGAAAUUAUAAUUAUUUGAUAUAAAUAACACUUAUUAUAUGUUAAUACAAGGCAAUAUUAUUAAUUUAUAUAUAUUAGAUAUAGGUUAAACACAUAUAAUUUUCAUUGAUCUGUAUUAAUACAAAACAGCAUAAUCGAUUUAUAUAUAUUGAUUAGAUACAUAUAGAAUUUUUAUUCGUUAGUAUGUAUUAGAUAUACAAAGGAUUUUUACUGACCUGCGUAGUUUUUUGAUAUUUAAUAUUUUUUUCAAUACACACACUUUUGACAAAGUUAAUAAAUAAGUGAGUUAAAAAAUAAGCGGAUAAAUAUAAAGAAGGACGGAAAAUUAUAAACAUAGAAAUAGUGUCGAAAUUAUAAUUAUUUCACAUAAAUAACACUUAUUAUAUGUUAAUACAAAGUAGUAUUAUAAAUUAUAUAUAUUAGAUGCAUGCCAAUCAUAUAUGAUUUUCAUUGAUCUGCAUUAAUACAAAACACCAUAAUCGAUUUAUAUAUAUUGAUUAGAUACAUAUAGAAUUUUUAUUCAUUUGUAUGUAUUAGAUAUACAUAGGAUUUUUAGCGACUUGCAUAUUUUUUUAUAUUUAAUAUGUUUGUGUAUAUAGCAACCUGCAUAUUUUUUUUAUAUUUAAUACGAAACAGCAUAAUUGAUUUAUAUAUACUGAUUGGAUACACAAAGAAUUUUUAUUCAUUUGCAUAUAUUAGAUGUACGUAGGAUUUUUAAGAAUUUGUAUUUUUUAUAUUUAAUAUUUUUGCUAAUAUAUAUUUGGAGAAAAUAAUAAAUAAGCGAAUAAACAUAAAAAGAAUGCUAUUUUAUGUAUUAGAUGUGCAUAGCAUUUUUAGUGAUUUGCGUAUUUUUUAAUAGUUAAUAUUUUUGUCAAUAUACACAUUUCAACAAAAUUAAUUAAUAAGCGAGUUAAUAAAUAAGCGGAUAAAUAUAAAGAAGGAGAGAAAAUUAUAAAUAUAGAAAUAGUCUCGAAAUUAUAAUUAUUUGAUAUAAAUAACACUUAUUAUAUGUUAAUACAAGGCAGUAUUAUUAAUUUAUAUAUAUUAGAUAUAGGUUAAACACAUAUAAUUUUCAUUGAUCUGCAUUAAUACAAAACAGCAUAAUCGAUUUAUAUAUAUUGAUUAGAUACAUAUAGAAUUUUUAUUCGUUAGUAUGUAUUAGAUAUACAAAGGAUUUUUAGUGACCUGCGUAAUUUUUUGAUAUUUAAUAUUUUUUUCAAUACACACACUUUUGACAAAGUUAAUAAAUGAGUGAGUUAAAAAAUGAGCGGAUAAAUAUAAAGAAGGACGGAAAAUUAUAAACAUAGAAAUAGUGUCGAAAUUAUAAUUGUUUCACAUAAAUAACACUUAUUAUAUGUUAAUACAAAGUAGUAUUAUUAAUUAUAUAUAUUAGAUGCAUGCUAAUCAUAUAUGAUUUUCAUUGAUCUGCAUUAAUACAAAACAACAUAAUCGAUUUAUAUAUAUUGAUUAGAUACAUAUAGAAUUUUUAUUCGUUAGUAUGUAUUAGAUAUACACAGGAUUUUUAGUGACCUGCGUAAUUUUUUGAUAUUUAAUAUUUUUUUAGUCUCGAAAAAUAGUCUCGAAAAUGCAAAAGCUUUAAAUUAAUAAUUUAGUAGUUAACAAAUAUUAUGGAAGUUACAUUUUUGAAAUAGAGGGAAAUUAUCCUAUAUUUUUAAAAACAAUUGGUCGUAUUAAUGGAAGCUAAUACAAAGUGGCACAAUUGAUUUAUAUUUAUUAGAUACACACAAAAUUUCUGUCGAUAUAUAUAUUUUCUAAAAAAUCAUUAUUUUUGUCGACAUAUAUAUUUUGGAGAAAAAUGAAUAUAUAUAUAUAUAAAGGCAUACAAAUAGGAUGCAAGAAUAUAUAUAGAUUUGGAUAGCCCAAAAAAUUCGCGUCUGCAUUAAGGAAUGGAAUGUAGCGGCUGCACAGCUGCAACAAACAAAAGUAAAGAAACAAUAAUUAAGAGAGAUAUCAUUGAAGCAUCUAUCUUAUUAUUCAAUGUGUGUAUCUUGUUUCUUGUAUAUAAAUUAACAAUGUGAUAUCGAAGCAACAUAUAUAAAUUAAAGAUUUUUAACAAUGUGAUAUUAAAAAUUAAGAAAUCAUAUAUUUGUAUUUAUUAAUCGAAUAAUCAUUUUUGUAUUCUAUGAGUAUUAGAUCGAUUAAUUUGUAAAUAAAUGUUGCUGGAAAGAAUAGUACUUGCAUUAAUUUUUUGGGAAUUAAUAAGAUUCUAAAAUUUAAAGAUAAAACAAUUUCAAAGAGUCCGUUAGUUUAUUGAUAUCGAAAAUUAAUAAGCUUGAUUGAAUAGCAUAUAUGAAAAAAUAUUUAUUUAAUCAUGAAGGAAUUUAUUUAUUGAUCAAUCAAUAACUUACUCAAUUUUUUGGGAAUUAAUAAGAUUCUAAAAUUUAAAGAUAACACAAUUUUGAAGAGUUCGUUAGUUCAUUGAUAUCGAAAAUUAAUAAUGUUUGAUUGAAUAGCAUAUAUGAAUAAAUAUUUAUUUAAUCAUGAAGCAAUUUAUUUAUUGAUGAAUUAAUAUCUCAUUCAAAAUCAACGAAUAGAUAAUGUAACACAUAAAAUUUAUAUUGUUCUGCAUAUAUUAGAUGCACACAGAAUUUUUAUUGAUUUGUAUAUUUUUUAGAAAAUCAAUAUCUUUGCUAAAUAUAUAUUUUGGAGAAAGUUAAUAAAUAUAAAAGAGCAGAAGAAAUUAUAUUUUGAAGAAGGAGAAAGUUAAAGAAGGAAGUUAUAUGUUGAAGGAAGUUAAUAAAUCAAAUCGAUAAAUUAAUAUAUUUUUGUCAAUAAGUUAGAUAACAAUUGCAGCAGCCGAAGAUGCACAGAAACAAAGGACAAAACUGUUAGCUAACAAUUGCAGCAGCCGAAGGAUGGACAGCAAACAAAGGACAAAAUUGAGCAUAAAAUUACAAAGAAACCAGGACAAGGGCACAAUUGGAAGAAGGGAACAAAAGCAGAAAUGAGCAAAAAGCACCAGCAGCCAAAGGGCUGCACGGAAGCUUGGAAAGGACCAAAAAGGACGAAAUCAGCUGCGAAACCACAGCAAACCGGCACAAUCAACUGUUCAUCAGGCUUCGCGGCUUAAGUAGUUUAGAUAUUAUAUAUAUUAUAUAACCAAGGGCAAAUUUCAUAAGCGGCCUUCCCUAGUGGUAGUAUAUGUUGAGAAAUUUUAUUUUGGUCCAAAAGACGGUUCUAUUUGAAUUACACAACUUGGGAUGGGAAAUUGCCAAAUUAUGCAUGCAAGAAGUUAUAUCACUAAGGUACUCGUUACUGAGAAUAUUGUUAUUAAAAAUCAAUUUUCUUGUAAUGUUUGGUGAAAGGAAGAAAGAAAAUUUUUAAAAUCCUAACAAAAGAUGAAAGUACAUUUUUUAAGCCAAUCCCACUAUAUGUGUGUAUAUAUCUAUACAUAUAAGAAUGUAAGUGGAAGGUUUUAAACUCGAAACUUCUUUAUUUGCAUUCCAUUCUCUCCUACCAUUCAACUCAUCCCUUCUUUCUACUCCCAUACAUUUAGUAUAAUUUUUUAUUUUUGAAAAACAAAGUUUUUACCGUUUUUGGACUAAAUGUGGCCAAAAAUAAUUAAUUCAUGUACUAAAUGUGGUGCAUCUAAAAGUUUGGCAACGAGAUAUAUCCCUAACUCAAAGUUUAAGGAUAAAAAGUGAAUUUUUCCCCAUGGAUAAAGUAUAUGUUGGAGGAACUUUUUUGUCAAAAAUAUACAGAAUUUAAUGAAAGUACUUACGACUACUAUUGGAUCUUGAAUUCUUGGGAAAUUCUUCACUAUAUAUUCGAGAUGUUAUUGUGAGUUUUCCUGUCUAUUUCAUGUGUAUGGCAUGAUAGGUUGUUAGACAAUCAAAAUAAAAUUACUUAUUCUACAAUAAAUAAAAAUUAGAGUACAGUGGUAAGUAAGGUUAUGUCCACAUGGAUUAGAAUAGUUUAUUAUUUUCAGAGCGACAGUUAAAUAAGGGGAUUUUUCGAGGAAAUUAAACUAACUAAUUAACUCUAAUAAAGACAAAUAUGUAAAAAUUAAUUAAAUCUAAAUAAUGAUAAUGAAGGUUCUAGCCAAAGUAAUAACUUCAGAAAUGGUUCAUACAACUAAUUAGUGAUAUUUUUUUAAUCUGUUGCGCACUUGAAAGAUGUAGGCAACGGAAUGAGGAAUUAGAUUUUGACCAAAAAAUAGAAUGAGAAAUUGGAGAUAGUUACUUUAUGUUUUUUUAAUAUUUCAUUUUUCCCCUAUGAUGUUUUGAAUUGUUUUCAAGGUUCCUAAAACAUUUUCUAAUGUCAUUUGCAAGGUCAAUUUUGAUGUAUCUUUUCAAAUAAGUCCCCUACAUUUUGUUAUAGACUCAUUAAUUUGCAUUUAAAAUUCACAAAUAUCAAAUUAGGGUUAGGCUUUAAUACUUUUGAAUUUUCCUAAGCUGUGUGAAACAAAAAUUGAGACUAAAGGAUACUUAUUAUGUCACUAAUAUAUCUAUAGGUUAUUUCUUCAUGCUAUUUUAUUUAUAAUUAAUAUUUAUGACAUAAUGAUGAUGUCACCCAAUUUUGAAACUGGUUCGACCUCGAUCUAAUUCAUUGGCCCCUAAACCCUGAAUUUGGUCAAGUCGGCAUCCAGUCCGAAUUUGAAACCAUAGCUUAAAAAGAUUGAGGUGUGACAGGUGUCUGAUUGCCCCUUCUCUGCAAGUUUUAUAAAGCCAUUUCAAGAGGAGCAAUUAGACAUGGGAAAUAAUGAUCUGAAGAUCUUCAUUUCAUCCAAAGAAAUGGAUUACUGACCUUCUCAGGCGCGUUUAGCUUGGACAGCCAAUUUACUCAUUUUACACCACCGAAUUUUUGUACUUUUGUACUUUUUAUGGUUGUGUUGUUUUAAUGUUCUUUAUCCUGUCUCAAACUGUAUGGUGGGAUCGCUUCCUUGGAUAUAUGUUGUUUCUAAGGAUUUAAAUGAACGAAGCAGCUGUUCUUGUUUCCCAAAUUUUAGUUAUGUUUCCAACAAAUGUUGCAUUACGUUCUUUUACUAAUUAGCUGCAUUGUAACUACAAAUUCAGUCAAUCUUUUCAUACCAUUAAUAAUUUGGUUACAAAAUGGCGAUCUACUAAUCUAAUUACUAAGUUGCGACAAUUUAGACAUCUCUUUUUCAUAGUCGUAUUGUACAAUUUCUUAGUCUACUCACUCAACUUCUGGUCAUCCCAACUCUACCCGUAAUUGGAGAGGCCCUUGGUCCCUAAAGGACAGCUCCCCAGUUUGCUGAUUGAAUGUUGAUACUAUGUGUUUAAAAGAAAAGCCAUAGAAAAGACCCACGCACAGUUGGUGAUGAACGCAGUAAACAGUAGAACAUGAUUGUCUGGGAAGGAGGGGUAUGAACAUAAUUGUGAUGAUAUAGACAAAGACGCAAGUAUGUAAAUUAAAAAAGAGAGGGGUUAAAUCCACACCUUAAAUGUCAUAAAACUAUUGAAGCCCUUGACAGUUAAUGGGUUUCUGCUAACUUUUUGUUUAUUCUAAAUUUUGCUUUCACAUAAAAUAAAUGAUUUGCUAUGUAGUUUUUUUUUAUGAGAAUAAUUACUUUUCAAUCUUUUUACCUUGCACAUGUGUUUCAAUUUUAUAAUCUCUUAUUUUAUAAAAACUAUCUAAUGGACAGUGAAUUUCAAAACAUAAAUUUCAUGGCAUUAGUGAUUUUUGGGCCAUCUUAUGCGUAAUAUACAAAAUUUUAAUUUUUUAUCAGAUAACAAUAGAUUUUACUAUACUAUGAAUAUUUCUCCUAAAAAAAAUCUUUUUUUUUUAAGAUUUGAGGAUAAUCACAUUGGGGUUUUGAUCACUACAUGAUUAGGUGAAGUUAACUAGUAGAGCGAGGUAUUUGGGUAGCCACUAAACUUUUUGAAUAGUCGAAUUUUGACCGCUCAACUAUUAAUAGUACUUUUUACCCAUUGAACUAUGAAAAGUAUAAAUUUUUGAACAUUUCGUCUGAUUCCACCGUUAACUCUGCUAAAUCUAACUAUUAAUAGUAUAUCUCAUAAAUCAUGCGAACUAUUAAAUCUGAUAGAGUUAAUAGUAAAAUCAGACGGAAUGACUCAAAAUUUACACUUUUAAAACAAAAGACUCAAAAUUUACACAUUUGAUAGUUCAGUGGGUAAAAAUAUACUAUUAAAAGUUAAGUGGUCAAAUUUUGACUGUUGAAAAAGUUUAGUGCUACCCGAAUAAUUUGCUCUAACUAGUAUUAAAUGGGAAAAUUUAUCAAUUUAUUAGGUUGACUUUGACUUUUUUCUAUUAAUCGUUUGUUUUAACGGGAAAAAUCACAAUUACACUUGAACCCAAACCAUAAGGGGGUUAUACAUAGAUUUUUAAACUAAAGGGAAGGUUAUGUGGUAAAUUACCAAAUCAUAAGAGGUAAAAAGUAAUCUACCCUUAUAUAUAACAUAACAUACUAUGAAGGCAUGUUGAUUAAACAAGAAGUAUUGUUCUUUCUUCUUCAAAAUCCAAUCACAUUUAGUGGUACUAGUAGAACGGUAGACUUUGUAUGUGUGUAUACAUACAUAUUAACACACGUUGAGAUUGUGCUCCACUAACGAAUUAACAACAUUAUAGUUGAUGUCUCAUGAGAAUUUAUACCUAGUGCCUACAGAUCAUGAUGCUAAGGACUCAACCAAGAGAUACAAUUACAAUAAAACUUUUAAAACAGGGCAGCCAAGCAGAACUCAGUACUAUAGAAAUUGAUAAAAAGUAGUAAAAGGUACGACAGGUUGCCUAGUAUCGUUUUGGAGAUAAACACAAAACGGAGAGCCAUCAGUAUAACUUGAUUUUUCACUGACUGUAUGGUAAAGAUUUGCAAACAAUAAAACCACAAGAGUUUGUUGGGAUUGAAGAAUAUCUGGAAAAAAAUUUGAUUUUAUUUAAUGUAUUACUUUUUUGAUGUGAUUAUGUGAGAUAUAGUGAAAAAAAAAACAUAUUUUGUGAACAAGAAGAAAAAUUUUUCGCAAAUCAUCCUAGCUACACGAACCCUGUAGCUCUCAGAUAAAUGCUCAAAUCAUCCUAUCUAUGUCAUCCCAAAUCACCAAAAGUGACAUAUAUAAGAUAAAAAAAUAAUUAGAAAACUUGUGAAUAAUAAAAAAAAAAAAUUCUCAAAUCAUCCUAUCCUAAUGAACAAUGUUUUAAAUGCUCUGGUAGUUUUGGAACUAUCAAUAGUCUACACUACCCCAAGCAUCUCGCAAUUAUACAUGACCCUCCAUUGAAUUUAUCAUUCCAAAGCUCUUACAUUCUAUACUUCUAUUGGAGAAUUUAAAUGGCUUAAAACAACAAUGUCAACAAAAUUAUAAAGGUAUCUAUGCUUAAAACAAAUUCCAACUUAUGGCUUCUAGCCAAAGUAAAACCAAAUUCGUGAUUGUCCAACAAGAGCAACAUAUCUUAAGGAACUGAUACCAAAAGAAGCUUAUACUAAUAUUUGAUACUAUGACUCUUCUUAAAUUACCAAAUCCUACAAAGGAAUUACAACUUAGAAAUAUUAAUGAUAGGUCAAGAAAACACCCUCAAAUACUGAUGACUUGGGGAAUACUUUUACUAACUUAAGAAUACUUAAGGAGAACUAGGAAAGGUGCUCUACAAUAAAAGACGAUUCAAAUCUAGAACCCCACGUUACCAUAAUUUUAUACGAGUUCUAACUUCUGAAAUGCUAUGCCACACUAAACACUGAAACCUUAAGUAACUUGUAGCCCUACGAAAAACUUACGCUUACCAUUUCUACUUGAAAGUCCUCGACUACCAGUAGCUUAGCUAGGACUUUUUUAUUAGGUGGCAAAAUUUUGUGUCGAAAAAUGGUAAUUUCCAAAUGUAAUUUUAAAUUUUUGGCUUGUAUUUUUUGUUUAAUUUCUAUUUCUUAGCUUUUAAAUCUUGAUAUCUGAUUGUAACUCAAAGUAAAAUAUUUUAUCAAAUUUUUUAUAAACAAGUUCUUUUUAUCACUACACUACUUAAUAAAUAAACCAAAUCUUAGCCUAUCAAACAAAACAAGGAAGCUACACGUUGUCAGUAUUUCGAAACAGAUGUUAGGUGUCAUUUACCCAAAACAAUAAUAAAACUUAAAGCAUCCAAACCCAAUAAAAUUACUUCAAAAAUCAUUAUUCAAUAUCCAUUACAAUUCAAUUAAAAUUUCAAAAUGCUUCUCAAUUUCAGUGUCUUAAUCAAAUGCUUUUGAGCCAAAAAUGAAAUUUGAAUAUUACGUUGAGAUAAAAGAAUCACACACAAAAAAAAUAAAGUGUGAUAAGCAUUACCUUUCUUUACAAGUUCUAUAUCAAACAAAUUCUACUAGAACAAAAAUAAGUUCAUGACCUUUACAAAUGAAUCUUGUAAAAAAUAUAUUGCCUCUAACAAUUGAUAUGCAAUUUGCUAAAUGAAAUUACUUAUAGUUAUUUCAAAAAAAAUUGUAUUUUAUGUAUAUAUACGAAAUUAAAAAAAAAAAAGUAUAUAAGUGAUGGGGUUGGGCAUCCGUGGGUUCUCAAGAGGCCCGUGGUUUCUCAAACCUCUUGUCCCAAUCCACCUCCCGCGCGUAUUAUUGGGUACUUGACCCAAUUUUGCCUGGUCAAGAAAUAUAAAUCAGGUAUCUAAUUUUCAAAAUGCAUCAAAGUGACUUUCAUAGACCAACUAGUAUUUUUGCCUGCUCAUCAUUGAGGUGACGUGGCGGUGGAAAGGGGGAACAGGGUGUUGACGUGUGUGUAAGUGCAGGUUCUUAACUCUUGGAGAUUUUAAAUAUUUUGGGUAUUUCUUUGGUGUAUUUUUCGUUAGUAUUCAUCUUUCUAUGGUUUGGUAUGUUGUUUAACUAGUUACUAUAGAUGUUUUUAUAAAAAUAUAUUUCUAAAACAUCCCAAAAGCAUACUUCUUAUUUUAUACGUAAAAGCAACAUUCUUAGUUAUUUGGGUAAAAUACAAAAAACCAUUUUGUGGUUAAACUAACCUACGGAAAAGCUCUUUAUAGUUUUAAACCACACAUUUCGGCCCUCAUGAUUUGAACUAAUUUGAAACAACAAUGGAAAUCGUCAAAACUAAUAGAGGAGGAUGAAAUCAUAUAAUUAGCCUAAUAUAUAUAUAUAUAUAAGCAAUAAAAGAACUUCUAAUAGUCAUUCUAUUAAGCAAAUCUAUGGAAAAAGCUCCUGUGGUUAAACCAACUUACGGAAAAAGCCCCUUAUGAUUACACGUUGCUUUUAUUUAUUUAUCUUGUACAUAAGAAUAAGGUAAGGUAUAUUUGAAAGUUUUUCUUUAUCUAUUUUGUGUAUAGAAAUAAGGAGAGUUUUAUUUGGAAAUUUUUAUUUAUUUAUUUUAAGUAUAGAAAUAAGGUGAGUUGUAUUUGGGAGUAUGAGUUAUUUUUUUGAAAAUUUUACGAGUUCUAAGGGGUUUAAUAGAUAUAUCAGCUAAAAUUUGAUUUUAGAAAUUAUUUUCCAUGUCAAGCAACCUCAAACUCAUUAAUUUAAAUCAUUUUUGUCUAUUUUUCACAUGUUCAAACCAUAAGUAAUGGAUUGUAUGAUUUGAAACUAUAAGGGAGUUUUUCUAUAGGUUUACUAAACCACAAGAGGCUUUUCUAUAUUAUUACUCUAAGAAUAUAAUAGGUAUAUCAAUUGAAAAUUUGUUUGUUUUUAGUACAAUACAAAAGAAACUAUUGCGAUUUUCAUCAUUUUUUUUAAAUUAGUUCAAACGAUAAGGUACCGGAAUGUAUGUUUUAAAACUAUAAGGGAUCAUUCUGUAUGUUCGCUUAACUUCAAGGGCUUUUCUAUAAUUUAUCCUUAUUCGAAUGAAAUCUGCUUACAUGUUGAUGUUUAAGCUACUCAUUUCAAUAAGAGGGUUUUUCUAAUGUAUGCCUGUUGGACACCCUUUAAUACAUGCAAUCUAUUAUGUGAAUACGUACACUAAUUAUUAUUAUCUUUCCUUAUAUUUAUAUAUUUUCUUAAUUAAAUUUAUUUUUUCAAAGAAAUUAAUAUUUGAACUACAUUUUAACAAUACUCAAAGGAGUGACCCUACUGAUAAAAUCAAGAAAACAAUUUCAUUAAAGCGGAUAACAAAAUUCUCUUCGACCUUGCAAAAUGAAUUUGGUUGGUCCGACCCAAACUCUGCCCAUAUUGCCCAUCAAAAAUAGGGCCAACUUUUUCUUGAAAGUGGUCUGGGCUGAGGAUGGGAAAAACUGAACUCCCAUUUUCCAAGUGGGUCAUACUAAGCUCGGCCUGUUUUCAGAGAGUCCCAGAGAGGCUUAUACAUGAGUCUGAAGUAAUUAUCUCUGAGAGAAGGGGUAAUACAAUUGGAAUUUUCAUACAAUUAUGCGAUUGUUGUAUAUUUUACUUAAUUUGUUGUAUACUUCAUUUCUUUGUUUUAUACAUAAUUUUUUUUAUAAGAAGCAAAACUCAUUAACAAAUUACUAAAAAUCGUGCAGCACAAUUUGAUCUACAUCACUAUCCUAAUGGUAGAUUAAACAUGUAUUAGAAAUUAUAGAUCUGCGAUUUAAUAUAUACAAUGGAUUCGAAAAAUUAUAAACAUAUUUGAAAAAUAUAAGAAAUUUGAAAUUUGUUUUUUAACAAAUAAACCAUAGCAGUUCCCUUUUGUGUAUGUUGUAAUCGAUAAAUCUACUGGUCAAUGGUUUUAAACUCCAAUAAUGAUGGUGAAAUCUAUCAAAAUAGAUUCAAGAUUCGAAAAAAAUUCAGAUCUGACUUUCUAAGGCACUUAAAUAAAGGACACCUACGUUGCGUCUGUUUGUUCAUUUUUGUUACCUGCAGACAAUCUCGACACAGCUGCAAACUUGUGUGAUUUAAAUACCUUCUCCCGAGUGUCUUUUUCUUCUUUGGAUAUCGUCCGCAAGGUAUUCAAUAGAGCUGGCAAUUUGUCCCAAGUCCCAAUGGGCUACCCAUGCCCAAAGGAACUUUGGGCGGGAUGGGUAUUAUAAUUUGGUAUUGGGUUUAAGUUGGGACACAUCCCAACUAUACCCAUUAAUGAAUGGGAAAGGAUGGGAAAUACUUGGGUACCCAUUGGGCUCAAAUGGCAAGGGCUCCGUUUGGAUUAGCUGUUUUUGGGGGGUGUUUUUGAAAUAUUUUAUUGUAGCAGUGUAUAUGAAAAAUUUUUACUAUAAAAUUUUUUUGAAAUAUUUGAUAUACUAAUAUGGAUGGGAUGUUUCUUGAGUUAUUGUAUAUUACUGUAACAUUGUAUUUGAAAAACUUAUUUUUUGAAAAAAUAGUCAAUCCAAACGGAGUCUUAGAUUCAAAAAUUAUCUUUAACAAUUUUUAUAGUCAUACCAGCGAAUAUAAUCUAGUAGUCUCCCUAGUCAUUAUCCACAAGAAUUUCCAACAUUUCAGUUAGUUUAGACCUGUCAUCCUUGGACAAUGAUGAGGAUAAAUAUUCAACAUCCUAAGGACCUUGGCCAUCUUGAUAUAUGUUGGAAUAUGGUUGUAUAUCUAUCUUUUCCUUUAUUUGUUAAUCCAAUUUUUGGUGGGAAUCUUGAAUAUAAAGCACUUGCAUGUUUAUUUAAUAAAACUAAAAGAAAUUUAAUAAAUCAAAAAUAUUAAAAUUAUAUAAAAAAUAAAAAAUGAAUUAAAGGAAAAAAAAAUAUGUAGAAAAUGGAUUUGGGUAUUGGGCGGGAUCAAUCUAAACACAUCCCAAAAUGAUCCCGCCCAAGUUAGUCCCAAAACACAUAUGGGUAAGGUUUGGCCCAAACCCAUAUGACUCGGUUCCAUCUCAAACCCAAGCAAAUCCCGCCCAUCCCGCCCAUUUUGCUACCUCUACUAUUCACUAAAAUUCCUAAUAUUCACAAGCUGGAAUGCAUUCUCAUUGCGUAUACUGAACAUAAUUGGGUGUCAGCAGACAAGAUUCUAGUACUUGACUUUCCCUCUGGCAAUUAGAAAGUUGACUCUAUCCGGUUUUCUUUUCCCUUGGAGCAAAAUUUCAGCGAUCGAAAAUCUUCCCAAUCUGGAGGUCCUCAAAGGAACAAAUGGACAUGGGAAACACUGAUCUGAAGAUCCACAUUUCAUCCCAUGAAAUGAAUUACUGAUCUUCUCAUGUCUGUUUAGUUUGGUCAGUCAAUUCACUCAUUUUACAUUUUCUAUUAAUUUUCUAGUUCUGUACUAUUACUGGUACUGUUGCAUCAGUCAGCCAUCAAGAUCAUGCUAUUCCUGUUGUUUUAAUACGCUUUAUCCUGUCUCAAACUGUGUGAUGCGGGGACACUCCUCAUGAUUAUUAUUGUUUCUAAAGAUUUAAAUGAAGCAGCUUUUUUUCCUUUCCCAUUUUGCCACUUGGAUUACACAAUUUUAUUUAGUCUCAAGAAGGUAAGAAUACUCUUGGAUAGGGUAUUUGCCUUUCUUUUUAUUUUGUGCCUCAUAAGAAAUUCUAACCAUGACUAUCAAUGUUUUCAGGCUAAUUGUUCUGAAAGAUGGAUCAAAAAGAGGUUCACAUUGCUCGCUCAAUGAUUUUAUCAGACUAACUGUCGUGAUUGUUGAUUCUUGGUCCACUAACAAGAAUGUAACAAACAAAAAAAACAAGAAUGUAACACACUGGAAAAACGCCAACCAGAUGGAAAAAUUAAAGGAAAUGGUGUGGCAAUAAGAAAGAGAGUGGAUUCCAAUAAACCCCCUGCAAAAGUGUCUUUCUUCAAUUGCCCCACUAAACAUUUAAUUGAACAAAUCCAUCCUUGUACUAUUACAAACUUCCCAUUCAACUACCAUUGGGUCUAGCAGCUCAAUUUUAGGUUGAACCAGUCACGUGAAGCAUACAUGGUUUCAUGAACUGACCAGAUUGUUGAACUAAUUAAACUACUAAGAUGAACUCUAGAUAAUUACACCUUUGUAAAAACAUUUGACCUACUCAAACAUAAAAUACGUUGUACUUCACAAUGAUAUUUUCUAUUAGUUUUUCCGAUUUUGAUUGCAAUAUUUUAGAGUUUUUACAGAAAAAAUGCACUGUAACAAUUUGAUGUAUGUGAGAUAAAAAGAUGAUUAAAAAAUGUGUUUACAAAAAAAGGUAAAAAAUUUUAGGGGGAAAAGUGACCAUCAAAACAAGGCUUGAAAAUAAAUUUCAAUUAUGAUAAUAAGCCAAAAGCUAUAAAUAAUAGAAUUUUUGGCAUUAUGGGGAAUUACUAGAUUGUUUUAGAAAAUUUUCGAUCAAGGGUAAAUAAAUAAAAUUUUAUAAUUAAGAAAUUGUGGGAUAAUUUGGUCAUUUUAUGAAAUGAUUAUGUGUUGCAUAUGACUAAUUCCGGUAAAAAUUUGAGCUUCCUGAUUAAAUAGUACCUGAUUGUGAAAAUUGUAAUAGCACCAGUGUUGAUUGGUUCAAUUAAAUGUUCAAGGAGCUAAUGUGAAGAAAAGGCAUUUUCCGGAGGUUUGUUGGAGUUAAACAUAAGAAAAAUUCGAAGGUUUGAAUGAUCUCAUAGUAGAUGUAAUCAUUACUGGGAUCUUUUUUUCCCAGAAAAGAGAAAAUUUACAAUGAUUUUUAUUAUUUUCAAACUAGGAUUGACGGUUAAUUACCACCGAAAUGGUAUCUAAAUAUCCAAAAACUAAUGUUUGAAUAUCCAAAAAUCAUAUGAAUACUCGCAUUAGUUUUGAGAAACUUUUUGAUCAACACAAUUCAAGAUAAAGCCACAAAUUAAUGAAGAAAGGUUGCAAUCCUUGAUCAUUCUCAAUCUCAACACUAUAAAGAUUUGGUAGGAAUGAUUUGUUGUAGUAGAUCAUUUACCUACUAUUAAAAUUCUUUACAAAAACACACUAUAGUUCAAAUAAGUUUGUCUAACUUUAUAAAUGACCAAAUUUUGAAAAUUCUCUAAUACAAAUAAGUCUAGGUUCUACAUUUUUUUUUGGUGCAUUGGAGAGCCUCUGGCUCAUUACAAGGACACUAGACGGGGAGCUGUCACUCACUCCCAUGAUAUCCUGGCCCAAAGUCUCUCCCAGUCGAGUCAGGGGCUCCUUCAACCACUUCACUCCUAUUUCUUGCCUCAAACUACUCUUGGCUAAACAGUCCGCACUCGCAUUCCCUCUCUCCAAGUGUGGACAAGCAUAACUUCCCAUUCCCUCCUAAACCAUUCCUGUAUCUACUUAACAAGUCGAGUAAAGACCUGUGCUAGUACCAGUCUUCAACAGAGAUAAUGCUGUUAACGAUUCUGACUCUAAUACCAAGCCAUUUCUAAGCCAUACAUCAUUCCCCACAGCUCCGCCACGACAUUUGUGGUUAUCCCCAGGUUCGCUACAAAAUCCCCCUUCCAUAGACCCCUAUAGUCUCGUAUUAGUCCCCCUGAUCCUGCCUCUCGCAGGUUACCCGUAGCAGCCCCAUCGACAUUGACUUUCAUCCAGCCCUUUGGUGGCUUUACCUAGCUAAUAAACGUCAACUCCUUCCCCUCCAUCUAGGGCUGCAAAUGAAUCGAGCUGCUCACGAGCCGCUCGAGUCAAAAUUUGACUCGAGUUCGGUUAAUAUCGAACUCGACUCUAGAUCGAGCUGGCGAUAUCGAACUCGAACUCGAGUUCAAACUCAAAAUAUUAAACUCGUUAGCUCGCAAGCCAGCUCGCGAGCUCGAGUAUAUAUAUAUGUAUAUAUAUAAAAUUUUUAAUUUUACUAUAUAUAUUUUUUAUUUUAAUAGUAAAAUUACAUAUAUAUCCCUAAUAUUUUAUUCUCUAUUAAAAAAAUAAUUAUUUGUUAUUUUUAUUAGAUUAAUAUAUAGAAACUCGAGCUAACGAACUACUUGCCAGCCAGAAAUCGAGCUAUAUUCCGAGCUGACAAUUCGAGCUGCUCGCAAGUUAGAAAUCGAGCUACAGCUCGCGAGCCUUGUCGAGUCAAGCUCGAGCCUGGUUUUUCCUUGGUCGAGUCGAGCUCGAGCUCGAAUUUGAACCCAUCUAUGAUUAAGUCGAGCUUGGCUCGAUAAGUCCAAAACUCGACUCGACUUGUUUGCAGCCCUACCUCCAUCUUACCUUCGGACUGAAAUGUUGUUUGCACUUGCUUUGCUUGAGCUAGCACUUGCCUAUAGCUACAUCUCAGCUUGCUGCCAUCCCCUGCACAGCAAAAAGCAUUUCUAGCUGACCAGGCCAAAUAAACCAAGUUCUGAAAUAAUAAUUACCAGCAUACUUCCCUAUCUGUCCCAACAUUUCUCUCUCGGAGGUUCCAAUCCACCCAGUCUUUUAGCUCCAGUCUUCCCUAAAGUGAUCCUAGUCUAGGUUCUACUUUACCAACAGAACGAAUUACUUGUUCAGCUGAGGUAUUUGGCAGUUCUAGGAACUGUGAAAGUCCAUUGCAUCAUCCAUAAACCAAUCUAACAAACUUGGAAACUUUCAUUGUGGGAACAUUUUCUCGUAUUGUUUCACUAUCAGAUACCAUAUUGAAUCUGAAGAAAGUAAGGCAUUUGCACAUUAGGAGAAAGCCUAGAUUUUAUUCCACUUUUCGGCUACCCACCAACAAUCUUGACGAUGCUGCACAGUUAUGCAAUUUAGAUACCUUCUCUGACACAAUUCUUUCUUCAUGAGAGAAUGCGGACAAGAUAGUCAGAAAGUUUCCCAAUAUUCGCAAGCUGAAAUGUAGCAUCGAACUCCUUGAAUCUGAUUAUCCUGCUUCGGGUGCAUCCGACAGGAUUCUAGUACUUUACCCCCUAAGUCAACUAGAAUCACUUAUUUUGAAGUUGAAAAGCUAUGUUCAAUGCUAGUUUGAGUUCAAUUCUCUUCCACUAUUAAAAAAUUGACUCUUUCGCUCUUUUACUUCCCUUAGAGCAAAAUAUCAGCAAUUGAAAAUCUACCUAAUCUUGAGGUUCUCAAAUUACUUGACGGAGCAUUUGAGGGGGGAAUAUGGAACAUGGAAGAAUAGGGGUCCCUAAAAGGUAGUUUCUUGAAAUUGGCUUCCCUGGAUAUUGUCAAGUGGACCGUCUCUGAGUGCGUGGAAUGUUUUCCAAGGAUAAGGAAAUUAAUUUUGGAAGAUUGUCACUUUUUGGAGGAGAUCUCUUCUUGUUUGGGGAAUUCAAGUCUUGAAAUAAUUGAGGUGUCUAAUUGUCCCUGCUCUGCAAGUUUUAUAGAGCCACUUCAGGAGAUACCAAUGGACAUGGGAAAUUUUCAUCCAAAGAAAUGGACUACUGAUCUUCUCAAGCUUGUUUAGUUUGGACAACCAAUUUACUCAUUUUAUUUUUCUCAAAUUUUUUUUUUACUUUUGUACUGUAACUAGUUGUGUUGCAUCAGUCUAACGUCAAGAUCAAGUUACUCAUGUUGUUUUAUUGUUCAUUAUCCCGUCUCAAACCUAUGUGGUAGGAUCACUUCCUAGGAUAUUUGUUGUUUCUAAAGAGUUAAAUGAAUGAACCAGCUUUUUUUGUUUUUCAAAUUUUAGUUAUACUUCCAAGAAUAACUGCAAAUUUUGUCAAUCUUUUCAUACCAUUAGUAGGUAAUUUGUUUACAAAAAAGAAUGACAGGGUGUCAAGCCUGUGCAAUAAUAAUAACCUGCUCAAACAAAAGCUAAUUCUGUAGAUAGUGAUAAGCAGGGUCGAAUCCACAGGGAUUGGGAGUAAUUGUUUCUUUUGAAAUUCACAAUAACAAGGGGGUGCUUUUGUAUAAACGAUAACAACCAAAGGAGUUCAAAUAAAAAUAAAUAGCUAACUAAGAAUUAAAUGACAAUUUACUAAAAUCAGAGUAAUAAUAACUAAAGGUCUAGCCAAGAAAUAACUUCAGUAAUAGUUUAUCUAAUUGAUCAUCGAUGCAAAGGUAAUUCCAAUUAUUUAUUGAUAAAUAGGUUAUAACUGUCAAACAAGCGAUGACAGUCAACCCCUCCUUACCGUGUCAGUGAUUAAGGUACGCCCAUUAAUCACUGCUCUAAUUGAAAAAUAAUCUUACUGCUCUAAUUGAGAAAUAAUCUUAGGUACGCCCGUAAGAUUUAAUUUCCCAAUUGCCUUACGUAUUAGAGGAACCCUAUUCUAAUCAAAUAACGCACUACUAGAGUUAUUUUAAGUUAGCCCGCGUAUCCCCCCGACACGAAUCUAAUCAUGCCAGUUGUCACUAAUUCAAGGCGAUUAAACAAUUACGGAUUUAAUGCCCUAAUUGACAAUAAAUUAUCAAGUUAACUAAUUAUCCGAAUCCAAAACAAUCAAUUAAUUAAAUAAUCAUAAAUACUGCAAUCAGGGGAUAUGCGAAUACCAAUAAAUAAAAAAAAGAUAAAAUUAAAUCGAUCUCACAAUUUUUAGACGAACCAAACCCUCCGUUGUUCUUUGACUAGAGUGAAGAAAUUAGCUCAUAUUGGAUGCGAAAAACCCACACAAAAGUGAAGAGAGAGCCGCGGCCAUCAAUUGGAAAAUGGGCAAAUUCAAUUCGUUCUCGCCAAUGAAAGAAAAUGAAGCUGCAGAGAAGAAUUCAAUGCUUCCCUGUUUGUUUUUCCACAUACGAAAGAAGGAAUAACUUACUAAAAGACGAAAAGAAAAGUCAAAAGCUAACCUAAGAAAAUUGACUCCCGAUUGUCUGCUAUCUCUAUUCCCUAUCUAAUUGCUAUCCCUUCUUGCGGCGGCUCCCCAGGGAAAGGAAUACUCCCGUCUUCGGUUCAGCCGUUGCCAAACGAAAAGGCCAAAGAUUUUUUCUUUUCCAAAAUUACCCCUAGGAUAAGCGCUGCUACUUGCACUUCUUUUCUAUCAAAUUGGCACUUGUUAUCAUAUUUUGGUUCUACUCCCUAAAAUAAAUGUCAAAUACUAAAAGUGAGUAGAACCCAGCAAAUAAUUCACAUCGGGUCAGGUAAUAGGGAAAAUUAAUAAUAAAAUAAAUUGAGUUUGUUUGGAUAGAGAGAAUUUGGUUUGCAAAAUUUAUUCUCACAAAUUCCAAUCACCUUUUUAUCUUCCCAAUCACCUUUUUAUUUCACAUACAUCAUAUCACAAAAAGUGCUACAGUAAAUAUCUCAAAUAAAUCAUCCAAAUAAACUCUUAUCCAAACAAACUCUUAUCCAAAUAAUUAAAUUGCACCCUAUCAAAGAAUGAAUGCCAUUGACUAAUUUAAUUACUAGGAUUUCAUAAUUUAUCAAUUCUUUUUUCCAUUGCCUACUUCUACAAUUUCUUUCUGCUAGGUUUAGCAGUCUAGUUAUCCAACCCGAGUCCAAUAAUGAGAUUAAAUGAGUAUUUUGUACCCACUUGGUACUCACGAAUCUUUCCUCCUCCUCCUCCUUCUCUCUUUUGUCCCCAAUUUGCCAUUCUUAUUAUUCAAUUUUGUUGUUGAGUUUGUAUUUAUAUUCUACAUCAGGAGUUUUACAAAGAAAUCUCUCAUUUUAAUGGUUAUAAUUACAAUGGAUUUAAGUGAAUUAAAAUAUGCUAAGGGUACCAAUUCAAGUGUCAUAUGCACUAGACAAAGAAAAUUUUAGGGGGCCCACAUCCUAGUAUGAGAGAAGUCUUAGUUAAGCAUCAAAUCAAAAGAGCAAAUGAUGGGACUUUGGACCGUUAAACAUUUUAUAAUAUUUAGUCUUUUUUGUGUUUUCAGUUUUACUUGCCUUUUGAGUCUUGGAAUUAUUUUCUAGAAUUUUAUACUAUCUCUUUUGUACUUUUUUAUAGUAAAUAUGUUACUUUUUCGCCAAUAGACAUAGGUCAAUUCGACCGAAUCAUGUAAAAUUUUGUGUUUUUCUGUUUUUUUAUUUGAUUUGUUAUUGUCUUUAUUGCAUUAUCAAGAACCCUGCUGUUCUUGUUGAUCAUUUUUUUGGAACUAGAUCUAGCAAACUAGUAUCAAAGUUUCAGGCUCUGGGUUCGACGACAACGAUGAUGAUAACAGACUAUCAAUGUCUAUUUCAAAAUAUUGAUUUAACGCUAUAGAGAGUGAAGAAAAAUCUCCCGUUGGAGUUUAGUUGAGUUUUGAAAAAGAGCUAUUUUGCCUAUUGGAACUCGUUGAGGACGUUGUGAAGAAAGUAAAGCAAGAUUAUUAUGUUCGAUAUUUUAGCCCAUUGGGAUUUGUUGCACUUUUGUGAGUUUUGAUCGGUAGGGACCUAUUGAACCUUCUGCACCUUGGCUCAUUGGUGGUUCAUUGAGAUCUGUUGGCACUUUUGUGGUUCAGUGGGAUUCAUUGAGACUUUAUGAAAAAAGUGGAGUAUGUUUGCUAUUUAUCAAUGUUAGAUACACGUCAAAAUGGAGAUUGUUGAGUUUAUUUUUGUAUCCCACAUUGAAAGUUUUACCAAGAAAUCUCUCCUCUUAGUAGUUAUAAAUACAAUGCAUUUAAGUCAACUAGGGAUACCGUACAUGCGUUGUACAUGGUUGGAUGAUAUGUAGUUAUAUCAUUUUGUUUUGUUUUUAUAAUGAGUUUACCUUUGUAAUGUAGAGUUGGGAAUAGAAGCAAAGGUGGGAAUUGCAUGUUACAAAAUUUUGUAAAGUAAGCAAUUCAAAGCAAUCUUAUUGAAUGUAAGAUGAAGAAAAAGAGAAGAUAUUAAGCGUAAAAUCGUAAUCAUUAGUGUUUUAAUCUUUCUCGACUUUUAUCUUCUUUUUCAAUUGAGUUUUGAGCUUGGAUGCAUUACUUCUUGCUCCCCCCCCCCUUUUUGAUUUUGAAGGACUGUAGUGGAACAUCAUCGUCAAUUUUAAUCACCUUUGAAUUUUUGUCUUUUAUUAUGCUUUGCCGAGCAUGUUGUUUAGAUGUAAUAGAUGGAGUGGCAUUUUCUUGUUUGUUGUAUUUGGUAGUUGCUCGAAUGCUAUUGCCACCAUUGAUAGAUGUCCAUGAGAGGAGUGCCCCGAUCUUAUUAAGCUUGAUGAGGAAUUUGAACUCCUUAUGCUUUGGGGCAAUCAUUUUCUUAUACAACUUUGAUUUCUCCUUAUCCUGUUGGGUUUUCAGUAUUUCUAAAUCAGAUAGGUUUAAAUUGAAUGCUUAACUAAUAAGAGUUGAUGUGUUUAUUAUUUUAAUAAUUUUUAGGAACUUACCUUGAAAGAUGUAGUGUUAUCUAUGUAUUCUUGUAUUGGGCAUCCAAUAAAAUUAUUUGCCAAGUCCUCAAAUAAUAUUAUUGUUGCUACAUCUUGUCCAUCGACGACUUCCAUCCUUAUAUUGUACCUAUUUUGGAAAUGAUAUUAAGUUGUUAACUGUGCUUUUCAAGUUUGCCUUUUUAAAGUCUAGCUUUCAUGUCAUGUAUUUAAUUGAGUGACUUACCUUGGUGUAAAAUCUUUUGUUGGAUGAUUGCAUUUGGGGCAUUCUGCAUCUUCUUCGAAGUUGAUAAUUUUGGUGUUACAUCCUUUACAAGCAUUAUAGUAUAGUUCGACUUUGUUCUCUAUAUUGUUAACAAUUGCGUUGGAAGUGUAGAAAGCAUGCUGCAAAAAGCAUUUAUUUGUUAUUGUUUUUAUGAUGUUUGGCUUUUUUUUUCAAGGAAUUUUCUAAAUUGAAGAUUUAUGAGACGAUAAAUUUACCUCUUUCAAUGAAUGUUGUUGAUGAAUAAUAUUUUUGAGUUGAAUGUGCUCGACCAAGUCCAUCUUGUUCUUUAAGGUUGCGGCUUCAAUAUUUUCACUUUUCUUUGUAAUGAUCCUAUAUCAAUUUUCAGUAUUGUAAUUCAAGGCAUUCAAUUUAUAUAAAAAAAAAGUCUAAAAGAAUUUGUAUUCAUACCACUUUUGAAGUUUCAAAACUUCUUUGCAAUUUGGAUUGACUUUUAGAGUUGACAUGAAUGUUGUUGACAGUUGAAACUCUCCUAGAAUAUUUUAAAAUGUCAAGUUGUAAUUAUAAUACUAUUUUAUUUUUACUAUUGAUAUUUUUACCUUGGUAUUCAGACAUUUGGAUUUGUAUUGCUACAAUUGCUGGUUUUUGAGAUGCAACUUGUUGUAGAAAUUGACCUUCAUUAAAUACCAUAUCUCCCUAUAAGAUGAUUUUCAGUGGCAAACCUAUAGUGUCAGGAUAAUUUUUAUAUUUUAAUAUAAAAAUGUUAGGCAUGAAGUAAUGAUUGCUAAGUUUUUUUUUUUUAGUGUAAACAGGAGGACUCGAACCCGAGACCUCUUGCUUACACUCCCUUCCCCCGUACCACCCAACCCAACCCUUACCCCCAAUGAUUGCUAAGUUGUGAAAUAGGAAAAGUAUUAGGUGGCUGAAUUAUGAACACUCUACGUAUAAAGGAAAAAGUGAUGCUAGACGUAUGUUUUUUUUCAUACUUGGAGCUUCAAACAUUUAUAUAGUAAGAAAGCAAGCUAAAAAGUAAUCUACUUUUUGUUUAUUAUGGUGAUUUCUCUCUUUUGAGUGUAUCCACCUUGUCUUUUUGGAAGCACCAAUAUUUGAGCCACACUUGUAACAACUCACUCCAAUGAUAUCUGUAGAAAAUAAGUUUAUUUUGAAUGUAAAUAAGUACAACAAUUCAGCCUAACAAUGUAGAAAAUUGUUAGAAGUUUUGCACAAGAAAUUUGAUUGAUUUUGGAAGAAAAUGUUACCUAUUUGUUUGUUGAUAAAGUCUGAUUUUUUUGCCUCUUCAAACUCAAUAGGUGCAUAGAUAAUGUUCCUUGUUGGUACAUGAGAAUGGUCUUCUUUGAUGUGAGUGUAAUUUCGUAGGACCAAAUCAAUCUCAUUGUUGACAUUUGCAUACAAAGUGUUUGUUUUAUUUACACUUCCAUUUGAAAGUAAGUACAACUUAUUGUAUUGAAAAUUAUGUCCAAAUCUUGUGAUGAUAUCAUCAAACAUGAUAGCUUGAAUUUUUGUUCCCUGUAAAUUUAUUAAAAUGUAAAUAAGAAAUGGUAAUAAAUUGCAAAAUAUAAAUAAAAAUUAAUAGAUGAAUAUGAAAGUAUAUAUUUUCUCACUUUAUCAUGGACCAAAAUUAAAUUUUGCAAAGUUGAAGAAGAAGCAGAAAAAGGAAUAAAUAUAGUGGUGAUUUGAUUAUUAGUCGCCAUAGUAAAUAGACAGAAUAUUAGAGUUUUUUGUAAUUUUUUUAAAAAAAAUUAGAAGUAAGCUUUGACAUGUUCACUUUUUAAAAAAAUCAUUUUCUAGCCAAUCAAUUAAUUUUAAAAUUUGAAAAAACCAAAUACAAAAGCAAAAAAAAAAAAAAGAAAUAAUAGUAACUUGGUCCUGGAAAUGGGAAUAAAUUACAAAGUAUAAAUAUAAAUUAAGAGAUGAACAGAAAAAUAUAUAUCUUCUCACCUCAACAUCAACAAAAAUCAAUUCUGCAAAGUUCCAGAUUUCUGUUUUUCAACAUAAUGCUCGAUAUUAAAUUUUUGUAAUAGUAAAACUCGAAUUGUCCACAUCUUUUCUUUUGACUUCAGUGAACCGAUGAAACGGUUCUCUUGUAUUGCCAUGAUACCUAAAAAUAUGAGGGAAAAAAACUCGAAACUGGUAGAUUAGUAAAAUGAAAUGUGAAAAUACAAAUAUAGUAAAGGUUUUAAGCAUAAAUAUAAUACGUAAAAGGGUAUUUGAGAAAGUAAAUUAAUGGUAAUAAAAAACAAAAAAAAGGAAAGGAAACAAGGAUAACAGAUCACAGAUGUGGCAAUGUUUUCCUAACAUCUACACGUAAAACCAAACAAUUUUUGCUUUCCUUUCCACCUCCUCCCUCUCCUGCCCAAUUCUCUCUCUCUAUAUUUUUUUGGCAAAAUCAAACUAUUCUAUUUGUGUCUGUUGAUCGAUGAAUUUGUAUUGCAUGGUUGUAUUGAAGGGAAUGUAAAGAGAUAUCACCAAGUUUGAGAAAGGUAUGUGUAUUGCACAUACCUAUAAUACUUCUUUUGCUCUUCUUCUGUUUCUUUUCUCUCUUUUCUGUGUCUAAGGGUGUUGGAAAUUGGGUAUAGAACUUAGUAAAGAUGCGAUAUUUAUAUAAAUGUAAUGUUGUUUUCUAUGUCAUAUGAAUUAAUUUUUUCAGUUUCUGUGAUUAAUUCGUUGUUUAGCUUCAUAUGAUUUUAAGAUUGUAUUUUAAAUUUUGGUAGGGGUUUUUAGUUUUUGUUUUUUAGCUGUUAAUGAUCGGUGUAAAUGAUUCGUAGUGGUAUUUCAGUUGGUGUUAAUGAUUCAUAGCAUUAUUUCAGUUUUAGAUUUUCUGUAACCUGACUGUUCAGUUUUUAAUUUUUAUAAUGAUUGUAGGGGUUGCAUGAUUGCAAGCCAUAAUUUUGAAAACUGAAAAGGUGCAACCCGCAUUAGGUCAGGAGUAGUACAUAGCACACCCUGAUGGUGAGACUAUGGUAGAUGAAAUUCAACACUUUCAAGAUGCAAGAUAGGUUUCAGCUUAGGAAGCUAUCUGGAGAAUUUUUGAAUUCAAUCUUAAUGAGAUGUCCCUAGCCGUCAUCAAUUUGCAAGUGCAUCUCCCUGGAAAUAAUGUGUGACUUAUUGAAAGAAUCAAAAUCAAAAAAAUCUUCUCCAAUGGUUAAUUUUAUUGGAAUGUUAUUCUCAUCUUCUUGGUUCAUUUGCUAUUCAUUUUAUGUCAUUUUAUGAAUAGUUUUCGAUUUUUUUUUUUAGUUUUUGUUGUUUUGAGGGUUGCUAUCAAUGCACUACCACUUACAACUAUAUCUUGGAUGCUUUUUUUUUUGGAAAGUAGUUUCAUGUCCUAAGAAUAUGCAAUGGAUGACAUUUUCUCUAUUAAAUAUGAUGUUUUUAGUUUUAGAGUUCUAGUCACUUGUGACCCUUUGUCUUAUCUUGGGUGCAAUAAUUAAACUUUAACCCACAAUUAAGAUUAUAUGAAACCUUAACAACAAAUUUAAAAAGGCAUAAUUGGAAUAACAAAAUUUCUAGUCACUUGUGACCUUUUGUCUUACCUGGGUACAAUAAUUAAACUUUAACCCACAAUUAAGAUUAAAUGAAGCCUUAACAACAAAUUUAAAAGGGCAUAAUUGGAAUAACAGAAAUUAAUAUCAAAAUAUUGCUUACACUCACACUCCAAAGUAGACUCAUGGUACUUUUUAUACAUUAUCACUUACAACUAUAUCCUGGAUGCUUUUUUUUUUUUUUUGGGGCAGUGGUUUCAUGUCCCGAGAAUAUGCAAUGGAUGACAUCUCUCUAUUAAAUAUGACGUUUUUAGUUUUGGAGUUCUAGUCACUUGUGACCCUUUGUCUUACCUUGGGCACAAUAAUUAAACUUUAACCCAUAAUAAAGAUUAUAUGAAACCUUAACAACAAAUUUAAAAGGGCAUAAUUGAAAUAACAUAAGUUCCAGCCAUUUGUGAUCCUCUGUCUUACCUUGUGUGCAAUAAUUAAACUUUAAUCCACAAUUAAGAUUAAAUGAAGCCUUAAUAACAAAUUUAAAAGGGCAUAAUUGGAAUAACAGAAACUAAGAUCAAAAUACUGUUUAGACUCGCACUCCAAAGUAGACUCAUGGUACUUUUUUGGAGAAUUUUUGAAUUCAAUCUUAAUGAGAUGUCCCCAGCCAUCAUCAAUUUGCAAGUGCAUCUCCCUGGAAAUAAUGUGUGACUUAUUGAAAGAAUGAAAAUCUAAAAACUCUUCUCUAAUGGUUAAUCUUAUUGGAUUGUUAUUCUCAUCUUCUUGGUUCAUUUGCUAUUCACUUUAUGUCAUUUUAUGAAUAGUUUUCAGUUUUUCUUGUUUUGAGGGUUGCUAUAAAUGUACUACCACUUACAACUAUAUCCUGGAUGUUUUUUUUUUGGAAAGUGGUUUCAUGUCCCAAGAAUAUGCAAUGGAUGACAUUUUCUCUAUUAAAUAUGAUGUUUUUAGUUUUGGAAUUCUAGUCACUUGUGACCCUUUGUCUUACCUUGGGUGUAAUAAUUAAACUUUAACCCACAAUUAAGAUUAUAUGAAACAUUAACAACAAUUUUAAAAAGGCAUAAUUGGAAUAACAAAAUUUCUAGUCACUUGUGGCCCUUUGUCUUACCUGGGUACAAUAAUUAAACUUUAACCCACAAUUAAGAUUAAAUGAAGCCUUAACAACAAAUUUAAAAGGGCAUAAUUGGAAUAACAGAAAUUAUGAUCAAAAUACUGCUUACACUCACACUCCAAAGUAGACUCAUGGUACUUUUUAUACACUACCACUUACAACUAUAUCCUAGAUGCUAUUUUUUUUUUGGGCAGUGGUUUCAUGUCCCGAGAAUAUGCAAUGGAUGACAUCUUCUCUAUUAAAUAUGAUGUUUUUAGUUUUGGAGUUCUAGUCACUUGUAACCCUUUGUCUUACCUUAGACACAAUAAUUAAACUUUAACCCAUAAUUAAAUUAUAUGAAGCCUUAACAACAAAUUUAAAAGGGCAUAAUUGAAAUAACAGAAGUUCUAGUCAGUUGUGACCCUUUGUCUUGCCUUAGAUGCAAUAAUUAAACUUUAAUCCACAAUUAAGAUUAAAUGAAGCCUUAAUAACAAAUUUAAAAGGGCAUAAUUGGAAUAACAGAAACUAAGAUCAAAAUACUGCUUACGCUCGCACUCCAAAAUAGACUCAUGGUACUUUUUUGGAGAAUUUUUGAAUUCAAUCUUAAUGCGAUGUCCCCAGCCGUCAUCAAUUUGCAAGUGCAUCUCCCUAGAAAUAAUGUGUGACUUAUUGAAAGAAUCAAAAUCUAAAAAAUCUUCUCCUAUAGUUAAUCUUAUUGGAUUGUUAUUCUCAUCUUCUUGGUUCAUUUGCUAUUUAGUUAUGUCAUUUUAUGAAUAGUUUUCAGUUUUUUCAGUUUUUGUUGUUUUGAGGGUUGCUAUUAAUGCACUACCACUUACAACUAUAUCCUGGAUGCUAUUUUUUUUUUUGGAAAGUGGUUUUAUGUCCCGAGAAUAUGCAAUGGAUGACAUUUUCUCUAUUAAAUAUGAUGUUUUUAGUUUUGGAGUUCUAGUCACUUGUGACCCUUUGUCUUACCUUGGGUGCAAUAAUUAAACUUUAAUCCACAAUUAAGAUUAUAUGAAACCUUAACAACAAAUUAAAAAGGGCAUAAUUGGAAUAACAAAAUUUCUAGUCACUUGUGUCCCUUUGUCUUACCUUGGGUGCAAUAAUUAAACUUUAAUCCACAAUUAAGAUUAUAUGAAACCUUAACAACAAAUUAAAAAGGGCAUAAUUGGAAUACCUAGGUACAAUAAUUAAACUUUAACCCACAAUUAAGAUUAAAUGAAGCUUUAACAACAAAUUUAAAAGGGCAUAAUUAGAAUAACAAAAUUUUUAGUCACUUGUGACCCUUUGUCUUACUUGAGUACAAUAAUUAAAGUAUAUCCUAGAUGCUAUUUUUUUUGGGCAGUGGUUUCAUGUCCCGAGAAUAUGCAAUGGAUGACAUCUUCUCUAUUAAAUAUGAUGUUUUUAGUUUUGGAGUUCUAGUCACUUGUAACCCUUUGUCUUACCUUAGGCACAAUAAUUAAACUUUAACUCAUAAUUAAAUUAUAUGAAGCCUUAACAACAAUUUAAAAGGACACAAUUGAAAUAACAGAAGUUCUAGUCAGUUGUGACCCUUUGUCUUGCCUUGGGUGCAAUAAUUAAACUUUAAUCCACAAUUAAGAUUAAAUGAAGCCUUAAUAACAAAUUUAAAAGGGCAUAAUUGAAAUAACAGAAAUUAAGAUCAAAAUGCUGAUUACACCCGCACUCCAAAGUGGACUCAUUGUACUUUUUAUAUAAUAAUGAUAAUGAUAAUGAUAAUGAUUUAAAUGUGUUAAAGACAUCAAUCCAAGUACCGUAUGCACUAGUUCAAGAGAAUUUUAGGAGACCCAUAUCUAAUUUGAGAGGAGUUUUGGUUAAGUAUCAAACGAAAAGAGCAAAUUAUGAACCUUUGGAUCGUCAAGCAAUUUGAAUUAUUUAGUCUGUUUUGUAUUUUUAGUUUUAAGUGCCUUUUAGCCUUGGAAUUAUAUCCUAGGAUUUCGCACUCUUUCUUUUAUAUUCUUUUUUUGUUAUAAUAAAUUUGUUAUCCUUUUACCCAUAGAUUAAAUUUGCUAUCCCUUUAUUAACUAUAUAGACUAAGGGCGGAAGCCUGGUGUACACGUGGACGUGGUCGUCCUCCGCGUGGCGACUGGGGAUUCGUUUGUUUGCUGCUGGCGUGGAGCGGCUGCGUUGUUUAUUUCCCCCCCCCCGGCUGUUUUCUUCUUUUCUUUUUUUCUUCUUGCUCGGUGGGAGGCUGGCUGAGGUCGUGGGUCACUUCUCUGCCACUUGCUCAGUCUCCUGUGUACCAACUCCACCAAGCUGAAGCUUUUCCUCCUUGUGCGGUAUUCUUUGCAGCUCAAGUUUUACCCUCAAGUUUUACCCUCAACUCAAGUUUCACCUUGUACGACCCGUCUUUCGUUGGCCCUAUUUGCCUGCAUCCGUUAGGUUGGCUCCGUCAGGUGGUCGUUGCAUCUCUCUUCUUCCUUUUUCGUUGCCACUGUUUAGCUCUGUUGUGGCCUUCUGGAGUUGCUGUCUUGAGCUUGCCACGUGCUCCAGCUGCUCCCACUCCCAACUUGCUGUUUGCCUUCCACUCUUGUACGCCUUCCCGCUCCGCUGCCCCGUCUUUCAUUUUGUACUGUUUUCCUGCUCCUCAGUCCUGUCUCCAUCUACUCCAUCCUGCCUCCAUCCUGCAUCCAUCUUCCCCCACUUACUUCUUCACCCACUUCCGCUUUCCCCUCACACAAAACUGUUCCUUUAGCUAUCUUGCACGCCUUCUCCCACCUGCUCUGACCUCUUCCAACCUGACCUAUUAGUUGACUGCCAUCAUGAACCAUGGUGCUUCUCCUCUUGCCUGCUCGUCGAAGGCCGCUAUUUGCCCUUUUGUUCCUGUUUUGGUGUUGUUGCUGCUCCUUGCCAUUGCCCUCUUUGCUGCACCAGGUUAUCUCCGCUGCUCUUUCGUUGCUCAGCUUCCACUCCCCCCCCACCCCCGCCCCGCCGCCGUCCCCCUCCCUCUCCCUCUCCCUCUGUCUCCCCGUGUUGUCCAUUAUAAUUCCGGGCUGCCUCUGCUGCUUACACCCCUUUGCUUGCCAAUAUUUGGGCUCGGUCUUUCCCCCAUACCGUUAAUACCUCCUCCCAGGCCUACGAUUGUCCUCGGAUUGCCGCUGAACAAAACCCCCGUCUUGCCUAGCAUUUUGUUGCCGGCACUGUGUUGUUCCCAGCUUUUGUUCUCUUUUCCCCCUGGACUGCGUUUAGUGCGCUGCUCGUGUGUUCCUUUUUGGUCCCUUUCCUUUCAGUUUAUUCGCAGCUCUUUGUGCUUCUUAUAAUUGCUUCCCUUUUGUUAUGUUCCCUGCUUUCCGCUAUUUUCUUAACCUUUAUGUCGCUUUUGCUUAUGCAGGCCAACUUCGGCUCGCCCCUCUACCGUGUCCUCUCUUAGCCUCCGUUUACUGCUUAAGGUAUUUUGUCUUCUGCUUGCUUUCAUAUCAUGCUGGUGUGCUUUCAUAUUUACUCUUUCAGUUGCCUCGCUCGAUUACAUGCUCUGCUUGUUAACAUAUAUAGUCUAUGUGCGAAUGCCAGGGUUCUCAAUUGAGUUUUAAUUGCUGACUUGGCAUCUCCUUAUUGGUGAAUUGAUGGUAGUUCCCCCGAUCAAUUGAGAUGAUGGAUUCAAUUGAGGACAAAAUUGAGAUUUCGCCUCCUUAUUGGAUGGACAGAGUUGCUGAGAAUUCAUUUACGCCGCUCACCGUGUCUCUUCUUCUUCGAAGCUAUUUUCUCUCUUUCUUCUCUGGUUCCUUCUCCCUUGCUUCUCCUUUAAUUAAACAUUAAACAACAGUGCAAGACAAAUCAGAGGUCAUACAUUGGUCUUCUUCUUGCAGGUUAAAGGGUAUUUUCCUUUCUCUUUCUCUCUUAAUUAGCCUAAUUUUCAUUUUUAAUUUUUUUACAACCUUUCUCUAUACAGCCUUUAUUUUUUCCUUUUAUUAAAGUAGUUAUUUACGAUCUAUUUUGUUGCUAUCGUUUUCUUUUCUAUUGUUUGGAUCUGUAGGUUUCCAUGGUACUGGUUUCAUUUUCUUGCUGAAGUAUUUCUAUCUAUUUUAUGCCUAAUUUCUUCUUUCUUUUUUGCCAUAAUUAUUUUGUUAUUUUGCAGGUUUUUGUCGAAAUUUUCUUUGACUACUCACUUUUCUUGACUGGUUGCAACCAUUAUCAGUAUCACAAGUUUUAUUUUCGGACCUUUAUUUUCUCUUUUAUUUUUUCUCUGAGAUACGUUACAAAUGGCUUGUAGAUCUACUAGAUUUUAUUCUGUUCUCCGGAGGUGUCGUCUGCUCUUUUAUUUUCUUAAAUUUUUUUAGAACUUUAAAAAAAACUCAGUCUCUACGCAUUUGGACCCAUUUGGAAUAUUUCCUUUUUCUUUCUUAUUCUUGAGCAUCUGCUGAGUUGUUACGAGAGAAUAGAUGUUGAAAAAAUUAGUUGAGCCGUAGUGUUUUUGCGCUAUAAACAAUCUUUGAUCUAAUUUAAUCAAUUUUGCUUAAGUUUUUGUCGGUGAAUUAAUCCGGAGAAAGGAAUGAGUAGGAACCUUUUUUUUAACCCCUGGAGUAAGGUAAAUUACUCCAAAUUUAGUGCAUAGUGUCUGGUUAUUUCUUGUUUUGAGUCUUUUCCUGCCAUUGUUGGGAUUUUUUUGGUCUCUUGUUUUUGUAUCCAUGAUGGCUUUAUGUUCAAUUCUGCUUAAUUAGACUGAAACUGCUGUAAUGGCUGGACUAAUUUUAUCAGCGUUGACUUGAAAAUAGUACUUUUCUUGAUAGGACUUAUCAAUAUCUAUCUUAUGAAUCUAAGUUGUACAAACUAACCAAUUGCUUUUUACCUAGGGGCAGUUUUUGCUUAAUACGACUAAUAUAAAUGGUUUUGAUGCUUGUAGGUAGUAAAACAUUUGCCAAAGAAGAAGUCCCAAAUAUUAGAUUUUUUGUACAGGCUAGAAGCGGUAAGUAAAUUGCCAUUUUUCUUAGAAAUACUAAAUUAUGCAUUUAUUCUUGGCUACUUGUUCGUCUUUAUGAAAUCAUUCAACUUUUUGAAAUCAAUUGAAGGAAUAACUGGAAGAUGCUAUUGAUGCUUAGUGUAUGUGUUUUGGUGUUUGUGUGUGUGUGUGUAUUUGAAAUUUCUUUGACUUUGUAUACCAUAAAUUUGGUUUUCCAUCAGAUAACAUGUUCUCUAAGAUUGCAUAUUUAACCAAUCUAAUCAUUUCAAGCCAAAUGACCAAUUUUCUUGUUAUGGGGAGUGUAUUAUAUAAUUUAGAGAUGAUAUGCAGGCACAAAAGUUAUUUGGCAGCAGAUGGACUAAAAUUGCAAGAGUUUAGGCAGUUAAAAAUAGUUGUUAAACACAGAAAAUGAUCUGUUAAUAUUUUUCUUACAUAUUGCAAGAGUAGUCAUAUUUUGUACUUUGUCCUUUAUUAUUAGUUUCAUCGUUGUAUUAUUUUUUAAAAUUAUUUAUAUAUCAUUCCAAUUUUUUUUAAAAUCAGUAGAAUUCUAGAAUCACUGGAACUUGGUUGAGGUCAAAAAGGAGUUGAGUGGUCAUCAAUGUAUCAAAAUUCUCAUGUUUUUGGUGUUUUUGCUUCUUAUUCUCAAAUUCAGUGGUGACAUUGGCUUUAAAAAUUUACAUCUCUUUCUUCUUCUUGAAUAAUGUAUUAAAUUAUGUGAAUAAUGUAUUUUCUGGUUUGACAAGUGCAAAUAUAGCAGAUCAUUUGUUCUCUCUUUUUGAGAACCAUUGACCAUUUUCCAAAAUGGUAACUCUAUAUAAUUGGAAAAUAUUAUUGUUUAUAAUUUUGUUGGUAUGGUCAUUAAGAAACAAACAGUAAAUUAAGGUUUUUAUGCCGACGCUCUUAUAUCUUUUAACAUUCUGUUCCCAGGUAAAACCAUUUUAUGGAUUGCAUUGUAUUGACAUAAAGAGGUAUCGAAGACUGCUACUUUUGCUUAAUGUUGAAUUUUGCAUACAAGUUCCGUGAAGGUAAGAUGCUCUAUCAACUCAGUGUGAAGUCUUGCCGCAAAAGAAAUUUUUUUUUAUUUUGUAUCUGGGUUGGUUUCCCCAUAUAGGGAGGGUGAUAGAACUUUCAAAAUUGAAUUUGAGGUGAGAAAUGGGGCUGGCAAUAGUUGGAAUUUGACGAACUAUUGUUCAGUAUAGCAUUGAUUAGGACCUAGCAUUUUGUUCGAAUAUUAUGGAUUGGGCUGAAAUUUGACUAUAGUUUCACUAUAGCAUUUAUUAGGACCUAGCAUUUUAUUCGAAUAUUAGCAACCAAAAGAAAAUUUUCUUAAAAAUGGUUCAUUUUGGUAUGCAUUCCAGAUUACAUCAGCUCCUUUCUUAAAGUUUGCGUUUCAGAUUACAUCAGCUUGAAAUGUUUAGAGUCGAUUCAUUGUAAGUUGACAACAUAAAAUGGUUCACCUCAUAAGGCCUUCAAUAUUAAAUCUGCAACAUUAUACUUUUAAGUGGUAUACCCUCAUAUAAUCCACGGGAGUUUCAACUUUCUAUUUGACUGGUUGUUUGACAGGUCGUCAGCCUGUGCAAUAAUAAAAACCUGCUCAGCUAAACUUAAUUUCUGUAGAUAGUGGUAAGCAGGGUCGAAUCCACAGGGACUGGGAGUAAUUAUUUCUUUUCAAGUUCACAGUGACAAAGGGGGGUGUUUUUAUCUCAGGGGUAACAAUUUAAGCAAUCCAACUAAAAGUAAAAUAAUAAAAAUAAAAUAGCCAACUAGAAAUUAAAUAACAAUUUACUAAAAUCAAAUGAAUGAUAAUUAAGGAUCUAGCCAAGGAAUAACUUCAGCAAUGGUUCACCUAGUUGAUCAUUGAAGCAAAGGCAAUUCCAAUUAUUCAUCAAUAAAUAGGUUAUAACUACCAAACAAGCGAUGGCAGUCAACCCCUCCUUACUGUGUCGGUGAUCAAGGUACGUCCGUUAAUCACUGCUCUAAUUGAGAAAUAAUCCUAGGUACGCCCAUAGAAUUUAAUUCCCCAAUUGCCUUACGUAUUAGAGGAGCCCUAUUCUAACCAAAUAACGCACUACCAGGGUUAUUUUAGAUUAGCCCGCGUAUUCCCCUGACACAAACCUAAUCAUGCCAGUUGCCACUAUUUUAGAGCAAUUAAACAAUUACGGAUUUAAUGCCCUAAUUGACAAUAGAUUAUCCAAUUAACUAAUUAUCUGGAUCCAAGACAAUCAAUUAAUUAAAUAACCAUAAGCAUAGCAACCAAGAAAUAUGCGGAUACCAAUAAAUAAAAGGAAAAGAUUAAAUUAAAACGAUCUCACAAUUUUUAGGCAAACCAGAGCCUCAGUUGUCCCUUGACUAGACAAAGGGGUUUAGCUCAUUGCUGAUGAGGAAAACCCAUGUAAAAUCAAAGCAUCAGUCGCGGCCAUAGUAUAGAAAUUUAGGAAACUUCAAUUCAAUCGAAGGAAUAAAGCAAAGUAAGGUUACAAAGGAUGAUUUUGUCUUCAAUGCUCCUGACUCACGUAGGAGGUAGCCACAAAAGAUUCCAAGGAAAAGUCAAAAGCUUUCCACUACAAGACGAAGGAGACCAAACGGUCAAAGGAAAAGCUAAACUAUAAAAAUGGAAAAAACUAAGAGGGAAGCCAGCUCCCUACUGUGCGGCGGCUCCCCCAGGGGGAGGAAGAAGACUCCCACUUCAGCCCUUCGUUCCUCCUUUUAAUGCUGCGCUCUGCGAAUUACCAAAAAGGCCUUGUAUCUUCUUGUUCCAAAAAUGUCCUGAAUGCCUGCUACUUGAACUCUUUCCUGAUAACUGUCAAAUCGGCACUUAUUAUGGUAUUUUCGUUCUACUCCCUGAAAUAUAUGUAAAAUACUAAAAGUGAGUAGAAUCCAGCAAUUAAUUCACAUCGGGUCAGGUAAUAGGGAAAAUUAAUAAUAAAAUAAAUGAUAAAAUUACAACCUAUCAUUGUUUAAACAGUUAACGUCAACUUUGUUAGGGGAUUACAUUUUUAUCUUUUAUUAGAAAUAUGUUUUAAUUUGAGUUUUUGAAUUUCAAGUCAUCACAUACCCUUGUUCUUUCUUAUAAAAUGAUGAAAACCAGUUAGAUGACUCCAGUGUACUUGUUUUACAAUAUUGUCACAUUUUUCAAAUUUUCAAAUCGCUCCUAAGAUUCUUUUCAUUGAUCUUGUUUUAAAUAAUCACUUGUGAUAUGGUACUUCUGACAGAAUUACGGGCUGAAUUUCUAGGAUGAAGAGUGCGAAAGUUGAUUAACUACUUGAGAUGACUGCUUUUUCGCUUUUCUCCUAUACUGUCAUGAUCAAGACGCAAGAUAAUAUCUUUCCAACCACGAUCAGUGUGCAUUUGACAGUUUGAAUUUCUUUUUUUUUCUUAAUUCUUGCCUCGGUGAUGAUUAGUAAUCAUCCAAAAUUAUUUAUGUAUAAAUAUAUUUAUGGGAACAUCAACGAUUGUCUAGGGAUCAACUGGCCUCUUUACUUAUUCGAUAAUUCCUUUCUCAUAUUUUUUUUUCUAUGAUAGCGUUAUUGCGUUCAACUGAAUUGUGUUUUUCUUCAAUUAGGAAGUGUUUGGCUUCAACAAUUUAUCACAGUAUUAGAUGACAGCAUCCUUAAUUUUGUACAAUGCAAAGCUAUGGUUCCAACCUACCUUUUGUAAAUUUAUGGUUGAUUUUGAUACACAUACAAAGCUGUGGCUAUAAAGCACGUGCUCCGUCUCAUACCAUUGCAUCUUCUCAAACAACUACAGGUCUCUCUAGACAUCCACAAAUCACACUAUUUUUAUCUUUAAGAGUCAUGGUCAUAUGAGUUCUAUAUCUCAAGAUAUAGCUAUGUUAUUGGGAGAGCUCCCGAUAUUAAGGAUUCAACUCUAUUGAACAUAUUACACUACUAAUCAUCACCACUUUCAUGCCUACUAAUCAUCACUGCUUUUCCGUAUUGCACUAUUAAAUACAUUACAUUACUCAUUUUCCAAUCUUCUUAUUACUUUUCCUCAAAUUUUAAUUAUCAAUAUACUUAUUCAAAACAUAAUCCUGAAUUCAUCUUUAUUAUUUUAAUUCAUCAGGAUUACAAUAUUUCAAAAAUAUAUCGGACAUUAGUGGGCAUAAUUCCAUUCAUCCACCGCGCGAUGCGCGGUGAUCUCCUCCUAGUACCUAGAUAUAGGUCAAUUCGACUGAACCAUGUGCUUUAUUUGCUAUAUUAUUAUUUUUAUUGGGUUGCCAAAAAUCCUCUUACUUUUAUUGGUCAAUUGCUUGGAAUCAGACCCGACAAAUUCUGCAUGGAGUCUCGGGAAAAGGUACUUGCUUAUAAAUACUCUUGGUAGAUCAACUUGCGUUUCCUUUAUGUGAUUUUAUUCCCAUCACAAGACCUUUUGACCAGGAAUACCAAUAGUGUUUUCAGACCUGGAUUAUCUGACUAACUGGAUCUAAAAGAUGGAUCAAAACGACUUUCACACUCUUAGGUUCACAUUGCUCAAGUAAUGAUUUUAUUCUAAUAACUAAUUGAAACACAAAAUCAUUGCCAGCUAGACGUAACCAUGAUACACAAACAAGAAUAUGAUACUGCGCACCACUCUGUGGUUCAACUCAAUGGAAUCAAACAAUUCUGUAUUUGGUUUUUGGUGCUCGAAGUUCGGUCAGCCAAAAAAACCAGUCAUGUGAAAAGCAUAUGAUUUCGUGAACUGACCAAAUUACCAAUCUCUUGCUAUUUAUAAUCUCACCACGAAAGUUUUGAACCAUAACAAAAUAGUCAAUAUGAGCUCUCGAUAAUGUGCAUAUUAUGAGAACAUUAACAAAUUAACAGGUUCAUUAAUAAUUUUUCAUAUUCUUAGUAAGUAUUAUAAGGAGCCAAUAAAAAUCAAAGGUUAUAAUGAGCAAGUUGUUGAAACUAUUUAGACAAAAAAAAGUGUCAAAGAUAAACAAAUGAAAAUAGAGUCCUACUAAUUUUUAGCACUUCCCGAAAGAUAAUAAACAGCAUGCACUGGUUCAAUUUUCUAUGACCUGCUGACGCUAUAUAAGUCCAGGUUUUUUGGGUCAAUAAUUCAGCUACAAAAUUAUUCCUUAUGAAUAAAUAAUAUAUCUAGUUGUGAGUAUAUAUACUAGCAACAACGGAGGAAAUUUCCACAUCAUAAGAGUUUUAAGAAAAGGUCCCAAAUAGUCAAGGUUUUGGAAAAAAAAUUCAAUAAAUGUGAUUUCUAAACGAUACAGUCAUACGUUAUUUAAGUAAUAUCUACCUAUAUAAAUUGUAAAAAAAAAUUUAUAAAUGCAUCAUGUGAUAAAAAAAAAAGAUUGCAUUUCACUAAAUGCGCUUUCCACAGUUUGAGAAAAAGUUUAAAAAAAAAUAUUACCCUUUGAAAAUUUUUCUUAAAAUGUCUCACUUUUUUGGAAUUCAAAAUCCAGAAAGAGUUGAGCACUUGAUUAAACGUGUAUACUGUUGUAGCCUAAUUGGCUUGUCAAACAUUCUGACUGAAAAUAAGGAAAUAUAAAUGUUCUAGCAGAGGAAUUCAUUACUUUUUCACCUGUGAAAUUGUGAAAUUUCUUAUACUUUCCCUUUUUUUUUUCUGGGCAAAACUGUGAAAGUAAACUGUGAAAAGAAGCGCAAGUUGCUCGACAAAAGCGAAAACUUUAGCGAAUAAAAGUAGGAUUGAUUGACUUUUCACAUCUCAAAACAGAACCGGUGGAGUCCACAUAUUAAGAUGAAAUAAUGCCAGUGAGGAGCCCAAUAAUUCAGUAGCCCUCCACUGCUUCUGCAAUAGAAAGGAUAAAUAACUAUAUCCAGCCAAGAAUAGGUAUAAAGAAAGAUUUAUAUCAGCCAGAUGUGAAAUACUUUAUAUAUUUGCAACAAAUCUGCAAAGAAAAGGCCAAAUUAGCCCACCAGGUCCAGCACCAGCCCUCCCAACUGGGCAAUGACAGACCCUCUUUACCAGCCCUCCCAAUUGGACUGUGCACAAAUUCUCUCGACAACCUCGAUCUAACUUCUUCUGAGCUCCGAGCUUUCUAGUUUCUGAAAGAGAGAUAUGUACAACUUUUUUCAUCAUUCCUAGCCAUAUUCAUUGACUUACUUCAUCUCUAAAUUUAACUCAUCUUCCUUUCGUUAAAUGGCCUCCAGUUGUCUUACUUGCAUUUCAGCCAUCUUGGAUGAUCUGCAGUUGCUGGAGGAUCUGUGUCCUAAAACUCGAGUUUGGGAGGACGAGUUCACUGACUUGAGGACAGCAAAAAUAUUUCUAGGAACUUUCAGACCAUUUCUUCUAUCUGUGAGAAAGUGGGGCGAUGAUGAUGAUGCAAAUCUAGGAGCACUGGUUGCUAGGAUGAAAGAUUUCAUUUCCAAACUGGGGCAGGCGAUUCACGAGUUCUAUCUUACUAGUGUGGAAGAAGGAUAUCGUAUGGACCUUGCUAUAUAUUUCCUCGAUGGUCUAGAAGAAGAAGCGUCAUCUCUCGUAGAAGAAAUCGAGGAUUUAGACAGCUCAUCAAGGUUGUCUAGCAAGUCCCUGGUAAAGAAAGAUGACCUAAUGGAUGUCAUGAACUCUCUUCUGGAGAGCCUCCGGAACAUCGGCUUAAUAGAUGUCUUAGAAGAUGAUGAGAAGCUAACAUUCUGGAAAAACUUCAUCUGUUUUGUUACACUUCAUGGCAUCGAUGAUGGGCAAUUGGGACCUUUACUGACACACACCAAAUCUGUCGCUGUCAACGCAGCACUCAACUAUCUCAAGUGGAGCCUUUGCAAAUUCACGUUAAAAGGCGAUCCUGUUUGGAACCUGCUGCCGAAGAUCAUUCCUGUAGAACCUGAAGUGCAUAGGACUUGUUUCCAGGCCCUGAUUGCUUCAAAGAAAUCAAGACAACAAUACGAGAAAAAUGAUGAGCACAUAUUCAGAGUCUUCAUCGAUUCUCUCCUAAUCUAUCUUUGGGAGAUACUAAAGACUGGAGCUUGUGUUAUGAUGUCUUUGAAGGAUCGAUUGAAAAUGGUUUAUGAUGGGUUGAGGUCCUUGAGAAUCAUUCUCAAGGGGAACCCCGACGUGUUUGAUCAGAAAAUGAGAGAUCUUACUGGACUCCUCCUCUGUGAUUCAGGACUUGUUAUUUUUUCCCUUUCUCUCAACGAAAUUAAAGAUGGAUCAGUCAAGGAAAUGGAUCUGGAGUCUUUUCAUGAUUUCCUGAAAAGGAUAAAGCUUAUCAAGGCAAUAGUUGCAGAGAUAUAUCCAGAAACAUCACCAUCAUCCAAGUUUCCCAGGACUAAUGAGUUGGGAUUUAUCGAUUUUCUUCUAAAAUAUAUCGGAGAUUUGACAAAUCCUGAUGCUCGUUCAGUUGCUCUUUCAAACUAUCCAAUUCAAGCAAUCCAAGAAGAACUUGUUUACUUGCGCUCCUUCUUGGGAAGAAUUGUGGAAUUGCGCAAUGAAGAUCAGGAGCUUCAAGCACUUUGGGAUCGUGUUGUUGAGGUGGCAUACAAGAUAGAAUUUCUUAUCGACUCCUUGUUGGUUGGAGACAUUCUAGAUUCUUCUUCAACCUCAUUUGAUUCCGUUGAAGAAGAAAUUAAGAUUAUCAAAGCUGCGGCCUUGAACAUUUUUGAUAAAAAAACACUUGAUCUCAAUGUUAAGGAAGCUACCAAGAGACCAAAUAACAUGCCAUCACAGGGAAGCAUGCCAAUAAUCAAUGACAUGAUCGUGGGAUUGGAGGAUGAGGCAACCUCAAUAAUCAAUCGACUCACAAGAGGAUCCUCCCUUCUGCAAAUUGUCCCCAUUGUAGGUAUGCCAGGACUUGGCAAGACAACUUUAGCUAAAAAAGUUUACAAUAAUUCUUUAGUUACGUCGCAUUUUUAUAGACAUGCUUGGUGUACUGUCUCUCAAGUGUAUCACAGAAAAAAUCUGUUACUUGAAAUUUUGACUUGUAUUCACUCCAAACUUCCUGAGAAAUUUUCUGAGAUGUGUGAAGAAGAUUUGGCUGCAGAAGUCAGAAGAGGUCUGCUAAGGACUAGAUAUCUCAUUGUUUUGGAUGAUAUAUGGGACGCUGAAGCAUGGAAGGGAUUGGAAGCAUCAUUCCCUGACAAUCAAAACGGCAGUAGAGUGAUCGUGACAAGUCGAAAGUCUGAUAUUGCUACUUUGAGAGAUGAACUUGAUGAAGGGCCUCAUUUCCUCCGUCCGCUGACUCCUGAUGAGAGCCGGGACUUGCUAAACAUGAAGUUAUUUCCUGGAAAUGAUUUGCCUCCGCCAGAAUUAUGCGAACUGCAAAUGAAAAUCGUGGAAAUGUGUCGAGGACUGCCACUUACAAUCGUCAUUGUAGCUGGAAUUCUGGCAAAUGAGAACCAACGUCGUCGGAAAGAACUUGUGGACGGUUUAAGUUCAAGAAUCGUCUCUAGUACAGAACAAUGCUCUGCUGCAAUAGAGUUGAGUUACAAGAACCUACCAGAAAAUUUGAAGCCAUGCUUUCUAUACUUCGGAGCAUUUCCAGAAGACCAUGAACACACUGCUGAGAAGUUGAUUUGGUUAUGGGGCGCUGAAGGAUUUACCCAGAAAACUCAGUUCAAGAGUGCAGAGGAUGUGGCAAAUGAUUUCUUAAUGGAUCUUAUCCACAGAAGCUUGGUCAUUGUUUCCAAGAAAAGAUCCAUUGGCGGUGUCAAAGCUUGUCGCGUUCAUGAUUUGCUACAUGAGUUUUGUGUGACAAAAGGCAAAGAAGAAAAUUUUCUGCAGCUGGUGCGUGGGUAUGAUGAGAUAUAUACUUUCAGAGUGCCACGCAACCUACGCCGCCUAUGUAUCAACUCUAACCCAGAGCACUUUUGCAAGUCCAGGUUAUUUGCUCCCACAAUCCAUUCUCUAAUACACUCCGGUCGAGGUAAAAGGCACCGACGUUGUGGAUCAUCCAUUUUUGGUAUCUUCAAACUUGUUAGAGUGUUAGAAUUGAGCAACAUAAAUGUAGGUACUACUUUUCCUAGAGAACUAGAAUUACUGGUUCAAUUGAGGUACUUGGCAAUUCUAGGACAUAUGAGCUCAAUUCCAUCUUCUAUAGCCAAUCUCUUGCAUUUGGAGACUUUCAUUGUGGAAACAUUUGAUCGGACUGUUUUACUACCUGAUACUGUAUGGAAUCUGAAGAAGCUAAGGCACUUACAAAUAAAGGACAACUACAGUGUUAGUUCAUUUUUUUUACCCACAGACAAUCUUGACACAGCUGCAAUCUUGACAAUCUUGACAUACCUUCUCCGGUUUAUCUCUUUCUUCUUGGGCAAUCGUCCGCAAGGUAUUCAUUAAAAUUCCUAAUAUCCACAAGCUGAAAUGCAUUCUCGUUGCGGGUAGUGAACAUAAUUGGGUGUCAGCAGACAACAUUCUAGUACUUGACUUUCUAAGUGGCCUAGAAUCACUGAAUCUGAUGUUCAAUCAUUAUGCACGUCCUCCAAAUCCAUGCUAGUUUGAGUUUCAAUUCCCUUUGGCAAUUAGAAAGUUGACUCUAUCCAAUUUUCGUUUCCCUUGGAGCAAAAUUUCAGCGAUCGAAAAUCUUCCCAAUCUGGAGGUUCUCAAAUUACUUGAUCGAGCCUUCAAGGGGGAAAUAUGGAACAUGGAAAAAGAGGGCUUCCCUAAAGUAAGAUUCCUGAAAAUAGAUGACUUGGAUGUUGGCAAGUGGACUGCCUACGAGGGCGUGGACUGUUUUCCAAGUCUACAGAAACUAGCAUUGAUAAGCUGUCGCUCUUUAAAGGAGAUCCCUUCUUGUUUGGGGAGUUCGACUCUUGAAAUUAUUGAGGUGUCUCAUUGUCCCUUCUCUGCAAGUUUUAUAGAGCCACUUCAGGAAGAACAAAUGGACUUAGGAAAUACUGAUCUGAAGAUCCUUAUUUCAUAAGGUGGACUACUAAUCUUCUCAAGUAUCUUUGGUUUGGGCAGCCACUUUUACUCCUUUUACCUGUUUUUUUUUUCCUAGUCCUUUACUUCUGUACUGCUACUGGCUUUGCUGUAUCAGUGUAGCAUCAAGAUCAGUUAAUUAGGUUGCUUUAAUGUUUCCUAUCCUGUCUCAAGCUGUGUGGUGGAAUCAUUCCCAGGAAUCGUGUUGUUUUUGAAGAUUGAAAUGAAUGAAGCAGCUAUCUUUUUUCCCCCCUAAGAUUUUAGUUAUGGUUCCAAGAGUGUUUCACGCAUUCUGUAAGUUAAUACUACUGCUUAGCUACAUAAUGUUACAAAUUUAUUGCCUUUCCACGCCAUUAGUAAUUUGUUUCGAAUGCCAAGUCAUCAAAUCAGGAUAAGAAGAAUCACUAAUGUUGUCUAGCACCCUAGCCCAAAGGCCAAUAACUUUUAUUUGCUUUGUUAUUGUUUUUAUUGAAUUACUAAGAACCCUAUUGUUCUUGUUGGUCACUUUUCUGAAAUUAGACCUAACAAACUAGUAUUAGAGUUUCAGAUUUUGGGUGCGGCAAUGAUGACGAUAAUAGACUAUCAAUAUCAAUUCCGAAACAUUAAUUUAAAGCUAUAGAGAGUAAAGAAAAAUCUCGCGUUGGAGUUCAGUUGAGUUUUGAAGAGAGUUAUUUGACCCAUUGAAACCCACUGAGGAUUUUAUGAAAAAAGUGGAGCAAGAUUACUACGUUCGAUAUUUUAACUCAUUGUGAUCUAUUGAACCUUUUGUAAAUUUUGACCCAUUGGGACCGGUUGAACUUUUUACAUCUUGGCUCGUUGGUGGGUCUUUGAGGUCUGUUAGCACUUUUGUGGUUCAUUGGGAUUCGUUAGGACUUUAUGGAGAUGGUGAAACAUGUUUGCUAUUUAUCGAUAUGAGAUACACACCAAGAUAGAGAUUUGUUGAGUUUGUUAUUGUAUCCCACAUGGAAAGUUUUAUAAAUAAAUCUCUCUUUUUAGUGAUUAUAAAUACAAUGGAUUUAAGUGAAUUUAAAUAUGUUAAGGGCAGCUGUGCAAGUGUCUUAUGCACUAAUCCAAAAGAGUUUUAGGAAACCGACACUCCAAUCUAAGAGGAGUUUUGGUUAGGUAUCAAACCAAGAGAGUAAAUUAUAAAUCUUUUGGACCCGUCAAGCAUUUUGUAUUAUUUAGUCUCUUUUAUGUUUCUGGACUGUUAAGCAUUUUAUAUUAUUUAGUCUCUUCUUUAUUUUCAAUUUUAGGUGACUUUUAACCUUGGAAUUAUUUCCUAUGAUUUCGUAUUUUCUUUUUUAUACUCUCUUUUAUUAUAAUAAAUCUGCUACUCUUUCGUCCGUGAAUUAAAUCUGCUGUCCCUUUACCCGUGAAUUUAAGUCAAUUCGACCAAACCACGCGUUUUAUUUGUCUUAUUAUUAUCUUUAUUGAAUUUUCAAGAAUUCUUUCAUUUUCAUUGGUCAAUUUCUUGGAACCAAACCUAACAAAUUCUGCUUGGUGUCUUGGAACCAAAACACCAAAACUUGCUUUUCUUUUUUGUGCACUUGCUUAUAAAUACUCUUUGGUAGAUCAACUCGCGUUUCUUUUUUGUACUUUUAUUCCCAUCGCAAGAACUUUUGACCAGGAAUACCAGAAGUGUUUUCCGACCAGGAUCAUCUAACUGACUGACUAACUGGAUCUAAAAGAUGGACCAAAACGACUUUCACAGUCUUAGGUUCACACUGCUCGCGUCAUGAUUUUAUUCUAAUAACUAAUUGAAACACAAAAUCAUUGCCAGCCAGACGUAACCAUGAUACACAAACAAGACUAUGAUACUGCGCACUACUCUGUGGGUUCAAUUCAAUAGUGCUCGAAGUUCGGUCAGCCAAAAAAACCAAGUCAUGUGAAAAGCAUAUGAUUUCGUGAACUGACCAAAUUACCAAUCUCUUGCUAUUUAUAUAAUCUCACCAUGAAAGUUUUGAACGACAAUAAAAUAGUCAAUAUAUAUGAGCUCUCGACAAUGUGCAUAGUAUGAAAACAUUAACAAAUUAACCUGCUGACUCUAUAUAAGAUCAGCUUUUUGGGUCAAUAAUUCAGCUACAAAAUUAUUCCUUAUGAAUAAAUAAUAUAUCUACUUGUGAGUAUAUAUACUCGCAACUAUGGAGGAAAUUUCCAAAUCAUGAGAGUUUUAAGAAAGGGUCCCAAAUAGUCAAGGUUUUGAAAAAAAAAUUCAAUAAAUAUGAUUUCUAAACGAUGCAUUCGUACGUUAUUUAAGUAAUAUCUGCGUACCUAUACAAAUAGUAAAAAAUUUUUAUAAAUGCAUCAUGUGAAAGAAAAAAAAAUGGAUUUCACUUAUUGCGCUUUUCACAAUUUGAGAAAAAGUUAAAAAGAAUAUUACCCUUUGAAAAUUUUUCUUAAAAUGUCGCACUUUUGGGAAUUCAAUAUCCAGAAAGAGUUGAGCACUUGAUUAAACGUGUAAUUGUUGUAGCCUAAUAAGCUCGUCAAACAUUACUGACUGAAAAUAAGGAAAUAUAAAUAUUCAUUACUUUUUCACCUGUGAAAUUUCUUAUACUUUCGUUUUUUUUUUGGGGUAAAACAGUGAAAGAAAGCUUGGGAGCAAGUUGCUCGACAAAAGCGAAAACUUUAGCGAAUAAAAGUAGGAUUGAUUGACUUUUCACAUCUCUCAAAACAGAAUCGGUGGAGUCCCAGUUGUACAGCCAGUUGCAACAAAGUUUCUGCAAAGAAAACGCCAAAUUAUCCCCCCCAGGUCCAGCACCAGCCUUCCCAACUGGGCAAUGACAGACCCUCUUUACCAGCUCUCCCAAUUGGACUGUCACAAAUUCUCUCGAUCUAACUACUUCUGAGCUCAGAGCUUUCCUAGUUUCUGAAAGAGAGAUCUGUACAACUUUUUUCAUCAUUCCUAGCUGCAGAGGCCCCGUUCUGGGCCCGGACACGUGGCAGCCCAGGAAUAGCCGAGCUGGGCCUUGGCCCUCAGACCCCUGGCAGCAGCCCUGGGCUGCACCGACUAGGGCUCCCAGAGGAGGCGAGGGUCCAUCCCGAAGAGGUCGGGGAUAAUCCCCCUGAGUGCGGGAUACCGACUAUUCCGGGCAAGUCCCGAAACGUACGGAGGUCGGGCUCCCCCACAGGUAUAAAUAAUAGCAGACAUCAACUGUACAAGGUACGCUCACUAUUGGCAAUUCACCCCCGACCGUCAAUACCUCCCGUGAACCCAUACUCACCGGAAAAUUAACUUGACCGUCGGAGUGCCCUCGGGGACUACCCUCGGGCCCCCUUUGUGAGAUCACCUUUGUUUGUUUUGCAGGCUUAGGAUCAGCUCUUCCAUCAGCACCCCGAGAUCAUCAGUUCAGCUCGGUCCGGGGAAGUUCCGUGCUUCUUCAGUUGGCGCCGUCUGUGGGAACCGUAAGGUAAGUGAGAUUGUGUUGAUGGCCAGGACGCGAUCCAAGCGCACGGUAGAGAGCACCGGCCCUGGGGGCGGUGAGGGGUCCCAGCGAAAGGAGGCUGAGGCGUCUCGGGGCGCCGGGGGAUCAGCCCUUUCAGGGGACCGGAGGCAGCAGAUCUUUCAGUUCGUGACAGAGAAUCUCCCCAUGCUGGAAGAUAUAAUCCGACAGGCGAAGGAGGGAGAUGGGGCUAGGGGUGCGCAGGCCUCCAAGGCCAAGGGGAAGGAGAAGGAGUCACCCCCUGACCCUUCGGAGGAGGAGUCACGAGACCAGCCCCCUAGGAGGAAACGACCUCGGACUCCACCUCGCCCGCGAGCCUCGGAGGUCGGAGACAGCGAGAGGUAUUCUCGCGGCCGGUCCGCGAGGAGCCGUCCCAGAGACUCCUCCCCACGGAAGUCCACAAGGAAUGGGUUCGAGCGUUCCCCUGCUCGGUCCGUCAAGGGCCGACCCCGCGACCCCCUUUAUCUGGAACCUGCCCGGGAUGAGCUCGAGCAGAUCUUGAGGCCACGGCCGUACGAGGACAACUACGCAACCUCGCCCUUUACCCGGGGGAUAGAGGACUACCCGCUAUCCCGGAGGUUUAAGAUUCCGAGCAUCGAGAUGUACGAUGCCUCUACAGACCCGGAAGACCACCUUUCGGUCUUCCUGACACAUAUGCGUCUGCAAACCGCCGCGGACGAAAUCCGCUGCAAAACUUUCCCUAUGUUCCUGAAGGGGAAAGCUUGGCUCUGGUUCCAAGGCCUGAAGCCGGGGUCUAUACGGAGUUUUCCCGAGCUGGCUCCGCAGUUUGCAGCUCAGUUCGUCUCCUCGAAGGUUUACGCGAGAAACGCAACCCACCUGAUGUCCAUCAGACAAAGGCCUGACAAGUCGCUGAGGAACUUCAUGACCCGCUUCAAUGCGGAGAGCUUGCAGGUCAAGGACAAAGACGAAAAGGUGGUAAUGGCCGCCUUCACAAACGGGCUCCGGGUAGAAGAGCUCUUCUACGAUCUGGCCAAGAAGCCUCCCGUAAGCCUGGAGGAGCUCCUACGCAGGGCGCACGAGGCCGCUAAUGCGGAGGAGGCAGGUCGCCUGAAGAAAGAAUCAGAUCGGGAGCUCGGAGAUCGGAAGGGUCGGACAAACCCUCCAGAGGGCAAGGACGCCCCGGCCAAGAAAAAUGUCUUCGACUGGCUCUCGAAGGAGAAGGCCCCUGCUCCGCUGCCUCUCCCAAAGAAGACCUACACCCCUCUGACACGGCCCAGAGCACAGAUCUUGGCUGUUAUGGAGGCGGAAGGGCUGGGAGAUCGGCCGCCCAAGAUGGGAACGCCCCGGAACAAGAGGAACCAGGACUAGUACUACGCCUUUCACCGCGACGUCGGACACAACACGGAGGGAUGUUGGGCCCUGCGUAAGGAGAUCGAGGACCUGAUCCAGCGAGCCUUUCUAGGGCGGUUCGUACGCCGACCAGGUGGGGAGCCCGGGCGCAACCACUACGGAGAUAGGAACGGGGGACAGCGUCGCGACCGCCCAGAGCGGCGUGACUCUCCUCGGAACCACUCCCCCGACCUGGACGGCCAGAACCUAGCGGGGGUGAUAAACACCAUCGCUGGGGGCCCCACGGGCGGAGACAGUCACACAGCUCGGAAGAACAAGCGACCUCCCCCCGAGGGGGACGACUCCUUGAAGCGUUUGCGCAUGGAUGAGGAGAUCACCUUUGGGCCGAGGGAUGCGGUCCCCCUAGCAUCCGGGAACCACGAGGCCAUAGUGAUAGACGUGGUCACCAACAAUUUCCGGGUGAAAAAAGUGUAUGUCGACCAGGGUAGCGCGGUCGACAUUAUGUUCUAUCGGGUGUUCAAGGAGCUCGGGUUGAAGGACGACCAGUUGACCCCGGUCCGAACGCCACUGGUGGGCUUCACCGGACCACCCAUUCAUCCGGAGGGAAUGAUCUCCCUGAUGGUCACGGUAGGGCAGGCCCCCAAAUGCCGGACUAUCCCUGUCAAUUUCGUGGUGGUCAGGCAGCGAUCUUCGUACAACAUGUUUCUGGGUCGGCCAGCUCUGAACGCCCUCCGAGCUAUCCCAUCCACCCUCCACCUGAGUGUUAAGUUCCCCACUCCAGGAGGGAUAGCCGAGGUGCACGGUGAUCCAGAAGUGGCCAGAGCUUGCUACUUGGCCACGCUCCGUGGGCAGGAGAAAGUGGUCGCCCAGACGACCUGUUUGGAGCCCUACAUCCCGGGGGACGAGGCCCAGCAGGUGGGCACGCAGGACGAGAUUGAAAAAUUUCCCUUGAGGGAAGACCGACCAGACCAGGUGAUCCGCAUGGGCGCGCUGCUGCCCCCCGAGGAGAAGGAAAGCUUGAAAGCCCUGUUGAGGAAGUACUCCCAGGUCUUCGCAUGGACGAAGGAGGACAUGCCCGGGAUUCCAACGGACCUGGCAGUCCACCACCUCGAUGUGGAUCCUCACUUCAAGCCGGUGAAGAAGAAGAAAAGGAGUUUCGCCCCCGAGAGGAAUGAGGUAAUCAAAGCGGAGGUCGGCAAGUUGCUGGAAUCCAAGAUCAUCCUGGAGGUCUACUACCCGACCUGGUUGGCCAAUCCCAUCCUGGUCAAGAAGGAGGACCAGACCUGGAGGAUGUGCGUAGACUUCACGGACCUUAACAAAGCUUGCCCGAAGGACUGUUUUCCCCUGCCAAGGAUCGACAGGUUAGUAGACUCUACUGUGGGUUUUGACGUUUUAUGCUUUCUGGAUGCCUUCAAGGGAUACCACCAGAUAGAGAUGGCUGAAGAGGAUCGAAAUAAGACCUCCUUCAUCACCGAGGAGGGAACCUACUGCUACAGGACCAUGCCGUUCGGGUUGAAGAACGCGGGAGCUACGUACCAGCGCCUGGUCAACAAACUAUUCCAAAACCAGAUCGACAGAAACAUGGAGGUCUAUGUGGACGACAUGAUCGUCAAAAGCCGAACUGACCAGCGGCUCAUACCCGACCUAAGGGAGAUCCUGGAUAUCCUACAGGAGAGCCGGAUGCGCUUAAAUCCGAAGAAGUGCACCUUUGGGGUCAGGUCGGGAAGGUUUCUCGGUUUCCUGGUGUCCCGAGAGGGGAUCCGGGCCAACCCGGAUAAACUCCAGGCCAUCAUGGACAUGGCCCCUCCGAGGAACGUGAAGGAAGUCCAACGGCUCACCGGGAGGAUGGCCGCCCUGAAUAGGUUCCUCUCGCGCUCCGCGGUCCGGGGGCUGCCCUUCUUCCGAGUCUUGAAAGCGCCUAAGGAUUUCCACUGGACAGAGGAGUGCCAGAAAGCCUUCACCGACCUGAAGGCCUAUCUGGCCGAGCUGCCUACUUUGACCGCCCCGGAGCUAGGAGAGACUCUGUUCCUUUACCUAUCCGCCUGCGACGAGGCCGUCAACGCAGUCUUGGUGCGGGAGGACGGGGGGGUUCAGAGGCCUGUGUACUACGUCAGCCGCGCUCUACAAGGGCCAGAGACGAGGUACACGACGGCGGAGAAGCUGGUCCUUGCCUUGGUACACGCUGCUCGCAAGCUCCGCCCCUACUUCCAGGCCCACAGCAUUGUAAUCCUGACUGACCAGCCCCUGCGUCAGAUACUCACCAAACCGAAGUCUCGGGCAGGAUGACCAAGUUGGCCGUCGAGCUAGCAGAGCACGACAUCGGCUAUCAGCCUCGCAAGGCCAUCAAGGCCCAGGCCUUGGCAGACUUCCUUGCUGAGGGGGCUAGCUUGAGCUUAACCGAGCUGAGCCCCCUGCGCGAGGAGGCACAGCCGAAGGAGCCCUGGGUAUUGUUCGUAGACGGGGCCUCCAGCAAGGACGGAAGCGGGGCAGGACUGCUACUCAUUUCACCUACCGGGGAAGAGCUGACCUACGCCCUCCGAUUGGACUUCCCCACGUCCAACAACGAGGCCGAGUACGAGACCCUGCUCACAGGAUUGCGGAUAGCCCACCAGAUGGGAAUAACCGCGAUUCAGGUCAGGAGCGACUCACAGCUCGUCGUCCUUCAAGUCCUCGGGGAGUACGAAGCCAAGGACGAGGUUAUGAAGAAAUACCUGGCUAAGGUACGGGAGGCAGUGGCCUUGUUCGGAACAUUUGAAAUCGAGCGGGUGCUGAGGUCCCAGAACAAGCGUGCAGAUGCUCUUUCAAAGUUGGCGUCCUCCUCAUUUGCACAUCUGAGCAAGGAAGUCUUGGUAGAGGUGGUAAAACAGAAAAGUAUCGACCAGGUCCAGGUCCUGGUUAUAGACGGCUCGACCACCUGGAUGACACCCCUCAUUGACUUCCUCAGCUCGGGUACCCUCCCCGAGAGCAAAACCGAGGCCCGCCGAAUCCAGCUCAGAGCUGCCAAAUACGCCUACGCUGGGGGAACCCUCUAUAGGAGGUCAUACUUGUCCCCCUGGCUAAAGUGCGUGACCCCGGAGAAGGGCGACUACGUACUCCGGGAAGUCCAUGAAGGCCUAUGUGCGGCACAUGUAGGAUCUCGGGUACUGGCGAAAAAGUGUCUUCUUCUGGGCUACUAUUGGCCCUCCGCCUUCGGAGACGCCGCAGAGCUGGUACAGAAAUGCCGAGCUUGCCAGGUGCACGCCUCGCUGUGCCACCAGCCAGCUCGGGAAAUGAUCCCCAUUCACAGUCCCUGGCCUUUCGCCCAAUGGGGGAUAGACCUCCUAGGUCCCUUCCCCCGAGCCCCUGGCAGGUACGAGCACCUCGUGGUGGCCAUCGACUACUUCACAAAGUGGAUGGAGGCAGAGCCCCUGGUCUCUAUUUCGGGGAAGGCGAUUCAGAAGUUCAUUUGGAAGAAUAUAGUCUGUCGUUUCGGAAUUCCACAUGUUCUGAUAUCUGACAAUGGGCGCCAGUUCGCCGAAAACCCUUUCAAGGGCUGGUGCGCCGAGCUCGGGAUCAAUCAACACUUCACGUCGGUCGGCCAUCCCCAGGCUAACGGUCAGGUGGAGAACGCCAACCGAACCAUCUUGCAAGGGCUAAAAACUAGGCUAGAGUUGGCCCAGUCUAACUGGCUAGAGGAGCUCCCUAGUGUUCUCUGGGCCUAUCGCACCACGCCUAGGGCGGCUACUCACGAGACCCCGUUCUCCCUGACAUAUGGGGCGGAGGCAGUGGUCCCCGUGGAGAUCGGCCUCCCAUCCCCUCGGACCCAGAACUUCGUUGUGACAGCCAACGAAGAGGAGUUAAGGUGCAGCCUGGACAUGCUAGAAACUAAGCGGGAAGAGACAGCAAUUCGGAUGGCUAAGUACAAAAGCCAGCUCGCCCGCUACCACAACGCCCGAGUAAGGAGCAUACAGUUCCAGCCAGGAGACCUGGUCUUGCGAAAGAACUCGAUCAGCAGAGCUUACAGUUCCAACAAGCUCGACCCAAACUGGGAGGGCCCAUACCAGAUCCUUGAGGUGAGUCGAGCUGGCUACUGCAGGCUCGCCAAGAUGGAUGGGUCUGAGGUACCCCGUACAUGGCACUUCUCAAAUUUGCGGUUAUUCGUAGAGUAGAUUAGGCCAAGAUGUUUCACAUUCGGGAUGUAAGUUUCAGUUUCAUCAUUGAAUAAAAUGUGUAACUUUCCAGUUUCCAAUUCAUUAUUUGGCGUUUAAGUUCAUGUUUUAAACUAGCACACUCAGCGCUCCUUCACUAAGUGCCUUAGUGGGGGGCUGGGGUAAGUGAUGAUGUGAGGUCGGCACGUUUGAGCUGGGGAAGCUUGACGCGCUGCCCAGGACUCAUGAUAUGCUCGGCCCCAAGAGGUUGGCACGGCCUGAAUAUGGAAGUUCGGUGCUCGACCCAGGAGGUCGGCGUGACCGCCCGGGAGGGUCCGAUCCAAGAGGUUGGUCCAGAGGUUAAGGUUUGGUGCUCGGCCCCAAGAGGUCGGCACGGCCUGAAUUUGGAAGUUCGGGGCUCGACCCAAGAGGUCGGCAUGAACGCUUCGGUGCUCGACCCAGGAGGUCGGCAUGACCGCCCGGGAGGAUCCGAUCCAAGAGGUUGGUCCAGAAGUUGUUUGAUGCUCGGCCCCAAGAGGUCGGCGCGGCCUGAAUUGGGAAGUUCGGUGCUCGACCCAGGAGGUCGGCAUGAACGCUUCGGUGCUCUCCCCAGGAGGUCGGCAUUAACGCUUUUCAAAGUUCAAUUUCAACGCUCGACCCAAGAGGUCGGCAUGAACAAAGUGCCUCGAAAGGCGGAGGCAGGAAUACUUCCGGGCUAACCGAAGUGAGCACAGGACGGUAAGGUGAAAUAAUUUUCCUCAAAUUUUAUAUAUGAACUUAAAGCCUAUCUAUUACAAAGUUCCCAUGCCGCCUGUCUAUUACAAAGUUCCCAAGUCGCCCCUCCCCCCACAGGGCCCGCCAAGCCACAAGAGCAUUUUCAACUGGAGCAUGGUCACAUCCUUUUAAGCAGACGGAAAGGGUUCUGGAGGGGUCGCUGACCUAAACCACCGGCUCCUUCCCGGAGGCUCUGCCAGGAGACUCGUCCUCCUCCAGGGGAACCUCCGCUAGCUCUGCUCCAACGUCGGUUCGACUGACCAGGCUCUUCAGGGCAUGCCCCUUCCGGUACCCAUCAAAGAGCCAGUCCAGCCUAUCCUCGGCCGUAGGAUUGUAGUCCUUGAAGUCCGCCACGUUGAAGCCGGGGAGGUUGAGGCUCUGCACCUGGGUCAGGGCCCGCGUAGAGCCGACUUGGAGAAUGGGCUGGUUGAGGAGGGCGACGUCCACUUCGAACUGUUCGGAGGAGAUGAACUCCCGAACGGCCUUCUUCCGCUCCCGGCUGAUGGAGCCGGAGAGCUCGAUGGCAUGCUCCUCCUUCAGUUUAAUCACGCCAGCCUUCUCCUGGUCGAGCUCCGACCUGGUGGAGGCGAGCUGGACCUGAGCCGUAUCCAGCUCCUUUUCGGCCUUUCCCAGUUUGGCCUUGAGGGAAUCCGCAUCCUGGAGAGCCUGGGAGAGCCUCUUCUCCGUCUCCUGAUUCUUCUUCCGCAGCUUCUCCAAGUCGGGGGACAGCUCGGAGAAGCAGGUCACCAGAGCAGCACCAGCGGCGUUGGCCUGCGGAGGAGGGGAAACAGGUCAGCACGUCAUGAUACCCAACUAAAACAUAGGGGCAAAACUAACCCAUGGGCUAGAGAACUUACUUGGGCCUGGGCGGUGAAUUACAUGUCCUGGAGCUCGGCUGGGGCGGCGAGUUCCAUCCACCUCUUGUCCCGCGGGAGGACCGAGCCCACCAUCAGCUCCCGAGCUGCCUCUGGGAAUUGGGCCCGGUCAUUGAUGGACAACCCCCAAGGUGGACAGAAGUGGCGGGGGUCGUGCAUGGUAGGGGCCUGGCCCGCCUUCUUGGGAGGGAUGUGGCGGAAGUGCCACAAGCUCGGGGGAGGUGACUCUUGGGCGUGCUCUUCAGCGGAGCCAACGACCACGUGGACUGGGCCCCCGGAGGUCGCCAGGGGGAGCGGCUGCGGCGCGACCAGCGCGAGCUUCUUCUGCCCGGCCUGGGAGGGCUCGUCCCCUCUGCCCCUCUUCUGCCCGGCCGCCUUCUUCUUGUUGGCGACCUGCUUGGAGGGGGACAGCUGCGAUGCCUCUUUCUGGGGGGCUGAGCCGCUCCCCGGGGUGGAAACCCCUCCUGGGGCCCCCUGAGCAGUGUCAGCCUGGGAGGCGGAGGUGACCUCAAGAGGCACGCCCAGCAGCUGGGAGAGCUUCCUCACUGCAGCCAACACAACCAGAUAAGCAAAAGGCAGGGCAGUACAAGAAACCACAAUAUACUAUAAAUGCAACAGGGGCAAAGCCGGUGUUACAGGUGUCGAGUUCGGGCUUGGGGGUCACCACUUCCCCAGAGGAUCUGGACAACGUCCCUAUCAGCCCGGCUGCGGAGAUCUGCUCGGAGGAGAGCUUGGUGACGUCGUGCUUCACCUUGGAGCCCAGCAGCUGGCUGAGGGUAUCGUAGCCCAGGUCCUCCGGGUAGGAGUCGGCCUUGACCCCCCCAACCUUCCACACAUUUGGGGGAAAAUGUGUGGAUUUGACAAAGAAAAAGUCCUCCUUCCAAUCCUUCACGGAGGAGGGGAGUCCGUGGAACAACUCCUGGGCGCCUUUUCCCCCCUUGGUUUGGGGACCACGACGGGAAAAGUAGUACCAUCCCGGGAGGGCGGUCUUAAGAAUGAAGGCAGCUCGGAAGAGGGAGAGAGAGUAGGGGAUGUCGCAGAGAAGGCAGUAGGUCAGGAAUCCGGUGAUGAUCCGGAUGGAGGUGGGGUGAAGCUGGGUGAUUCUGAGCCCCCAGUGAUUCAGAAUCUCGGUUAGAGUUGAAUGAAUGGGGAGACGGAGCCCUGCGAUGAGCUGCUCCCUGUAGAUGGCUACGAAGCCGGGGGGAGGUCGGCAGGCUCGGUCGUCGGGCCCGGCCGCCCUCGGCUCGUAGGACGGAGGGAUGGAGUACGACUUGGCCAGCUCGGCCACGUCCUGGGGGGAUAGGAUGGCCUCCUGUAGGUCUGGAUAACCAUAGGAGAAUUCGGGGUCAUUCCCCGGCUCCGAAGCGGGGGUCCCCUCAGAGGGAUCCCUGCCCUCCCCAGCUCCGCCCUGGGCCCCGCCGGGGGAGUCGUGCGGAGACUGGGGAGAGGAGGUGGUCGCGGCCUCCCGCUCGAGGUAGGCGUCGAGCUCGGCCGCCUCCUCUAGAGCGCGGGCAGAAAAAGUAUGGGAUGAAGGGGAACUCAUAAUGACUGUGGGGUCGAGCAGGUCAGGGUUGGAAGCAGAAGAAGAGGAAGGAGGAGGAGGGGAAGGCGACGGCGAGGAUGAGGACGACGAUGAGGAAGAAAUGAAGAUUCUGGUGGCUCUGCGAUGGGCCGGAGACGGGGAUGCGGUGGAAGUAACGUCGGAAUGACCCGACAUAAAUAGCAGAAGGUGGCAGAAGGCAAAAGAGACUGCAGAAAGGGGAGAUGAAUCGCAAGAAGGGACUUACUGAUGAUAGUCAAGGCAGAAGAAGGAUGGAAGACUCGCCAGAAUCUGGGCACAGGACACCGGAAGCUGCCGGACAGUGGAAAUGCGAAUGCACAAGGAGAGUGGCAAUUCAAAAUGCACAAGAGGAAGCGAAAGUUGCAAAUGGAACAGAUGGGAGUGCGGCGGCCCCUAUUUAUGGGGGGAGGAGUGGGGGGAAAACGGUUGCGUGAAUUUGAACCGAUCCCCAUGUGAACGCAUUUAAUGCUGGUACGAAAACCGAAGAGGCGUGACAACUGAAAGGACGCGGGCACAGCGUCCCUGUGACAGCACUGUACCAGGGGUGGCCUCGGCAGAGUAGUGCGCGGCUCUGGCCUCCCACGUGGCGGAGGUAGAUUAGGUCUGCCUGACAGUCCUACCUAAUCUAGGGGGAUAGUGCAGAGGCCCCGUUCUGGCCCCGGACACGUGGCAGCCCAGGAAUAGCCGAGCUGGACCUUGGCCCUCAGACCCCUGGCAGCAGCCCUGGGCUGCACCGACUAGGGCUCCCAGAGGAGGCGAGGGUCCAUCCCGAAGAGGUCGGGGAUAAUCCCCCUGAGUGCGGGAUACCGACUAUUCCGGGCAAGUCCCGAAACGUACGGAGGUCGGGCUCCCCCACAGGUAUAAAUAAUAGCAGACAUCAACUGUAGAAGGUACGCUCACUAUUGGCAAUUCACCCCCGACCGUCAAUACCUCCCGUGAACCCAUACUCACCGGAAAACUAACUUGACCGUCGGAGUGCCCUCGGGGACUACCCUCGGGCCCCCUUUGUGAGAUCACCUUUAUUUGUUUUGCAGGCUUAGGAUCAGCUCUUCCAUCAGCACCCCGAGCUCAUCAGUUCAGCUCGGUCCGGGGAAGUUCCGUGCUUCUUCACUAGCCAUAUUCAUUAACUUACUUCAUCUCUAAAUUUAACUCAUCUUCCUUUCGUUAAAUGGCCUCCAGUUGUCUUACUUGCAUUUCAGCCAUCUUGGAUGAUCUGCAGUUGCUGGAGAAUCUGUGUCCCAAAACUCCAGAUUGGAAGGACGAGCUCUUUGACUUGAGGAGAGUAAAAAUAUCUCUAGGAACUUUCAGACCAUUUCUUCUAUCUGUGAGAAAGUGGGGCGCUGAUGAUGAUGCAAAUCUGGGAGCACUGUUUGCUAGGAUGAAAGAUUUCAUUUCCAAACUGGGACAGGCGAUUCACGAGUUCUAUCUCACUAGUGUGGAAGAUGGAUAUCAUAUGGAACUUGCGGCACAAAUCCACGAUGAUCUAAAAGAAGAAGUGUCAUCUCUCGCAGGAGAAAUCAAGGAUUUAAAGUACUCGACAAGACUGUCUAGCAAGUCCCUGGUAAAAAAAGAUGACCUAAUGGAUGUCAUGGACUCUCUUCUGGAGAGCCUUCGGCACGUUUGCUUAAUAGGUGUCUUAGAAGAUGAUGAAGAGCAGGAACUAUGGGAAGACAUAGAAGAGAAGCUAACAUUCUUGAAAAACUUCAUCUGUUUUGUUACACUUCAUGGUAUCGAUGAUGGGCAAUUGGGACCUUUACUGACUCACACUAAAUCUGUCGCUGUGAACACAGCACGCAACCAUCUCCUGCGUUGCUUUAGAUCAUUCCCGUUAGAAGAAAAUCCUGUUCGGGACCUGCUGCCGAAGAUCAUUCCUGUAGAACCCGAAGUCCAUGGGACUUGCUUCCAGGCCCUGAUUGCUUCAAAGAUAUCAAGACAACCAUACGAGAAAAAAGAUGCGCACUGAAGAAGCACGGAGCUUCCCCGGACCGAGCUGAACUGAUGAGCUCGGGGUGCUGACGGCAGAGCUGGUCCUAAGCCUGCAAAACAGAUAAGAACGAGCUAGCAAAGGGGGGCCCGAGGGUGGUCCCCGAGGGCACUCCGACGGUCAAGUUAGUUUUCCGGUGAGUAUGGUUCACGGGAAGCACAAACGGUCAGGUGUAAUUUGCCAAUAGUGAGCGUACCUUGUACAGUCAAUGCGUGCUAUCAUUUAUACCUGGGAGGAAGCCCGACCUCCGUACGUUUCGGGACUUGCCCAGAAUAAUCAAUCUUCUGCACUCAGGGGGAUCAUCCCCGACCUCUUCGGGAGGGACCUGUGCUGCCCUCCGGAGCCCUAGCAGAUCGGCCUAGGACGGCCGCCUGGGGCCUGAGGCCGAGGCCCAGCUCUGCCACGCCUGGGCUGCCACGUGUCCGGGCCCAGGAUGGGGCCUCUGCACUAGCCCCCUAGAUUAGGUAGAGCUGUCAGGUAGACCUAAUCUACAACUGCCACGUGGGAGGCCAGAGCCGCGCACUACCCUGCCGGGGUCACUUCUGGUACAGUGCUGUCACAGUGGCCGCUCCGCUCACGUCCUUUCAGUUGCCACGACUCUUCGAUUUUCGUACCAGCAUUAAAUGCGUUCACAUGGGACGGUUCAAUUUCAAGCAACCGUUUUCCCCCCAUUUCUUUCCCUUAUAAAUAGGGGUCACCAGAUUUCCAUCCGCUCCCUUUGCCACUUCUUCUCCCCCUUGCGCAUUUCGGCAUUCCCAUUCUCCUAUGGUUACCCCGAUCUGCAGGAGGCUACCCUAUCACCCAAGGCUGUGGCCGAACUGGCCAAGUCUUACUCAAUUCCUUCGGCCUUCGAGCCGAGGGCGGCCGGGCCCGACGACUGAGCCUGCCGACCUCCUCCCGGCUUCGUAGCCAUCUAUCGGGAGUAGCUCAUUGCAGGGCUCCGUCUCCCCAUUCCUUCAGCUCUGGCCGAGAUUCUGAACUACUGGGUGCUCAGAAUCACCCAAGUCCACCCUACCUCUAUCAGGAUCAUUACUGGAUUCCUGAUCUACUGCCUGCUCUGCGAUAUCCCUUACUCUCUCUCUCUCUUCCGAGCUGCCUUCAUGCUCAAGGCCGCCAUCCCGAAUGGUACUACUUCUGCCGCCGUGGUGCCGGCCAAACCCGGAGAGGAAAAGGCGCCCAAGAGUUGUUCUACGGAGUCCCCAGCUCCGUGAAGGAUUGGAAGGAGGACUUCUUCUUCGUCAAGUCCACACAUUUUCCCCUAAUGUGUGGAAGGUUGGGGGGGUCAAGGCCGACCCCUACCCGGGGGAUUUGGACUACGAAACCCUCAGCCAACUGUCGGACUCCAAGGUGAAGCUUGACGCCACCAAGUUUUCCACUGAGCAGAUCUCCGCGGCCGGGCUGAUGGGGACGUUGUCCGGAUCCUCUGGGGAGGUGGUGACCCCCGAGCCCAACCUCGACACCUGUAACGCUGACUUUGCCCUUGUUGCCUGUUGUAUUUACAGUAUAUUGUAAUUUUUGAACUGUCCCAUCUUUUGCUGACCUAGUUGUGUUCGCUGUAGUGAGAAAGCUCUCCAGGUUGCUGGGCGCGUCCCUUGAGGAGGCCACCUCCACCCCUCAACCAGAGAUCGCCCAGGGGGCUUCUGCGGCCUCCCCGGUCCCAGGGGGCAGCUCAGCCCCCCAGACAGAGGCACCGCAGCCAUCCCCCUCCAAGCAGGCCGCCAACAAGAAGAAGGCGACCGGGCAGAAGAGGGGCAGGGCUGACGAGCCCUCCCAGGCCGGGCCGAAGAGGCUCGCGGUGGUCGUUCCACAACCGCUCCCCCCGGCGUCCUCCGGGGGUCCAGUCCACGUGGGCGUUGGCUCCGCUGAGGAGCACGCUCAGGAGUCCCCUCCUCCGAACUUGUGGCACUUCCGCCAUAUCCUCCCCCAGAAGCCGGGCCAGGCCCCCACCAUGCACGACCCCCGCCACUUCUGUCCCUCCUGGAGGCUCUCCAUCAACGACCGGGCCCAAUUUCCCGAGGCCGGUCGGGAGCUGAUGGUGGGCUCGGUCCUCCCAAGGGACAGAAGGUGGAUGGAGCUUGCCGACUCGGCCGAGCUCCAGGACAUGUACUUCACCUCCCAAGCCCAAGUAAGUUCCCUGCCCUUGGGCCAGUUGCGCCUGUGUUUUGAUGGGAUAGCGUAGUGUGCUGACCUGUUCCCUUCCUCAGGCCAAUGCUGCUGGUGCCGCCCUGGUGACCCGCUUCUCCGAGUUGUCUCCUGACUUGGAGAAAUUGCGGAAGAAGCAUCAGGAGACAGAGCAGAAGCUCACCCAGGCCCUCAAGGAGGCGAGCACCCUGAAGGGCAAACUGGGCCAAGCGGAGAAAGGGCUGGAAACGGCUCAGAUCGAGCUCGCCUCCGUCAGGUCAAAGCUCGACCAGGAGAGGGCGAGCUCAGAGAAGCUGAGGGAGGAGCACGCCAUCGAGCUAUCCGGCACCGUCAGCCGGGAGCGCAAGAAGGCUGUCCGGGAGUUCAUCUCCUCCAAACAAUUUGAGCAGGACGUCGCCCUUCUCAACGGGCCCACCUUCCAGGCCGGCUUCACGCGAGUCCUGGACAGGGUCAAUGCUCUCGGCCUGCCUGGUUUCGACUUGGCUGCUUUCAAAGAGUACAACCCUAAGGCCGAGGAGAAGGUAGACUGGCUCUUCGAUGGGUACUGCAAGGGGCAUGCCCUGAAGGAGCUGGUGCGCAGGACCGAUGUGGGGGUCGACCUGGCGGAGGUCCCCUUGGAGGAGGACCAGGAUCCCGGAAAAGCCCCCGGGAAGGAGCCGGUGGCCUAGGGCGGCGGCCCCUCUAGAAACCCUUUCCGUCUCCUUAUAAGGAUGUGACCAUGCUCCAGUUGAAAAUGCUCUUGAAGGUCCAUCUGAGACGGAAAGGCUCCCCUGCUUGAAUAGCCUUCACCGUACGCCUCUCAGCAAGUUUAAGGUGUACCCUCAACUCCUGCUCCAGGCGGACUACCAGCAAGAAGAAGGGGGCCCGAGCUGUAUUCUCUUCAUAGCUCGGCACAUUUUGUAGCAGAUAGGCAGCUCGGAAGCUUUGUAAUCGAUAGGCAGCUCGGAAGUUUUGUAAUAGAUAGGUUUUGAAUGCAUAUGCGAAAUUUCGAAGAGUUAUUCUGCCUUUCUUGCCUGCACGCAACGCCAUGUGCCGACCUCCUAGGCCGAGCACCAAACGCGUCACCUUUUUAAUCCAGCAAUGGAGUUGCCCAAUUGGCAAUCUAACUAUUAAAAUCAUGUGCCGGCCUCUUGGGUCGAGCACCAAAUAAACUUACUGAGGGGAUGUGCCAGCCUCUUGGGGUUGAGCACCUAAACAUUAAGGGCGUUCUCACCGACCUCCGGGGUCAAAUGCGGGGCCCCCGGAUUCGAAGGCUGGGGGCCUGGUCAACCUCCCGGGGUCGGGCUUCUACUUCGAAGCGGUAGCCCGUGCCGACCUCUUGGGGUCGAACCUCGGGCUUCGAACUCCUCUUCCGCCGACCUCCUGGGUCGAGCGCGGGGUUUCCAGAACCCUUCCAAGCCUCCAAUUUUUCCUCAAUCGUGCCGACCUCCUGGGCCGAACACUUCACCUGGAUUCCGACUUCCAAGUCGUGCCGAUCUCUUGGGCCGAACACUUCACCUGGAUUCCUUCCACUCCGAAGCGAUAACCCGUGCCAACCUCUUGGGGAUCGAACAUCGGGUUUCGAACUCCUUUUUCGCCGACCUUCUGGAUCGAGCGCGGAGUUUCUAGAACCCUUCCCAGUUUCCAUGUUCUUCCUAGUCGUGCCGACCUCCCGGUGUCGAGCAUCGCCUGGAAGCUUUUAAUUCGUACCGACCUCUGGGACCGAACACUUCACCUCGAUUCAUCACUACCCUUAGCACCCCACUAGGACAUUUAGUGAGAGAACUCUAAGUGUGCUAGUGCAAGGUGCAAACUUUAAAUCUUGAAAGGAAACAAGUACAAGUGAAAUUAAAACUGUGAGGUCGGGCUUUUAUUGAAUGAUAAAACAAAAAUUCGGAUUUCAAAGAACAGACAACUGAGCACCCUGGUCUAACCUACGCUACAAACAGUCGCAGAUUGGAGAAGUGCCAAGUACGAGGUACUUCAGAUCCAUCAAUCUUGGCGAGUCUGCAGUAGCCAGCUCGGUUCACCUCAAGGAUCUUGUAUGGACCCUCCCAGUUUGGGUCAAGCUUGUUGGAACCGUAAGCUCUGCUGACCGAGUUCUUUCGUAAGACCAGGUCUCCUGGCUGGAACUGUACGCUUCUUACUCGGGCGUUAUGAUAGCGGGCGAGCUGGCUUUUGUACUUAGCCAUCCGUACCGCCGCUUCUUCACGCCUAGCCUCCAGUAUGUCCAAGCUGUACCGCAGUUCUUCUUCAUUGGUCCUUGCAACGAAGUUCUGUGUCCGGGGCGAGGGGAGACCAAUCUCCGCGGGCACCACCGCCUCUACUCCGUAAGUUAAGGAGAACGGGGUCUCAUGGGUGGCCGUCCUGGGCGUGGUACGGUAAGCCCAGAGGACACUGGGGAGCUCAUCUAGCCAGCUCGAUUGGGCGGAGUCCAACCUAGUCUUCAACCCUUGCAGAACGGUUCGGUUAGCGUUCCCCACCUGACCAUUGGCCUGAGGGUGACCGACCGACGUGAAGGGCUGAUUGAUCCCGAGCUCAGCGCACCAGCUCCGGAAGGGGUUCUCGGCGAACUGGCGGCCGUUGUCGGAUAUCAAGACGCGCGGGAUGCCGAAGCGGCAGAAGAUGUUCCUCCAAAAGACCAAGGGGCCGACGAUCGCCUUCCCCGAAAUAGAGACCAAGGGCUCUGCCUCCAUCCACUUCGUGAAGUAGUCGAUUGUCACCACGAGGUGCUCGUACUUUCCAGGAGCUCGGGGGAAAGGACCUAGGAGGUCUAUCCCCCAUUGGGCGAAAGGCCAGGGGCUGUGAAUGGGGAUCAUUUCCCGAGCCGGCUGGUAGCGCAGCGAGGCGUGCACCUGGCAAGCUCGGCAUUUCUGUACCAGUUCUGCGGCGUCUCGGAAGACGGAUGGCCAAUAGUAGCCCAAGAGAAGGCACUUUUUGGCCAACACUCGGGACCCCACAUGUGCCGCACAUAGCCCUUCAUGUAUCUCGCGGAGGACAUAGUUACCUUCCUCGGGCGUCACGCACUUUAGCCAGGGAGAUAAGUAAGACCUCCUGUAGAGGGUUCCCCCAGCGUAGGCGUACUUGGCAGCUCUGAGCUGGAUCCGGCGGGCCUCGGUUUUGUUCUCUGGGAGGACACCUGAGCUGAGGAAGUCUAUGAGGGGCGUCAUCCAGGUGGCCGAGCUGUCUAUAGCCAGGACCUGGACCUGGUCGAUACUUUUCUGUUUUACCACCUCUACCAGAACCUCCUUAUUCAGGUGUGUAAAUGAGGAAGAUGCCAGCUUUGACAGGGCGUCUGCGCGCUUGUUUUGCGAUUUUGGUACCCGCUCGAUUUCGAAGGUAUCGAAAAGGGAUACUGCAUCUCGCACUUUGGCCAAAUAUUUUUUCAUGACAUCCUCCUUGGUUUCGUACUCCCUGAGGACUUGGAGGACGAUGAGCUGAGAGUCGCUCUUGACCUGGAUCGCGGUUAUCCCCAUUUGGUGGGCUAUCCGCAAUCCUGUGAGCAGGGCCUCGUACUCGGCUUCAUUGUUGGACGCGGGGAAGUCCAAUCGGAGGGCGUAGGUCAGCUCUUCCCCGGUGGGUGAGAUGAGUAGCAGACCUGCCCCGCUUCCUUCCUUGCUGAAGGCCCCGUCUACGAACAACACCCAUGGCUCCUUCGGCAGUACCUCCUUGUGCAGGGGGCUUAGCUCGGUUAGGCUCAAGCUAGCCCCCUCAGCAAGGAAGUCCGCAAAGGCCUGGGCCUUGAUGGCUUUGCGACUUGAUGGCUUUGCGAGUCUGAUAACCGAUGUCGUGCUCGGCUAGCUCGACGGCCCAUUUAGUCAUCCUGCCCGAGAUCUCGGGCUUGGUGAGUAUCUGACGCAGGGGCUGGUCAGUCAGGACUAUAAUGCUGUAAGUCUGGAAGUAGGGGCGAAGUUUGCGGGCAGCGUGUACCAAGGUAAGGACCAGCUUCUCCGCCGGCGUUUUCCUCGUCUCUGGCCCUUGUAGAGCGCGGCUGACGUAGUACACCGGUCUCUGAACUCCCCCGUCCUCCCGUACCAAGACCGCGCUGACGGCCUCAUUGCAGGCGGACAGGUAAAGGAACAGAGUCUCCCCUAGCUCCGGGGCGGUCAAAGUAGGCAGCUCAGCCAGAUAGGCCUUCAGGUCGGUGAAGGCUUUCUGGCACUCCUCUGUCCAGUAGAAAUCCUUAGGCGCUUUCAAGACUCGGAAGAAGGGCAGCCCCCGGACCGCGGAGCGCGAGAGGAACCUAUUCAGGGCGGCCAUCCUCCCUGUGAGCCAUUGCACUUUCCUCACGUUCCUCGGAGGGACCAUGUCCAUGAUGGCCUAGAGUUUAUCCGGGUUGGCCCGGAUCCCCUCUCGGGACACCAGGAAACCGAGAAACCUUCCCGAUCUGACCCCAAAGGUGCACUGCUUCGGAUUUAGGCGCAUCCGGCUCUCCUGUAGGAUAUCCAGGAUCUCUCUUAGGUCGGGUAUGAGCUGCUGGUCAGUUCGGCUUUUGACGAUCAUGUCGUCCACAUAGACCUGCAUGUUUCUGCCGAUCUGAUUUUGGAAUAAUUUGUUGACCAGGCGCUGGUAAGUAGCUCCCGCGUUCUUCAACCCGAACGGCAUGGUCCUGUAGCAGUAGGUUCCCUCCUCGGUGAUGAAGGAGGUCUUAUCCCGAUCCUCCUCAGCCAUCUCUAUCUGGUGGUAUCCAUUAAAGGCAUCCAGAAAGCAUAAAACGUCAAAACCCACGGUAGAGUCUACUAACCUGUCGAUCCUUGGCAGGGGAAAACAAUCCUUUGGGCAGGCUUUGUUAAGGUCCGUGAAGUCUACGCACAUCCUCCAGGUCUGGUCCUCCUUCUUGACUAGGACGGGAUUGGCCAACCAGGUCGAGUAGUAGACCUCCAGGAUGAUUCUGGACUCCAGCAACUUGCCGACCUCCGCCUUGAUCACCUCAUUCCUCUCGGGGGCGAAGCUCCUUUUCUUCUGCUUCACCGGCUUGAAGUGAGGAUCCACGUCGAGGUGGUGGACUGCCAGGUCCGUUGGAAUCCCGGGCAUGUCCUCCACCGUCCAUGCGAAGACCUGGGAGUACUUUCUCAACAGGGCCUUCAAGCCUUCCUUCUCCUCGGCUGGCAGCAAUGCCCCGAUGCGGAUGACCUGGUCGGGCCGCUCCUCCCUCAAGGGGAAUUCCUCAAUUUCGUCCUGUGUGCUCAACUGCUGGGCCUCGUCCCCCGGGAUGUAGGGCUCCAAACAGGUCAUCUGAGCGACCACCUUCUCCGGCCCGCGGAGCGUGGCCAAGUAGCAAGCUCUGGCCAUCUCUGGAUCACCGUGCACCUCGGCUAUCCCUCCUGGGGUGGGGAACUUCACACUGAGAUGGAGGGUAAACGGGAUAGCUCGGAGGGCGUUCAGAACUGGCCGACCCAGGAACACGUUGUACGAGGAUUGCUGCUUGAUCACCACGAAAUUGACAGGGAUGGUUCGGCAUUUGGGGGCCUGCCCUACCGUGACCAUCAGGGUGAUCAUUCCCUCCGGGUUAAUGGGUGGCCCGGUGAAGCCCACCAGAGGUGUUCGAACCGGGGUCAACUGGUCGUCCUUCAACCCGAGCUCCUUGAACACCCGAUAGAACAUGAUGUCAACCGCGCUACCUUGGUCGACAUACACCUUCUUCACCCGGUAGUUGUUGGUGACCACGUCUAUCACUAUAGCCUCGUGGUUCCCGGAUGCUAGGGGGACCGCAUCCCUCGGCCCGAAGGUGAUCUCCUCAUCCAUGCGCAAACGUUUCAAGGAGUCGUCCCCCGCGGGGGGAGUCGCUUGUUCUUCCGAGCUGUGUGACUGUCUCCGCCCGUGGGGCCCCCAGCGAUGGUGUUUAUCACCCCCGCUAGGUUCUGGCCGUCCAGGUCGGGGAAGUGGUUCCGAGGAGCGUCACGCAGCUCUGGGCGGUCGCGACGCCGUCCCUCGGACCUAUCUCCGUAGUGGUUGCGCCCGGGCUCCCGACCUGGUCGGCGUACGAACCGCCCUAGAAAGCCGCGUUGGAUCAGGUUCUCGAUCUCCUUACGCAGGGCCCAGCAUCCCUCCGUGUCGUGUCCGACGUCGCGGUGAAAGGCGCAGUACCGGUCCUGGUUCCUUUUGUUCCAGGGCGUCCCCAUCUUGGGCGGCCGAUCUCCCAGCCCUUCCGCCUCCAUAACAGCCAAGAUCUGGGCUCUGCGCCGUGUUAGAGGGGUGUAGGUCUUCUCUGGGAGUGGUGGCGGAGCAGGGGCCUUCUCCUUCGAGAGCCGAUCGAAGACGUUUUUCUUGGCCGGGACGUCCUUGCUCUCUGGAGGGUUUGUCCGACCCUUCCGAUUUCCGAGCUCCCGAUCUGACUCUUUCUUCAGGCGACCUGCCUCCUCCGCCUUAGCGGCCUCGUGCGCCCUGCGCAGGAGCUCCUCCAGGUUUACGGGAGAGUUCUUGGCCAGAUCGUAGAAAAGCUCCUCUACCCUGAACCCGUUUGUGAAGGCGGCCAUUACCACUUUUUCGUCUUUGUCCCUGACCUGCAAGCUCUCCGCAUUGAAGCGGGUCAUGAAAUUCCUCAGCGACUCGUCUGGCCUCUGUCUGAUGGACAUCAGGUGGGUUGCGUUCCUCGCGUAAACCUUCGAGGAGACGAACUGGGAUGCAAACUGCCGAGCCAGCUCGGGAAAGCUCCGUAUAGACCCCGGUGCUAGUCCCUGGAACCAGAGCCGUGCUUUCCCCUUCAGGAACAUGGGGAAAGUUUUGCAGCGGACUUCGUCCGCGGCGGUUUGGAGGCGCAUAUGCGUUAGGAAGACCGAAAGGUGGUCUUCCGGGUCUAUAGAGGCAUCGUACAUCUCGAUGCUCGAAAUCUUAAACCUCCGGGGUAGCGGGUAGUGCUCUAUCUCCCGGGUAAAGGGCGAGGUUGCGUAGUUGUCCUCGUACGGUCGGGGCCUCAAGAUCUGCUCGAGCUCAUCCCGGACAGGUUCCAAAUGAAGGGGGUCGCGGGGUCGGCUCCUGACAGACCGAGCAGGGGAACGCUCGAACCCAUUCCGUGUGGGCUUCCGUGGGGAGGGGUCUCUGGGACGACUCCUCGCGGACCGGUCGCGGGAAUACCUCUCGCUGUCUCCGACCACCCAGGCUCGCGGGCGAGGUGGAGUCCGGGGUCAUUUCCUCCUGGGGGGUUGGUCUCGUGACUCAUCCUCCGAAGGAUCAGGGGGUGACUCAUUCUCCUUCCCCAUAGCCUUGGAGGUCUGCGCACCCCCAGCCCCAUCUCCCUCCUUCGCCUGUCGGAUUAUAUCUUCUAGCAUGGGGAGAUUCUCCGUCACAAACUGGAAGAUCUGCUGCCUCCGCUCCCCUGAAAGGGCUGAGCCCCCGGCGCCCCGAGACGCCUCAGCCUCCUUUCGCUGGGACCCCUCACCGCCCCCAGGGCCGGUGCUCUCUACCGUGCGCUUGGAUCGCGUCCUGGCCAUCAACACAACCUUACUUACCUUACGUUCCCACAGACGGCGCCAACUGAAGAAGCACGGAGCUUCCCCGGACCGAGCUGAACUGAUGAGCUCGGGGUGCUGACGGCAGAGCUGGUCCUAAGCCUGUAAAACAGAUAAGAACGAGCUAGCAAAGGGGGGCCCGAGGGUGGUCCCCGAGGGCACUCCGACGGUCAAGUUAGUUUUCCGGUGAGUAUGGUUCACGGGAAGCACAAACGGUCGGGUGUAAUUUGCCAAUAGUGAGCGUACCUUGUACAGUCAAUGCGUGCUAUCAUUUAUACCUGGGAGGAAGUCCGACCUCCGUACGUUUCGGGACUUGCCCAGAAUAAUCAAUCUUCCGCACUCAGGGGGAUCAUCCCCGACCUCUUCGGGAGGGACCUGUGCUGCCCUCCGGAGCCCUAGCAGAUCGGUCCAGGACGGCCGCUUGGGGCCUGAGGCCGAGGCCCAGCUCGGCCACGCCUGGGCUGCCACGUGUCCGGGCCCAGGAUGGGGCCUCUGCACGCACAUAUUCAGAGUCUUCAUCGAUACUCUCCUAAUCUAUCUGUGGGAGAUACUAAAGACUGGAGCUUGUGUUAUGAUGUCUUUGAACGAUCGAUUGAAAAUGGUUUAUGACGGGUUGAGGUCCUUGACAAUCAUUCUCAAGGGGAACCCCGACGUGUUUGAUGAGAAAAUGAGAGAUCUUACUGGACUCCUCCUCUGUGAUGCAGGACUUGUUAUUUUUUCCCUUUCUCUCAACGAAAUUAAAGAUGGAUCAGUCAAGGAAAUGGAUCUGGAGUCUUUUCAUGAUUUCCUGAAAAGGAUAAAGCUUAUCAAGGCAAUAGUUGCAGAGAAAUAUCCAGAAACAUCACCAUCAUCCAAGUUUCCUCGGCCUAAUGAGUUGGGAUUUAUCGAUUUUCUUCUAAAAUAUAUCGGAGAUUUGACAAAUCCGGAUGCUCAUUCAGUUGCUCUUUCAAACUAUCCAAUUCAUGCAAUCCAUGAAGAACUUGUUUACUUACGCUCUUUCUUGGGAAGAAUUGUGGAAUUGCGCAAUGAAGAUCAGGAGCUUCAAGCACUUUGGGAUCGUGUUGUUGAGGUGGCAUACAUGGUAGAAUUUCUUAUCGACUCCUUGUUGGUUGGAGACAUUCUAUAUUCUUCUUCAAUCUCAUUUGAUUCCGUUGUAGAAGAAAUUAAGAUUAUCAAAGCUGCGGCCUUGAACAUUUUUGAUAGAAAAACACUUGAUCUCAAAGUUAAGGAAGCUACCAAGAGACCAAAUAACAUGCCAUCACAGGGAAGCAUGCCAAUAAUCAAUGACAUGAUCGUGGGAUUCGAGGAUGAGGCAACCUCAAUAAUCAAUCGGCUCACAAGAGGAUCCUCCCAACUGCAAAUUGUCCCCAUUGUAGGUAUGCCAGGACCUGGCAAGACAACUUUAGCUAAAAAAGUUUACAAUAAUCCUUUAGUUACAUCGCAUUUUUAUACACGUGCUUGGUGUACUGUCUCUCAAGUGUAUCACAGAAAAAAUCUGUUACUUGAAAUUUUGACUUGUAUUCACUCCAAGCUUCUUGAGAAAUUUUCUGAGAUGUGUGAAGAAGAUUUGGCUGCAGAAGUCAGAAGAGGUCUGCUAAGGACUAGAUAUCUCAUUGUUUUGGAUGAUAUAUGGGACGCUGAAGCAUGGAAGGGAUUGGAAGCAUCAUUCCCUGACAAUCAAAAUGGCAGUAGAGUGAUCGUGACAAGUCGAAAGUCUGAUGUUGCUGCUUCGAGAGAUGAACUUGAUGAAGGGCCUCAUUUCCUCCGUCCGCUGACUCCUGAUGAGAGCCGGGACUUGCUAAACAUGAAGUUAUUUCCUGGAAAUGAUUUGCCUCCGCCAGAAUUAUGCGAACUGCAAAUGAAAAUCGUGGAAAUGUGUCGAGGACUGCCACUUACAAUUGUCAUUCUAGCUGGAAUUCUGGCAAAUGAGGACCAACAUGGUUGGAAAGAACUUGUGGACAGUUUAAGUUCAAGAAUUGUCUGUAGUACAGAACAACGCUCUGCUGCAAUAGAGUUGAGUUACAAGAACUUACCAGAUAAUUUGAAGCAAUGCUUUCUAUACUUCGGAGCAUUUCCAGAAGACCAUGAACACACUGCUGAGAAGUUGAUUUGGUUAUGGGGGGCUGAAGGAUUUACCCAGAAAACUCAGUUCAAGAGUGCAGAGGAUGUGGCAAAUGAUUUCUUAAUGGAUCUUAUCCACAGAAGCUUGAUCAUUGUUUCCAAGCAAAGGUCCAUUGGUGGUGUCAAAGCUUGUCGCAUUCAUGAUUUGCUGCAUGAGUUUUGUGUGACAAAAGGCAAAGAAGAAAAUUUUCUGCAGCUGGUGCGUGGGUAUGAUGAAUUAUAUACUUUCAGAGUGCCACGCAACCUACGCCGCCUAUGCAUCAACUCUAAACCAGUGCACUUUUGCAUGUCCAGGUUAUUUGCUCCCACAAUCCGUUCUCUAAUACAUUCCCGACGUCUUGCUUUAGAGAGUUCAUCCAUGUUUGGUAUCUUCAAACCUGUUAGAGUGUUAGAAUUGAACAACAUAAAUCUAGGUACUACUUUUCCUAGAGAACUAGAAUUAUUGGUUCAAUUGAGGUACUUGGCAAUUCUAGGAAAUAUGGAUUCAAUUCCAUCUUCCAUAGCCAAUCUCUCGAAUUUGGAAACUUUCAUCCUGAAAACAGUUGUUCGGACUGUUUUACUACCUGAUACUAUAUGGAAUCUGAAGAACCUAAGGCACUUACAAAUAAAGGACUUUGAUUGUUCAUUUUUGUUACCCACAGACAAUCUUGACACUGCUGCAGACUUGUGUGAUUUGAAUACCUUCUCCGGAGUAUCUUUUUCUUCUUUGGAUAUCGUCCGCAAGGUAUUCAGUAAAAUUCCUAAUAUCCACAAGCUGAAAUGCAUUCUCGAUUUGGCUAAUGAACAUAAUUGGGUUUCAGCGGACAAGAUUCUAGUACUUGACUUUCUAAGUGGACUAGAAUCACUGAAUCUGACGUUCAAUCAUUAUACAAGUCUUCCAAAUCCAUGCCAGUUGGAGUUUCAAUUCCCUUUGGCAAUUAGAAAGUUGACUCUAUGCGGUCUUCUCUUCCCUUGGAGCAAAAUUUCAGCGAUCGAAAAUCUUCCCAAUCUGGAGGUUCUCAAAUUACUCCGUGACGCCUUUGAUGGGGAAAUAUGGAACAUGGAAAAAGAGGGGUUCCCUAAAGUUAGAUUUCUGAAAAUAGCUGCCUUGGAUAUUGUCAAGUGGACUGCCUACGAGGGCGUGGACUGUUUUCCAAGUCUACAGAAACUAGUAUUGAAAAGCUGUACCUUUUUAAAGGAGAUCCCUUCUUGUUUGGGUAGUUCGACUCUUGAAAUUAUUGAGGUGUCUUGAAAUUAUUGAGGUGUUUCAUUGUCCCUUCUCUGCAAGUUUUAUAGUGCCACUUCAGGAAGAACAAAUGGACUUGGGAAAUACUGAUCUGAAGAUCCUUAAUAAGGUAGACUACUAAUCUUCUCAUGUAUCUUUGGUUUGGUUUGGAACCCACUGCCCUCGAGCUGCCAAUUGCUGCUAGCUCACGGGAUAUCAACUGGACCACGAUAUUGAUAUGGAAAAGGAGGAGGAUGAGACAGAAAUACUCAAUCACUAGCCAGUCCAGAAAGUAGCAUUUGUUUGUCUAGCCUUAAUGUUUGCUAAAAUGUCCAAUUGCUGCUGUAUCAGUGUAGCAUCAAGAUCAGUUAAUCAGGUUGCUUUAAUGUUUCUUAUCCUCUCUCAAACUGUGCGGUGGGAUCAGCUAUCUCCUUUCCCCCCCUAAGAUUUUAGUUGUGAUUCUGUAAGUUAAUGCUACUGCUUAGCUGCAUAAUUGUUACAAAUUUAUUGCCUUUCCACACCAUUAGUAAUUUGUUUUCGAAUGCCACCGAUUAAUGUAUUUACCUGGAUUUGCCAAUUUAUCAGUUCUUUUUUCAUAGUGUUUCUUGCAUUACAAUUUCUGAUCUUCCCGCGAAUCAUAAAAAUAUGACCCGCUAGCUCAAUCUUUGUUGUUUGGCACCCCUGAUCAUCAAAUCUGAGGCCUCACAAGUUUCGUUUCAAACCAGUUUGUCCUAGAGUGUAAAUAAGUGAAAGGUCCAAUGUAAACAAGUUUUAGUAAUGUGUAAACAAGUGGGAUCAUGGUGUGAAAAAAUUAAAAAUAAGACUCUCAACUGAUCUGAAUUGAAACUUGUGAAACCCGCAAAUCCAACCCGAGCCCAAUAAUAAGAUUAAAUGAGUUUUCGUACCCACUUCGUGCUUAGGAAUCCUGGGGCUAUUCCCAGUACUACGUUGGCUGGCCUUUCCAUUUUCACCUUUGCGUUGCACGUGGUGUUUUGCUGGCAGCAAUAAUGGCGCAAAUGAUGCACGGAGGAAUUGUUAAUGUACGUUGUUGGACGUUCAAGGGAGCCAAAAAAUUUAUUAAUUAGAGGGUUAAAAAUACACAAACCUAAAAAGUUGAGGGUUGACUGGGUUUUUUACUCUUAAUAUGAUUGUGACUUUAUUCUUCUUCCAGCCACCUAGUUCUGUUGGUGAUUAAUUAAGGAAAAAUCAUUUAAAACGUGUCUCAUAUUUUGUGAAAUAAAUUUUUUCAUCUCAUAUUUUUAAAAUAUUGACUUUACAUCCCAUAAAAAAAAAUUGACUUUACGUCUCUUAAAAAAAUGAAGUCUGUCAAAUUUACUUAACUACAAAUAGAAUCUAACCCUUUUUCACGUAUUAAAAUGAUCAUGUGUUGGUGAUCUAUUCAGGUCAAAAAAUUGUGGGUGAUGACCCAAGCACAGUUGGUGAUGACUGCAGUAAGCAGUAAAACUAUGAUUGUCAGGGAAGGGGUAUGCAAAUAAUUGUAAUGAUAUAGACAAAGGCGCAAGUAUGUAAAUUACAAAAGAGAGGGUUAAAUCCACAUCUUUCCAUCCCAAAAUCCACACCUUAAAUGCCAUCAGAAUAUUGAAGUUCUUGACAUUUAAUGGGUUUCUUCUAACUUUUUGUUUAUUCUAAAUUUUUGCUUUCACAUAAAGAAAUGUUUUGCCUUGUAGUAUUUUUUAUGAGAAUAAUUAUUUUUCAAUCUUUUUUAUCUUUCACAUGUUUUUUCGAAUUUUAUAAUCUCUUAUUUUAGAAAAGCUAUCUAAUGGAUAGUGAAUUUCAUAACACAAAUUUCAUGGCUUUAGGGAUUUUUGGGCCAUCUUAUGUGUAAUAUAUAAAAUUUUAAUUUUGUUUAUGAGAUAACAAUAGAUUUUACUAUACUAUGAAUAUUUCUUCCUAAAAAUAUAGUUUUUUAAGAUUUGAGGAUAAUCACAUUGGGGUUUUUGAUCACUACAUGAUUAGGUGUAUUUAACGAGUAGAGCAAAUUAUUUGGGUAGUUACUAAACUUUUCGAAUAGUUGAGUUUUGACCACUCAACUAUUAAUAGUAUGUUUUUACCCAUUGAACUAUUAAAAGUAUAUUUUUGAAUCAUUCCGUCUAAUUCCACCGUUAACUCUAUUAGAUCUAACUAUUAAUAGUAUAUCUCAUAAAUCGUGCGACUUCUUAAAUCUGGCAGAGUUAAAGGUGGAAUCAGAGGGAAUGGCUCAAAAUUUACAUAUUUGAUAGUUCAAUGGAUAAAAACAUACUAUUUGUAGUUGAAUGGUCAAAUCUUGACCAUUGAAAAAGUUUAGUGGCUACCCGAAUAAUUUGCUCUAACUUGUAUUGAAAGGAUAAAUUUGUCGAUUUAUUAGUUUGAUUUUAAUUUUUUACUAUUGACCGUUAGUUUUUCCGUAAUAACUAACGAUGGCACUUGAACUCAAACUAUGAGAUAAUUAUAUAUGAAUUUUUAAACUAUAAGGGAUUAUGUCGUAAAGGACUAAAUCAUAACGGGAUAAAAAGUAAUUUACCCUUAUAUAUAACAUAACAUGCUAUGAAGGCAUGCUGAUUAAACAAGAGGUAUUGUUCUUUCUUCUUCUAAAUCCAAACACAUUUAGUGGUACUAGUAGAAAGGUGGACUUUGUAUGUGUGUGUAUACAUACAUAUUUGAGUAUUUACGAUUAAGAUAGCUAAAGACCACAUAUUGCGAUUGUGCUCCACUAACGAAUUAACAACAUUAUAGUUGAUGUCUCAUGAGAAUUUAUACCAAGUGCUUACAGAUCAUGAUGCUAAAGACUCAUCCAAGAGAAACAAUCACAAUAAAACUUUUAAAACAGGGCAGCCAAGCAAAACUCAGUACUAUAGAAUUUGACAAAAGGUAGUAAAAGGUACAACAGGUUGCCUAGUUUCGUUUUGGAGAUAAAUACAAAUCGGAGAGCCAUCAGUAUAACUUGAUGUUUUGUCCCUCCAAGGUAGCCGACUUGGUGGUGUAGUCCCUAGUUAGGGCAUCCACCAGAGUUCGACCCUUGUAACAAAAAUGGAGAAUAAUCCAACAUUGUUUCACUUAGGUAACUUAUAGCCCUACGAAAAACUUACACUUCCAUUUCACCAUCAUUGUUUCACUAGGCAAAAACAUUUAGUAUUCCUUCUACUUGAAAGUCCUUGACUACCAGUAGCUUAGCCAGCAAACUUUUGUGUGUCGAAAAUGGUAAUUUCCAAAAGUAAUUUUAAAUUUUUGGCUUGUAUUUUUUGUUUAAUUUCUAUUUCUUAGCUUUUAAAUGAUCUGAUUGUAGCUCAAAGUAAAAUAUUUUAUCAAAUUUUUUAUAAACAAGUUCUUUUUAUCACUACACUACUUAAUAAAUAAACCAAAUCUUAGCCUAUGAAACAAGACAAGGAAGCUACACGUUGUCAGUAUUUCGAUACAGAUGUUAGUGUCAUUUACCCAAAACAAUAAUAAAACUUAAAGCUAAUUACUUGAAAAAUCAUUAUUCAAUAUCCAUUACAAUUCAAUUAAAACUUCAAAAUGUUUCUCAAUUUCAGUGUCUUAAUCAAAUGCUUUUGAGCCAAAAAUGGAAUUUGAAUAUUACGUUGAGAUAAAAGAAUCACACAAAAAAAAUAAAGUGUGAUAAGCAUUACCUUUCUUUACAAGUUCUAGAUCAAACAAACUCUACUAGAACAAAAAUAAGUUCAUGACCUUUUCAAAUGAAUCUUGUAAAAAAUAUAUUGCCUCUAACAAUUGGUAUGUAAUUUGCUAAAUGAAAUUACAGUUAUUUCAAAAAAUUUGUAUUUUAUGUAUAUAUACGAAGAUUAAAAAAAAAAAAGUGUAUAAAUGAUGGGUUGGGCAUCCGUGGUUUCUCAAGAGGCCCGUGGUUUCUCAAACCUCUUAUCCUAAUCCUCCUCCCGCGCGUAUUAUUGGGUACUUGACCCAAUUUUGCCUAGUCAAGAAAUAUAAAUCAGGUAUCUAAUUUUCAAAAUGCAUCGAAGUGACUUUCAUAGACCAACUAGUAUUUUUGCCUACCCGUCAUUAUUGACGUGAGGUGGUGGUGGAAAGGAGGAACAGGGUGUUGACGUGUGUGUAAGUGCGGGUUCUUAACUCUUGGAGAUUUUAAAUAUUUUGGGUAUUUCUUUGGUGUAUUUUUGUUAGUAUUCAUCUUUCGAUGGUUUGGUAUGUUGUUUAACUAGUUACUAUAGAUAAAAAUAUAUUUCUAAAACAUCCCAAAAGCGUACUUCUUAUUUUAUACGUAAAAGCAACAUUCUUAGUUAUUUGGGUAAAAUACAAAAAACCAUUUUGUGGUUAAACUAACCUACGCAAAAGCUCUUUAUAGUUUUAAACCAUACAUUUCGGCCCUCAUGAUUUGAGCUAAUUUGAAACAACCAUGGAAAUCGUCAAAACUAACAGAGGAGGAUGAAAUGAUCUAAUUAGCCUAAUAUAUAUAAGCAAUAAAAGAACUUCUAACAAUCAUCCUAUUAAGCAAAUUUAUGGAAAAAGCUCUCCUGUGGUUAAACCAACUUACGGAAAAAGCCCCUUAUUUAUUUUGUACAUAAGAAUAAGGUAAGGUAUAUUUGAAGGUUUUUAUUUAUCUAUUUUGUAUAUAGAAAUAAGGAGAGUUUUAUUUGGAAAUUUUUAUUUAUUUAUUUUAAGUAUAGAAAUAAGGUGAGUUGUAUUUGGGAGUUUGAGUUGCUUUUGAAAAUUUUACGAGUUCUAAGGUGUUUAAUAGGUAUAUCAGCUAAAAUUUGAUUUAAAAAAUUAUUUUCCAUGUCAAGCAACCUCAAACUCAUUAAUUUAAAUGAUUUUGGUCUAUUCUUCACAUUAGUUCAAACCACAACUAUUGGAUUGUAUGAUUUGAAACUAUAAGGGAGUUUUUCUAUAGGUUUACUAAACCACAGGGGGCUUUUCUAUAUUAUUACUCUAAGAAUAUAAUAGGUAUAUCAAUUGAAAAUUUGUUUGUUUUUAGUACAAAUGCAAAAGAAACUCAGACGAUUUUCAUCGUUUUUUUAAAUUAGUUCAAACAAUAAGGUACCGGAAUGUAUGUUUUGAAACUAUAAGAGAUCAUUUUGUAUGUUCACUCAACUUCAAGGGCUUUUCUAUAAUUUAUCCUUAUUCGAAUGAAAUCUGCUUACAUGUUGAUGUUUAAGCUACUCAUUUCAAUAAGGGUUUUUCUAAUGUAUGCCUGCUGGACACCCUUUAAUACAUCUAAUCUAUUAUGUGAAUACAUAUACUAAUAAUUAUUAUCUUUCCUUAUAUUUAUAUAUUUUCUUAAUUAGCUUCAUUUUUUUCAAAGAAAUUAAUAUUUGAACUGCAUUUUAACAAUGCCCAAAGGAGUGACCCUACUGACAAAAUCAAGAAAACAAUUUCAUUAAAGCGGAUAACAAAAUUCUCUUCGACCUUGCAAAAUGAAUUUGGUUGGUCCGACCCAAACUGGGCCCAUAUUGCCCAUCAACAAUAGGGCCAACUUUUUCUUGAAAAUGGUCUGGGCUGAGGAUGGGAAAAAUUGAACUCCCAUUUUCCAAGUGGGUCAUACUAAGCUCGGCCUGUUUUCAGAGAGUCCCAGAGAGGCUGAUACAUGAGAUUGAAGUAAUUAUCUAUGAGAGAAGGGGUAAUACAAUUGGAAUUUUCAUACAAUUGUGCGAUUGUUGUAUAUUUUACUUAAUUUGAUGUAUACUUCAUUUCUUUGUUUUAUACAUAAUUUUUUUUUAUAAGAAGCAAAACUCAUUAACAAAUUGCUAAAAAUUAUCCAGCACAAUUUGAUCUACAUCACUAUCCUAAUGGUAGAUUAAAUAUGUAUUAGAAAUUAUAGAUCUGCAAUUUAAUUUAUACAAUGGAUUCAAAAAAUUAUAAACAUAUUUGAAAAAUAUAAGAAAUUUGAAAUUUGUUUUUUAAUAGAUAAAUCAUUGCAGUUCCCUUUUGUGUAUGUUGUAAUUGCUAGAUCUACUAGUCAACAAUUUUAAACUCCAAUAAUGAUGGUGAAAUCUAUCAAAAUAGAUUCAAGAUUCGAAAAAAUUCAGAUCUAAUAACCAGAUCUGAAAUAAAUUUAGAUGUAACAUUAAAAAAAUAAAAAUAAAUAAAAAUCUCCAUAGGAAUCCUUAGAAGAACACCAAAAAAAAAAUACACAUAAUUGGUUUGGGCCUAAUUAGGUAUGUCAAUGGGUAGAGUCUGGAUCUGAAUCAAAGGGAUCCAGAUUCAGACCCAUUUAAUUUAGUUAGACCCAAACCCAGAUCCAAACCCUUUUGGGUUUGAAAAGUAAGUCCAUACUCAGAUCUUUAUGGAUUUGGAUAUCCAAUGGGCAUCCAUGUGUAUUUUCUAAAAAUACUAAAGUAAAAAUGUACUAAAAAUAUAUAGAGUUCAUAAAUAAUAUAAAUACCAUCCAAUUUUUGUUUGCAAAUAAUAAAAUUUAACAUUCAACAAGUUGAAUGCAAUAUUGUAAACUCAAAGAAAGAAUUAUUAUUGACUACUUCUAUAUAUUUUCAAAGUUUCAACUACAUCCACAUCAAUAUUUCAUUUAUUUGCCUUUACCUUUUUUCCUUUUAUUGAAAAAGUUUGUACCAAUUACAAUAACAACUAGGAUUAGUUUUUAAAAAAGAAAACAACCAUAACAUAUAUAUUAGUCUUAUUAAAAAAAUGUAAUUUUGUACCUCUUUCUCUUAUUUAAAUCUUAAUGUUGGUAGAUGUCUCGCAAUCUAGUACUAAAAUAGUGAAUGAAAUAAAAGUCAUUUGACUAAGAACCUAUGGCAAAUAAAUAAUAGAAUAAGAAGAUUUAUAAACACAUACUCUUUUUUUUUUUUGAUUCAAUCCAAUCAUCAGUAGUCACUAAUGUUUUGACCAUAUCUAGAAGCAAUUUGGCAUGAGUCUCGUCAAUCACUCAGCCACUAACACUAAAUGCAUAUUUUGAUGCCAUAAAAUUUUACCGCAUUCGAUCCAAUAGCCAUAACAUAUUAUAUUGUUUUAUAAAUUUUCUAAUAUAUAUUAUGUAAUUAAAUAUAUAUGGGUCUGGGUAAGAUUUGAUAUGAAUUUGAAUUUGGAUAUGGAUUCUAGAAAAUUAGACUCUACCCAAAUCCAUGACUCUCUCACAGGGUCCGGGUCUGGGUAGGGUCUAGAUUUGAGAAAUUAAAUUCAAACCCUAUCCAAAUAAAUUAGGUUUGGAUUGGAUUUGAAUAAGAUCCAACCCAUUAACAUGCCUAAGCCUAACAGAUGAAAUGGGCAUGUGCACUUAGGUACAUACUAAAAGACAUAAAAGGGUUCUUGAAAAAAAAAAGGAAAAAGAAAAAAGGGUGAUAAAGGAGUCACAACAAACCAACAUUGUAUAAGUACAAAUGCAGUUUUGUACGUCCCUGGGUGUACUUCAUAUCGUAGUACGAAUAAAGACUUCAAUCUUGGUGUUGGGUAAUGGAGUUCCUCUCUUUCUAUCCAAAUAUCGAAUUCCCAAAUUAUCCCUAGUUUGGAUCGAGUUCUACUUGUAAUUCUAAUUAGUACAAGGUAUCAUGUUCUGGUCCAAUGACAAAAGGAUGAAGGUGUAUAUCAAUUCAAUUCAGGGGCAGGGGGACAAAUAUCUUUUUCGUCUUUGGAUAUCGUCCGCAAGGUAUUCAGUAAAAUUCCUAAUAUUCACAAGCUGGAAUGCAUUCUCAUUGCGUAUACUGAACAUAAUUGGGUUUCAGCAGACAAGAUUCUACUACUUGACUUUCCAAGUGGACUAGAAUCACUGAAUCUGAUGAUCAAUCGUUAUACACUUCUUCCCAAUCCCUUUAGCAAUUAGAAAGUUGACUCUAUCCGGUUUUCUUUUCCCCUGGAGCAAAAUUUCAGCGUUCGAAAGUCUUCCCAGUCUGGAGGUCCUCAAAGGAACAAAUGGACAUGGAAAACACUGAUCUGAAGAUCCACAUUUCAUGCCAUGAAAUGGAUUACUGAUCUUCUCGUGUAUGUUUAGUUUGGUCAGUCAAUUCACUCAUUUUACAUUUUCUAUUAAUUUUCUAGUUUUGUACUAUUACUGGUACUGUUGCAUCAGUCAACCAUCAAGAUCAUGCUAUUCCUGUUGUUUUAAUAUGCUUUAUCUUGUCUCAAACUGUGUGGUGCAAACACUCCCCAGGAUUAUUGUUGUUUCUAAAGAUUUAAAUGAAGCAGCUUUUUUUCCUUUCCUAUUUUGCCACUUGGAUUACACAAUUUUAUUCAGUCUCAAGAAGGUAAGAAUACUCAUGGAUAGGGUAUUUGCCUUUCUUUUUACUUUAUGCCAUCAUGCGAAUAUUUCCUUACUCAUUGCUUAUAAGAAAUUCUAACCAUGAUUGUCAAUGUUUUCAGACUAGGAUUAUCAGACUAAUUGUUCUGAAAGAUGGAUCAAAAAGAGGUUCACAUUGCUCGCUCAAUGAUUUCUUUCUCAUAACUAAUGAAAAUAUCGCCAGCCAGUCGUGAUUGUUGAUUCUUGGUACACUAACAAGAAUGUAACACAGUGUACUACUUCUCGGUUCAAUGGAAUCCAACCAUUCUGUAUUUGGUUUUGUGUUAAAAACGCCAACCAGAUGGAAAAAUUAAAGGAAAUGGUGUGGCAAUAAGAAAGAGAGUGAAUUCCAAUAAACCCCCUGCAAAAGUAUCAUUCUUCACAUUGCCCCACUAAACAUUUAAUUGAACAAAUCCAUCCUUGUACUAUUACAAACUUCCCAUUCAACUACCGUUGGGUCUAGCAGCUCAAUUUUAGGUUGAAUCAAUCACGUGAAGCACACAUGGUUUCAUGAAUUGACCAGAUUGUUGAACUAAUUAAACAAUUAAGAUGAACUCUAGAUAAUUACACAUUUGUAAAAACAUUUGACCUACUCAAACAUAAAAUACGUUGUACUUAACAAUGAUAUUUUUAAAGAGUUUUUUCCUAUUUUGAUUGCUAUUUUUUAGAGUUUUUACAGAAAAAUGCACAGUAACAAUUUGAUGUAUAUGAUAUAAAAAGGUGAUUGGAAAAUGUGUUUACAAAAAACGUAAAAAAAUUUUUGGGGAAAAGUGACCAUCCAAACAAGGCUUGAAAAUAAAUUUCAAUUAUGAUAAUAAACCAAAAGCUAUAGAUAAUAGAAUUUUUUGCAUUAUGGGGAAUUACUAGAUUGUUUUAGAAAAUUUUCGAUCAAGAGUAAAUAAAUAAAAUUUUAUAAUUAAGAAAUUGUGGGAUAAUUUGAUUGCUUUAUGAAAUGAUUAUGUGUUGCAUAUGACUAAUUCCGGUAAAAAUUUGAGCUUCCUGAUUAAAUAGUACCUGAUUGUGAAAAUUGUAAUAACACUAGUGUUGAUUGGUUCAAUUAAAUGUUCAAGGAGGUAAUGUGAAGAAAAGGUAAUUUUAGGGAGUUUAUUGGAAUUAACCAUAAGAAAAAUUCGAAGGUUUGAAUGAUCUCAUAGUAGACAUAAUCAUCAAUAGGAUCUUUUUUUCUUCGAAAAGAGAAAAUGUACAAUGGUUUUUAUUAUUUUUAAAUUAGGAUUGACGGUUAAUUACCACCGAAAUGCUAUAUAAACAUCCAAAAAUUGAUGUUUGAAUAUCCAAAAACUAUAUGAACAAUCGCAUUAGUUUUGGGAAACUUUUUGAUCAACACAAUUCAAGAUAAAGUCACAAAUUAAUGAAGAAAGGUUGCAAUUUUUUAUCAUUCUCAAUCUCAACGCUAUAAAAGUUUAGUAGGGAUGAUUUGUUGUAGAAGAUCAUUUACUUACUAUUAGAAUUCUUUAAAAAAACACACCAUAGUUCAAGUAAGUUUGUCUAACUUUAUAAAUGACCAAAUUUUGAAAAUUCUCUAAUCACAUAAGUCUAGGUUCUACUUUUUUUUUUUGGUACAUUGGAGAGCCUCUGGCUCAUUACAAGGACACUAGACGGGGAGCCGUCACUCCCACGAUAUCCUGGGCCAAAAUCUCUCUCAGUCGAUUCAGGGGCUCCUCCAAUCACUUCACUCCCAUUUCUUGCCUCAAACUACUCUUGGCUAAAUAGUCCACACUCGUAUUUCCCUCUCUCCAGGUGUGGACAAGCAUAACUUUCCAUUCCCUUCUCAACCAUCCCUGUAUCUGCUUAACAAGUUUUGAGUAAAGGCCUGUGCUAGUACUAGUCUUCAACAGAGAUAAUGUUGUUAAUGAGUCUGACUUUAAUACCACUUUCUUGUGCCCUUGCUCCCAAACCAUUUCUAAGCCGUACAUCAUUCCCCACUGCUCCGCCACUACAUUUGUGGUUAUCCCCAGGCUCGCUACAAAAUCCCCCUUCCAUAGACCCUUGUCGUCACGUAUUAGUCCUUUUGACUCCUGCCUGUGCUAGGUUACCCGUAGUAGCCCCAUCGACAUUGACUUUCAUCCAACCCUUUGGUGGCUUUACCCAGCUAAUAAACAUCAACUUCUUCCCCUCCAUCUUACCUUCCUUCUGCAACACUGUUUGCACUUGCUUUGCUUGAGCUAGCACUUGCCUAUAGCUAUAUCUCAGCUUGCUGCCAUCCCCUACACAGCAAAAAGCAUUUCUAGCUGACCAGGCCAAAUAAUCCAAGUUCUGAAAUAAGAAUUGCCGGCAUACUUCCCUAUCUGUCCCAACAUUUCUCUCUCGGAGGUUCCAAUCCAUCCAGUAUUUUAGCUCCAGUCUCUUAAACUGAUCCUAGUCUAGGUUUUACUUUACCAAGAGAACGAAUUACUUGUUCAACUGAGGUAUUUGGUGCUAAGAAGAGAGAAGCUUUUAGAGAGAGAGAGAGAGAGAGAGAGAUUGGGGAAGUUUUCCAUGUAUUUCUCUUAUCAACAUACAAAGAUACAAGUGCCUAUUUAUAAGAUUACACAAGAGUAGUAAUUAGUGUCCUACCAACUACUAACACCUAUCAAAUCCUUAAUUGAUACACAUUAACUCCUAAUAGAAUAUUUACAACCUCACCUACCAACUACUACAACUUAAUCCAACACUCCCCCUCAAGUUCGUGCAUAAAUAUCGUACAUGCCCAACUUGCCUAAUGAGUUGUUGAAAAUUUUAGUCGGCACAGCUUUUGUGAGUAUAUCGGCUAGUUGAUCUUCUGACUUCACGAACGGAAACCGUAUCGCUCUUUCUUCAAGGUUCUACUUGAUGAAGUGUCGAUCGACCUCAAUAUGUUUAGUACGAUCAUGUUGAACCGGAUUAUGGCUGAUAUAGAUAGCAACUUUGUUAUCACAGGAUAAGUUCAUCUCUGAUUGAGGAGCAAAGCCAAUAUCGGCCAUCAGCCUCUUGAGCCACAGAAGUUCACACAUUCCUUUAGCCAUGCCUCUAAAUUCAGCUUCUGCACUCGUAAAUGCUACCACCUUUUAUCUCUUGCUUCUCCAAGUAACUAGAUUACCACUGAUGAAUGUAAAGUAGCUUGCGGUUGACUUUCGAUCGGUGGCACCUCCUGCCCAAUCGGCAUCAGUAUAACCUUCGACAUUGAGAGUGUCGUUCUUGGAAAAUAGGAGACUUUUUCUAGGAGGCCCUUUUAAAUAUUGAAGGAUCCUCAUCACAGCUUCCAUGUGUUGAUUACUAGGUGAAUGCAUAAAUCGACUGAUCACACUGAUUGCAUAGGCAAUAUCAGGCCGAGCAUGUGACAGGUAGAUCAGCUUACCGACCAAUCUCUGACAUCUCUCUUUAUUAGUCAGCUUCUGAUUUGGAAAUUCUCCCAACCUGCGGUUCUGCAUAAUCGGCGUAUCAGCAGGUUUACAGUCUAAAAGCCCAACUUCUGCCAAAAGAUCCAGCACAUACUUUUUUUGAGAUAUGAGGAUGCCUUGUGCCGAUCUUGCCACUUCAAUUCUCAAAAAGUACUUGAGAUUUCCUAAACUCUUAAUUUCAAACUCAGCAGCCAGCUGAUCUUGUAACCUAGAGAUCUCCUCUUCAUCAUCUCCUGUAAUAAUCAUGUUAUCAACAUAGAUUAUUAAAACAGUUACCUUUCCAUGCUGAUGCUUCAGGAAAAGAGUAUGAUCGGCAUUACUUUGCUGGAAAUCAUAUUUCUUCAUAACUAGAGUAAAUUGGCCGAACCAAGCACGUGGUGACUCUUUAUGCCCAUACAAUGCUCUCUGCAAUCGGCACAUAACAUUUGUUUCUGGUGCUGAAGAGUAUCCAAGUGAAAUAUUCAUGUAAACCUCCUCCUCAAGAUCUUUAUGCAGAAAGGCAUGUUUCACAUCAAACUGAUGCAAUGGCCAAUCCAAAUUUGCUGCAAAGGACAACAGUACUCUGACUGUAUCCAAUUUAGCUACUGAUGAGAACGUUUCCCGGUAAUCGAUGCCAUAAGUCUGAGUAUAUCCCUUGACAACGAGUUGAGUUUUAUAUCUGUCAAUCGAUCCAUCAGCCUUAUACUUGAUUGUGAAUACCCAUUUGCAUCCCACCGUUUUCUUCCCAUCUGGCAGUGUGACCAAAGUCCACAUGUCAUUUUUCUGCAAUGCCGACAUCUCAUCUUUAAUUGCUUGAGUCCAAUUUGGAUCCUUGAAGGUAGCAUGCACAUCAUUUGGAAUAUCAGCUAUUGACACAUUAUUCACAAAGGCUUCAAGAGGUUUAGAAAGCCUGUCAGUGGACAUGUAAUUGGCAAUAGAAUACUUUGAUCGUUUUGUACGAGUCUCUGGAGAGUAUUGAGACGGUGGCUUGCCACGAGUGGAUCUGUCAGGUAAUACAUAUCUUACAGUAGUAUCCAAAAUAAUAGUAGGAUCGGUAAGAGUACUUACCUCAAGGAUAUUCUCAGGAGAUGUAUAGUCAGGUAUUGAGGAGAAAGGGGUUAUAUCAGCAACUGGUAGAUCACCAACACCCCCUAUAUCAGCACCAUCUGAAUUAGCAGCAGCACGUUCAUCAUGCUCAUCAUAUUUCCAUCAGCAUUAUCAGUAGAAGAAUCAGUAGCAGCAGCAUCGGCAGCAGAAUCAUCAUGUCAUGCUAAUCCUGGCCAAUUCUUUUCUUCCAUAUCCCUUAUUUCCCUCUGAAGAGAUGAAUUGGAUGCCGAUAAGAAAAAUGUUUCUAAUUCCAAGAAUAUGACAUCCAUUGUCUCAUACAUCUUGCUAGUGAGUGGGUCAAAGCACCGAUAGCCCUUUUGUGCAUUGCAUACCCUAUGAAGACACACCGAACAGCACAAGGAUCAAGUUUAUUUCGUUGAUUCUUGUGCAAAUGAACAAAUGCCAUGCAACCAAAUACUCUUGUUGGAAGCAUCAGGACCGAUGGUAGAGUGAAAUACUGAGACAGUGAUUGCAGCGGGUUUGAAAAUUAAUAGUUUUUUAAGGCCAUCUAUUUAGCACAUGGACUGCCGUUGUGACUGCAUCAGGCCAAUAUCGGCAUAGAACAUUGGCACCGAUUAGUAAUGCUCUUGUUGUUUCAAGUAAGUGCCAAUUCUUCCUCUCGGCUACUCCAUUUUGCUGUGGAGUUGGAGUGCAGGAUGUUUCAUGUAUAAGACCGUUGGCAUUAAAGAACUCUUGUAGUGGCCGAUUAUCAUAUUCACCACCAUUAUCAGAUCGAAAAAUCUUAACUAUAGCUGAAAACUGUGUACGAAUCAUAGAACAAAAUGAUUUGAAAAUAUCAAGUACUUCAUUCUUAUGUUUCAACAGAUACAGCCAAAUCAUUUGAGUACAGUCAUCUACAAAAGUUACAAACUAACGGACUCCACUAGAUGAAGUAAUCGGUGAGGGCCCUCAAACAUCAGAAUGUACUAAAGCAAAAGAAGUAUCAGUCUUAUUCAAACUGAUGGGGUAUGGGACUCUAUAACUCUUAGCUAAUACACAGACCUCACACUUCAAAUCAGUAGUAUUGAUAUUUGAGAAGAGAUUUGGAAAUAGGUGAUUCAUAUACCUAAAAGAAGGAUGUUCUAGUCGCUGAUGCCACAACCGGAUAUCUCGCUCUUUGGUGUUAUCAGCACUUUUUAUCUGAUUGGGUCUAUCGAGAUUGAAAUCAUCAAUGUAAUAUAGAUCCCCUCUCCUAGUACCACGACCCAUUGUCUCUUUUGUGAGAAUAUCCUGAAGAAGACAAAAGGUUGGAUACAUUAGUGCUAUACAAUGUAGAUCAGCAGUUAUUUGACUCUCUAAUAAUAACUUAUUUGACAGUGAGGGAAUCAAUAAGGUAUUCGGUAGAGACAAAGAUGGAGAUAAAGUAGCAAUCCCAACUUUUGUAACUGGAUACUAAACACCAUUAGCAUUGCAGAUCAUCGACCGUCGUGGUUUUGUCACCGAUGAGAAAUUAUUGGGAUCAUAGGUCAUAUGAUCGCACCUGAAUCGACAAUCCAAUUACUAUCACGUCGAUUGGGGUAGCACAUAUCUUGAUGUUGAUCAGCAGAAUAUGUAGAAAGCACCUGGGCAAUAUCGAGGACAAUAGCUGUUGUUGUUGUAUCAGCAGUUGUAACAGCCACUCUUCCAGAGCUUCCAUCUUGAUCAGCAACAUUUAAUCGAUCAGUCCGUUGAUUUCGCCCUUUGCGCUCUUUCCACCAAGUUGAGUAUCCAUGCAGUUUGAAGCACGCAUCCUGUGUGCGCUCUUUCCUACCGCAAUGAAUACAGCUAUCUUUCCCAGUUGGCAUCACAGAUUGGGCCACUAUGAUCGGCUCAUUCUUCUUUCCCUUGGAUGCCAUGACAGUGCCGAUUGGACUAUCUCCGCCUGUCAGCAUUACCGAUUGCCUAUUAUUCUCAUGUCAAACAUAGGCAUAUGCCUCUUCUACUAUCGGAAAAGGUUUCAAUCACAGAAUAUCACUCUGAAUUUGAUCCAAUUGAUCAUCUAACCCAUCGAGGAAAGUGUAUACCCUCUCCUCCUAAAUGAGAGAGUUAUACCUGUCGAUAUCGACAGCACACUCCAUUGGGUUCGACCGACGAAAGUCAAUUUCUCUCCACAAGCCUUGCAGGUUGUUGUAGUACUUCUCAAUCGGCCCGCCAGCUUGUCUUAACCUGGUCACCCUCCGCCUCAACUCAUACAACUGGGAUAUAUUAGCCCUAUCAAAGUAUGUAGUAGCAAUAGCAUCCCAUACCGCUUUUGCUGUAGGAAACGGAUGAAGGUACCGAUCAAGGAUGGGUCCAUAUUGUUUAUCAGCCAUCCUUUCACAAUAGAAUCUUCAGUCCGCCACCGUCGGUAUGCCGGAUCUGUCGGUGAGGUUGAGGGAAUUCACCAUUGAUAUUUCCCAACUUGCCCUUCCCGGAGAUGUAUAUCUCGACAACUUGGGACCAUAAGGCAUAGUUGGUGUCGUCCAACUUAAUGUCGAUUUGAACCGUAGAUGAAUCAGUACUCGGUGAAGGCUUCUGACAUCUAUUCAGGACUUCCAUCAUUCGGGUGGCCAAUUCCUCUAGAACUAUGUCAUCCUGCCCUUUCUCACCUUACAUGAGCACAGAUGAUUCAGCCAUGGUUAUUGCUCAAAGAUUAUCAGAGUAACACUUUGGAGCAGAGAUCUUAGAAUCCCUACUCUGACACCAUGUUAAGAAGAGAGAAGCUUAGAGAGAGAGAGAGAGAUUGGGGAAGUUUUUCAUGUAUUUCUCUUAUCAAUAUACAAAGAUACAAGUGCCUAUUGAUAGGUUUACACAAGAGUAGUAAUUAGAGUCCUACCAACUACCAACUACUAACACCUAUCAAAUCCUUAAUUGAUACACAUUAACUCCUAAUAGGAUAUUUACAACUUCACCUACCAACUACUACAACUCAAUCCAACAUUUGGCAGUUCAAGGAACCAUGAAAGUCCAUUGCAUCAUCCAUAAACCAAUCUAACAAACUUCGAAACUUUCAUUGUGGGAACAUUUUCUCAUAUUGUUUCACUGUCAGAUACCAUGUUGAAUCUGAAGAAACUAAGGCAUUUGUGCAUUAGGAGAAAGCCUAUAUUUUAUUCCACUUUUCGAUUGCCCACCAACAAUCUUGGCAAUUCUGCACAGUUAUGCAAUUUAGAUACUUUCUCUGACACAAUUCUUUCUUCAUGGGAGAAUGCGGACAAGAUAGUCAGAAAGUUUCCCAAUAUUCGCAAGCUGAAAUGCAGCAUCGAACUCCUUGAAUCUGAUUAUCCUGCUUGGGGUACAUCCGACAGGAUUCUAGUACUUGACUCUCUAAGUCAACAAGAAUCACUUAUUUUGAAGUUGAAAAGCUAUGUUCAAUGCCAAUUUGAGUUUCAAUUCUCUUCCACUAUUAAAAAAUUGACUCUUUCGCGCAUUUACUUCCCUUAGACCAAAAUAUCAGUAAUCGAAAAUCAACCUAAUCUUGAGGUUCUCAAAUUACUUGAGGGGGAAAAUGGAACAUGGAAGAAUAGGGGUCCCUAAAAGGUAGUUUCUUGAAAUUGGCUUCCCUGGAUAUUAUCAAGUGGACUGUCUCUGAGUACAUGGAAUGUUUUCCAAGGAUAAGGAAAUUAAAUUUGGAAGAUUGUCAUUUUUUGGAGAAGAACCCUUCUUCUUUGAGGAAUUCAAGUCUUGAAAUAAUUGAGGUGUCUAAUUGUUCCUACUCUGCAAGUUUUAUAGAGCCACUUCAAGAGAUACAAAUGCACAUGGGAAAUUUUCAUCCAAAGAAAUGGACUACGGAUCUUCUCAAAUUUAUUUAGUCUGGACAAUCAAUUUAUUCAUUUUAUUUUUCUCAAUUUUUUUUUUUUACUUUUGUACUAUAACUAGUUGUGUUGCAUUAGUCUAACAUCAAGAUCAAGUUGCUCAUUUUGUUUUAUUGUUCAUUAUCCCGUCUCAAACCUGUGUGGUAGGAUCACUUCCUAGGAUAUUUGUUGUUUCUAAAUAUUUAAAUGAAUGAAGCAACUGUUUUUGUUUUUCAAAUUUUAGUUAUGCUUUCAAGAAUAGCUACAAAUUUAGUCAAUCUUUUCAUACCGUUAGUUCGUAAUUUGUUUACAAAAAAGAACGAAUGCCAUCGACUAAUUUAAUUACUAGGAUUUCAUAAUUUAUCAAUUCUUUUUUCCAUUGUCUACCUCUACAAUUUCUUUCUGCUAGGUUUAGUAGUCUAGCUGUCCAACCCGAGCCCAAUAAUGAGAUAAAUGAGUAUUUUGUACCCACUUGGUACUUGCGAAUCUUUCCUCCUCCUCCUUCUCCUUUUUGUCCCCAAUUUGCCACUUGCAUUAUUCAAUUCUGUUGUUUAGUCUGUCUUCGUAUUUUACACCAGGAGUUUUACAAAAAAAUCUCUCGUCUUAGUGGUUAUAAUUACAAUGAAUUUAAAUAUGCUAAGGGUACCAACUCAAGUGUCAUAUGCACUAGAUCAAGAAACUUUUAGAGGGCCCGCAUCCUACUCUGAGAGGAGUUUUGAUUAGACAUCAAAUGAAAAGAGUAAGUUAUAAGACUUUGGACCAUUAAGCAUUUUAUAAUAUUUAAUCUCUUUUGUGUUUUCAGUUUUAUGUGCCUUUUGAGUCUUGGAAUUAUUUUCUAGGAUUUUGUACUCUUUUUUUGUUAUGGUAAAUCUGUUACUCCUUCGCCAAAUAGAUGUAGGUUAAUUCAACCGAACCACAUAAAAUUUUGUAUUUUUCUGUUUUUUUUAUUUGCUUUGUUAUUAUCUUUAUUGGGUUGCCACAAACCCCACUGUUCUGAUUGAUCAAUUUUUUGGAACCAGACCUAGCAAACUGGUAUUAGAGUUUCAGGCUUUGGGUUCAGUGACAACAAUGAUGAUAACAGACUAUCAAUAUCAAUUUCGAAAUAUUGAUUUAACGCUACAGAGAGUGAAGAAAAAUCUCCCAUUGGAGUUUAGUUGAAUUUUGAAGAAGAGCUAUUUCGCCUGUUGGAACUUGUUGAGGAUGAAGCAAGAUUAUUAUGUUUGAUAUUUUAGCCCAUUGGGAUAUGUUGAAUCUUUUGUGAGUUUUGAUCCGUUGGGACCUAUUAGGGGGGGAGGGAUGUGUUGGGUGGUACGGCGGGAGGGAGUGUAAUUGUGAGAUCUUGGGUUCGAGUUCUCUUGUUUACACUUAAAAAAAAUAAUAAUAAUAAAAAAAGAUCCGUUGGGACCUAUUGAAUCUUUUGCAUCUUGGCUCGUUAGUGGGUCAUUGAGGUCUAUUGGCACUUUUGUGGUUCAUUGGGAUUCAUUGAGACUUUGUGAAAAAAGUGGAGUAUGUUUGCUAUUUUUACACGCCAAGAUGGAGAUAUUGAAUUUAAUUUUUGUAUCCCACAUUAGAAGUUUUAUAAAGAAAUCUCUCCUCUUACUAGUUAUAAAUACAAUGCAUUUAAGUGAAUUUAAAUGUGUUAAGGGCAUCAGUCCAAGUGCCCUGUAUGCACUAAUCCAAGAGAAUUUUAGGAGACCCACAUCCAAUUUGAGAGGAGUUUGGGUUAAACAUCAAACGAAAAGAGCUAAUUAUCAGACUUUGGACCGUUAAACAUUUUGAAUUAUUUAGUUUCUUUUGUAUUUUCAGUUUUAUGUGUCUUUUGGCCUUGAAAUUAUUUCCUAGAAUUUCAUACUCUUUCUUUUAUAUUCUUUUUUAGUUAUAAUAAAUUUGCUACGCUUUCGCCGUCGUCUUUGGACUAAAUUGGCUCCCCUUUCGCCCAUAAAUAUAGGUCAAUUCGACCAAACCAUGUGUUUUAUUUGCUUUAUUAUUAUUUUUAUUGAAUUGUCAGGAAUCCUCUUAUUUUCAUUGGUCAAUUUCUUGAGACCAGACGUGACAAAUUCUGCUUGGAGUCUCGAAAAAGGUACUUGCAUAUAAAUACUCCUUGGUAGAUCAACUUGCGUUUCUUUUUUGUACUUUUAUUCCCAUCACAAGACCUUUUGACCAGGAAUACCAAUAGUGUUUUCAGACCUGGAUUAUCUGACUAACUGGAUCUAAAAGAUGGAUCAAAACGACUUUCACACUCUUAGGUUCACAUUGCUCAAGUAAUGAUUUUAUUCUAAUAACUAAUUGAAACACAAAAUCAUUGCCAGCUAGACGUAACCAUGAUACACAAACAAGAAUAUGAUACUGCGCACUAUCCUGCGGGUUCAAUUCAACGGAAUCAAACAAUUCUGUAUUUGGUUUUUAGUGCUCGAAGUUGGGUCAGCCAAAAAAACCAGCUGGAAUAGUGGAAACGGUGCGACAAUGAGACAAAGGGUGAGUCCCACUUUAAUAUAAUACAAGUGGAAUCCUAGAUGUAGAAAUAUAAGAAGGCGGGCCCCUCUUCAUCGAAAGAAAUUAUCUUUUCGUGGAUACAACACUUCAAAAAUAAAUUUCAAAAUUAAUCAAAUUUGCCCGACAUAGAGGCAAUUAAGAAAGCCGCAUACGUAAAUAUAUAACCAGUCAUAUGAAAAGCAUAUUUCGUGAACUGACCAAAUUACCAAUCUCUUGCUAUUUAUAAUCUCACCACGAAAGUUUUGAACUACAAUAAAAUAGUCAAUAUGAGCUCUCGAUAAUGUGCAUGUUAUGAGAACAUUAUCAAAUUAACCGGCUCAUUAAUAUCUUUUUUCAUAUUCUUAGUAAGUAUUAUAAGGAGUCAAUAAAAAUCAAAGGUUAUGAGCAAGUUGUUGAAACUAUUUAGACAAAAAAAAAUGUCAAAGAUAAACAAAUGGAAAUAGAGUCCUACUAAUUUUUAGCAUUUCCCGAAAGAUGAUAAACAGCAUGCACUGGUUCAAUUUUCUAUGACCUGCUGACUCUAUAUAAGAUCAGGUUUUUUGGGUCAAUAAUUCAGCUACAAAAUUAUUCCUUAUGAAUAAAUAAUAUAUAUAGUUGUGAGUCUAUAUACUCGCAACUAUGGAGGAAAUUUCCAAAUCAUAAGAGUUUUAAGAAAGGGUCCCAAAUAGUCAAGGUUUUGAAAAAAAAUUCAAUAAAUGUGAUUUCUUAAUGAUGCAUUCGUACGUUAUUUAAGUAAUAUCUACCUAUAGAAAUAGUAAAAAAAUAUAUAUAAAUACAUCAUGUGAAAAAAAAAGAUUGCAUUUCACUAAAUGUGCUUUUCACAAUUUGAGAAAAAGUUAAAAAAAAUUACUCCCUCCGUCUAGGGCUGCAAACGAAUCCAGCCGCUCGCGAGCGGCUCGAGUCGAGCUCGAGCUGGUUCGAGUCGAAAUCGAGCUCAAAAUAUUAAGCUCUUGCAAGCUCGAGUAUAUAUAUAAUAUUUUUUAUUUUUUUUAUUUUAAGUAUAUAUAUAUUUUUUAUUUUUAAGUAUAUAUAUUUUUUAUUUUAAUAGUAAAAUUACAUAUAUAUCCUUAAUAUUUUUAUUAUUUAUUAAAAAAUAUAUUAUUUUAUUUAUUUUUUUUAAAAAUAAAAUAAUUAUUUUUUUAAUUUUUUUCGAGCUCGAAAAUUGCCGUUCGUCGAGCUCGAGCUCGAGCUUGGUAAAAUUUAGUCGAGGCUCGGCUCGAUUAACCCAAAACUCGACUCGACUCGACUCGACUCGUUUGCAGCCCUACCUCCGUCCCAUUUAUUUAGUUAUAUUUGGGAAAUCCAACUUUUUAAAAAUAGUGAUUUGAUUGUGAUAUUUAUACUUUUCUUUUUAAUUUUAUCCCCACAAAUUCAAAUUUUAAAUUUGAAUGGUAACAUGCAUAUGAUUAGAAAAAAAGGCUAUAUUGGAAAGAGAGAUUAAAAGGUGUUUCAACUUUACUAACAUGACAGUUGUUUUGGGACAUUCCAAAAUGAAAAAUAUAAUAAUUUCAAUGAGAUGGAGGGAGAUUAUCCUUUGAAAUUUUUUCUUAAAAUGUCUCACUUUUUGGGAAUUCAAUAUCCAGAAAGAGUUGAGCACUUGAUUAAACAUAGUGUUGUAGCCUAAUAAGCUUGUCAAAAAUUACUGACCAAAAAUGGCAAGUGAGUUUUUUGGAUGUUUGUCUAAAACUUUAUUAUAACUUACUGUAGAAGUUUUUUAAAAAAUUUUUGAAGUGUGUUUUUUUUUAAUAUUUUGAAGUGUAUAGUUUAAAAACUUUGAGAAGUUUUUUGAGGUUACUGUAGCUAAAUUUUUUUAAAAAACUUGUAAUAAACAAACUUAGCAAAAAAUUUGUCUACCAAACAAGGCCACAGACGAGGAAUUCAUUACUUUUUCACAUGUGAAAUUUCUUAUACUUUCCCUUUUUUUUUGGGCAAAACUGUGAAAGUAAACUGUGAAAACAAGCGCAACAUCUCAGAACAGAACCGGUGUUGUCCCCAUAUCGAGAUAAAAUAAUGCAAGUGAGGAGGAGCCCAAUAAUUCAGUAGCUCUCCACUUCUUCUGCAAUGGAAGUAUAUUUGCAUCAAAGUUUCUGCAAAGAAAAGGCCAAAUUAUCCCACCAGGUGCUAGGCAUUGACAGACCCUCCUUACCAGCACUCCCAAUUGGACUGUACACAAAUUCUCUCGAAAACCUCGACCUAACUUCUUCUGAGCUCAGAGCUUUCCUAGUUUCUGAAAGAGAGAUCUGUACAACUUUUUUCAUCAUUCCUAGCCAUAUUCAUUGACUUGCUUCAUCUCUAAAUUUAACUAAUCUUCCUUUCGUUAAAUGGCCUCCAGUUGUCUUACUUGCAUUUCCGCCAUCUUGGAUGAUCUGCAGUUGCUGGAGGAUCUGUGUCCUAAAGCUCCAGAUUGGGAGGACGAGCUCAUUGACUUGAGGACAUUAAAAAUAUUUCUAGGAACUUUCAGACCAUUUCUUCUAUCUGUGAGAAAGUGGGGCGAUGAUGAUGAUGCAAAUCUGGGAGCACUGGUUGUCAGGAUGAAAGAUUACAUUUCCAAACUGGGACAGGCGAUUCACAAGUUCUAUCUUACUAGUGUGGAAGAUGGAUAUCGUACGGAUCAUGAUAUAGAUAUCCCCGACGAUCUAGAAGAAGAAGAGUCAUCCCUCAAACAAGAAAUCAAGGAUUUAGACAGCUCAUCAAGGUUGUCUAGCAAGUCCCUGGCAAAGAAAGAUGACCUAAUGGAUGUCAUGGACUCUCUUCUGGAGAGCCUUCGGUACGUUUGCUUAAUAGAUGUCUUAGAAGAUGAUGAAGAGCAGGAACUAUGGGAAGACUUAGAAGAGAAGCUAACAUUUUUGAAAAACUUCAUCUGUUUUGUUUCACUUCAUGGCAUCGAUGAUGGGCAAUUGGGACCUUUACUGACUCACACUAAAUCUGUCGCUGUGAACACAGCACACAAUUAUCUCCUGUGGGGCUUUAGAUCAUUCCGGCCAGAAGAAAAUCCUGUUCGGGACCUGCUGCCGAAGAUCAUUCCUGUAGAACCCGAAGUCCAUAGGACUUGUUUCCAGGCCCUGAUUGCUUCAAAGAUAUCAAGACAACCAUACGAGAAAAAAGAUGAGCACAUAUUCAGAGUCUUCAUCGAUACUCUCCUAAUCUAUCUUUGGGAGAUACUAACGACUGGAGCUUGUGUUAUGAUUUCUUUGAAGGAUCGAUUGAAAAUGGUUUAUGACGGGUUGAGGUCCUUGAGAAUCAUUCUCAAGGGGAACCCCGACGUGUUUGAUGAGAAAAUGAGAUAUCUUACUGGACUCCUGCUCUGUGAUGCAGGAGUUGUUAUUUUUUCCCUUUCUCUCAACGAAAUUAAAGAUGGAUCAGUCAAGGAAAUGGAUCUGGAAUCUUUUCAUGAUUUCCUGAAAAGGAUAAAGCUUAUCAAGGCAAUAGUUGCAGAGAAAUAUCCAGAAACAUCACCAUCAUCCAAGUUUCCUCGGACUAAUGAGUUGGGAUUUAUCGAUUUUCUUCUAAAAUAUAUCCGAGAUUUGACAAAUCCUGAUGCUCAUUCAGUUGCUCUUUCAAGCUAUCCAAUUCAUGCAAUCCAUGAAGAACUUGUUUACCUACGCUCCUUCUCGGGAAGAAUUGUGGAAUUGCGCAAUGAAGAUCAGGAGCUUCAAGCACUUUGGGAUCGUGUUGUUGAGGUGGCAUACAAGAUAGAAUUUCUUAUCGACUCCUUGUUGGUUGGAGACAUUCUAGAUUCUUCUUCAAUCUCAUUUGAUUCCGUUGUAGAAGAAAUUAAGAUCAUCAAAGCCGCGGCCUUGAACAUUUUUGAUAGAAAAACACUUGAUCUCAAAGUUAAGGAAGCUACCAAGAGACCAAAUAACAUGCCAUCACAGGGAAGCAUGCCAAUAAUCAAUGACAUGAUCGUGGGAUUGGAGGAUGAGGCAACCUCAAUAAUCAAUCGACUCACAAGAGGAUCCUCCCUUCUGCAAAUUGUCCCCAUUGUAGGUAUGCCAGGACUUGGCAAGACAACUUUAGCUAAAAAAGUUUACAAUAAUCCUUUAGUUACAUCGCAUUUUUAUACAUGUGCUUGGUGUACUGUCUCUCAAGUGUAUCACAGAAAAAAUCUGUUACUUGAAAUUUUGACUGGUAUUCACUCCAAACUUCCUGACAAAUUUUCUGAGAUGUGUGAAGAAGAUUUGGCUGCAGAAGUCAGAAGAGGUCUGCUAAGGACUAGAUAUCUCAUUGUUUUGGAUGAUAUAUGGGACGCCGAAGCAUGGAAGGGAUUGGAAGCAUCAUUCCCUGACAAUCAAAACGGCAGUAGAGUGAUCGUGACAAGUCGAAAGUCUGAUGUUGCUGCUUCGAGAGAUGAACUUGAUGAAGGGCCUCAUUUCCUCCGUCCGCUGACUCCUGAUGAGAGCCGGGACUUGCUAAACAUGAAGUUAUUUCCUGGAAAUGAUUUGCCUCCGCCAGAAUUAUGCGAACUGCAAAUGAAAAUCGUGGAAAUGUGUCGAGGACUGCCACUUACAAUCAUCAUUCUAGCUGGAAUUCUGGCAAAUGAGAACCAACAUGGUUGGAAAGAACUUGUGGAUGGUUUAAGUUCAAGAAUCGUCUCUAGUACAGAACAAUGCUCUGCUGCAAUAGAGUUGAGUUACAAGAACUUACCAGAUAAUUUGAAGCAAUGCUUUCUAUACUUCGGAGCAUUUCCAGAAGACCAUGAACACACUGCUGAGAAGUUGAUUUGGUUAUGGGGGGCUGAAGGAUUUACCCAGAAAACUCAGUUCAAGAGUGCAGAGGAUGUGGCAAAUGAUUUCUUAAUGGAUCUUAUCCACAGAAGCUUGAUCAUUGUUUCCAAGCAAAGGUCCAUUGGUGGUGUCAAAGCUUGUCGCAUUCAUGAUUUGCUGCAUGAGUUUUGUGUGACAAAAGGCAAAGAAGAAAAUUUUCUGCAGCUGGUGCGUGGGUAUGAUGAAAUAUAUACUUUCAGAGUGCCACGCAACCUACGCCGCCUAUGCAUCAACUCUAACCCAGAGCACUUUUGCAAGUCCAGGUUAUUUGCUCCCACAAUCCAUUCUCUAAUACACUCCGAUGGAGGUAAAAGGCACCGACAUUGUGCAUUUGAGAUUUCAUCCAUUUUUGGUAUCUUCAAACUUGUUAGAGUGUUAGAAUUGAGCAACAUAAAUCUAGGUACUACUUUUCCUAGAGAACUAGAAGUACUGGUUCAAUUGAGGUACUUGGCAAAUCUAGGAAAUAUGGAGUCAAUUCCAUCUUCUAUAGCCAAUCUCUCAAAUUUGGAGACUUUCAUCGUGGAAACAUUUCGUGGGGUUGUUUUACUGCCUGAUACUAUAUGGAAUCUGAAGAAGCUAAGGCACUUACAGAUAAGGAACUUUAUGUUACCCGCAGACAAUCUUGACACAGCUGCAGACUUGUGUGAUUUGAAUACCAUCUCCGGUGUGUCUUUUCAUUCUUUGGAUAUCAUCCGCAAGGUAUUCAGAAAAAUUCCUAAUAUCCACAAGCUGAAAUGCAUUCUCGUUUGGGGUAAUGAACAUAAUUGGGUUUCAGCAGACAAGAUUCUAGUACUUGACUUUCCAAGUGGACUAGAAUCACUGAAUCUGAUGUUCGAUCAGUAUACACGUCUUCCUUGCCAGUUUGAGUUUCAAUUCCCUUUGGCAAUCAGAAAGUUGACUCUAUCCGGUUUUCUUUUCCCUUGGAGCAAAAUUUCAGCUAUCGAAAAUCUUCCCAAUCUGGAGGUUCUCAAAUUACUUGAUCGAGCCUUCAAGGGGGAAAUAUGGAACAUGGAAAAAGAGGGCUUCCCUAAAGUAAGAUUCCUGAAAAUAGAUGACUUGGAUGUUGGCAAGUGGACUGCCUACGAGGGCGUGGACUGUUUUCCAAGUCUACAGAAACUAGCAUUGAUAAGCUGUCGCUCUUUAAAGGAGAUCCCUUCUUGUUUGGGGAGUUCGACUCUUGAAAUUAUCGAGGUGUCUCAUUGUCCCUUCUCUGCAAGUUUUAUGGUGCCACUGCAGGAAGAACAAAUGGACUUGGGAAAUACAGACCUGAAGAUCCUUAAUAAGUCAGACUACUAAUCUUCUCAAGUAUCUUUGGUUUGGGCAGCCACUUUCACUCCUUUUACCUGUUUUUUUUCUCCCUAGUCCUUUACUUCUGUACUACUGUACUUCGUGCUUAGGAAUCUUGGGGCUAUUCCCAUUACUACGUUGACUGGCCUUUCUAUUUUCACCUUGCGUUGCACAUGGUGUUUUGCUGGCAGUAAUAAUGGCGCAAAAGAUGCACAGAGGAAUUGUUAAUAUACGUUGUCGGACGUUCAACGGAGCAAAAAAAAAAAAAAUCUAUUAAUUAGAGCGUUAAAAAUACACAAAAGGGUUUUUUACUCUUAGGGUGCGUUUGGUUCUACAGAAUUGGAAUUGCAUUGGAAUUGGAAUUCUAUAAAAUUAGAAUUCUAUGAAUUGGAAUUCCAAAACAUUUGAAUUCUUUUGUUUGGGUAAUGCAUAGAAUUGAUACAUAAUUCAUUUGAAAUUUUAAAUUCUUUGUUUGGAUGGGAGAAGAAUUCAUUAAAAAUUAGAAUUGUUUCCAACUAAUAUUUCCUUACAUAAAAAAUUUCUUUUUUUUACUAUAUAAUAAUUUUUAACAUUUAGCUAAUUGUUACUAAAGCUUUAAGGAAAAAACCAAUUAGUACCUUUAAUAAUUUAUUUUUUCUUGCAUUUAACUAAUUGUUAAUAAAGCUUUAAAAGAAAAAAAAUUAGUUCCCUUUUUGCAAAAAUAAAAAAAUUCUUUUUUUUAAAUUAAAUUAUAUUAAAUAAAAAAUAAUUGUAUAUUCUAACUUAAAAAGUAGUUAAUAUUUAUCGAGUUAAAACCUUGAUACUUUUUUAAAGUUAAGAACUUUAAAUUUUAGAAAAUCAAAAGCCUACUCUAUGAUAUGAAUUGGGAGGAAAAUCAUAACUUGUACCUAUUAUAAAUAUGUGAGUUUUGUAUCUUACAAGAAAUUUCAAUAGAUGAAUACGCAAACAAAAUGUUUUUAGCCAAAAAAGAAAAGAGAAAGAAAAGCACAGUUAUACAUUGCUACUAUUUUUCAAUAAAUGGCCAUUCUAAUAUUAAAUUAAGUUCGAAUAAAUUCCUAUCAAAUUUCAACUUCCAUGAUGGCUUUGUCUAAUUUGAUAGUCAAUAAACAUUGCUCGUGCUAAAGCAUUCCUAAAUUGUGUCCACUCGCUAGUUGGUUGUACUGUUCGAAUUCGAUUCUCGUUAAAAGCAUUUACACCACCAUCAUUAUUUGGACCAUCAUCUUCCAUUCCAUUUUCCUCAUCUUCAUCUUCCAUUUCAUCUUCAUCAUCAACCUCAUGUUGUACUCUUCGCAUCUCAGCAUCAACUUCAUCCAAGUAAGGGUCAUUUGGUUGUUCUACUCGAAUAAGAUUAUGAAGGAUGGCACAUGCAUUAAUUAUCAUGACAUGAGUCUUAACAUCAAAAAAAGAUGCAUCUCUCAAAAUGGCCCACCGCUUCUUGAACAAACCAAAUGUCCUUUCAAUCACAUUUCUAAUUCUAAGCCUCCAAUUCAGUGGGAAGCAAACACACCCUUAAUAUGAUUGUGACUUUAUUCUUCUUCAAGCCACAUAUAUUUCUGUUGGUGAUUAAUUAAAGAAAAAUCAUUUAAAAUAUUUCUCAUAUUUCAUGAAAUAAAUUUUUUCAUCUCACUUUUGAAAUGCUGACUUUACUAGUAGUGUUGCAUCAGUCUACCAUCAAGAUCAUGCUAUUCUUGAAAUGGAUUAUUAUUGUUUCUAAAGAUUUAAAUGAAGCAACCUUUUUUUCAGUUAUAUUUCCAAGAAUGUUUGGGCUUUCUUUAAGUACUCUUAAAAAUUAAGAAUCCUAUGUGGCAUUUUUAUUGAUUCAAACGUUAAGUUCCAGAAUCCCGGUUCGUUGUGCUCUAUCAGCUUCAUCGUUCUGUAUCAUAAAUAAACUUAAACCAUCAAGCAUUUUGUAUGGUACUAACUAGUAUCAAUAAGCAUGAAAAUGAAUCCAGUCUGCCGCCAGAUUUAAUAGAUUGUCUCUUUCUUUUUCCUUUCCCAUGUUGCCACUUGGAUUACACAAUUUUAUUUAGUCCCAAGAAGGUAAGAACACUUUUGGAUAGGGAAUUUGCGUUUCUUUUUUGUACUUUAUGCCAUCAUGCGAACCUUUUCUUCAUUCAUUGCUCACAAGAAAGUCUAACCAGGACUGUCAGACUAGGAUUAUCAGACUAAUUGUUCUGAAAGAUGGAUCAAAAAGAGGUUCAAGCUGAUAGUUUCACAUUGCUCGCUCAAUGAUUUUAUUCUAAUAACUAAUGAAAUUAUCAAACUAGUCAUGAUUAUUGAUUUUUUUUUUCUGCAAGGGAAUCCUCAAUCGCUAUCCGAAAAUAUGCACUGAAUAAACCCUGCCUGUGCAAUAGCCCAUGAUUGUUGAUUCUUGGUACACUAACAAGAAUAUAACAUAGUGUACUACUCCUCGGUUCAAUGGAAUCCAACCAUUCUGUAUUUGGUUUUGUGUUAAAAACUCGGUCAGCCAACCAGAUGGAAUAAUUAAUGGAAAUGGUGUGGCGAUAAGAUAAAGAGUGAAUUCCAAUAAACCGCCUGCAAAAGUGUCUUUGUUCACAUUGCCCCGCUAAACAUUUAAUUGAACAAAUCCAUCCUUGUACUAUUACAAACUUCCCAUUCAACUACCAUUGGGUCUAGCAGCUCAAUUUUAGGUUGAACCAGUCACGUGAAGCAUACAUGGUUUCAUGAACUGACCAGAUUGUAGAACUAAUUAAACUACUAAGAUGAACUCUAGAUAAUUACACCUUUGUAAAGACAUUUGACCUACUCAAACAUAAAAUACGUUGUACUUCACAAUGAUAUUUUCUAUGAGUUUUUCCGAUUUUGAUUGCAAUUUUUUAGAGUUUUUAUAGAAAAAUGCACUGUAACAAUUUGAUGUAUGUGGGAUAAAAAGAUGAUUAGAAAAUGUGUUUACAAAAAAAUGUAAAAAAUUUUAGGGGGAAAAGUGACCAUCAAAACAAGGCUUGAAAAUAAAUUUCAAUUAUGAUAAUAAGCCAAAAGCUAUAAAUAAUAGAAUUUUUGGCAUUAUGGGGAAUUACUAGAUUGUUUUAGAAAAUUUUCGAUCAAGAGUAAAUAAAUAAAAUUUUAUAAUUAAGAAAUUGUGGGUUAAUUUGAUCGCUUUAUGAAAUGAUUAUGUGUUGCAUAUGACUAAUUCCGGUAAAAAUUUGAGCUUCCUGAUUAAAUAGUACCUGAUUGUGAAAAUUGUAAUAACACUAGUGUUGAUUGGUUCAAUUAAAUGUUCAAGGAGGUAAUGUGAAGAAAAGGUAUUUUAAGGGAGUUUAUUGGAAUUAAUCAUAAGAAAAAUUCGAAGGUUUGAAUGAUCUCACAGUAGACAUAAUCAUUAAUAGGAUCAUUUUUUCUUCGAAAACAGAAAAUGUACAAUGGUUUUUAUUAUUUUCAAACUAGGAUUGAUGGUUAAUUGCCACCGAAAUGGUAUUUAAACAUCCAAAAACUAAUGUUUGAAUAUCCAAAAACUAUAUGAACACUUGCAUUAGUGUUGAGAAACUUUUUGUUGGGAUAUCAAGUGUGAAUCAAUAUCCCACAUCGGAAAGAAAUGAGUAGAAUGAGAAACAUAUAAGUAGGAAUGAUCCAUAGACUCAAUACCUUAAGGUUUUGGGUUGGAUGUGGUGUCAACCCCAUGGUUGUGGUUCCCAUUCUAACUCAUGGUUAAAUUCUCUCCGAGUUAGGCUCUCUCUGAGCCCAACAAGUGGUAUCAGAGCCGAUGGUUCGGCUAGGCAGUGACUCCAGGAUAAAAAGCCAGUGGGAGUGGUAAGGCGUGACUUGGAUAAGAGCGAGGAAAAAAAAGAAUCAUGCAGACCUGCAGUGAGGCAAGCGCAUGUGGGCUCUUGAGCAAGAAUCGUACACUCCAAAUUGAAGUGGGCUUGAUGGAGUGGAUGGGCUAGGGAGAGAGGUCCGAUGUGGAAGAGAUCCACAAUUGAGGGGGAGAUUGUUGGGAUAUCAAGUGUGAAUCAAUAUCCCACAUCGGAAAGAGAUGAGUAGAAUGAGAAACAUAUAAGUAGGAAUGAUCCAUAGACUCAAUACCUUAAGGUUUUGGGUUGGAUGUGGUGUCAACCCCAUGGUUGUGGUUCCCAUUCUAACUCAUGGUUAAAUUCUCCCCGAGUUAGGCUCUCUCUGAGCCCAACACUUUUUGAUCAAAAUUCAAGAUGAAGUCACAAAUUAAUGAAGAAAGAUUGCAACCCUUGAUCAUUCUCAAUCUCAACACUAUAAAGAUUUAGUAGGAAUGAUUUGUUGUAUUAGAUCAAAUUUGAAAAUUCUCUAAUACACAUAAGUCUAGGUUCUACUUUUUUUUUUGUUUUUUUGGGUACAUUGGAGAGCCUCUGGCUCAGUACAAGGACACUAGAUGGGGAACUGUCAGUCCCAUGAUAUCCUGGCCCAAAAUCUCUCUCAGUCGACUCGGGGCUACUCCAACCACUUCACUCCCAUUUCUUGCCUCAAACUACUCUUGGCUAAAAAGUCCGCACUCGCAUUCCCUCUCUCCAAGUGUGGACAAGCAUAACUUCCCAUUCCCUCCUCAAUCAUUCCUGUAUCUACUUAACAAGAUUCGAGUAAAGACCUGUGCUAGUGCCAGUCUUCAACAGAGAUAAUGCUGUUAAUGUCUGACUCUAACACCACUUUCCUGUGCCCUUGCUCCCAAGCCAUUUCUAAGCCGUACAUCAUUCCCCACAGCUCCGCCACUACAUUUGUGGUUAUCCCUAGGUUCGCUACAAAACCCCCCUUCCAUAGACCCCUAUCGUCUCGUAUUAGUCAUUUAGUCCCCCUCCUCUUGCCUCUCCUGGGUUAGCUGUAGUAGCCCCGUCUACAUUGACUUUCAUCCAGCCCUUUGGUGGCUUUACCCAACUAAUAGACAUCAACUCCUUCCCCUCCAUCUUACCUUCCUUCUGCAACGCUGUUUGCACUUGCUUUGCUUGAGCUAGUACUUGCCUAUAGCUACAUCUCAGCUUGCUGCCAUCCCCUGCACAGCAAAAAGCAUUUCUAGCUGACCAGGCCAAAUAGACCAAGUUCUCAAAUAAUAAUUGCCAGCAUACCUCCCUAUCUGUCCCAACAUUUCUCUCUCGGAGGUUCCAAAUUCCAAUCCACCCAGUCUUUUAGCUCCAGUCUCUUAAACUGAUCCCAGUCUAGGUUCUACUUUACCAAAAGAACGAAUUACUUGUUCAGCUGAGGUAUUUGGCAGUUCUAGGAACCAUGAAAGUCCAUUGCAUCAUCCAUAAACCAAUCUAACAAACUUGGGAACUUUCAUUGUGGGAACAUUUUCUCAUAUUGUUUCACUGUCAGAUACCAUGUUGAAUCUGAAGAAAUUAAGGCAUUUGCACAUUAGGAGAAAGCCUAGAUUUUAUUCCACUUUUCGGUUGCCCAUCAACAAUCUUGAUGAUGCUGCACAGUUAUGCAAUUUAGAUACUUUAUCUGACACAAUUAUUUCUUCAUGGGAGAAUGCGGACAAGAUAGUCAGAAAGUUUCCCAAUAUUCACAAGCUGAAAUGUAGCAUCGAAAUCCUUGAAUCGGAUUAUCCUGCUUCGGGUGCAUCCGACAGGAUUCUAGUACUUGACUCUCUAAGUCAACUAGAUCACUUAUUUUGAAGUUGAAAAGCUAUGUUCAAUGCCAGUUUGAGUUUCAAUUCUCUUCCACUAUUAAAAAAUUGACUCUUUCGCGUUUUUACUCCCUUGGAGCGAAAUAUCAGCAAUCGAAAAUCAACCUAAUCUUGAGGUUCUCAAAUUACUUGACGGAGCAUUUGAGGGGGAAAAUGGAACAUGGAAGAACAGCGGCCCCUAAAAGGUAGUUUCUUGAAAUUGGCUUCCCUGGAUAUUGUCAAGUGGACCGUCUCUGAGUGCGUGGAAUGUUUUCCAUGGAUAAGGAAAUUAAUUUUGGAAGAUUGUCACUAUUUGGAGGAGAUCCCUUCUUGUUUGGUAAUUCAAGUCUUGAAAUAAUUGAGGUGUCUAAUUGUCCCUACUCUUGCAAGUUUUAUAGAGCCACUUCAGGAGAUAAAAAUGGACAUGGGAAAUUUUCAUCCAAAGAAAUGGACUGCGGAUCUUCUCAAGUUUGUUUAGUAUGGACAACCAAUUUACUCAUUUUAUUUUUCUCUAUUUUUUUUUUACUUUUGUAGUGUAACUAGUUGUGUUGCAUCAGUCUAACAUCAAGAUCAAGUUACUCAUUUUGUUUUAUUGUUCAUUAUCCCGUCUCAAACCUGUGUGGUAGGAUCACUUCCUAGGAUUUUUGUUGUUUCUAAAUAUUUAAAUGAAUGAGGCAGCUGUUGUUGUUUUUCAAAUUUUAGUUAUGUUUUGAAGAAUAACUACAAAUUUAGUCAAGUUUUUCAUACCAUUAGUACGUAAUUUGCUUACAAAAAAGAACGAAUGCCAUCGACUAAUUUAAUUACUAGGAUUUCAUAAUUUACCAAUUCUUUUUUCCAUUGUCUACCUCUACAAUUUCUUUCUGCUAGGUUUUGCAGUCUAGCUGUCCAACCCAAGCGCAAUAAUGAGAUUAAAUGAGUAAUUUGUACCCACCUAGUACUUAUGAAUCUUUCCUUCUCCUCCUCCUCUUCCUUCCUUUUGUCCCCAAUUUGCCACUUGCAUUAUUCAAUUCUGUUGCUGAGUCUGUCUUCAUAUUCGACAUCAGGAGUUUUACAAAGAAAUCUCUCAUCUUAAUGGUUAUCAUUACAAUAAAUUUAAGUGAAUUUAAAUAUGCUAAGGGUACCAACUCAAGUGUCAUAUAUACUAGAUCAAGAAAAUUUUAGAGGACCACACUCUAGUCUGAGAGGAGUUUUGGUUAGAUAUCAAAUGAGAAGAGCAAAUAACGAGACUUUGGACCAUUAAGCAUUUUAUAAUAUUUAGUCUCUUUUGUUUAGUCUCUUUUGAGUCUUGGAAUUAUCUUCUAGAAUUUUGUACUCUUUUUUGUUAUAGUAAAUCUGUUACUCCUUCGCUAAUAGACGUAGGUUAAUUCGACCGAACAACGUAAAAUUUUAUGUUUUUCUAUUUUAUUUAUUUGCUUUGUUAUUGUUUUUAUUGGGUUGCCAAGAACCCUACUGUUCUUAGUGAUCAAUUUUCUAGAACCAAACCUAACAAACUGGUAUCAGAGUUUCAGGCUUUGGGUUCGGUGACAACGAUGAUGAUAACAGACUAUCAAUAUCAAUUUCGAAAUAUUGAUUUAACGCUACACUACAGAGAGUGAAGAAAAAUCUCCCAUUGGAGUUUAGUUGAAUUUUGAAAAGCUAUUUCGCCUAUUGGAACUCGUUGAGGAUGAAGCAAGAUUAUUAUGUUUGAUAUUUUAGCCCAUUGGGAUCUGUUGAACAUUUUAUGAGUUUUGAUCCGUUGGGACUCGAUAAAUCUUUUGCAUCUUGGCUCGUUGGUAGGUCAUUGAGGUCUGUUGGCACUUUUGUGGUUCAUUGGGAUUCAUUUGAGACUUUGUGAAAAAAGUGGAGUAUGUUUGAUAUUUAUGCACGCCAAGAUGGAGAUUAUUGAAUUUAAUUUUUGUAUCCCCACAUUAGAAGUUUUAUAAAAAAAUCUCUCCUCUUACUAGUUAUAAAUACAAUGCAUUUAAGUGAAUUUAAAUGUGUUAAGGGCAUCAGUCCAAGUGCCCCGUAUGCACUAGUUCAAGAGAAUUUUAGGAGACCCACACCCAAUUUGAGAGGAGUUUUGGUUAAACAUCAAACGAAAUGAACUAAUUAUGAGACUUUGGACCGUUAAGCAUUUUGAAUUAUUUAGUCCCUUUUAUGUUUUCAGUUUUAGGCGUCUGCUGGCCUUGAAAUUAUUUCCUAGAAUUUCGUACUCUUUCUUUUAUAUUCUUUUUUAGUUAUAAUAAAUUUGUUAUCCCUUCGCCUCUCGUCCGUGGACUAAAUUUGCUUCCCUUUGGCUCGUGGAUAUAGGUCAAUUCAACCAAAUCAUGUGUUUUAUUUGCUUUAUUAUUAUUUUUAUUUGAUUGUCAAGAUUCCUCUUAUUCUCAUUGGUCAAUUUCUAAAGACCAGACCUGACAAACUCUGCUUGGAGUCUUGCGUUUCUUUUUUGUAAUUUUUUCCCAUCACGAGAACUUUUGACCAGGAAUACCAAUGGUGUUUUCAGACCAGGAUUAUCUGACUGACUAACAAUCUUUCACAAUCUUAGGUUCACAUUGCUCAAGUAAUGAUUUUAUUCUAAUAACUAAUUGAAACACAAAAUCAUUGCCAGCUGUGGCUUCAAUUCAAUGGAAUCAAACAAUUCUGUAUUUGGUUUUUAGUGCUCGAAGUUGGGUCAGCCAAGAAACCAGUCAAGUGAAAAGCAUAUGAUUUCGUGAACUGACCAAAUUACCAAUCUCUUGCUAUUUAUAAUCUCACCACAAAAGUUUUGAACUAUAAUAAAAUAGUCAAUAUGAGCUCUCGAUAAUGUGCAUAUUAUGACAACAUUAACAAAUUAACAGGCUCAUUAAUAUCUUUUCCCAUAUUCUUAGUAAGUAUUAUAAGGAGUCAAUAAAAAUCAAAGGUUAAGAUGAGCAAGUUGUUGAAACUAUUUGGACAAAAAAAAAAGUGUCAAAGAUAAACAAAUGAAAAUAGAGUCCUACUAAUUUUUAGCAUUUCCCGAAAUAUGAUAAACAGCAUGCACAAAAUUAUGACUUGCUGACUCUAUAUAAGAUCAGCUUUUUGGGUCAAUAAUUCAGCUACAAAAUUAUUCCUUAUGAAUAAAUAAUAUAUCUAAUUGUGAGUAUAUAUACUAGCAACUAUGGAGGAAAUUUCCAAAUCAUAAGAGUUUUAAGAAAGGGUCCCAAAUAGUCAAGGUUUUGAAAAAAAAAAUUCAAUAAAUGUGAUUUCUAAACGAUACGUUCGUACGUUAUUUAAGUAAUAUCUACCUAUACAAAUAGUAAAAAAAAAUUUAUAAAUCCAUCAUGUGAAAAAAAAAAGAUUGCAUUUCACUAAAUGCUAUAUUCACAAUUUGAGAAAAAGUUUUAAAAAUAUUACCCUUUGAAAAUUUUUCUUGAAAUGCCUCACUUUUUUGGGAAUUCAAUAUCCAGAAAGAGUUGAGCACUUGAUUAAACGUGUAAUUGUUGUAAACUAAUAAGCUUGUCAAACAUUACUAACCGAAAAUAAGGAAAUAAAAAUAUUCUAGCAGAUUACGACGAGGAAUUCAUUACUUUUUCACCUGUCAAAUUUCUUAUACUUUCCUUUUUUUUUUUUUGGCCAAAACUAUGAAAGAAAGCAUGUGAGCAAGUUGCUCGACAAAAGCGAAAACCUUAGCGAAUAAUUCAGUAGGAUUGAUUGGCUUUUCACAUCUCAGAACAGAACCGGUGGAGUCCCCACAUUGAGAUAAAAUAACGCAAGUGAGGAGCCCAAUAAUUCAGUAAAAGAAAUAACUAUAUCCAGCCAAGAAUAGGAGUAAAGAAAGAUUAAUAUCAGCCAGAUGUGAAAUAUAUAUAUUUGCAUCAAAGUUUCUGCAAAGAAAAGGCCAAAUUAUCCCACCAGGUCCAGCUAGGCAAUGACAGACCCUCUUUACCAGCUCUCCCAAUUGCACUGUACACAAAUUCUCACGAAAACCUCGAUCUAACUUCUUCUGAGCUCAGAGCUUUCCUAGUUUCUGAAAGAGAGAUCUGUACAACUUUUUUCAUCAUUCAUUGGCUUACUUCAUCUCUAAAUUUAACUAAUCUUCCUUUCGUUAAAUGGCCUCCAGUUGUCCGAAAACCUCGAUCUAACUUCUUCUGAGCUCAGAGCUUUCCUAGUUUCUGAAAGAGAGAUCUGUACAACUUUUUUCAUCAUUCAUUGGCUUACUUCAUCUCUAAAUUUAACUAAUCUUCCUUUCGUUAAAUGGCCUCCAGUUGUCCUACUUGCAUUUCAGCCAUCUUGGAUGAUCUGCAGUUGCUGGAGAAUCUGUGUCCUAAAACUCCAGAUUGGGAGUACGAACUCAAUGAAUUGAGGGCAGUAAAAAUACUUCUAGGAAUUUUCAGAACAUUUCUUCUCUGUGUGAGAAAGUGGGGCGAUGUUGAUGAUGCAAAUCUAGGAGCACUGGUAAUUAGGAUGAAAGAUUACAUUUCCAAUGUGGGACAGGCGAUUCACAAGAUCUAUCUUACUAGUGUGGAAGAUGGAUAUCGUAUGGAACUUGCGGAACAUAUCCCCGAUGAUCUAGAAGAAAAAGCGUCAUCCCUCGUAGAAGAAAUCAAGGAUUUAGACACCUCAUCAAGGUUGUCUAGCAAGUCCCUGGUAAAGAAAGAUGACCUAAUGGAUGUCAUGGACUCUCUUCUGAAGAGCCUUCGGUACGUUUCCUUAGAAGAAGCCUUAGAAGACGAUGAAGAACUAUGCGAAGACUUAGAAGAGAAGCUAACAUUCUUGAAAAACUUCAUCUGUUUUGUUACACUUCAUGGCAUCGAUGAUGGGCAAUUGGGACCUUUACUGACUCACACUAAAUCUGUCGCUGUGAACACAGCAUGUGCAGAGGCCCUAUUCUGGGCCUAGACACGUGGCAGCCCAGGCGGGGCCGAGCUGGGCCUCGGCCUCAGGCCCCUGGCAGCAGCCCUGGGCCGCCCUGUUAGGGCUCGUAAAGGAGGCAGGAGUCCAUCCCGAGGAGGUCGGGGAUAAUCCCCCUGAGUGCGGGAUGCUGGCUAUUCCGGGCAAGUCCCGAAACGUACGGAGGUCGGACUCCCUCAACAGGUAUAAGUAGUAGCAGACAUCAACUGUACAAGGUACGCUCACUAUCGGCAAAUGACCUCCGAUCGUCAAUACUCCCUGUGAACCCUAAUCACCGGAAAGCUAACUUGACCGUCGGAGUGCCCUCGGGGACAACCCUCGGGCCCCCCUUUUUACUAGUUCAUCCUUGUUUGUUUUGCAGGCUUAGGAUCAGCUCUUCCAUCAGCACCCCGAGCUCAUCAGUUCAACUCGGUCCGGGGAAGCUCAGCGCUUCUUCAGUUGGCGCCGUCUGUGGGAACCGUAAGGUAAGUGAGAUUGUGUCGAUGGCCAGGACGCGAUCCAAGCGCACGGUAGAGAGCACCGGCCCUGGGGGCGGUGAGGGGUCCCAGGGAAAGGAGGCUGAGGCGUCCCGGGGCGCCGGGGGAUCAGCCCUUUCGGGGGAACGGAGGCAACAGAUCUUCCAGUUCGUGACGGAGAAUCUACCCAUGCUGGAGGAUAUAAUCCGACAGGCGAAGGAGGGAGACGGGGCUGGGGGUGCGCAGACCUCCAAGGCCAAGGGGAAGGAGAAGGAGUCACCCCCUGAUCCUUCGGAGGAUGAGUCACGAGACCAGCCCCCCAGGAGGAAAUGACCACGGACUCCACCUCGCCCGCGAGCCUCGGUGGUCGGAGACAGCGAGAGGUAUUCCCGCGACCGGUCCGCAAGGAGCCGUCCCAGAGACCCCUCCCCGCGGAAGCCCACACGGAAUGGGUUCGAGCGUUCCCCUGCUCGGUCUGUCAAGAGCCGACCCCGCGACCCCCUUUAUCUGGAACCUGCCCGGGAUGAGCUCGAGCAGAUCUUGAGGCCCCGGCCGUACGAGGACAACUACGCAAUCUCGCCCUUUACCCGGGAGAUAGAGGACUACCCGCUACCCCGGAGGUUUAAGAUUCCGAGCAUCGAGAUGUACGAUGCCUCUACAGACCCGGAAGACCACCUCUCGGUCUUCCUGACGCAUAUGCGCCUCCAAACCGCCGCGAACGAAGUCCGCUGCAAAACUUUCCCUAUGUUCCUGAAGGGGAAGGCACGGCUCUGAUUCCAGGGACUGGCACCGGGGUCUAUACGGAGCUUUCCCGAGCUGGCUCGGCAGUUUGCAGCCCAGUUCGUCUCCUCGAAGGUUUACGCGAGGAACGCAACCCACCUGAUGUCCAUCCGGCAGAGGCCCGAUGAGUCGCUGAGGAAUUUCAUGACCCGCUUCAAUGCGGAGAGCUUGCAGGUCAGGGAGAAAGACGAAAAAGUGGCGAUGGCCGCCUUCACCAAUGGGCUCAGGGUAGAGGAGCUCUUCUACGACCUGGCCAAGAAGCCUCCCGCAAACCUGGAGGAGCUCUUACGCAGGGCGCAUGAGGCUGCUAAUGCGAAGGAGGCAGGUCGCCUGAAGAAAGAAUCAGAUCGGGAGCUCGGAGAUCGGAAAGGUCGGACAAACCCCCCAGAGGGCAAGGACGUUCCGUCCAAGAAAAACGUUUUCGAUCGGCUCUCGAAAGAGAAGGCCCCUGCUCCGCUGCCACUCCCAGAGAAGACCUACACCCCUCUGACACGGCCCAGAGCCCAGAUCUUGGCUGUUAUGGAAGCGGAAGAGCUGGGAGAUCGGCCGCCCAAAAUGGGGACGCCACGGAACAAAAGGAACCAGGACAGAUACUGCGCCUUUCAUCGCGACGUCGGACACGACACGGAGGGAUGCUGAGCCCUGCGUAAGGAGAUCGAGGACCUGAUCCAGCGCGGCUUUCUAGGGCGGUUCGUACGCCGACCAGGUCGAGAGCCCGGGCGCAACAACUACGGAGAUAGGUACGAGGGACAGCGUCGCGAUUGCCCAGAGCGGCGUGACGCUCCUCGAAACCACUCUCCCGACUGGGACGGCCAGAACCUAGCGGGGGUGAUAAACACCAUCGCUGGAGGUCCCACGGGCGGAGACAGUCACACAGCUCGGAAGAACAAGCGACCACCCCCCGACGGGGACGACUCCCUGAAACGGUUGCGCAUGGAGGAGGAGAUCACCUUCGGGCCAAGGAAUGCGGUCCCCUUACCAUCCGGGAACCACGAGGCCAUAGUGAUAGACGUGGUCACCAACAACUACCGGGUGAAGAAGGUGUAUGUCGACCAGGGUAGCGCGGUUGACAUUAUGUUCUAUCGGGUGUUCAAGGAGCUCGGGUUGAAGGACGACCAGUUGACCCCGGUUCGAACACCUCUGGUGGGUUUCACCGGACCACCUGUUAACCCAGAGGGAAUGAUCACCCUGAUGGUCACGGUAGGGCAAGCCCCCAAAUGCCGGACCAUCCCUGUCAAUUUCGUGGUGGUCAAGCAGCAAUCCUCAUACAACGUGUUCCUGGGUCGGCCAGCUCUGAACGCCCUCCGAGCUAUUCCGUCCACCCUCCAUCUCAGUGUGAAGUUCCCCACUCCAGGAGGGAUAGCCGAGGUGCACGGUGAUCCAGAGGUGGCCAGAGCUUGCUACUUGGCCAAGCUCCGCGGGCCGGAAAAGAUGGUCGCCCAGACGACUAGUUUGGAGCCCUACAUCCCAGGGGACGAGACACAGCAGUUGGGCACACAGGACGAGAUUGAGGAAUUCCCCUUGAGGGAGGAGCGGCCCGACCAGGUCUUCCGCAUCGGGGCAUUUCUGCCAGCCGAGGAGAAGGAAGGCUUGAAGGCCUUGUUGAGAGAGUACUCCCAGGUCUUCGCAUGGACGGUGGAGGACAUGCCCGGGAUCCCUACAGACCUGGCAGUCCACCACCUCGACGUGGACCCUCACUUCAAGCCAGUGAAGCAGAAGAAAAGGAGCUUUGCCCCCGAGAGGAAUGAGGUGAUCAAGGCGGAGGUAGGCAAGUUGCUGGAGUCCAAGAUCAUCCUGGAGGUCUACUACCCGACCUGGCUGGCCAAUCCCGUCCUGGUCAAGAAGGAGGACCAGACCUGGAGGAUGUGCGUAGACUUCACGGACCUCAACAAAGCCUGCCCGAAAGACUAUUUUCCCCUGCCAAGGAUCGACAGGUUAGUAGACUCUACCGUGGGUUUUGACGUUUUAUGCUUUCUGGAUGCCUUUAAGGGAUACCAUCAGAUCGAGAUGGCUGAGGAGGACCGCGAUAAGAGCUCCUUCAUCACCGAGGAGGGAACCUACUGCUAUAGGACCAUGCCGUUCGAAUUGAAGAACGCGGGAGCUACUUACCAGCGCCUGGUCAACAAGUUGUUCCAAAAUCAGAUCGGCAAAAACAUGGAGGUAUAUGUGGACGACAUGAUCGUCAAAAGCCGAACUGACCAGCGGCUCCUACCCGACCCGAGGGAGAUCCUGGACAUCCUGCAGGAAAGCCGGAUGCGCCUAAAUCCGAAGAAGUGCACCUUCGGGGUCAGAUCAGGAAGGUUCCUGGGUUUCCUGGUGUCCCGGGAGGGAAUCCGGGCCAACCCGGAUAAGCUCCAGGCCAUCAUGGACAUGGCCCCCCCGAGGAACGUAAAGGAGGUCCAACGGCUCACGGGGAGGAUGGCAGCCCUGAGCAGGUUCCUCUCGCGCUCCGCGGUCAGGGGGCUGCCCUUCUUCCGAGUACUGAAAGCGCCUAAGGAUUUCCACUGGACAGAUGAGUGCCAGAAAGCCUUCACCGACCUGAAGGCCUAUCUGGCUGAGCUGCCCACUUUGACCGCCCCGGAGCUAGGAGAGACUCUGUUUCUCUACCUGUCCGCCUGCAACGAGGUCAUCAGCGCGGUUUUAGUGCGGGAGGACGGGGGGGUUCAGAGACCGGUGUACUACGUUAGCCGCGCUCUACAAGGGCCAGAGACGAGGUACACGCCCGCGGAAAAGCUGGUCCUUGCCUUGGUACACGCUGCUCGCAAGCUCCGCCCUUACUUCCAAACUCACAGCAUUGUAGUCCUGACCGACCAGCCCCUGCGUCAGAUACUCACCAAGCCCGAGGUCUCGGGCAGGAUGACCAAGUGGGCCGUCGAACUGGCCGAGCAUGACCUUAGUUAUCGGCCUCGCACCGCGAUCAAGGCUCAGGCCUUGGCAGACUUCCUUGCGGAGGGGGCUAACUUAAACCUGACCGAGUUAGCCCCGACACCCACGGACACCCCGGCUGAGGAGCCGUGGGUGCUGUUCGUGGAUGGCGCCUCGAGCAAGGAAGGGAGCGGAGCUGGCCUGCCGCUCACCUCACCCACCGGGGAAGAACUGACAUACGCGCUUAGAUUCGAUUUCCCGGCAUCCAACAACGAGACGGAGUACGAGGCCCUGUUGACGGGGUUGCGGAUAGCCCACCAGAUGGGCAUCACCACGAUCAGAGUCCGGAGUGACUCUCACCUCGUCGUCCUCCAGGUCCGCGGGGAGUACGAAGCCAAGGACGAGGUUAUGAAGAAAUACCUGGCUAAGGUACGAGAGGUGGUGGCCUUGUUCGGAACAUUUGAAAUCGAGCGGGUGCCGAGGUCCCAGAACAAGCGGGCAGACGCCCUUUCAAAGUUGGCGUCCUCCUCAUUUGCCCAUCUGAGCAAGGAAGUCUUGGUAGAGGUGGUAAAACAAAAAAGUAUCGACCAGGUCCAGGUCCUGGUUAUAGACAGCUCGGCCACUUGGAUGACACCCCUCAUAGACUUCCUCAGCUCGGGUACCCUCCCCGAGAGCAAAAUCGAGGCCCGCCGAAUCCAGCUCCGAGCUGCCAAAUACGCCUACGCUGGGGGAACCCUCUAUAGGAGGUCAUACUUGUCCCCAUGGCUAAAGUGCGUGACCCCGGAAGAGGGCGACUAAGUACUUCGGGAAGUCCAUGAAGGCCUAUGUGCGGCACAUGUAGGAUCUCGGGUACUGGCGAAAAAGUGUCUCCUUCUUGGCUACUAUUGGCCCUCCGCCUUCCGAGACGCCGCAGAACUGGUACAGAAAUGCCGAGCUUGCCAGGUGCACUCCUCGCUGCGCCACCAGCCAGCUCGGGAAAUGAUCCCCAUUCACAGUCCCUGGCCUUUCGCCCAAUGGGGGAUAGACCUCCUAGGUCCUUUCCCCCGAGCUCCUGGAAGGUACGAGCACCUCGUGGUGGCCAUCGACUACUUCACGAAGUGGAUGGAGGCCGAGCCCCUGGUCUCUAUUUCGGGGAAGGCGAUUCAGAAGUUCUUUUGGAAGAAUGUAGUUUGUCGUUUCGGAAUUCCACAUGUUCUGAUAUCUGACAAUGGGCGCCAGUUCGCCGAAAACCCCUUCAGGGACUGGUGCGCCGAGCUCGGGAUCAAUCAACACUUCACGUCGGUCGGCCAUCCCCAAGCUAACGGUCAGGUGGAGAACGCCAACCGAACCAUCUUGCAAGGACUAAAAACUAGGCUGGAGCUAGCCCAGUCUAACUGGUUGGAGGAGCUCCCUAGUGUUCUCUGGGCCUAUCGCACCACGCCUAGGGCGGCUACUCACGAGACCCCGUUCUCCCUGACGUAUGGGGCAGAGGCAGUGGUCCCCGCGAAAAUCGGCCUCCCAUCUCCUCGGACCCAGAACUUCGUUGCGACAGCCAACGAAGAAGAGUUGAGCUGCAACUUGGACAGGGUGGAGACCAAGCGGGAGGAGGCAGCAAUUCGGAUGGCUAAGUACAAAAGCCAGCUCGCCCGCUACCACAACGCCCGAGUAAGGAGCAUACAGUUCCAGCCAGGAGACCUGGUCUUGCGAAAGAACUCGAUCAGCAGAGCUUACAGUUCCAACAAACUCGACCCAAACUGGGAGGGCCCGUACCUGGUCCUUGAGGUGAGCCGAGCUGGCUACUGCAGGCUCGCCAAGGUGGAUGGAUCUGAAGUACCUCGUACUUGGCACUUCUCCAAUUUGCGACUGUUUGUAGCAUAGGUUAGACCAGGGUGUUCAGUUGCCUGUUCUUUGAAAUCUGAAUUUUUGUUUUAUCAUUCAAUAAAAGAUCGACUUCACAGCUUGCACUUAUACUUGUUCUAAUUUCACUUGUACUUGUUUCCUUUCGAAAGCUCAAGUUUGCACCUUGCACUAGCACACUUAGCGAUCCCUCACUAACUGUCCUAGUGGGGGGCUAGGGGUAGUAGGGGGUUUGGUGUGAAGCGUUCGACCCAGGGGUCGGUACGAACGCGCUUAAUGUUUAAGUACUCAGCUCCAAGGGGCUGGCACAUGAUGUUCGAUCCCAAGAGGUCAAGUGUUCGGCCCAGGAGGUCGGCACGACUGGGAAUUAGGAAUCCGGGGGAAGUGCUCGGCCCAGGAGGUCGACACGAUGGAGAAAAACUUGGAAGCUUGGGAGGAUUCUAGAAACUCCUCGCUCGACCCAGGAGGUCGGCGAAAGAGGAGUUCGAUGCCCGACGUGCGAUCUCGAGAGGUCGGCACGGGCCUUCGAGUCCGGGGGCUCCGCGUUCGACCCAGGAGGUCGGCAGGAACGCCCUUAAUGUUUAAGUGCUCAGCCCCAAGAGACUGGCACACCCCAUUAGUGGGUCUAUCUGGUGUUCGACCCUAGAGGCCGGCGCAUGAUUUUAAUAGUUAGAUUGCCGAUUGGGCCACUCCAUGACUGGAUUGAAAAGGUAACGCGUUGAGUGCUCGGCCCAGGAGGUCGGCACAUGGCGUUGCGGGCAGACAAGGAAGGCAGAAUAACUCUUCAAAAUUUCGCAUAUGCAUUCAAAGCCUAUCUAUUACAAAGCUUCCGAGCUGCCUAUCUGCUGCAAAAUGUGCCGAGCUAUGAAGAGAAUACAGCUUGAGCCUCCUUCCUUUUGCUGGUAGUCCGCCUGGAGCAGGAGCUGAAGGUACACCUUAAACAUGCUGAGAGGCGUAUGGUGAAGGCUUCCCAGGUGGGAGAACCUUUCCGUCUCAGAUGGACCUCCAAGAGCAUUUUCAACUGGAGCAUGGUCACAUCCUUAUAAGAAGACGGAAAGGGUUUUUGGAGUGGCCGCCGCCCUAGACCACCGGCUCCUUCCCAGCAGCUCUGCCAGGAGACUCGCUCUCCUCCAAAGGGACCUCCGCCAGCUCGGCCCCAACGUCGGUUCGGCCUACCAACCCCUUCAGGGCAUGCCCCUUGCGGUACCCGUCGAAGAGCCAGUCCAGCCUCUCCUCGGCCGCGGGAUUGUAGUCCUUGAAGUCCGCCAAGUUGAAGCCAGGAAGGUUGAGGCUCUUCACCUUGUCCAGGGCCCGCGUAGCGCCGACCUGGAGGAUGGGCAGGUUAAGGAGGGCGAUGUCCUCCUCAAACUGCUCGGAAGAAAGGAACUCCCGGACAGCCUUCUUCCGCUCCCGGCUGACGGUGCCGGAGAGCUCGAGGGCGUGGUCCUCCUUCAGCUUGGCCACGCCUGCCUUCUCCUGGUCGAGCUCCGACCUGGUGGAGGCAAGUUGGACCUGAGCCUCGUUCAACUCCCCCUCGGCCUUGGCCAGUUUGGCCUUAAGGGAGCUCGCCUCCUUAAGGGCCUGGGAGAGCUUCUUCUCCGCCUCCAGGUUCUUCUUCCGCAACUUCUCCAGGUCGGGAGACAGCUCGGAGAAGCGGGUAGCCAGGGCAGCACCGGCAGCGUUGGACUGAUAAGGAAAGAGAACGGGUCAGCACGCCACAUCACUUAACCCAGACACGGAGGUAAAAACUAACCCACGAGCUAUACUUACUUGAGUCUGGGCGGUGUAGUAUGCGUCCAAGAGCUCGGAAGGGCUGGCCAGCUCCAUCCACCUCUUGUCCCGAGGAAGGACCGAGCCCACCAUCAGCUCGCGAGCCACCUCGGGAAACUGGGCUCGGUCGUUGAUGGAGAGUUCCCAGCCCGGACAGAAGUGGCGGGGGUCAUGCAUCGUGGGGGCUUGGCCUGGCUUCAGGGGAGCUAUGUGGCGGAAGUGCCACAAGCUCGGGGGAGUUGACUCCUGGGCAUGCUCCUCGGCGGAGCCCACGCCCAGGUGGACUGGCCCCCCGGAGACCAGCGUGAGAGGAGAAGGAUGUGCGGGGACCAGCGCGAGCUUCUUCCCGGGCUGGGAGGGCUCGUCCACUCGACCCCUCUUCUGCCCGGCCGCCUUUUUCUUGUUGUUGGCGGCCUUCUUGGUGGGGGAGGGGGUUCCCUGCGUUUCCUUCUGGGGGGCUUGGCCGCCCCCCACGGUCGGGGUCGCCCCAGGGACCUCCUGGGCAGCUUCUGGCUGAGGAGUGGCGGUCGCCUCCUCAAUGGGCGCGCCCAGCAACUUGGACAGCUUCCUCACUGCAAGAAGAAUCAUGGGGUCAGUCAGAGCAGGAUGGAAAGAGAGUACACAUAUGCAAAUGCAACAGGGGGAAAGCCAGCGUUACAGGUGUCAAGUUUGGGUUUGGGGGUCACCACUUCCCCAGAGGAUCCGGACAACGUCCCAAUCAGCCCGGCUGCGGAUAUCUGCUCAGUGGAGAACUUUGUGACAUCAAGAUUCACCUUGGAGCCCAACAGCUGGUUGAGGGUAUCGUAGCCCAGGUCCUCCGGGUAGGAGUCGGCCUUGACCCCCCCAACCUUCCACACAUUGGGGGGAAAAUGUGUGGAUUUAACGAAGAAAAAGUCCUCCUUCCAGUCCUUCACGGAGGAGGGGAGCUCAAAGAACAACUCCUGGGCACCUUUCCCUCCCUUGGUUUGGGGACCACGGCGGGAGAAGUAGUACCACCCAGGGAGGGCGGUUUUAAGAAUGAAGGCUGCUCGGAAGAGGGAGAGAGAGUAAGGGAUGUCGCAGAGAAGGCAGUAGAUCAGGAAUCCGGUGAUGAUCCUGAUAGAGGUGGGGUGAAGCUGGGUGAUUCUGAGCCCCCAGUAGUUCAGAAUCUCAGUUAGAGCUGAAUGGAUGGGGAGACGGAGCCUUGCGAUGAGCUGCUCCCUGUAGAUGGCUACGAAGCCAGGGAGAGGUCGGCAGGCUCGGUCGUCGGGCCCGGCCGCCGUCCUGGGGUGAUAGGGUGGCCUCCUGUAGGUCUGGAUAACCGUAGGAGAAUUCGGGAUCAUUCCCCUGCUCCGAAGCAGGGGGAUCCCUGUCCUCCCCAGCUCCGCCCUGGGCCCCGCCGGGGGAGUCGUGUGGAGACUGGGGAGAGGAGGUGGUUGCGGCCUCCCGCUCGAGGUAGGCGUCGAGUUCGGCCGCCUCCUCUAGAGCGCGAGCAGAAGGAGAAUGGGAUGAAGGAGACUGAGGUGAAGGAGAACUCAUAAUGACUAUAGGGUCAAGGAGGUCGGGGUUAGAAGCGGAAGAGGAAGAAGGGGGAGGGGGAGAAGGCGACGGUGAGGAUGAGGGCGAAGAUGAGGAAGAAAUGAGGAUUCUGAUGGCUCUGCGACGGGCCGGACUCGGGGGUGCGGUGGAAGUCACGUCGGAAUGACCCGACAUAAAAAGCAGAAGGUGGCAGAAGGAAAAAGGGACACUGCAAAAAGGGAAGAUGAAUCGCAAAAAGGGACUUACUGAUGAUGAUCAAGGCAGAAGAGGGAUGGGAGACCCGCCGGAAUCUGGGCACAGGAUACCGGAAGCUGCUGGAAAAUGGAAAUGCGAAUGCACAAGGAGAGUGGCAAUUCAAAAUGCACAAGAGGAAGCGGAAGUGGCAAAUGGAACAGAGGGGAAUUUGGUGCCCCCUAUUUAUAGGGGGAGGAGUGGGGGGAAAACGGUUGCGUGAAUUUGAACCGCCUCCCAUGUGAACGCAUUUAAUGCCGGUACGAAAACCGAAGAGGUAUGACAACUGAAAGGACGCGGGCACAGCGUCCCUGUAACAGCACUGUACUAGAGGUGACCUCGGCAGGGUAGUGCGCGGCGCUGGCCUCCCACGUGGCGGAUGUAGAUUAGGUCUGCCUGACAGUCCUACCUAAUCUAGGGGGCUAGUGCAGAGGCCUUAUUCUGGGCCUAGACACGUGGCAGCCCAGGCGGGGCCGAGCUGGGCCGAGCUGGGCCCUGACCUCAGGCCCCUGGCAGCAGCCCUGGGCCGCCCUGUUAGGGCUCGUAAAGGAGGCAGGAGUCCAUCCCGAGGAGGUCGGGGAUAAUCCUCCUGAGUGCGGGAUGCUGGCUAUUCCGGGCAAGUCCCGAAACGUACGGAGGUCGGACUCCCUCAACAGGUAUAAGUAAUAGCAGACAUCAACUGUACAAGGUACGCUCACUAUCGGCAAAUGACCUCCGAUCGUCAAUACUCCCUGUGAACCCUAAUCACCGGAAAGCUAACUUGACCGUCGGAGUGCCCUCGGGGACAACCCUCGGGCCCCCCUUUUUGCUAGUUCAUCCUUGUUUGUUUUGCAGGCUUAGGAUCAGCUCUUCCAUCAGCACCCCGAGCUCAUCAGUUCAGCUCGGUCCGGGGAAGCUCAGCGCUUCUUCAGCAUGCAACUAUCUCCUGUGUUGCUUUUGAUCAUUCCCGUUAGAAGAAAAUCCAGUUCAGGACCUGCUGCCGAAGAUCAUUCCUGUAGAACCCGAAGUCCAUAGGACUUGUUUCCAGGCCCUGAUUGCUUCAAAGAUAUCAAGACAACCAUACGAGAAAAAAGAUGAGCACAUAUUCAGAGUCUUCAUCAAUACUCUCCUAAUCUAUCUGUGGGAGAUACUAAAGACUGGAGGUUGUGUUAUGAUGUCUUUGAAGGAUCGAUUGAAAAUGGUUUAUGAUGGGUUGAGGUCCUUGAGAAUCAUUCUCAAGGGGAACCCUGACGUGUUUGAUGAGAAAAUGAGAGAUCUUACUGGACUCCUCCUCUGUGAUGCAGGACUUGUUAUUUUUUCCCUUUCUCUCGACGAAAUUAAAGAUGGAUCAGUCAAGGAAAUGGAUCUGGAGUCUUUUCAAAAUUUCCUGAAAAGGAUAAAGCUUAUCAAGGCAAUAGUUGCAGAGAAAUAUCCAGAAACAUCACCAUCAUCCAAGUUUCCUCGGACUAAUGAGUUGGGAUUUAUCGAUUUUCUUCUAAAAUAUAUCGGAGAUUUGACAAAUCCUGAUGCUCAUUCAGUUGCUCUUUCAAACUAUCGAAUUCAUGCAAUCCAUGAAGAGCUUGUUUACUUACGCUCUUUCUUGGGAAGAAUUGUGGAAUUGCGCAAUAAAGAUCAGGAGCUUCAAGCACUUUGGGAUCGUGUUGUUGAGGUGGCAUACAAUAUAGAAUUUCUUAUCGACUCCUUGUUGGAUGGAGACAUUCUAGAUUCUUCUUCAAUCUCAUUUGAUUCUGUUGAAAAAGAAAUUAAGAUCAUCAAAGCUGUGGCCUUGAACAUUUCUGAUAGAAAAACACUUGAUCUCAAUGUUAAGGAAGUUACCAAGAGACCAAAUAACAUGCCAUCACAGGGAAGCAUGCCAAUAAUCAAUGACAUGAUCGUGGGAUUGGAGGAUGAGGCAACGUCAAUAAUCAAUCGACUCACAAGAGUAUCAUCCCAACUGCAAAUUGUCCCCAUUGUAGGUAUGCCAGGACUUGGCAAGACAACUUUAGCUAAAAAAGUUUACAAUAAUUCUUUUGUUACAUCGUAUUUCUAUACACGUGCUUGGUGUACUGUCUCUCAAGUGUAUCAUAGAAAAAAUCUGCUACUUGAAAUUUUGACUUGUAUUCACUCCAAGCCUCCUACCAAUUUUUCUGAGAUGUGUGAAGAAGAUUUGGCCGCAGAAGUUAGAAGAGGUCUGCUAAGGACUAGAUAUCUCAUUGUUUUGGAUGAUAUAUGGGACACUGAAGCAUGGAAUGAAUUGGAAGCAUCAUUCCCUGACAAUCGAAAUGGAAGUAGAGUGAUCGUGACAAGUCGAAAGUCUGAUGUUGCUGCUCCGAUAGACAAACUUGGUGAAGGGCCUCAUUUCCUCCGUCCGCUGACUCCUGAUGAAAGCUGGGACUUGCUAAAUAUGAAGUUAUUUCCUGGAAAUGAUUUGCCUCCACCAGAAUUAUGCGAAUUGCAAACGAAAAUCGUGGAAAUGUGUCAAGGACUGCCACUUACAAUCGUCAUUCUAGCUGGAAUUCUGGCAAAUGAGGACCAACAUGGUUGGAAAGAACUUGUGGACGGUUUAAGUUCAAGAAUAGUCUCUAGUAUAGAACAAUGCUCUGCUGCGAUAGAGUUGAGUUACAAGAACUUACCAGAUAAUUUGAAGCCAUGCUUUCUAUACUUUAGAGCAUUUCCAGAAGACCAUGACCACACUACUAAGAAGUUGAUUUGGUUAUGGGAGGCUGAAGGAUUUACCCAGAAAACUGAGUUCAAGAGUGUAGAGGAUGUGGCAAAUGAUUUCUUAAUGGAUCUUAUCCACAGAAGCUUGGUCAUUGUUUCCAAGCAAAGUUCCAUUGGUGGUGUCAAAGCUUGUCGCGUUCAUGAUUUGCUGCAUGAGUUUUGUGUGACAAAAGGCAAAGAAGAAAAUUUUCUGCAGCUGGUACGUGGGUAUGAUGAAAUAUAUACUUUCAGAGUGCCACGCAACCUACGCCGCCUAUGCAUCAACUCUAACCCAGAGCACUUUUGCAAGUCCAGGUUAUUUGCUCCCACAAUCCAUUCUCUAAUACACUCCUAUGGAGGUAAAAGGCUCCGACGUUGUGGACUUGAGCUUUCAUCCAUUUUUGGUAUCUUCAAACUUGUUAGAGUGUUAGAAUUGAGCAACAUAAAUCUAGGUACUGCUUUUCCUAGAGAACUAGAAUUAUUGGUUCAAUUGAGGUACUUGGCAAUUCUAGGAGCUAUGAGAUCAAUUCCAUCUUCCAUAGACAAUCUCUCGAAUUUGGAAACUUUCAUCUUUAACAUGGUUGUUCAGACUAUUUUACUACCUGAUACUAUAUGGAAUCUGAAGAAGCUAAGGCGCUUACAAAUAACGGACUUUGAGUUGUCCACAGACAAUCUUGACACUGCUGCAGACUUGUAUGAUUUGAAUACCUUCUCCGGUUUAUCUCUUUCUUCAUGGGCAACCAUCCGCAAGGUAUUCAGAAAAAUUCCUAAUAUCCACAAGCUGAAAUGCACUCUCGUUGCGGGUAAUGAACAUAAUUGGGUUUCGGCAGACAAGAUUCUGGUACUUGACUUUCUAAGUGGACUAGAAUCACUGAAUCUGAUGUUCCAUCAUGAUACAUGGCUUCCAAAUCCAUGCCAGUUUGAGUUUCAAUUCCCUUUGGCAACCAGAAAGUUGACUCUAUCCGGUUUUCGUUUCCCUUGGAGCAAAAUUUCAGCGAUCGAAAAUCUUCCCAAUCUGGAGGUUCUCAAAUUACGUUGUGACGCCUUCAAGGGGGAAAUAUGGAACAUGGAAAAAGAGGGGUUCCCUAAAGUUAGAUUUCUGGAAAUAUCUGCCUUGGAUAUUGUCAAGUGGACUGCCUACGAGGGCGUGGACUGUUUUCCAAGUCUACAGAAUCUAGUAUUGAUAAGCUGUGGCUCUUUAAAGGAGAUUCCUUCUUGUUUGGGGAGUUCGACUCUUGAAAUUAUUGAGGUGUCUCAUUGUCCCUUCUCUGCGAGUUUUAUAGAGCCACUUCAGGAAGAACAAAUGGACUUGGGAAAUGCUGAUCUGAAGAUCGACAUUUCAUCCCAUGAAGAUGAAAUGGAUUACUGAUCUUCUCACGUAUCUUUAGUUUGGUCAGUCACUUUCAUUCCUUUUACCUGUUUUUUUUCUCCCUAGUCCUUUACUUCUGUACUACUACUGGCUUUGCUGUAUCAGUUAAUCAGGUUGCUUUAAUGUUUCUUAUCCUUUCUGAAGAUUGAAAUGAAUGAAGCAGCUAUCUUUUUUCCCAUUCUGUAAGAUUUUAGUUUUGAUUCCAAGGGUGUAUUAUAAAAAUAUGACCAGCUAGCUCAAUCUUUGUUGUUUAGCACCCUAAUCAUCAAAUCUGGGGCCUCACAAGUUUCAUUUCAAACCAGUUUGUCCUAGAGUAUAAAUAAGUGAAGGCCAAUGUAAAUAAGUUUUAGUAAUGUGUAAACAAGACUGUCAACUGAUUUGAAUUGAAACUUGUGAAACCCAUAAUCCAUAGCAAAUCCAACCAGGGCCCAAUAAUAAGAUUAAAUGAGUUUUUGUACCCACUUCGUGCUUAGGAAUCUUGGGGCUAUUCCCAUUACCAUGAAGAAUAUUUGGAAAAAAAUUUUGAUUUUAUUUAAUUUAGUACUUUUUAUAUGAUGUAUGUCAGAUAUGGUUAAAAAACAUAUUUUGUGAAUAAGAAGAAAAAUUUUUCCCAAAUCAUCGUAUCUACACGAACCCUGUAGCUCUCAGAUCAUUGUUGGGAAAAGGAUUUUCAUUUUAUUUAUUGUAGCACUUUUUUUAAGUGGUGUAUGUAAAAUAAAAAGAUAAUUAGGAAACUUAUGAAUAAUAAAAAAAAAAUUUCCCAAAUCAUCCUAUCCUAAUGAACAAUGUUUUAAAUGCUAUUGUAGUUCUCGAAUUAUCAAUAGUCUACACCACCCUAAGCAUCUCGCAAUUAUACAUGACUCUUUAUUGAAUUUAUCAUUCCAAAGCUCUUACAUUCUAUACUUCUAUUGGAGGAUUUAAAUGGCUUAAAACUACAAUGUCAACAAAAUUAUAAAGGCAUCUAUGCGUAAAACAAAUUCCAACUUAUGGCUUCUAACCAAAUUAAUCAUAUGUAAAACGUAGUAUGGCAGGAUUAAAAGUUUGAGAGUUACAUCCAAAUUCAUGAUUAUCCAACAACAGCGACAUAUCUUAAGGAACUGAUACCAAAAGAAGCUUAUACUAAUAUUUGAUACUAUGACUCUUCUUAAAUUACCAAAUCCUACAAAGGAAUUACAACUUAGAAAUAUUAAUGAUAAGUCAAGAAAACACCCUCAAAUACUAAUGACUUGCGGAAGACUUCAACUAACUUAAGAAUACUUAAUGAGAAGUAGGAAAGGUGCUCUACAAUCAAAGACGAAUUAAAUCUAGAACCCCACGUUGCCAUAAUGUUAUACGAACUCUAACUAUUGAUAUGCCACACUAAACAAUGAAACCUUAGGUAACUUAUAGCCCUACGAAAAACUUGCACUUACCAUUUCAUCAUCAUUGUUUCACUAGACCAAAAACAUUUACUAUUCCUUCUACUUGAAAGUCCUUGACUACCAGUAGCUUAGCUAGGACUUUUUGUUAGGCAGCAAACUUUUGUGUGUCGAAAAUGGUAAUUUUCAAAAGUAAUUUUAAAUUUUUGGCUUGUAUUUUUUGUUUAAUUUCUAUUUCUUAGCUUUUAAAUUAUCUGAUUGUAGCUCAAAGUAAAAUAUUUUAUCAAAGUUUUUAUAAACAAGUUCUUUUUAUCACUACACUAUUUAAUUGAUAGGGUGUUAAUUGUUGGUUAUUUUAUUAUUAAUUUUUCCCUUGUCCCUACCAAAUAUUGUUUUAAUUGUUAAUAUCUACUUAUAUUUGGUAUUUGAACUUAAUUUCAAGGAAUGGAGCAGACAAUUACAAAAAAAAUGAGGGACUUUCUGAAGCAAAUUACUUCACACGUGGGAGUCUUCGGCAAAGCUCCAUUAACUAGGUCCACAAGAGGGAAGAAACAGAUUUUCGUUUCUCUUGCUGAUGAGGAGUGCUGGUACGAGAGUUCUACUACCAAGAAGAAACAAGAAAAGGGGAAUUGGCAGGGGCUUUCCUUUGGUACUUUGGCUCUCAAUUUCGACGGGGACCACUGGACAGCAUUAGUCACUUCUUUUGGCUUUAAAAGGAAAAGAACGUACACAGGCCAAGACAUCUUUUAGAAAUUAGUCUUUAGCAUAGUUUUUAGUUUUCUUUCUUUUUCCUUGUCAGGCGCACGUCUACUAUUCGAUAAUAUUUUUCAACGAAAAAAAUAUCUUUUAUUUCUCGCUACCUAGUAAAAAACUUGAUGCCUUUGCAAUCAAUUGAUUUGCGUGGGAAUUUAUUUAUGUGGCGUGGCUAAGUCUUUCAUCUAGUCAAGGAUCAACUCGACGGCGCAGUUCCAAAUAUUUGUGAGAUCUAAUUAGUUUUCACGCGUUUCUUAAUUUGUUAAUAUUUGCACAUUGCCUAUUUGAAUUCCCAUGGGAUUAUUUUGUUAAUUUGAUGUCAAGGGUCCGAUGUUCAAUGUGACUUAUUAAUCUCCUGCCAAAUUUGUCAAUUAAAUCCGUAAUUGUUUGAUUGAUUAAUAUUAGUGGCAACUGACGUGUUUACACACUAGGGGAAUGUGCAAUCUAAUUUAAAUAACCCUUGUAGCGUGUUAUUGAUUGGCGUUAGAUUUUUCUAGAUCUUAAUGCAAUUGUGAAAUUAGUUCCUACGGUCGUACCUAGGAGUAUUUUCUGGUUAGGGGUAAUCAAUGAUCGUACCUUGGUUAUCAAUAAAUUAAGGAAAAAUUAGUCGUUAGAGUUCGUCGGCAACUAUAACUAGCCUAUUAAUAAGUUAAGUGAAUCUCUCUUGCAUCAAUGAUCGGGUAAGUGGGCUGUGUUUAAAUAGUUGUAUCCUUGGCUAGAAUUUAUCUACUCUUGAUUUAAUUCCUACUAUAUUCGUGCUAGUUAAUUAUUUAUUUUUAGUUGAAUUGCUUAAUUAUUUUUAGUUCCAUUCCGAUAAAAUCCCUCUUUACCAAUUGAAAUCUCAAAGAGACAAAUAUCCCCAGUUCCUGAAGAGACGACCCUGCUUGCCACUGUCUACUAUUUAGUAAAUUUUAUCAAUUAAUUAAUUCUGGUAUAUCGGAUUAAGCAAACUCUUCGGGAACAGGGUGAAUCAAGUAACCCAUUGCACACUUAGAGUCCCUGCUCCAGUACUUAGGAUUAAUUGUUGACUGCUUUUAAUGGUAGUUAGGUUUUUAUUAUUAUUAUUGCACAGGUUCGACAACUUAUAAAUUUUUGGCGCCGUUGCCGGAGAUUGACGUUAAUUGUUUGUUUUUUUAAUUCCAAUUUGGUUCUAAUUUUCUGGUAUUUUUCUAGUUUAUGCCUCAUUCUUCUCGUACAGGCGAAUUAAUUUUCGAUCCUGAAGUAGAGAAGACUGCGCGUAGAACAAGGAAAGAAACCAAACAGAUCACAGAGGAGCAGUCCAGUGUUGCAUCUCAAGGACUUGAUCCGGAGGUUGAGUUGACGGAUUUGCGUGAUGAUAACUCAAGUGAUUCAGAGCAAGAGGAAGUCACCAUGGCGAAUGCACAAACACUAAGGGAGUUGGCUGCUCCUAAUUUAAAUCAGCAACCUUUAUGCAUUACUUUCCCAAGUUUGAAUGAUAACACUCCUUUUGAACUUAAAUCUGGUCUAAUUCAUCUUUUGUCGGCAUUGCAUAGUUUACCAGGUGAGGAGCCGUAUAAACACUUGCAAGAGUUUGAUGUAGUUUGCAACAGCAUGAAACCUCUGGGUAUUACAGAGGAGCAGAUAAAAAUGAGGGCAUUCCCCUUCUUCUUGAAGGACUCCGCGAAAGACUGGCUGUACUAUCUACCACCAGGUAGUAUACCACGUGGGACCAGUUAAAGAAGAAAUUUUUAGACAAAUAUUUUCCUGCGUCUCGAGCUGCAAAUCUAAGGAAGGAGAUAUGCGGCAUCAAGCAACACCCAAGCGAAUCCCUCUAUGAGUACUAGGAAAGAUUCAAGACGCUAUGCAUAAAAUGCCCUCAACAUCAGAUAAGUGAGCAACUGCCCAUCCAAUAUUUUUACGAGGGACUACUUUUUAGAAAUAUGAGCAUAAUUGAUGCUGCUAGUGGAGGGGCAUUGGUGAACAAGAUUCCUCGGGAAACAUGGGAGCUAAUUGAAGGAAUGGCUGAGAAUUCGCAGCAGUUUGGUACGAGGGAGGAUGUCCCGACACGUAGGGUGAAUGAGGUAAAAACAUCCUCCAUACAACAACAAAUCUCAGAAUUGACGUCCUUCGUGCGACAAUUAGCUGUGGAAAGUGUUUUACAAGCCAAAGUGUGUGGGGUAUGUGCUGCCGUGGGUCAUUCUACGGAGAUGUGCCCACUGGUUCAGGAAGAAACUGCAAAACAGGUGAACAUGGCUGGUCACGCGCCCGCGCCAAGAAAGCAGUACGACCCUUACUCAAGCACCUACAGUCUCAGUUGGAUAGAUCAUCCCAACCUCAGCUAUAGAGGGAACAGGCAGUCCAAUUUCGUACCAAAUAGGCAACAAGGGUACCAGCAACAGUACCAAUCUCGCCAACCACCGCCCCCUUCGAACUCAAGUCCGUCCAUGGAAGAGAUGAUGAAGCAAUUACUUGCGAAUCAACAAAAGAUGAAUUCAGACCUGCAAAGCAUGAGGAAUCAACUGGAACAAGUACAAUCAUUGCAAACUCAACUAAAUCAAAUGGCCAUCACGAUCAACCGUUUGGAGUCUCAAAUUCAAGGGAAGUUGUCAUCUCAACUUGAGUUGAACCCGAAGAAUGUGAGUGCAAUGACCUUGAGAAGUAGCAAGGAAGUCCAAGGACCCGAACCAGUGAUUCCUAAGGACAAGGACGAGGAACAAAUCUAGAAAGAGUUGGAAGAGGAGGGCAGAGACAACAAAGAUCAAAAGGUACCCCCGGACUUGAUUACUAGAGUUAAGAGUAAUUCACCUUCCUUUCCUAGCAGGCUAGAGAAACCAAAGAAGCAAGACAAGGAGAAAGAGGUCCUGGAGAUCUUCCACAAGGUGGAGAUCAACAUCGCCCUACUGGACGCUAUUAAACAAGUACUCAGAUACACAAAGUUUUUGAGAAACUUGUGUGUCAACCGAAGGAGGCUGAAAGGAGAUGAACGGGUUAUAGUGGGGGAGAACGUGUCAGCAAUCUUAUAAAGGAAACUUUCAUCAAAAUGCGGGGACCCAAGUAUGUUCACUAUUCCCUGUAGGAUGGGUAAUACCUAGAUUGGUAGGGCCAUGUUGGAUCUGGGAGUUUCAAUUAAUGUCAUACCAAAGUCCAUAUAUGCUUCUUUGAACUUAGGCCCUUUGAAAGAUACGGGAAUAAUAAUCCAAUUGACUGACCGAACCAAUGCAUACCCUGAUGGGUUGGUUGAGGAUGUUUGAGUAAAAAUUAAUGAAUUGGUCUUCCCCACUGAUUUUUAUAUGCUUGACAUAGAUGAUGAACACUCCCACGACCCAUCACCUUUACUAUUAGGUAGACCCUUUUUUAGUACAGCUCGAACCAAAAUUGAUGUUAAUAAGGGCAACAUGUCUAUGAAAUUUGAUGGUGAGAUUGUUCAUUUUAACAUUUUUGAAACUAUGAAAUAUCCUUCAGAAUCACAUGCUGGCUCUGUUUUCUUUAUAAAUAUUAUUGACCCUGCUGUACAAGAAGUUUUUGAAAUUGAAGGCAGGAAUGAGUUGAAAGUCGCCUUGACCAGGCACUUCGAGUCAAAGACGACCUCUGGGUGGAGUUGAGCGAAGAGCUCAAAUGUGUGAUCGGAUCAUUUCAAACGUUACCGCCCACAAGAACAAGAUAUGAUCUCGCACCCAUUUUCAUAUCUGAACUUUACCAAAGGCUACUUCCAUCUGUGGUGCAGGCACCUGUCUUAGAGUUGAAACCCUUGUCGAAACACCUGAAAUAUGCAUACUCGAGUGAAAGGGAAACAUUCCUAGUGAUCAUCUCCGUGGGUCUAUCAACGGUUCAGGAAGACAAAUUAUUUCGAGUCCUCAGGGAAUAUAAACAGGCGAUAGGAUGCACCAUCGCCGAUAUCAAGGAAAUUAGCCCCGCCGUAUGUAUGCACUGAAUUCGACUCGAGGAGGGUGCUAAGCCUGUGCGGCAGGCUCAGAGGAGAUUAAAUCCUCUCAUGAUGGAGGUAGUGAAGAAAGAGAUCCUGAAACUGCUGGACGUCGAAAUUAUAUUUGCCAUAUCAGACAGCCCAUGAGUGAGUCCAGUACAGGUGAUCGCGAAGAAGGCAGGGGUGACGGUGGAGUCAAACUAAGAGGGUGAUUUCGUACCAGUUCGAAAGCCUACCGGGUGGCAGCAGUGUAUAAACUAUAGGAAGCUAAACGCCGUCACGAAAAAGGAUCAUUUUACUCUUCCUUUCAUUGAUCAAAUGGUAGAGCGAUUAGCAGGUUAAGUUUACUAUUGAUUUUUGGAUGAAUUUUCAGGUUAUUUUCAAAUUGCUAUCGCGCCCGAGGAUCAGGAAAAGAUCACCUUCAUAUGCCCGUUUGGAACACUUGCAUACAGACGAAUGUCAUUCGGGUUGUGCAAUGCACCCGCUACCUUCCAACGUUGCAUGGUAAGUAUCUUUUCAGAGUAUGUUGAGAAGAUUGUUGAGAUAUUUAUGGAUGAUUUCAGUGUGUAUGGAGAAAGUUUUGAUAACUGUCUAGAUAACUUCAAAUUAAUUUUGGUAAGGUGUAUAAAAGAUAAUCUCGUGCUUAAUUGAAAAAAAAUGCCACUUUAUGGUCGAACACGGAAUAGUUUUGAGUCAUGUAGUGUCGUCCAGGGGUAUUGAGGUUAAUAAAGUGAAAAUAGAUGUUAUAUCUACUUUACCUUACCCCGCGAGUGUGCGAGAAGUGCAUUCCUUCUUGGGUCAUGCAGGUUUCUAUAGAAGAUUCAUCAAAGACUUCUCAAAGAUUGGAGUACCAUUGUUCCAACUUUUGCAGAAAGAUGUGCCCUUCGAGUUCGACAAAGCAUGUAAGGGGGCGUUUGAUAGGUUGAAGGAGUUAUUGACCUCCUCACCUAUUAUCCAACCUCCUGACUGGAACCAACCGUUCGAAAUCAUGUACGAUACCAGCGACUAUGCAGUUGUCGUGGUGUUGGAUCAAAGAGUGCGAAAGGCAGCCCACGCUAUCUACUACGCAUCUCGAGCCUUGAACGAAUCUCAGUUGAACUAUGCGACCACCAAAAAGGAGUUUUUAGCUGUUAUUUUUGCUUUAGAGAAAUUUUGGUCAUAUUUAUUUGGUGCUAAAGUUAUUAUUUUCUUUGAUCAUGCAGCUUUGCGGUAUCUGUUGGCUAAGAAAGAGGCAAAACUGCGACUGAUAAGGUGGAUAUUACUGCUACAAGAGUUCGACCUAGAGAUCAGAGAUAAAAAAGGGACAGAGAACCUGGUAGCAGAUCACUUGAGUCGAGUACAAGUCACCGAGGACGACCUCCCACUGAGAGAAACAUUCCCCGAUGAGCAUUUAUUUGCUAAUAAUUUAUCCUUGCAAUAGUAUGCGGAUAUUGUUAAUUUUCUAGUCACUGACAAGUUUCCUGCAGGAUGGCCUAAGGCAAAGAGAGACAAGUUAAGGAGUGAUGCGAAAUCCUACAUUUGGAAUGAUCCUUACCUCUGGAAGCGUGGUGCCGACCAAAUCAUCAAAAGAUGUGUAGGUGAGGAUUAAUUCCAAUCUAUACUAACCUAUUGUCACUCUUUUGAAUGUGGAGGUCACUUUGGACCAAAGAGAACAGCUGGUAAGGUGCUAGAAAGCGGGUUCUAUUGGCCAACCCUCUUCAAGGACGCCUAUUCAUUUUGUAAGUCAUGUGAUAAGUGUCAACGAGUAGGUAAUAUUUCUUGUAGGGAUCAAAUGACUCAGACCCCAAUGAUUUUUGUUGAAAUUUUUUACGUUUGGGGUAUUGACUUUAUGGGUCCUUUUCCGUCGUCUUUUAGUUUUUUGUAUAUAUUGCUUGCUGUACACUAUGUCUCAAAAUGGGUGGAAACAAAGGCCACUCGCACUAACGAUUCCAAAGUGGUUGCAGAAUUCGUCAAAUCUAAUAUUUUUGUCCGUUUUGGGAUGCCGCGAGCAAUUGUCAGUGAUCGAGGUAGUCAUUUCUGUAACAAGACGAUUGCUGCAGUUUUCAGGAGGUACAGCGUCUUACAUAAAGUCUCCACAUCCUACCACCCUCAAACAAAUGGUCAGGUAGAAGCAUCGAACCGAGAGAUCAAGUCGAUUUUAGAGAAGAUGUUCCGCCCUGAUAGAAAGGACUGGAGUCAAAGGCUGGAGGACGCACUAUUGGCAUAUAGGACGGCGUACAAGACCCCCAUUAGAAUGUCCCCGUACCGGUUGGUAUUUGGGAAACCAUGUCACCUCCCCGUCGAGUUCGAGAAUAGAGCAUUUUAGGCGAUAAAACAGUGCAAUAUGGACAUCGAAGAGGGCGAAAUUCAAAGAAAGUUGCAAUUACAAGAGUUGGAGGAGAUUCGAAAUGAAGCAUACGAGAAUGCGGUGAUUUAUAAGGAGAAAAAUAAGAUUUUUCAUGACCAACAGAUCUCUAGAAAAACAUUCGUCUGUGGGAAAAAAGUUCUACUGUAUCACUCCAAAUUGAAGUUAUUUUUAGGUAAAUUACGUUCUCAUUGGAUUGGUCCUUUUGUUGUGACUAAUGUCUUUCAUUAUGGUGCAGUGGAGAUCCAAAAUUUGAAGAUGGGGAAGAAAUUUGUAAUAAAUGGUCACCGUCUCAACCCAUAUUAUAAAGGGUUUCCGGUUGAACGGGUAGAGAUGAUGCAACUGGAAGACCCGAUUUGCUUCGUUUAAGCAAAUCUGGAUUAUGUCUAGUCAAAAACAUAAAAAGAGGCGUUUUUGGGAGGCAACCCAAAUAUUAGUUUUAUUACUUUUCAUUGUUCAAUUCUUUCGUUUUGUUGUUUCUCAGUUGGGUGGUAGUCGACCCUAAUAUUUUCUUUCACUGUGGCAGGAAAUGCAAUCUUGGCGUGCCCACACCGUGUUAGUGUCUCUCGAGAUCAGUAGACAUUUACCAAUCUUGGCGUGCCCACACCAUAUUGGUAAAAUCUCAACAUCUCGCGACAUUGGCAGAAAGUGCCUCCCGAGAUCAGUGGACGUUUUAUAAUCUUGACGUGCCCACACGGUGUUUGACGACCCUAAAAUAAAUUCAAGAAAAUAAUAAUAAUAGUAAUAAUAAAUAAUAAUAAUAUAUUUUUGUUAUUAUUGCAAGAAAAAGGAAGAAUUAUUUUCUUUUUAAACCCUAAAAAAAUUAAUUAAAAAUUAAUAAAAAAUUUUUUAAAAAAAUUGAAAAAACAAAUCGAAAUUUUUUUUUGAAAUUUUGAUCGAUUAAUAUUUGAAUAAUUUUGGAAAAAAUAAAUAAAAUAAACACCCCAAAAGAAAAAAAACAAAAAAAAGGAAAAAAAAAACUAUUCUUUUUUUCCUUUUUCUCUUUUCUUUUUUCUUUCUUUCCUUUCUUUCUUUCUUCCUUCUUCCCCGCUGCUGUCCCUUUUCCCCUUUUCCUUUCUUCUUCGCCUGACAUCCCUAGCGAACACCGCCGCCCCUGUUCCCUCUGCUCUCUCUCCCUCACCUCGCGGUCACCACCAGCUCUCGGCCAGGUCGCACGCCGCCAGCGCGCGAGCUCGUGCGAUACCAGCGGCGAACGCCGCCGCCCUUGUUCUCCCUGCGCGAUCUCCACCAAUUCCACGUCACUCUCUCUCCUCCCCUCGCUCUCCCUCGCGCGACUCCAUCUGCCCACCACUGCCUAAAGCUGUCCUCCACUUCCACCAGCUCGCCGCAGCUCCUCGUGAGCUCGUACGCCACCAAGCCGCGCGCCACCACUCUUCCCUCAAGCCGCACGACGCCACCAGCAGCCGCGAAGCUGCCCACCGUUCCCCUCACUCUCCCUCUCGAGCUCACGCUCUGCCACGCUAGACCGCCGCCAGCCACCGCUACUCCGCUGCUCACGCCACCCACAGUCACGCCAUUCCCACCUGUCCUAAUUGACAGGUGGAGGUAUUGACUCUUCAAUCUCGAUUAGUAUUUUUCUGGUUCUUCUAUUGCUGGAAUUGCGCUUUUGUUUCGUGGGUUUCUUAAUAGCUAAAAGCAGGGGGUGAUUUAUGCAUUUUCUGGGGUUAAUUUUGGUGGAACUAAGUUUAUUUGCUGCUCCAUUUGGGGAUAUUCUCUGGUAUUGAUUACAUUGUUGAGCAUUGAUUGGGUUUUGCCUACUUAAGGCCUCUAUUUUCAUCUGUGGGGAUCAAAUUUGAGUUGGCUAUUUAGUUUUUCCUUGUGCAUUCACCAGUGGUACUGGCGAUGGAAGUUGUUUUAACAUUUGUUAAUUCUGGGUUAUUGGUUGCCUAAUUGAUCGAGUUGUGACUACUGAGCAUUUGUGAUUGAGUUAUUUCUGUCCAACUUUUGAACUACUUUUGCUGGUUUUGUCGGUUUCUUGGGUCAUUUGCUAAUUUUGGGUAGGUUUCAUUGGGUAUUUGACUGUCCAAUUGGUGACAGUAGUUGAGCUUUUGGGGUGAGCCAAACUUUGUUAUUCUCUGUGAUUGUUGGAGGACAUCGCUGUGCUUUUAUUGUUGGUUCAAUUUACUUGCUGUGCCGGGAUUCCAUGCUUUGUUGACAUUAGCUACAUUUAUUGGGCAUUUGCUUGUUGCUUGGGGGCUGUUGUUCACUCAUCUGGAGUGUUGUUUCUGUAUCUAUUGGUCGCUUUAGUUUCCUGUUGGUUGGAGUGCUAACUGCAACCCAUGGUAAAGCCACGAUCCUCCUCUAGGUCUAAAACACCUAGAACCUCUCAGCCUCUCCCACCCCAGUUCUCCAUUCCUGCCUCUGAUCCCUCGAACGACCCUUCUUCCUCUGGGAGGAGGGCUUGCCUUAGGAGGCAAAGAGGCGUCUAUAUUUCUGACGCUGCACAUUUUGGGGGUAAUUUGAACUUCACCCGGGCCGCCGACAAGCAGCGAUACGCUACUUAUUGUGAACGGCGGAUUAUUCCCUGCCGUUAUAUGGACGCCGCCACCUUGGGCCUUUUGAAUAUUAGAGUUGACUUUGAUCGCUUGAUCCAGGCCAUUGGGUGGCGUCCCUACACUUAUAUUGUUGACCGUCCAACUUUUGUCGAGUUGGUUAGGGAGUUCUAUGCCACAUUCGAGUUCGACCUUCCCACGGAUUACACAACUACUCCCAAUGUCAUCCGUUUUAGACUAAUGGGUCAAGAGUUCCACCAUUCCAUUACUGAUUUCAAUCUAGCACUUGAUUUUAUUGAUCAGGCCUAUGCCGAGUCCCGUGAGUAUGCCGAGAGUGCUUGUGACUACAUACAACCCUUUUUCUCCCGCUAUCGACAUAUUUGGGAGGAGAUGUCCGUAAACAGUGAUAAUUAUGACCCUCGUCUAUCUAAGGGUUCUUAUCUGAAGGAUCCGGCGUCUCGUUAUAUCCACCGUUUCUUGGCAUAUAGUUUCUCGGGUAGGCGAGAUAGCUCGGGCGUGUUGUCUAAACUGGAAUUUUUUUUUAUUUGGUGCAUGCAUAACAACAUUAAGAUUAAUCUUGGGUGCUGGCUCACUUCUCAAUUCAAAUCUGUUUUACCUAAAAAGAAGCUCCCCCUGAUUCUUGGGUCAUACAUUACUCAUUUGGCUGUUAAUUUGCAUGUGCUUGAUCUCUCUAACCAUGAUUUACAUGUUGCUUGUCAAAUAGAGCCCUUGGACAUUCCUUGUCUAAAGAAAAUGGGCUUGGUUCGGGAGGGCGACGACGGAUGGGAGGUUGUUCCCCCGGAACCGCUACACGCCCCCUCUCGGUUAUCUUUUGCCCGCGCCUCCACUGAUGGCAGUGAUCCCGACCCGUCUACUUUCGCUCCGCCUCCUCCCACCCCAGGUGCUGACGACUGGCUCCAACUUCGGAACACAGUUGAGAGACUGGAGACUCGCGUGACCCACAUUGGCAUCAACUUGCAUAGCAUGGCGUAGAAUUUGGCAGCAUUUAUACACCAUGCGGGACUUGCUCCUCAGUUCGCGCCCGACCCACCCCUGUUUUGACGACUUCAGGGAAAUACCAUUGCCCUUAUCCUUCCUUUUUGCUGUUACAUUAUCACAUUGAGGGCAAUGCAUGAUUUAGGUGUGGGGGGGAUCAGUUGUAGUGAUAGUUUUUUUUUUCGAUUUUUUAGUUUUUAGAGGUUCUUCCUUUAUUUUUAGUUAGUUUUUGCCUAUCUUUCAUUUAUUUUCUUUUCCUUUUCUUUCUAGUGAUCAGUUCUUAUAUGAAUACCAAGUUUUGAUGCUAGAUUGUUGUCUCUAAUUCUACUAUUGCCAAGUUUUAUUAAUAAAAGGGUAUCAAAUUAAUGUGGUUGAGUUCAGGAACAUAUCUUUGAUGAAUGUCAGUAAUUGCUUGACUUUUCUAAUUUUUGGUUAAUUUUUCUAGGCAUAGGGAAUGAUUGUUGGCAUUUUUCAUGCGAAUUGGUCCAAUUAUUAAUUUUAGUUAUCUAUGUUUGGAAAUUUGAGGCUGGCUACUGUUAUUUUUUUGUGUUGUUUUUAGAUAUCGUGCUAUAUGUUUGUAAAUAAGAGUUGACUGUACUCCGCUAAGUGUUACUACUAAGUAACCGGGGAUCUUCACCUAAAGUGUCGAUUCUCGCGUCAAAAGGUAGCGAUCUCUAAGAAUACGUGGUCAUAUAGCGAUAGGAGCUGAGUAAUCGGGCUCCUUCAUCUGACAAAUGUUGGAAUUCGCGUCAAAAGGCUCCAAUGGCUAGAGACUAAGUCUUUAGUUACUAUUGAAGAAAAAAAGAAAAAGAAAACAAAAGAGGAAACAAAAAAAGAAGUAAAGUAAAAAGUGUGUUAGUAUAUGAAAAAGUCAGCUUGCCAAUUUGUGAUCUUAAUGUCGAGGUUUUGGUUAAUAGUUGGACCGUUUGCUGAUAAAUGUGAGCAACCAUUCCUUUUUCUUAGAUUAGUUUACUUUAAAUUGGAGGAGUUGGUGGUUUAGAGGCUAACCGUGCUGAUUUUUCUUGGAUCUUGACCUGUGAUGCUUGAUAUUUGUUUUUCUUAGGUAUCUUGGCAAUACGGUAGUUGGAGCAAUAGCCAUUGUCGAACUUUUGGUGUUCCAUUGCUGUUUCCAUGCUUAAGCGCGAGCAUGAUUUAGAUGUAGGGGGAAUUGAUAGGGUUAAUUGUUGGUUAUUUUAUUAUUAAUUUUCCCCUUGUCCCUGCCAAAUAUUGUUUUAAUUGUUAAUAUCUAUUUAUAUUUGGUAUCUGGACUUAAUUUCAGGGAAUGGAGUAGACAAUUACAAAAAAAGGAGGGACUUUUUAAAGCAAAUUACUUCACACGUGGGAGUUUUCGGCAAAGCUCCAUCAACGUGGCCCACAAGAGGGAAGAAAUGGAUUUCCGUUUCUCUUGCUGAUGAGGAGUGGCUGGUACGAGAGUCCUACUACCAAGAAGAAACAAGAAAAGAGGAAUUGGCAAGGGCUCUCCUUUAGUAUUUUGGCUCUCAAUUUCGGCGGGGACCACUGGAUAGCAUUAGUCACUUCUUUUGGCUUUAAAAGGAAAAGAACGUACAGAGGCCAGGACAUCUUUUAGAGCUUAGUCUUUAGCAUAGUUUUUAGUUUUCUUUCUUUUUCCUUGUCUGGCGCACGCCUACUAUUCGACAAUAUUUCUCAAUGGGAAAAACAUCUUUUAUUUCUCGCUUCCUAGUGAAAAUCUUGAUGCCUUUGCAAUCAAUUGAUUUGUGUGGGAAUUUAUUUAUGCGGCGUGGCUAAAUCUUUCAUCCAGUCAAGGAUCAACUCGACGGCGCAGUCCCAAAUAUUUGUGAGAUCUAAUUAGUUUUCACGCGUUUCUUAAUUUGUUAAUAUUUGCACAUUGCCUAUUUGAAUUCCCAUGGGAUUAUUUUGUUAAUUUGAUGUCAAUGGCCCGAUGUUCAAUGUGACUUAUUAAUCUCCUGCCAAAUUAGUCAAUUAAAUCUGUAAUUGUUUGAUUGAUUAAUAUUAGUGGCAACUGGCGUGUUUACACACUAAGGGAACGUGCAAUCUAAUUUAAAUAACCCUCGUAACGUGUUAUUGAUUGGGGUUAGGUUUUUCUAGAUCUUAAUACAAUUGGAAAAUUAGUUCCUACGGUCGUACCUAGGAUUAUUUUCUAAUUAGGGGUAAUCAAUGGUCGUACCUUAGUUAUCAAUAAAUUAAGGAAAAAUUGGUCGUUAGAGUUCGUCGUCGACUAUAACUAGCCUAUUAAUAAGUUAAAUAAAUCUCUCUUGCAUCAAUGAUCGGGUAAGUGGACUGUGUCUGAAUAGUUGUAUCCUUGGUUAGAAUUUACCUACUCUUGAUUUAAUUCCUACUAUAUUCGUGCUAGUUAAUUAUUUAUUUUUAGUUAAAUUGCUUAAUUGUUUUUAGUUCCAUUCCGAUAAAAUCCCCCUUUACCAAUUGAAAUCUCAAAGAAACAAAUAUCCCCAAUCCCUGAGGAGACGACCCUACUUGCCACUGUCUACUAUUUAGUAAAUUUUGUCAAUUAAUUAAUUCUGGUAUAUCGGAUUAAGCAAACUCUUCGGGAACAGGAUGAAUCAAGUAACCCAUUACACACCUAGAGUCCCUACUCCAGUACUUAGGAUUAAUUGUUGACUGCUUUUAAUGGUAGUUAGGUUUUUAUUAUUAUUAUUAUUGCACAGGUUCGACAACCUGUCAUUAAUGAACAAACCAAAUCUUAGCCUAUGAAACAAAACAAGGAAGCUACACGUUGUCAGUAUUUCGAUACAGAUGUUAGUGUCAUUUACCCAAAACAAUAAUAAAACUUAAAGCAUCCAAACCCAAUAAAAUUACUUCAAAAAUCAUUAUUCAAUAUCCAUUACAAUUCAAUUAAAAGUUCAAAUUGUUUCUCAAUUAUAGUGUUCUUAAUCAAAUGCUUUUGAGCCAAAAAUGAAAUUUGAAUAUUACGUGCAAUUAAUUCAAUGAGAUAAAAGAAUCACACAAAAAAAUAAAGUGUGAUAAGCAUUGCCUUUCUUUAUAAGUUCUAUACCAAAUAAACUCUACUAGAAAAAAAAAUAAUUUCAUAACAUUUACAAAUGAAUCUUUAAAAAAAUACAUUUCCUCUCACAAUUGGUAUGCAAUUUGCUAAAUGAAAUUACUUAGUUAUUUCAAAAAAAUUGUAUUUCAAAAAAUUGUAUUUUAUGUAUAUAUACGAAGAUUAAAAAAAAAAGCAUAUAAGUGAUGGGUUGGGCACCUGUGGGUUCUUAAACCUCUUAUCCUAAUCCUCCUCCCUCGCGUAUUAAUGGGUACUCGACCCUAUUUUGCCUAGUCAAAAAAUACAAAUGAGGUAUCCUAAUUUUCAAAAUGCAUCAAAGUGACUUUCAUAGAUCAACUUGGUCAACUAAUAUUUUUGCCUGCCCCUAGUUGAGGUGAGGUGGUGGUGGAAAGGGGGAACGGGGUGUUGACAUGUGGUGGUGGAAAGGUAUCUUAACUCUUGGAGAUUUUAAAUAUUUUGGAUAUUUCUUUGGUGUAUUUUUUGUUAGUAUUUAUCUUUCGAUGGUUUAGUAUGUUGUUUAACUAGUUAUUAUAGAUGUUUUAUAAAAAAUAUAUUUCUGAAACACCCCAAAACCAUACUUCUUAUUUUAUACGUAAAAGCAACCUUCUUAGUUAUUUGGGUAAAAUACAAAAAAAAAAAAAAAAAACCCUGUGGUUAAGCAACUUCUUAUUUUAUACGUAAAAGCAACAUUCUUAGUUAUUUAGUAAAAUAAAAAAAGUCCCCUGUGAUUAAAUUAAACUAUGAAAAAGCCCUUUCUAGUUUCAAAUCUUACAUUUCAACCCCUCAUAAUUUGAACUAAUUUGAAACAACGGAAAUCAUUAGAACUAAUGGAGGUGGACAAACUGAUACAAUUAACCUAAUAUAUAUAAGCAAUAAAAAACCUUUAACAACCAUUCUAUUAAGCAAACUUAUGGAAAAACCCUCUGUGGUUAAACUAACCUACGGAAAAAGCCCCCCCUAUGGUUACAUGUUGCUUUUAUUUAUUUAUUUUUUGCAUAGGAAUAAGGUAAGUUGUAUUUGAAAGUUUUUAUUUAUCUAUUUUGUGUAUAGAAAUAAGUUGAGUUUUAUUUGAAAAUUUUUAUUUAUUUAUUUUAUGUAUAGAAAUAAGGUGAAUUGUGUUUGGGAGUUUGAGCUGUUUUUGAAAAUUUUAUGAGUUCUAAGGGGUUUAAUAUGUAUAUCAAUUAAAAUUUGAUUUAAAAAAUUAUUUUUCAUGCCAAGCAACCUCAAACUCGUUGAUUUAAAUGAUUUUGUCGAUUUUUCACAUUAGUUCAAACCACAAGUAUUGGAUUGUAUGAUUUGAAACUAUAAGGGAGUUUUUCUAUAGAUUUGCUAAACCACUGGGGGCUUUUCUAUAUUAUAACUCUAAGGGUAUAAUAGGUAUAUCAAUUGAAAAUUUGUUUGUUUUUAGUACAAAUAAAAAAAAAUUCAGAAGAUUUUCGUUGCUUUUUUAAAUUAGUUCAAACCACGAGGUACUGAAAUGUAUGUUUUGAAACUAUAGGAGAUGAUUUUGUAUGUUCGUUUAAGCUCAAGGGGCUUUUCUAUAUUUUACCCUUAUUUGAAUGCAAUUGCUUACAUGUUGAUGUUUAAGCUACUCAUUUCAAUAAAGGUUUUUCUAAUGUAUGCCUAUUGGAUACCUUUUAAUACAUCUGACCUAUUAUGUGAAUGCAUACACUAACAAUUAUUACCUUUACUUAUACUUAUAUAUUUCUUUAUUAACUUUAUCUUUUCAAAGAAAUUAAUAUUUGAACUACAUUUUAACAAUGCCCAAAGGACUGACCCUACUGAUAAAAUCAAGAAAACAAUUUCAGUAAAGCAGAUAACAAAAUUCUCUUCCACUUUGCAAAAUGAAUUCUGUUAGUCCACAAACUCGGCCCACAUUGCCCAUCAAAAAGACGGCCAAUUUUUACUUGAAAAUGGUCUGGGCUGAGGUUGGGAAAAAUUUAACUCCCAUUUUCAAAGUGGGUCAUACUAAACUUAGCCUGUUUUGAGAGAGUUCCGGAGAGGCUUAUACACGAGUCUGAUUUGGUGUAUACAUGAGUCUGAGAGAUGGUGUAAUACAAUUGGAAUUUUCAUACAAUUGCGCUAUUGUUGUACAUUGUACUUGAUUUGGUGUAUACUUACAUUUCUUUGUUUUACACAAUUUUUUUCGAUAAAAGCAAAACUCAUUAACAAAUUGCCAAAAAUCGUCCAAUACAAUUUGAUCUACAUCAUUGUUCUAAUGGCAAAUUAAACAUGUACUAGAAAUUAUAGAUUUGCAAUGUAGUAGAUACAAUGGAUCCAAAAAAUUAUAAACAUAUUUGAAAAAUACAAUAAAUUUGAAAGUUGUUUUCUAAUAGAUAAAUCAUUGCAACUCCAUUUUGUGCAUGUUGUAAUCUCUAGAUCUACUAAUCAAUGGUUUUAAACUCCAAUAAUGAUGGUGAAAUCUGUCAAAAUAGAUUCAAGAUCCGACAAAAUUCAUAUAUGAUAUCCAGAUCUAAAAUAAAUUCAGAUGUAACAUUAAAAAAAAUAAAAAUAAAACUAAAAAUUUCUAUAGGAAUCCGUAGGAGAACACCAAAAAGAAAAAAAAAACAUAAUUGGUUUGGGCCUAAUAGAUGAAAUGGGCAUGUGCACUAAGGUACAUACUAAAAGAGAUAAAAGGAAUAAAAGGGUUCUUGAAAAUAAAAAAGGAAAAAAGGGAGAUAAAAGAGUCACAAAAAACCAACAUUGUAAAAGUACAAAUGUAGUUUUGUACGUCCACCAUGAAACCCUAAGCCCUUGGUGUACUUCAUAUCAUAGUACAAAUAAUUUAAAGACUUCAAUCUUGGUGUUGGGUAAUGGAGUUCUUCUCUUUCUAUCCAGAUAUCGAAUUCCCUAAUUAUCCUACUUUGGAUCGAGUUCUAUUUGUAAUUCUAAUUAGUACAAGUUAUCAUGUUCUGGUCAAACGGCAAUAUGUCAAUUCAAUUCAGAGAACUUUAAGUAUUUUUUUUCCUUUUAAUUACUGGCACCUUUGGAAACAUGUUGUCAGCUUAAUACAACUGCUAUUACUGAUUAAAAAUAUCCUAACUGCAGAAUUUAUGAUAUUUGUGAUACGGGAAAGCUAGUUUUAAUUUCCUUUUUUUUAAUAUAUAUAUAUAUAUAUAUAUAUAUAUAUAUAUAUAUAUAUCCCAUUGAGCUAAAAGGUUCUUUUCUCUAUAAGCAAAAUCAUGAUGGAAACCAAAAUGUUUUCUAGAACUAGUUUUCGUAGUUCUAGUCCCUCAAACUUAAUUAUAUAUUAACAUUGUCCAUUGAAAGAAUAGCUUGAAUUAUAAAUUUCUUGAAUACGAUGUUACAUAUGAGAUUGCUGUAGUGGCUCCUAUAAAAUUAAAAUUUUCAAAUCAUGAGAGUUUUAAGAAAGGGUCCCAAAUAGUCAAGGUUUAAAAAAAAAUUCUAUAAAUGUGAUUUCUUAACGAUACAUUCGUACGUUAUUUAAGUAAUAUCUACCUAUACAAAUAGUAAAACAAUUUUAUAAAUGCAUCAUGUGAAAAAAAAAGAUUGCAUGUCACUAAAUGCGAUUUUCACAAUUUGAGAAAAAGUUAAAAAAAUAUUACCCAUUGAAAAUUUUUCUUAAAAUGUUUCACUUUUUGGGAAUUCAAUAUCGAGAAAGAGUUGAGCACUCAAUUAAAUGUGUAAUUGUUGUAGCCUAAUAAGCUUGUCAAACAUUACUGACUGAAAAUAAGGAAAUAUAAAUAUUGUAACAGAUUAAGACGAGGAAUUCAUUACUUUUUCACCUGCGAAAUUUCUUAUACUUUCCCUUUUUUUUCGGGGGUGUAAAACUGUUAAAGUAAAUUGUGAAAAUAAGGGCAAGUUGCUCGACAAAAUCGAAAACUUUAGCGAAUAAAAGUAGGAUUGAUUGACUUUUCACAUCUCAGAACAGAGCCGGUGGGAUCCACAUAUUAAAAUAAAAUAAUGCAAGUGAAAAGAUAAAUAUCCAGCCAAGAAUAGGAAUAAAGAAAGAUUAAUGUCAGCCAGAUGUGAAAUAUAUAUUUGCAACAAAGUUUCUGCAAAGAAAACGCCAGAUCAUUCCCCCCAGGUCCAGCACCAGCCCUCCCAAUUGGGCGAUGACAGACCCUCUUUACCAGCUCUCCCAAUUGGACUGUGCACAAAUUCUCUCGAAAACCUCGAUCUAACUGCUUCUGAGCUCCUAGUUUUCCUAGUUUCUGAAAGAGAGAUCUGUACAACUUUUUUCAUCAUUCAUAACCAUAUAUUCAUUGACUUACUUCAUCUCUAAAUUUAAGUCAUCUUCCUUUCGUUAAAUGGCCUCCAGUUGUGUUACUUGCAUUUCAGCCAUCUUGGAUGAUCUGCAGUUGCUGGAGGAUCUGUGUCCUAAAACUCCAGAUUGGGAGAACGAGCUCUGUGGCUUGAGGAGAGCAAAAAUAUUUCUAGGAACUUUCAGACCAUUUCUUCUAUCUGUGAGAAACUGGGGCGAUGAUGAUGAUGCAAAUCUGGGAGCAUGGGUUGCUAGGAUGAAAGACUACACUUCCAAACUGAGACAGGCGAUUCACGAGUUCUAUCUUACUAGUGUGGAAGAUGGAUAUCUUACUACUUUUGAGGAAUAUAUCACCGAUGAUCUAGGCGAAGAAGAGUAUUCCCUCAAACUAGAAUUCAAGGAUUUAGACAGCUCAUCAAGGUUGUCUAGCAAGUCCCCGGUAAAGAAAAAUGACCUAAUGGAUAUCAUGGACUCUCUUCUGGAGAGCCUUCGGUACGUUUGCUUAAUAGGUUUCUUCGAGGAUCUGGAACUAUGGGCAGACUUAGAAGAGAAGCUAGCGUUCUUGAAAAACUUCAUCUGUUUUGUUACACUUCAUGGCAUCGGUGAUGGGCAAUUGGGACCUUUACUGACUCACACUAAAUCUAUUGCUGUCAACGCAGCACGCAACUAUCUCCUGCGGGGCUUUAGAGUAUUCCCGUUAGGAGAAAAUCCUGUUCGGGACCUGCUGCCGAAGAUCAUUCCUGUAGAACCCGAAGUCCAUAGGACUUGUUUCCAGGCCCUGAUUGCUUCAAAGAUAUCAAGACAGCCAUACGAGAAAAAAGAUGAGCACAUAUUCAAAGUCUUCAUCGAUUCUCUCCUAAUCUAUCUUUGGGAGAUACUAAAGACUGGAGCUUGUGUUAUGAUGUCUUUGAAGGAUCGAUUGAAAAUGAUUUACGAUGGGUUGAGGUCCUUGAGAAUGAUUCUCAAGGAGAACCCCCCCGAUUUUGAUGAGAAAAUGAGAGAUCUUACUGGACUCCUGCUCUGUGAUGCAGGACUUGUUAUGUUUUCCCUUUCUCUCAACGAAAUCAAAGAUGGAUCAGUCAAGGAAAUGGAUCUGGAGUCUUUUCAUGAUUUCCUGAAAAGGAUAAAGCUUAUCAAGGCAAUAGUUGCAGAGAAAUAUCCAGAAACAUCACCAUCAUCCAAGUUUCCUCGGACUAAUGAGUUGGGAUUUAUCGAUUUUCUUCUAAAAUAUAUCGGAGAUUUGACAAAUCCUGAUCCUCAUUCAGUUGCUCUUUCAAACUAUCCAAUUCAUGCAAUCCAUGAAGAGCUUGCUUGCUUACGCUCCUUCUUGGGAAGAAUUGUGGAAUUGCGCAAUGAAGAUCAGGAGCUUCAAGCACUUUGGGAUCGUGUUGUUGAGGUGGCAUACAAGGCAGAAUUUCUUAUCGACUCCUUGUUGGUUGGAGACAUUCUAGAUUCUUCUUCAACCUCAUUUGAUUCCGUUGAAGAAGAAAUUAAGAUCAUCAAAGCUGCAGCCUUGAACAUUUCUGAUAAAAAACCACUUGAUCUCAAUGUUAAGGAAGCUACCAAGAGACCAAAUAACAUGCCAUCACAGGGAAGCAUGCCAAUAAUCAAUGACAUGACCGUGGGAUUGGAGGACGAGGCAGCCUCAAUAAUCAAUCGACUCACAAGAGGAUCCUCCCAACUGCAAAUUGUCCCCAUUGUAGGUAUGCCAGGACUUGGCAAGACAACUUUAGCUACAAAAGUUUACAAUAAUCCUUUAGUUACAUCGCAUUUUUAUACAUGUGCUUGGUGUACUGUCUCUCAAGUGUAUCACCGAAAAAAUCUGUUACUUGAAAUUUUGACUUGUAUUCACUCCAAGCUUCCUGAGAAAUUUUCUGAGAUGUGUGAAGAAGAUUUGGCUGCAGAAGUCAGAAGAGGUCUGCUAAGGACUAGAUAUCUCAUUGUUUUGGAUGAUAUAUGGGACGCUGAAGCAUGGAAGGGAUUGGAAGCAUCAUUCCCUGACAAUCAAAAUGGCAGUAGAGUGAUCGUGACAAGUCGAAAGUCUGAUGUUGCUACUUCGAGAGAUAAACUUGAUGAAGGGCCUCAUUUCCUCCGUCCGCUGACUCCUGAUGAGAGCUGGGACUUGCUAAACAUGAAGUUAUUUCCUGGAAAUGAUUUGCCUCCACCAGAAUUAUGCGAACUGCAAACGAAGAUCGUGGAAAUGUGUCAAGGACUGCCACUUACAAUCGUCAUUGUAGCUGGAAUUCUGGCAUGUGAGGACCAACGUGGUUGGAAAGAACUUGUGGACGGUUUAAGUUCAAGAAUCGUCUCUAGUACAGAACAAUGCUCUGCUGCAAUAGAGUUGAGUUACAAGAACCUACCAGAAAAUUUGAAGCCAUGCUUUCUAUACUUCGGAGCAUUUCCAGAAGACCAUGAACACACUGCUGAGAAGUUGAUUUGGUUAUGGGGCGCUGAAGGAUUUACCCAGAAAACUCAGUUCAAGAGUGCAGAGGAUGUGGCAAAUGAUUUCUUAAUGGAUCUUAUCCAGAGAAGCUUGGUCAUUGUUUCCAAGCAAAGAUCCAUUGGUGGUGUCAAAGCUUGUCGCGUUCAUGAUUUGCUGCAUGAGUUUUGUGUGACAAAAGGCAAAGAAGAAAAUUUUCUGCAGCUGGUGCGUGGGUAUGAUGAAAUAUGUAAUUUCAGAGUGCCACGCAACCUACGCCGCCUAUGCAUCAACUCUAAGCCAGAGCACUUUUGCAAGUCCAGGUUAUUUGCUCCCACAAUCCAUUCUCUAAUACACUCCGAUGGAGGUAAAAGGCACCGAUAUUUGGGAUUUGAGAUUUCACCCAUUUUUGGUAUCUUCAAACUUGUUAGAGUGUUAGAAUUGAGCAACAUAAAUCUAGGUACUACUUUUCCUAGAGAACUAGAAUUACUGGUUCAAUUGAGGUACUUGGCAAUUCUAGGAAAUAUGAAGUCAAUUCCAUCUUCUAUAGCCAAUCUCUUGAAUUUGGAGACUUUCAUCGUGGAAAAUGAUCAGAAUGUUUUAUUACUACCUGCUACUAUAUGGAAUCUGAAGAAGCUAAGGCACUUACAAAUAAAGAACUUUAUGUUGCCCAUACACAAUCUUGACACUGCUGCACACUUGUGUGAUUUGAAUAGCAUCUCCGGUGUGUAUUUUGAUUCUUGGGAAACCAUGCGCAAGGUAUUCAUUAAAAUUCCUAAUAUCCACAAGCUGAAAUGCAUUCUUGCGGAUAAUGAACAUAAUUGGUUUUCAGCAGACAAGAUUCUGGUACUUGACUUUCUAAGUGGACUAGAAUCACUGAAUCUGAUGUUCAAUCCUUAUGGACAUCUUCCAAAUCCAUGCCAGUUUGAGUUUCAAUUCCCUUUGGCAAUUAGAAAGUUGGCUCUGUCCAAUUUUCGUUUCCCUUGGAGCAAAAUUUCAGCGAUCGAAAAUCUUCCCAAUCUGGAGGUUCUCAAAUUACUCCGUGACGCCUUUGAUGGGGUAAUAUGGAACAUGAAAAAAGAGGGGUUCCCUAAAGUUAGAUUUCUGGAAAUAUUUGCCUUGAAUAUUGUUAAGUGGACUGCCGACGAGGACGUGGACUGUUUUCCAAGUCUACAGAAACUAGUAUUGACAAGCUGUAGCUCUUUAAAGGAGAUCCCUUCUUGUUUGGGGAGUUCGACUCUUGAAAUUAUUGAGGUGUCUCAUUGUCGCUUCUCUGCUAGUUUUAUAGUGCCACUUCAGGAAGAACAAAUGGACUCGGGAAAUGCUGAUCUGAAGAUCCUUAUUUCAUAAGGUGGGCAGCAGCCACUACUACUGGCUUUGCUGUAUCAGUCUAGCAUCAAGAUCAGUUAAUCAGUUUGGGCAGCCACUUUCACUCCUUUUACCUGUUUUUUUUUCUUCCUAGUCCUUUAUUUCUGUACCGCUACUGGCUUUGCUGUAUCAGUGUAGCAUCAAGAUCAGUUAAUCAGGUUGCUUUAAUGUUUCUUAUCCCGUCUCAAACUGUAUGGUGGGAUCAUUCCCAGGAUUCGUGUUGUUUCUGAAGAUUGAAAUGAAUGAAGCAGCUAUCUUUUUCCCCCCUAAGCUUUUAGUUAUGAUUCCAAGAGUCUUUAACACAUUCUGUAAGUUAAUACUACUCCUCAGCUGCAUAAUUGUAACAAAUUUAUUGCCUUUUUACACUAUUAGUAAUUUGUUUUCGAAUGCCGCCGAUUAAUGUAUUUACUUGGAUUUGCCAAUUUAUCAAUUCUUUUUUCUUAGUGUUACUUGCAUUACAAUUUCUGAUCUUCCCGACUCCUUCCCGCUAGCUCAAUCUAUGUUGUUUAGAGCCCUAAUCAUUAAAUCAGGGGCCUCACAAGUUUCGUUUCAAUCCAGUUUGUCCUAGAGUAUAAAUAAGUGAAGGUCCAAUGUAAAUAAGUUUUAGUAAUGUGUAAACAAGACUUGAGUUUGAAUAAGACUCUCAACUGAUUUGAAUUCAAACUUGUAAAACCCAUAAUCCCUAGCGAAUCCAACCAAAGCCCAAUAAUAAGAUUAAAUGAGUUUUGCACCCACUUCGUGCUUAGGAAUCUUGGGGCUAUUCCCAUUACUACGUUGACUGGCCUUUCCAUUUUCACCGUUGCGUUGCACAUGGUGUUUUGCUGGCAGCAAUAAUGGCGCGAAAGACGGACGGAGGAAUUGUUAAUAUACGUUGUUGGACGUUCAAGGGAGCAAAAAAAUUUAUUAAUUAGAGGGUUAAAAAUACACAAACUUAAAAAGUUAAAAAGUUGAGGGUUGACUGAGUUUUUUACACAAACUUAAAAAGUUGAGGGUUGACUGAGUUUUUUACUCUUAAUAUGAUUGUGACUUUAUCCUUCUUCCAGCCACCUAUAUUUCUGCUGGUCAUUAAUUAAGGAAAAAUCAUCUAAAACUUGUUUCAUAUUUUGUGAAAUAAAUUUUUCAUCUCACAUUUUUAAAAUAUUGACUUUACAUCCCUUAAAAAAUGAAGUCGAUCAAAUUUACUUAACUAAAAAUAGAAUCUGACCUUUUUGCACCUAUUAAAAUGAUCAUGUGGUGUAUUCAAGUCAAAAAUUUGUUAGAAACAUAAGUUGAAACUAAAUUCGGUCGACUUAAUUUUGUAAGGAAUAUAAAAUCAGCAUUUGAAAAAUGAGAGAUAAAAAAAUUCAUUUAGCAAAAUGUGAGAUAUGUUUUAAACAACUUUUCAAUUAAUUAGUUCUUUAAUUCUAUAACUUUUCAAUUCAAUAUUAGAUGAAUCUAAAAGGUGGGGUUGUACAUUAAAGUUCAAACAAUUCUAAUUUAUCAUUUUUAAUUUAAUUUUUUAUAAUUCACCAGCUCUAGUAGGUCAUGGAAAAGGGGAAAAAUCCACUUUCAUCCCCAAAUUUUGAGUUAGAGAUACAUUCCAUCCCCAAACUUUUAGACGUACCACAUUUAGCACAUGAAUUAAUAAUUUUUGCCAUAUUUAGUCCAAAAACGGUAAAUUGCUUAAUUUGGUUGGAGAAAGUCACGUGUUUGGCAUGUGACCGUUUAAUAAAAACAAUUUCUCAUUCAAAAUCAACGGCCACAUCAACAUUCUCCAUCCAAAUUGAAUAUUUUACCGUUUUUGGACUAAAUGUGGCCAAAAAUAAUUAAUUCAUGUACUAAAUGUGGUGCAUCUAAAAGUUUGGCAACGAGAUAUAUCCCUAACUCAAAGUUUAAGGAUAAAAAGUGAAUUUUUCCCCAUGGAUAAAGUAUAUGUUGGAGGAACUUUUUUGUCAAAAAUAUACAGAAUUUAAUGAAAGUACUUACGACUACUAUUGGAUCUUGAAUUCUUGGGAAAUUCUUCACUAUAUAUUCGAGAUGUUAUUGUGAGUUUUCCUGUCUAUUUCAUGUGUAUGGCAUGAUAGGUUGUUAGACAAUCAAAAUAAAAUUACUUAUUCUACAAUAAAUAAAAAUUAGAGUACAGUGGUAAGUAAGGUUAUGUCCACAUGGAUUAGAAUAGUUUAUUAUUUUCAGAGCGACAGUUAAAUAAGGGGAUUUUUCGAGGAAAUUAAACUAACUAAUUAACUCUAAUAAAGACAAAUAUGUAAAAAUUAAUUAAAUCUAAAUAAUGAUAAUGAAGGUUCUAGCCAAAGUAAUAACUUCAGAAAUGGUUCAUACAACUAAUUAGUGAUAUUUUUUUAAUCUGUUGCGCACUUGAAAGAUGUAGGCAACGGAAUGAGGAAUUAGAUUUUGACCAAAAAAUAGAAUGAGAAAUUGGAGAUAGUUACUUUAUGUUUUUUUAAUAUUUCAUUUUUCCCCUAUGAUGUUUUGAAUUGUUUUCAAGGUUCCUAAAACAUUUUCUAAUGUCAUUUGCAAGGUCAAUUUUGAUGUAUCUUUUCAAAUAAGUCCCCUACAUUUUGUUAUAGACUCAUUAAUUUGCAUUUAAAAUUCACAAAUAUCAAAUUAGGGUUAGGCUUUAAUACUUUUGAAUUUUCCUAAGCUGUGUGAAACAAAAAUUGAGACUAAAGGAUACUUAUUAUGUCACUAAUAUAUCUAUAGGUUAUUUCUUCAUGCUAUUUUAUUUAUAAUUAAUAUUUAUGACAUAAUGAUGAUGUCACCCAAUUUUGAAACUGGUUCGACCUCGAUCUAAUUCAUUGGCCCCUAAACCCUGAAUUUGGUCAAGUCGGCAUCCAGUCCGAAUUUGAAACCAUAGCUUAAAAAGAUUGAGGUGUGACAGGUGUCUGAUUGCCCCUUCUCUGCAAGUUUUAUAAAGCCAUUUCAAGAGGAGCAAUUAGACAUGGGAAAUAAUGAUCUGAAGAUCUUCAUUUCAUCCAAAGAAAUGGAUUACUGACCUUCUCAGGCGCGUUUAGCUUGGACAGCCAAUUUACUCAUUUUACACCACCGAAUUUUUGUACUUUUGUACUUUUUAUGGUUGUGUUGUUUUAAUGUUCUUUAUCCUGUCUCAAACUGUAUGGUGGGAUCGCUUCCUUGGAUAUAUGUUGUUUCUAAGGAUUUAAAUGAACGAAGCAGCUGUUCUUGUUUCCCAAAUUUUAGUUAUGUUUCCAACAAAUGUUGCAUUACGUUCUUUUACUAAUUAGCUGCAUUGUAACUACAAAUUCAGUCAAUCUUUUCAUACCAUUAAUAAUUUGGUUACAAAAUGGCGAUCUACUAAUCUAAUUACUAAGUUGCGACAAUUUAGACAUCUCUUUUUCAUAGUCGUAUUGUACAAUUUCUUAGUCUACUCACUCAACUUCUGGUCAUCCCAACUCUACCCGUAAUUGGAGAGGCCCUUGGUCCCUAAAGGACAGCUCCCCAGUUUGCUGAUUGAAUGUUGAUACUAUGUGUUUAAAAGAAAAGCCAUAGAAAAGACCCACGCACAGUUGGUGAUGAACGCAGUAAACAGUAGAACAUGAUUGUCUGGGAAGGAGGGGUAUGAACAUAAUUGUGAUGAUAUAGACAAAGACGCAAGUAUGUAAAUUAAAAAAGAGAGGGGUUAAAUCCACACCUUAAAUGUCAUAAAACUAUUGAAGCCCUUGACAGUUAAUGGGUUUCUGCUAACUUUUUGUUUAUUCUAAAUUUUGCUUUCACAUAAAAUAAAUGAUUUGCUAUGUAGUUUUUUUUUAUGAGAAUAAUUACUUUUCAAUCUUUUUACCUUGCACAUGUGUUUCAAUUUUAUAAUCUCUUAUUUUAUAAAAACUAUCUAAUGGACAGUGAAUUUCAAAACAUAAAUUUCAUGGCAUGACAUAUAAUUCAAAGAGUAAAUUUUAUAUACACUGACAGUGUAUACAUUAUCAUCGUUGGAUUCAUAACAUGUAUGCAAAAUUUGAAUUUCAAUUCAACUUUUACAUAGUUGUUAUUUAUCCAAUACUGAUAGUGUAAGAAAAAUUAAUUUAAAUUUAAAUUUAAAUUUAAAAUUCAAAUUUUAUAUACAUAUCGUGUAUCCAAUUUUAACCGUGCAUGUACUUAAAUGUAUAUAAGAUUUACUGAUUUAGUUCUUGUUUAUUUGUACGUAAGCGCCUUUCGUGUGGUGUCACAUGGAUGUGUCCAUUUGUGCAUUUGCCGUUCCCAAUGAAAGCGAUUUCACGCUCUGUUUGAAACUCGGACUGGACCGGCUGGUCGAACCGGGAACCGGCCAGGUAGCCGGUCCGAGUCAUAUUAAAAAACCGGAAAUUGAAAACCUGGUCAAAGACGGUCAAAAACCGGGUUUGACCGGGCAAAAACCGGUUUUUCCGGUUCAAUAGUAAUUUUUUUUUAAAAAAAUUCAAACUUUUUAAUAUUAUGUUUUGACCCCCUAAAUUGUUAAAACUUAUUGAUAUACCUCAAAUAUUUGAUACUUUAUAAAUAUUGUCCUAAAAUUUGAUGUUAUUUUUAAUUAAAUUCAUAAUUUUAAUUCUAAACUUGUUAAUAUUUAUUAAAUAAUAUAAAUUGCUACUUCAUUGUUCUAAUUUCUUUGUAUUUUCUUGUUAAAUAUAUUUGAAACAUCAAAUAUAUAUGAAUAUACCUUUAUUAAUAUCAAUAUAUUAUUAGAUAUUAUAUAUAUAAUAUUUUAAUUUUUAAAUAAUUUUUUAUUUAUGACGUCAUCCGGUUCGACCCUUAUCGACCCCGAUCGAACCCAUUGACCCUGACCCCUGAUCUCGGCCGAGUCGCUAUCCGGUCCGGUUCUGAAAAUAUAGUUUCCACGCUCAAGGCCAAAAUGCCUUCCUCACUGCCCCACCAAACAGUACACAGUACCAGGUAAACAUAAUACUGGAAAAGUCACCUAUAAAAUUCACCAAACAAUACAACUGUUUAUUCGUACGCGAGCACCUUUCAUGUGGUGUACUGGUGUAAAAGGUACUAUUUGGAAUCCAAAUUUUUUGGUAAGUUUGUCUGUUAAGAGUUUUUUAAAAAUUUUAGUUACAGUAACGUCAAAAAACUUUUCAAAAUUUUUAAAUCAUACACUUCAAAAUAUUAAAAAAUUUACAUACCUCAAAAAUUUUUUAAAAAACUUCUACAAUACGUUACAGUAAAAUUUUAAAUAAACUUCCAAAAAACUCACUUUUCAAAUGGGUUUGACACGUCAAAGUUUUGAUGUGUCUAUUUGUAUUUGCAGUUCCCCGAUAAAAGAAAUUCACCCGCUCAAGGCCAAAAUACUGGGCCUUCCUGACUGGCCCACCAAAUAGUACACAGUACCAGGUAAGCAUAAUACUGGAAAAUUCACUUGAUGAAAAUUACUCCGUAAACCUCUACAGUAAUAAAAAAUUAAUAGGGUUUUCUAGCAAGUGCUAUCUGGACACUCAUUUAACACAUCUAUAUCUCACCCAAGUUAUCGUAUAUAUAUACACACUAAUAAUUUUUACUUUUUCUCGCAUUCAUGCACUUUUUCUAAUUAAUCCUUACAUUUGUACGCUUUUUCUAAUUAAUCUUAUAUUUCUAAACAUCUAACACCUGAAAUAAAUCUUAAUGAGUGCCCAUCCGUAAGACAGAUCGAAUCAAAUAUAACACUUGUAGACCAACAUAUGUGUAUGUUUCAAUUCCAGACCUGCUAAUUAAUUGCUUCAAACUCCGAUAUUAGCGGUGAGAUCUGUCAAGAUAGGCUCGAGGAAUCCAGAUCUAACAACCAAUUAAUCUAAAAUACUUACAUCUAAUAAUAAAAUGUAGUAAAAACUUGCAAAAACUCCUAAAAAUUUUAAGAGAGAAGAAAACUCUUAUUGAGAAACCUACGAGAGGAGAAAAUUCUUGUUAGGAGCCCCUAGAUUAGAGACUUCAAGUACAACAAGCGUAAGUUUACUUGAGUGUUUGCCUUGGAAAAUAAGAGGGAAUCACAUGCUUAAUUCGAGAUAGAGAUUAAUAAGCAUCCGAUGCGUGUGUACUAGAUAAAAAUUUCAUUUUUAGAAAUAUAUUUCACAAAAAUUGAUUUUACAUUUUCACUAAAUAUAAUUUAAUAAAAUAUGUUUGUGCAACUGUGUGAGUUGAUGGUGAUAAAACUAUUGCCUUAAAGAAACGAAGAUUCUAUUUAUCGACUUGCAAUAAUUGAAGACAUGGAGUUCAGUACUGGGCUUGCUAAGAAGCGGAAGUUGCCCGAAAACAAAUUAGCCCCACAACUAGCUUAAUUGUUUCAUUUCCCUUCUAUUCCUUUUCCUUACCCCACCUAAUAACCUAGUAGCACAUUUUACAUAAGACAAGUUCCUUUCAAACAUGCUAAAAACAACCUCUGGCAGAAUUUGACCAUUCAACUUCAGCAAGAAUAGACACAGCUACGUCUUUGACUAUCAAGCAAUCAUAUUAAAAAGAAAGAUUAAUCAUAUAAAGAAUACAAGUCAAUUAUCCAAUAUCGAGCAGUGACAGCAGAGUAGAAAAAAUAUAAGAGGCCCUCAUGAAGGUAGUUUUUGCGUCGAACCACAGACUGCAUACUCCUUGUUUGAACUGUAUAUCUGCCUUUAUCUCAUUCGUUGCAAGAUGGUUCAAGUUCUUGUAAAUUUUCCUUUAACUUGCAUUCAGCCUAAUUUGAAUAUACUCAAAACCAAUUCAAGAUCAGGACCUCUUCAUCAUGCGUAUCGUGUCCAAAAAACUUGGCAAACAAGAUGCAGUAAUCAAUCUGCAGAGCUGACGAUCGACCGCCGGACAGCUAAUUACCAGCCGAGUUCGUGGAGUCAUAUUCUCUUCGAGCCGACUAGUGAGACAGAUAAUGAGGUAUAUUAUUUUCUCAGUUAAUCCAUUUAGGAAAUUUUAUUUAGUAGUUUGAUGUAAAAUAAGUGAGGAAGUAACUCCGUCUAAAACACAAUACUAAUAACAGUAAUAGUAGGGUAAUAGAAAUUAAGGCCAUCAUGUAGGAGAUUGGUCUUGUGGAGGAAUUAAGCUUGAAAAUAAAUUCAUACUAGGGAAAACGUAAUCUCCUUUUUCUCGUUAUGUCUUUUGUUUUAGUUAAUGAUAGUUGGAUGUUACGGAUUAAAAUGCCUCUUGGCUCAUCCAUUCAGUAUCAUGUUGCAUUUUUGUGUCUAUGCGAAGAUCAACUGUUUAUUAUCCUUACCUAUAUGCAUACAAGAGUUUUGUACCGAUUGGCAUGGCUAAAUUACCUUCGAAAAUGCAUAAGAGAAUUCUACUAGAUGGCAUUUUAUAAUUUGGCCUUUAUGUUCAUUUAUAGCAUAUGCCACACGAUGUUUUCCUGAGAGGAGAUCAGUUCUUUCAAUAAGGGUAAAUUACACCUUAUUCCCCAGUGGUUUAGCACUUUUCUACACAACCCUUAUGUAGUUUUAAAAACUAUAUAUAACCUCCUUAUGAUUUGAACUAAAGCGUCAAAGUGAUGAAAUUUACAUUUCAUAACAGAGUCAACUAAAUAUAUCAAAAGUACUCCUGUGUAAAAUAAAAAAUUAUUUAUUAACCACAAGGGAAUUAUGUAUAUAUUUUGAAAAUCAUUAAAGAGUUAUGUGAUAAAACUCUAAAUCAUAAAGAGAUUAUGUAGUAAAACACAAAAUUAUAAGGAGUUAAAGUGUCAUGCAUGUUAUGUUUAUAUAUUUUGGUCAUUUCAACUAUUUUAGUUUUUAAACCAAAGUAAUCUCGGCAUUUUUUUAGUAACGAUACAAAUGAUCAUUUCUGUUACCCUGACACUUUAGUCCAAACCAUGAUUGGGUUAUAUAUAGUUUUUGAAACUCUAGGAGAAUUAUGUAAAAAAUCGAUAAACCACAAGGGGUAAAGUGAUAAGCAAUUAAAUCCUGUGAUUGAAAUCAACAAUUUUAUGACUUUAUUAUUGCUCAUAAAAGAAUCAUGUUUUGUUCAUGCAUGUAGCAUCAUUAUUAUGAGAGUAAAUUACCUUUUACCCAUAUGAUUUGGUGUUUUAUCACAUAACUCCCUAUAGUUUAAAAACAUAUGUACAACUCCCUUAUAGUUUGAGUUAAACUGUCACAGUUAGUUUUUUUUUAAAACUAAUGGUUAAUAGUAAAAAACCAAAGUCAAAUUAUUAAAUUGACAAAUUCGUCUUUCACUACUUUGUUUUCUUUUUUCAUUUUUUCCUUUUCUUUCUCUCUUUUUUCUUGGAAAGAGAAGAGAUGAUUUUGAAAACUUAUACUUUAUUCUAUAAUAUCUUAAUUUUCUCCAAAUACAAAAGAGAUGAAGUGAAAUAAAAAAGAUGGAAGGGAAAUAUAAAACAAACAAAUAAGAAACAAAAAAUAACAAAAUCUUUUUUCACUAUAAAUAUGAUUAUAGGUUUUUAAACCAAAUUUUAUUUUCUAGUUCUUAUUUAUCUAUUUUUUCAUGUCCCACAAUCGUGUUGGAUAAUUGGAUUAUCAAAAAAUCAUUUCUAAGAAAAAUAAACUUUAAAAAUUCCAUAGUUACCCGUUAAUCCAUAAUGUGUUUUAGUCUGUCAUAACUUCUCAUUCCCUACUUAAAUUGACCUCAAGAAAUCAAAUUAAUUCAUUCUGGAAUCAAACCCAAUUUAUGUCGCAAUCAUCUUGUUCAAUUAAAAUACAAAGUAUCCAAUAUAUGUUUUUGCUAAUCUUUUGUAGUGGGAAAAUCAGACAAAGAUUUUAAAUAAGUUGGAGAGCGAAGUUGGCAGCAUGCUUGAUUGUGAAGACUUGGAGCCACAGGCUCUGAUUGAACUGAUUAAUGACAUCGACCAGCUUGGCCUCUCUUACCGAUACAGGCAAAAAAUUAAAAAUGCCCUUAAUAAGCUUCGAGAUUUGGAGGAUGCAACUGGAGAUAAAAUUAAGAGUAGUCUACAUACUUCAGCUCUCUAUUUCAGGUUGCUUAGGCAACAUGGUUUUGAGGUUUCCCCAGGUAACACAUUCCCUUUGAACAAACUCUCUAAUUUUGGUUGCAAAAGCGUACUGAUAGUUGUGAAUCUUUCCUGUCAUUGCAACAACAUCCCUUUGAUUCAGUCAUGUGUCUAGAUUACUUAUCUACUUUGUCAAAAUGGUGGCGAAGGAUUUUGCUUGGAUCCCACAAAUUGAGAAUUGUAACUUUAUAUGUAAUUGUGUUCUUUAUUUUAUGAUUAACUUUAUACCCUAAACAUAAGAAAAUUCUACAAUCUCUUUAAGGUAUCAUACUGUUGUAUUAAUUUAAGUAUAAUGCUGGUUUAAUUCACUUAUGUUUUCUCGUUUCAUUCGUUUGACUAAUUUUUACAAAAGAGAAAAAUAUUUCAAUCAAUGAGCAAGUGGUGUUUAGCAGCAAACCCUAACGGGAUAAGUAAGUAUGCCUCUAUGAAGACCAUAUAUUCCAUCGUACAUGAAGCCCUUCUUGGCCUGCGUAUAGAGGCUAAUUACGUUAUCACUCCAUUUUAAGGUCCUUUUCUUAAAAAGGAAAAACUUAAAAAAAUAAAACAGUAUUGGUCAUGAUGUAGAUAAAAUAAAAUUUUGGCAUCAAUUUUCUUUGAUUUGGUAUUGAAAUAGAAUCCAAAUAAACCUAACCCUAUCCUCCCACCACAAAAAAAAGGACAUGGGAAUCCGUUUAUUAUCGUAUAUGCAGCUGUUGUAUGAUUGUAUCUUUCCUCAAUAGCACCAAGUUAUCAAAUUUCUAUUUGGUGCAGAUGUCUUUGAGAGAUUCAAGGACCAAAAUGGCAACUUCAAUGAAGACCUUUCCCGGGAAGUUCGAGGAAUUUUGAGCUUGUUUGAGGCUUCACAUCUUGCAUAUGAAGAAGAGAAUAUACUAAACGAGGCCAAAUCAUUCACAAGUCUACUUCUUAAGGAUUCCAAAAAGCUGGUUGGGGCAAACAUGUCAGAACAAAUAACUCAUGCUUUGGAGCUUCCGUAUCACCAUAGAAUGCGAAGGCUAGAAGCUAGGAGGAAUAUUGAAGCAUAUGCUCAAAGAGGUGAGAAAAAUCAAGUGCUACUCGAGUUAGCCAAGCUAGACUUCAACUUGGUUCAGACUAAGUUCCAAAGUGAUGUUCAAGAAGUAUCGAGGUAAGAUCACGCAGGACACAUCUGCAUCUGAUUGCAUGAACUAUUAUUUUCAUUACUUUUCUAGUAUUGUCGUAAAUUACUCGAAAUUAUUUUUGUCAUAUCACACAAUAUGUCAUUUAGAAUUAUGGUGCUUUUGUUAUAAAAGUACUUUUGUUAAUUGAAGCACUUUUGGAGUUUUUUUUAUGAGCAUAAUUCAGAAAAUUUAUGAGUAGAAUUUUUUUUAUCUCAAAAGUAUUUUUAACAUAAGCUCAAAAUUGGUGCAUUCAAAAUGACUUUUAUAUUUUAAAAAUAAAAUUGUAAUUCUAGCCAUUUUAUUAUCAAUUCUAAACUAAAUAAAGAGAUAAGUUUUUUGGUUUUCAAAAACUCAAAUUACACAUUAUUUAAUAUGAUAAGAACUUAUGUAAGUGUGUUCUCAUAAUGUAAUUAACUAAUCACUAGCCAUGGGGACUAGUGGCCAGGGAGUUGAACUCUUGCCUGAUGUACCAGGGUUCAAAUCUUGACAGGUAUGUUUGGGGAAGGAGGGAAUAGGAGAGUGAGAGGAGGUGAAAAAAAAUUAAAAAAUUAGCAGGUACUUCUAUUGAAAACUCUAUUAAAUAAAGUGUUUUUGUUAAGAAGGCUGAGAAGGUUUUAGUCUAGUGCUAAAGUUGAGACUUAAGGAAUUAAUAGUUUUAGAUUUAGAUCUCCUUUCUUCCUACCCACUUUUUAAAUCUCACCUCCGCCAUAAAAUAAAUAAAUAUACACACACACACACACAUUUCAGAUGCUGGUCUUCCUAAAUAUUUUUUUUUCAAAUGCUAAUUACUCAUAUUUUAAAGUGUGUAAACUUAAACACAAUUUCAUAUAUUUUGGCCAGAUCACUUUGUAACUGGUUGCCCUUGGAAAUUAUGAUUAGGUGGUGGAAAGUUAUGGGCUUAGCAGACAAGUUGGACUUUGCAAGAGACCGGCUAAUGGAAAGCUUCUUUUGGUCAGUUGGAAUGGCCUUUGAGCCACAAUUUAGUAAAUGCCGAACGGCAGUAACCAAAGCCCUUACGCUGAUCACUGUCCUGGAUGAUAUCUAUGAUAUUUAUGGUUCCCUAGAUGAACUCGAGCAAUUUACAGAUGCCGUUGUUAGGUAUAUAUACAAAAUGCAUUGGCUUUCUAUUGUAACAAAAACUGUUCCUUGUUUCCAUCUUACUAACGUCACUAAACUAUGUUGGUUCAGAUGGGAUCUUGAUGCUAUGAAAGAUCUUCCCGAAUAUAUGAAAUUGUUCUUCCUUGCUCUUUACAAUACCAUAAACGAUUUGGCUUAUGAAACUCUCAAGGAAAAAGGAGAGAUGAUAAUUCCUUGCCUGAAAAAGCAGUAAGUAAUUGAACAGAGAUUAAUUCCUCCAUUCCCUCCAACAUAUGCUUAAUUACUAGUCUAAUCGCUCAUGUAAACAGAAUAGUCCAUCUCUAAUUCAUAUGCUUUUUUCAGUGGGCAGAUAUGUGCAAAUCAUUCUUACAAGAAGCUCAAUGGUAUCACAAGAAAGGUACUCCAACCUUUGAGGAGUAUAUGGAAAAUGGAUGGAUUUCAUCAGGUGGCGCUGUGCUAUUAAUUCAUGCGUACUUUUGGUCACUGAAAAUAUUUCAAAUGAGGCCACAGAGUCCUUGGACAAUCAUCAUGAUUUCUUGCGUUGGCCCUGCAUAAUUUACCGUCUUACCAAUGAUUUUUCCUCAACGGUUAGUAUGCUCAUUUACCAUAUUUUUCCUCUACACAAAUCAUAAUUGUCAAUGCCUCUUCAUUGGUUGAUCAGUCAAGAUUUAACCUAAAUAAUAACGUACUCGAGCUGAUCUAGGUUAAGUCUCAAAAGUGUAGCAUGGAGAAUUAUAAGAAUGCGAAGUUAUUACAUUGAAUUAUAAGGAACCUUUGCUGCAACCAAUAAUUUAUAUCGGAUUUUUGGAAAUAAAAAACAACUAAAUCAUAACAAAAAUUGAACCCAAAAAAAAAGGAUGUGUAAUAUGUACAAUUUUCCUUGUGUUUAUGCUACUGCUGCGAGCCCGAGACAGCACCUUAAUACAUCAUGUGCCAUGUUGUAGGAUGAGAUAGAAAGGGGUGAAACUACAAAUGCAAUUACGUGCUACAUGCGUGGAACUGGCCUGUCUGAGGAAUUUGCUAAAAAAAAUGUAAGCAAAAUGAUUGAAGAAUGCUUGAUGAAGAUGAACAAACAAUUGUCAUCUCCAUCACCAUUUGAGGAAAAUUUCAUUGAAGUUGCUAUGGACCUUGCUCGAAUUGCUUUUUGUCAAUACCAGUAUGGAGAUGCUCAUAGUGCUCGGAUGUUAAAGCCAAAAACCGCAUCGUGUCAGUUAUGUUCGAUCCUAUCCAGUUGAGGGAGGCAGAAAAUGAUGUCAAAGGAGGAAACAAUUAGAGGCAAUUCUCUGAUUUGUUCCUGGUGUCUUUAGGAACAACCGAAAUAUGUCUGCUUUGUGUACGUGUGUGUUUUAAUUUUUAAGAUUCUGAUAAAAGCUCAAAACAGGAGCUGUUUUGCUUGUUUCAAGUACUUUGAAAUGGGCCAUUGAAACAUUUUAUGUGAUAACAUGGAAAUGAAAGCGAUGAAUAUAUUGCAGGUACAGGGUCGGUUCUUCCUCCCUAAUAACUGCUCACACUAAUUUACAUAUUAUCAUAACGUUUUGCCAUGAGUCUUGAUUCCACUUAGCUUUCAUCUUAACCUAAUUAUAACCAAGGUUUCAAAAAAGCGGAAACACUGACCGGAACUUUUUAAUUAUUAUGUCGAGGCAAAAGCCUACGGUGUGAAGAUCAGUCCUAUGAAUUUCAAUUUUUAAUGAUUUAAAAAUUAACAGGAUGAUAGAAAUAUGUAAUUUUUAUAUAAAUAAGUCAUUUUAUUAAAUUAUUUGAAAAUAGUCGAAUAAUGGACUUCCCUUCUAAUUCUACACUUGGGAUUCCGGUGACAUGUUUUCUAUGCCAACUCAAUGCCACCAAUAGUGUUGCGCCAAGUGUCAUGUUAUUAUUUACACUUUAAUUUUCUAAUAAUUCAACUUGGCUUGGUUUAACACAAGUGUAAAUAAUAACAUGACACUUGGCGCAACACUAUUGGUGGCAUUGGAUUGGCAUAGAAAACAUGUCACCGAGGAUCCCAAGUGCUAAUUCUAAGGUGCUACAAGCAUAACGUACUUAGAGUGUGUUUGUUUGGAUGUAAAAUGUUUUCCUGAAAAUGUUUUCCAAAUUUUCCCGUGUUUGGUAAUCAUUUUAUCUUGGAAAAAGAUUUACGGGGAAUAUAUUUUACUUCACUUGGUGGAAAAUAACUUCCCCUUUUGACUUACUGAAGUUAUUUUCCUUCAUUAAAACGAGCGGCUCUUGCACUUUACAAUAGAGCUCCCUACUCCCACAUUCUAACAAAAACAAACAAAGACAAAAGCGGCUAAAGAUACAGAGAGUGAGCAAUGGAGAUUGGAGAGACUGAGAAAUCACCAACACAAUAUGAUCAUUUUUUAUGGCAACCAUCUCCAACUUUGGCAAGGUGCCUUGGGUGAGAUUCUUAUUUAGGGCUUUGUCUUGAAUAUCUUUAUUUUUUUCCAAAAAAUCUGAUAAAAUUGGUUGCUCCAGUCUAGGAUUCUAUCGAUUUUUUUUUAAAUUUUGAUGCUAUAAUUCUUGAGAAUUGUGGCACUAGUUUCACGGAGGAAUUUGGAUUUUUUUUUUCUGAAAAAUGCUUCUUUUGUUUUUAGUUUUCUUUUUCUAUAAUUAUAUGAAGCUCUAGGAAUUCUGGUAAAAUUUAUUGCUCCGUUCCCCUUUUCUGACAAUUCUUAUUGAGGUAAGGGCUUGAGCUUGCAUGAUUGUUUUUGUAUCAAUUGAUUGAUAGAUUAAGAAACUUCAAUAGUUUUUCUGUAAAUUAUCAAUCAAUUGGCGUCCUUAGAGUUUUAUUUUGUCUUUCUAUUGAGAAAUUUGUUGUUAAAUGUAUAUAGUUGUUAUUGAUUUCUCUGAGCGAUAUGAAUACUGAAUGUUGGAUUUCUUGUCUAGAGAAUUUAAAUUUUAGAAUUUAUGUUUUGGGAUUGGGUAAAGGUUAAGCUGUUAAGACGUUUGCAAGUUGUUUAGAAAUGUUUUCUGCUUGAACUGAACAAUAUACUUGAUUCUAUUUUGUUUUUUCACACAGAUCUAGAUUUUCACUUCUCAAUUUGGAGAGUCUAGGCUAUUACUCAUGCUUGAAUCUUUUAGUAUGACUGCUCGAGUUGCUAAGGAUAAGAUGUUUUCCAUAGUGGUAGUUGUAACAUUAAUUGGAAGGCCACCUUGCUACCUAUUGUUUUGUUCUGUGGCAUCCAAUAUUUAGAUAUAAUUUGAGUUUGCGAUUCUUUCCUUUAUUGUAGGAAUUCUUGUUCAAUUUGCUGAUUGGAGUAAUUCAAUGUUGAGUUUAGUAAUUGAAGCUUUACACUUGUUAUAGUCUUUGCAACCUAGUAUGUAUGCUUUUCCCUCUUCUAUUGUUUGCAAGUAUAUAGUGUCUAAUUUUAACUAACCAAAGUUGGCCUACAUCGCGAGACAAAACUACCUUAAGCACUCUUGUAUGGAGCCAAGAGAAGCUGAAAUCAUUAUUGGCAGAGAAGAAUGGAAGGCAUAAACGGGUUGCCCUUUUGUUUUUUCUCCUUUGCUUGUGCAUCUUGAUAGCUGAACAAGGGACGUGCAAUGGCUGUAUUUGCUUUUCUUCUUUCUUUGUUGUUCCCUCUUGGUGUGUUUGUGAGUUUUGGUUUGGUCUGAACUCUUUAAGAUAUUUAAGUUUUUAACUGGUACUAGUUGAUUUAGAUGGUGAAAUAUCUCAUUUCUUAACUGUACUAGUAAUAUGGUAUACUUGAUCCAUUGAAUGCAUUAGCUUGUUGCUUUGGAUGGUAAAAUCUUAUUGGAACAAAUCCUGAAUUUGUUGAAUAAGUGUCUUGCAGUACUAUGUAGAACAAUCGAAGUCAUGAUGAGUCCAUCAAGAUGUAGGACUGACUUCAUGAAUCAGCAGGCGAGGUUCUCUAUUGGUGAUGACUAUUGAAAUUGAUUAAUUUUUUGAAGAUGGGCAAGAAGGAGAGAACAGUUCCUAUGGAGCGUUUGAUGCUUGAGAUUCUUGCCAAUGAGGUGAAACAUGGAAUAGGCCUAACAAUAGCUUUGAAUCAAGUUCAUUUACACGUGUGGUAGACGCCAUGAAAGAUAAGUUUGGGGUUACGUGCUCAGCAGAACAUGUGGAAAAUAGCUGAUCAGUGCUUGAGUUGAGAUCUAUUCUACUUUUGAAUCUGUAUAUCUAGAGAUUGAUUGAAGAUCGGGGGAUCAACUGUCUUCUUGGCUUGUAAUGUAUAUAUUGCCAUUUCUGCAAUGUAGCAGCAGCAAUUGCUACUACACUUGAUGAUUUAUUGCCGUCCAAUCAUUGCGCUCUAUUUGCAGUAAUUGCACCAACUACACCAAAAUAUAUAUAUAUUAUAUAUAUAUUAUAUAUAUACUCGUAGUAUAUAAAUAUAAAUUUGGGAUGCAGGGAACUCGACUUCCUGUUUUGUUGUUCGUUCCCAUUUUGUCACCAGAAGUUGCCAUUUGCCCACUAAAGCAAGAUUUUUUUUGCUUCAAUGCAAAGAAUUAUACUUGAAACAUUUGUGUCUUGAUAAGCAAAAAUGAAAUGUUAAUCGCAUUUCACUUUUUUAUAAUGCCACUCUUACUAUCAUUUUUAAUGUAAAGUCUAACAAAUGAUAACUAUAUAAUAAAAAUAAUAAUGAGAUUGUUUUUACUUGAAAAAAAAGGUGUGAAAUUUAAGCGCAUGCAAGUGGGGAGCUUGUUUGCAACAUAUCAACAAACAUAUCAUAAAAUAUUUUCAUUGACAAACCAAACACCAGAAAAUUCUGAAAAAAGAAAUUUGAAAAAUAUUUUCACUUAAUAACCAAACACUGGAAAAUUAUGGGAAGGAAGUGAUUUUCAGGAAAAUGACUUCGAUGGAAAAUAUUUUCCUAGGAAAAUAUUUUCAGUCCAACCAAACGAACCCUUAAUGUGAAAUCUAAAUGGACACUCUGCAUCUGGCAUUCUCCAGAUUGAUGGUAGCGCAAAGUUAAGAGUCCUGUCGAGUUUCAACUGUUUUGCUAGCAUUCGAGUAGUCCUUCUGCCUUCUAGACUUCUUUGAAAUAGCCUAGAUAUUUUUUGAUCAUCCUCAUGUUUAUUGUCUUUAUUGCUUCCUUGGUCACGUGCAAAGUUGGUUUCACCAGAAAUUUUGUUGAAUUUGGACUCAAAAGACUCUUGAAAAUCCUUAAAAAAUUGUAUCAUCUUUUCUCAAUCACUAUCUCGUAGAUAUGAGUAUUUUGCGAUUUGAAGUGUUUAAUUUUGUUGCCGGGGAGCGUCAAUAGUAGAGGUUGACAAACUUUAUUAGUUUAUACUUGUUUUUAUUUUUGUUAAAUUUUCUUUAAUAUAUAUCAAGUGGUUUGGUAUGAAUUUUCAAAGUUAAUAUAUAUAGUAUAUGCAUCGAACUUUAAGAGUUGUUGUUGUUCCUUUUUGAUCCAUCAAGGCAAAUUUCUUGGUUAGUCCUCAAACUAUUAGUUAGUACAUUUUAGCCCUCUAACUUUUAUUUAUUUAUUUUUAGCCUUCCAACUCCUGAAAGUGUAUAUUUCUGUCCUUUCGUCUAUUUGAGUCGUUAAAACUAACGGGAACUGAACAUGGACAAUAUACAAGCCAGAUCUACUCAUAGCUAGCAAGAUUCAUAUAAAUUUGAGUUCAGGUUUAGAAUCUAAGUGAAAGACAGAGUCUCUAUAUAAUUUUGUCUAAAUUUGACAACACUAUAUUACUAGAAUAGUGGUCAACUAUUGUCAACGAUAAUCAAUGGCUGUUGAUUAGCAACUCAUAGUUGCAAUGGUGAUUCUACAUGAUUGAAGGAUUAAAGAUGUACAAAAUUAUGUCAUUUUGAAGUGGAUUCCAUAGGAAUAACGAUUGAAAUUUACAGAAGGACUUGAAUGUAUGCUUUUAGAAGUAAGAGGACUAUAAGUAUACCAAUAACAGUUGAAAGUUAAAAGUGUACAACAUUAAUACUUUGAGGACCGACUAGGUUUUUUACUCUAUAAACAAAUAGUCAAAAACAAAGAUGCGCAUAUGGUUUGAAUUUCCGAACUUUCUUGUAUAUAACAUAGCAAGACAAUCAAUAAAUAAAGAGUAUGAUGAAAUUCUUUCGCCAAUAACAGGAAAGAUGGAUGUUAGACAAGUUCUUCACAUGAAAGGAUGAUAGGCCCAGUGAACUGACCCAUGAAUGCCUCGUUGCACGUUGAGUGCCCUGGCAAUGAUAUAUUUUUGAGUGCCCUGGCCAUGUUGAGUGACCCAUGAAUGCCUCGGCCUAGAGCAAGCCCUGGCAACGAUAUAUAUAUUUUUUCUUUUAAAUGGAAGGUCUUGAAUCUACAAUCUGCUAUUUAUAAGUCCUUCCAACUGACCAUCCAACCAAUCCCUCUAGCAAUGACUUUUAAAAUCAUUGUUAAAACAUAGCCAUAUUUGGCUUACAUCUAAAUUUAUGGCUCCAUCUAAUAUUCAAAUAGGAACCUGUCAUGUGAUAGAAGCAUCUAAACUGCCAUAUGACGCGGUUGCCACCACAUGAAAGAUGCUCAAGGACAUAUAAAGAAAUAGUCAAAAACGAAGACGCACGUAUGGUUGAAUUUCCCAACUUUCUUGUAUAUAAACGUACCAAGACAAUCAAUAAAUAAAGAAUAUGCUCAAAUUGUUUCGCGGAUAACAGGAAAGAUGGAUGUUGAAGAAGUUCUUACAUGAAAGAGGGGAAGACAAUGCAAGCUAUGCAAGAAUUCAUCAAUUCAGGUAAGUGUCCAAGCCGGAGAUUAUUCUCUACUCUACAUCUGGUAUGAAUCGAAGUCUCUAAUUUCUCCAAAAUUCAAUCUUUCAGAGUCUAGUAUCAAAGAAGGCAAAGCAUGCACUUGAAAAAAGCAUGCAACAGUUUGUGUCGACUGAAUUUACCCUCAAAAGAGUGCAUAAUAGUAGGAGAUUUUGGGAUGUGCAUCAGGGCCAAAUACUUUGGCUUCCGUCAAGGAGAUUAUAGAGCUCAUUGACAGUGAAUCCCGUAACAUGAAUUAUGGGCUACCCUAAAUUCAAGUUUUCUUGAAUGAUCUUGAGUCCAAUGUUUCAACUCAUUUUCAAGUCAUUGCACUCGUUUUAUGAUAAUCUUGAGAAAUAUGGCGUCAAUCAGGAUCAUGCUUCAUUGCUGUAUGCCUGGCUCCUUCUAUGGUAGACUUUUUCCAGACCAUUCCAUCCAUUUUAUACAUUCAUCUUUUAGUCUCCACUGGCUCUCUCAGGUGCGUAGUUUUCAAACGUCAGGACUCAGUUUUUAUGCAGCUAUAAUAAAAAAGUGCAGUAUUAACAUAAAGGUUAUGUAUCUAAUUAAACUGGCACACAUAAUUGGAAUACUUUUGCAAUUUUAUUUUGAGGAUAGUCGAUAAAAUUAAAAAAAAAAAAGAUUCAUCUUAUACAUCUUUAGAAAUUGUAACCCUCUAAGAAAGUUGAUCCUCUACAGUUUGUUUUAAUGUCAAUGCAGUCAUAGUAGAUAUUGAUAUCUGUCGACUUUGUAAUACUGGCUUAGAAUGAUAAAAAGUUUGCGAGCAAUAUUUUGGAAACCUGCUCUGUGAGUGGACCGGUUAACCAUUAACGAUAAAUAGGUUGAUUGUGGUUCAGCCAGUUGAACCGCUUGGGUUAACUAGUUUUUCUUUCGUUUUUUUUUUGUUAGUUUAAAAAAUUUUCAAAGUUGAACACUCAUACAUAGGGUUAAUUGCAAAAUACCCUCAACUAUUAUUAGUUUGUGACUUGCCUCGUAUACAACUGAGUUUUAGCAUUUGACCACCUUGAUGGAUCAAUUUUGGCACCUUACUCUAAUCAAAUAUAAGCCAACAUAAAAAAAUGUUGUGAUAACAUUUUUAUCCUGCUAGGAACUGUUUAAAACCCAAAAUUCCAUAUUAUUUUCUUUAACAUUUUGUCUCUCCUCUCUCCACUAGUUUUCUCAAAUCCUAUUUCUACAAAUUUCAUCAAUCGCCAAAUUCCCAUAUCAAAUGCACUGUCGCAAUUUUCUCUCUAUUCCUUUGGCCCUUCAUCAGAAAUUACCAAGUGUCCAGAAAAUUAAAACAUCUUAUCUGUCCUUUAUGCUCUUGGCUUUUUAACAAGUGAUAAGUCAAAACAAGAGUUUACGUUCAUCAAUUUUUAACUAACCAGCGAGCGAGACUGAAUGGAGCCGCAAAUCGCCCAUUGGAGCUAGAACUUGAGGAGAGCAUCCAUGUGGCUGUAAUGUUCUUUCAACCCUUUAUCAACAGAUCCUUCUAUUCCUCAUUUUCUUUCAUGCAAUGCCUUAUCUUUUUAGAUGUUUUAUUUUUUCUCUAGGAAAAAAAUUGGAAUUUGUGUGACUAUUGCUGAUACUUUUUUCCAAAGGGAAAACUAAAAAAGAAAAAGGCUUCUUACAGUUGCUGUUCUUUUUGAAAGAAAAAAGAGGAAUAAAAGGAAAGUGAUGCAAAUUGGCAGCAAGUAACAAGACUGAUAAACACAAACCAUAGUUUUGACUUUAGGAUGCAACUUACAAAUUAAAGAUAGUUCAAGGGUACAUUUUGCCAUUAACCCUUUUUCAAUAUAUCACAAGUAUUAUUCUGAUUUCACCCACAAAAGAACUCAAAAUGAGCAAAAUGAAUCCAAACCCGGUCCUACUCAACCGUCCAGCCUGUCCAGAAUUGUAGCAUUGGUUGACUUGAGUUUGAACCAGAUUGAAACGUUAGAAGUUACCCAUCGACAAUCAAUAACAUUCCUGGUAGGAGACCUCCCAUGGUAUAGGGGCAUUGGAAGUUGCAAAAUGAUUAAAGCAUUAAUAAUCAGAAGAAAAUGAGAUAAAACUAAGUCGUUGUCAUUGGAUAAAGUAUGGACGGCAGAAUAUGGUUAUCUCUACAAUUAACCAAGAACAAUAAAAGCUGAACAGUGUAAGGCUGAUGAUUAUAGAAAGGGUAAAAUGCAAUUUUCAUCCCUAAUGUUUAAGGUGUUAACCAAUUUCAUCCUAAAGUUUCAUGCAAAACACAUUUCAUUCUUAUAAUUUUAUAAUUUUGAUUAAUUUCAUAGUUAAAGUUUUACGCAAACACAUAUCAUUCUCAUAGUUUCCUAAAUUUGGUUAAUUGAGGACAAUUGGUAGAUUGUCAAAUAAUUUGAAUGGAAUAGCGUCACUUGACCAUGGCAUGCCUAUUAGUUAAAAAAAUAUAUAUUGGAUCAACAAAAACUCAAAAAUCUUUUCUUAAUUCACUUUCUCAUUUUUGUACAAAAAAGACUAAGAAAUUUUUAACCACCAUUACUCCCUUUUUAAUCACAAUCAAACUUGAAGAUCCAAAAAAAAUGAAAUCAGUACAAAAGAAACAACCCUACUAUAGCCAAUUGGAGAAAAAUGUCAAAGAAACCCAUUCCAACUAAUUGGAGAAAAAUAUUAAUGCGAAAGAACAAAUGGUUUGGAUUGUCAUUUAUUUGCAAAAUUUUGUUUGUUGCAUCAUAUACAUGUUUUUCAAUCAUUUAUUUAUCUUUCAAUCUAUUUAUUUUGUAUCAAAUACAUCAUAUCACAAAAACACUCGUUGUUAUUUCUAUAAUUUAAUCAAUAAUUGAAUUAAGUAUUCAUAAUACAAUUAUUAAUGGGACAUGUGAUGUUAUUAUGUCUAAAUUGGUUAAUAAUCAUUUAAUUGUCCUUAAUUGGUAGGAAUUAUAAAAUUAUGAGGAUGAAAUUGUUCUAUACAAACUUUAGGGACAAAAUUGGUCAAAAUUAAAAAUAAUAAGGAUGAAAUGUGUUUUGCAUGAAACUUUAGGGACGAAAUUGAUUAAUACCUUAAACAUUGGGGAUGAAAUGUGCAUUUUCCCUCAUAGAAAAGCAUCUAGAUUCACAGGGUUUUUGAUCUACAAAUCAAGGCUUCUCCAAAAUGGGUUUAUCUCAUAAGCUAUUCAUUAGAAUGACUCAAACUUUAAUUGGUUUUCAAUUUGUCGACCGCAAAAAUUCCUUGAGCUGAUGUGCAAGAUAAAGAAUUCUCUCUCUCUCUCUCUCUAUUGAAGGAUCAUAUAUGGUGAAUUUCUACCUGCUCAUUUGAUGACUUAAAUCAACAAAUUUAGAACUUAUAGAUCCAACUAAUUUAUUGACUAAAUUGCACUGCAUACCAGAAUUAGUAGGUAUUAUUAAUGACCCAUUGGUAAAGGGAGGAGUUUUCCCCACUAUCAGGUUCACACUUCGAAUCUUAAAUCUGAGUUGAGAGUAAGAAGAGUGUGAGAAAAGGAGGGAGGGACAAAAAAGAAAAGAAAAGAAAUAGUAGGCACUAUCAAGGUUAGUGUUAAUGCUAUAGAAAAUGAUGUAGAACAUAGUACACCAACUCAGGACUAGUAAUAAGCUGUGAAAAAGAUAGUUAAGAAUGAACUGUAUUUACAUAAGAAAACAACUCCUGUUGUUGUCUUGUUCACAUCAGAUACAAUUAUAUAUACAGAAAGACAUGAACCCCUCACAAUUAAUACCAACUAACAACUAAAUGACUUCAGUAAACCAAAAGAUAAUUCUAGACUCUACAAAAAAGUAACAAUGGUAAAUGACAAACUAAUUGCUCUUCAUUAGUCUUAAAAAAAUCAACUUUAAUAUUCAACACUUCCCCUUAAAGUGAUUUUUUGGAAACUAAUCCAAGUUUGGCCUUAAGCACCUCAAAAACUGCCUUAGAAAGUGCCUUAGUUAAAAUAUCUGCAACAUUCUUAUCACUUUGUAUGUGUAAAACUUUGAUAAUACCAUCAAGAAUUUUCUCUCCAAUGAAAUGGUGCUUUAAUUCAAUAUGUUUGGCUCUUGCACGACAAACUAGAUUGGAAGCAAGCUUGAUAGCACUUUGAUUGUCACCAAAAACUUUAGUGGGUCUAGAAAUAGGAAGAUAAAUAUCUUUAACAAGCCUUCUAGGCCAUACACAUUCUUUAGUAGCAAGAGCAGUGGCUUUGUAUUCCGUCCUUGUUGUUGAUAGUGAAAUAGAAUCUUGUUUCCUACUACAUCAUGACACUGCUAUUGAACCACACAGAUAUACAUAUGCUGAAGUAGAUUUAUGAUCAUCCAAAUCUCCUCCCAAAUCAGCAUCUGUGUAUCUAUGUAGUGAAAAAUCAGCUCCAUUCUUGUACAGCAAUCCCAUAUCAGAUGUGGUGCUUGUGUACUUCAAAAUUUUCCUUGCCAUUUCUAAAUGUGGCUUCCGUGGUGGUUGAGGAGGGGAAGCAAGAGUUUGAGGAAGGAGAGAGGAGAAGGGAGUUAUGGGUGGUGGUGGUGAAUGGUAUUAUUUUAAAUUUUUUAAAACUAUCUUAAAAAUUUUUAAUUCUAAAAAUACCCCAAAAUACAUUCUCAAAAACAUCCCCAAUAAUAUUCGGUAAGAGUUUUAAAUAUGCACUGCUGCAGUAAAUUUUUUAAAAGAUACCUCUAAAAACACCUAAUCCACAUAGAGCCUUUAAAAAAAAAAAUACAGAGCCUUUAAGUUAGUUUAUUUUCUUCGUCAAAUGUAGGCAAACAUAAAAUGAGUCAAGUAAAAUAUGUUGUUUACAAUAGAAGAAGCGUUAAUGAGUUAGUCAAAUCAUAUGUCAAUCUAGCUUUUAUUCAUUUAUUUUGUUUAAUUAUUUUAAUUUAUUUUUUUGUCUUCUUGAAGUAGGUUUUUUUUUUUUUUUUUUGAAGUAGGGUUGAUUAACCAAUUCACAAUAAUUAUGUGUGUUUGGAUUGUAAAUUAUUUGAGAUAUUUUUACUGUAGUACUUUUUGUGAUCUGAUGUAUGUGAGAUAAAAAGGUAAUUGGGAAGAUAAAAAGGUGUAUUGAAAAUUGUAAUGGUGAUGUAAGCAAAUAUAUUUGGACAAAUAAUCUCCUGUCCAAACACACUAGCACCAAUAAGAAACUUAAAAUAAGUCCUAUAUGCCUAAACUCUAAGUAGUAAAGGCUAUUGCACCAAAGGAAAAAUAUUGAAGAAUAAGAAUUAAUCCACAUUGUCAGGAAGAUAGAUAGAAAAAGGAAAGAAUUAGAGGUGGCAAUGGAUUAUGUGUGGUACCGUAUUCGUGUUGUGUCCUUUUCAUGUUCGUGUCGAAAAAUCUCAACUCGAACCCAAUUCAUUAGGUUUCUGUGUCCUAUUGUGUUGUGUCAUAACUUACAUAUCAACAGGUUGAUACGAUCCAACUCACUUAACCCAUUAAGUAUUUUUAGCCAUAAUAAUCAUGUUAAAUGAACCUGUUUGACACUCUCUUAAACCUAUUAAUUUAUUUAUGUACAUAAUUUAGUGUUGUUAUUAAAGAAUUUUCAAUGACAAAUUGCUCAAUAAGGUCUUCAAAGUUCAAAGUAAUAAAGAAAUGAGUAAAUCUUAUAUACACUGACAAUGUAUACACUAUCAUCGUUAGAUAAAUACCACAUAAAUGAAAUUUAGAUUUGAAAUUCAAAUUUAGCAUAUGUAGCAAUCAUCUAAACAUGACAAUGUACAUACUAUCAAUGCAUAGAAGAUUAAUCCUAAAGAAAUUUAAGAAUUUCAAAAUUUAAAAAAAAAAUUCCAAAACUUUGAAAUUUGUUUUCAACAAAAAACAAAUCUAUAAACGAAACUUGUAAACUCAUGCAACCAUGCAUCUUACUAGCCUUCUUUAUUCAACAACCUUCUUAAUCCACGAACAACCGAAUGACAUUUCCAUUAUCAGGGCAGCGGUUUUGUAGUAUUCAAUUGUCCGUUUGUUUCGACGUAAAAUGUUUUUCAUGGGGAAAAUAUUUUUAGUGAAAGACAUUUUCCAUGAAAAUAUUUUUACGUUUCAUGAUUUUUUGAUUUUUGGUUAACUUUUAAAAUAUCAUUUUGACAGAAUAUCUGCAAGUACUCUACAUUGUUUAUCUUUCUUAAAGACCUAAACUGAUUCUUUCCCAAACGAGUAAAAUGUUUUUCAUGAGAAAAUAUUUUCAGUGAAAGACAUUUUCCAUGAAAAUAUUUUUACGUUUCAUGAUUUUCUGAUGUUUGGUUAACUUUUAAAAGAUCAUUUUGACAGAAUAUCUGCAAGUACUCUACAUUGUUUAUCAUUCUUAAAGACAUAAACUAAUUCUUUCCCAAACAAGAAAAUAAGGUCUCACAAGAAUAUGCAGUCGUGAUACGAAUAGGUAGGGAUGGCAACGGGGGCGGGUUUGAGGACAGAGCACCCCAAAAUUGCCAAAAAAACUCCCCCCGCCCUUUUCCCCCCCCCCCCCCCCGGCUUCUCCUGCAGUUGCUCGUGGUUGAUAAUUUGGUUUUUUCUAGAAUCUUUUAUUCAAUAGAUCAAACCUAAAUUCAAACAAUAAAAUAAAAUACGGAGUUGGAAAAAGUGAAAAAUAAAAAAUGAAACAAGAAAAGUGUUGAAAUAAAACAUCAAGAAAAUUAAGAAACUCAAUUGGAUUGUAUAGAUAAAAUCUGAGAAUAUUCAUAGAACGCAUAAUAUGUUUGUAGCAAAUAUCACCUAGGAAUUUAGAUAGAAAUGAGAUAAAAAUUUUAUUUAGUUGUCGAAUAUUCUAUAUUUAUUAGUAGAUUAUAUAAUAUAUAACAUUUAUUUAUAUUAAUAAAUCGGGGAAUGGGGCGGGGGUCACUCCCCGUUUAAAACAAGGAGAAAAGUUCUCCCCGCCCCCGCCCCCGCCCCAUCGCCCGCACCAUUACUCCUCCCACGGGUACCCGUCCCCGUUACCCCCCUACGAAUAGGUAGUUUGGUAUGUUAGGUUCAUAACUCACGGUAGUUGGGAAAAAUAACUUCAGAAAAUCUAUUGCGUAAGUUGUUUUCCAGGAUUUGGGGCAGGGACGGUCAUCAGUAUCCAUGCACGGUUAAGGGCCAAGAUUUGCCCUCAAAAUUUUGUGCGGCUGAGAUUACACCAUGUAACUCGAUUUCCGCGCCAAGUGUGGGGCCCACCACUAUCUGUUGUGAAAAUACAUCCUGUGAAAAAAAAGUUAUAUCGUGUUUAACCAAUGUUACGCGCAGUGCAAAAUGAAGACAACCUACGCACCUGCAACCGUUUGUGCCCCGUAUCCUGUUUUCCACUAAAGGAUGUAAAUCAUUUGCUGAAGAAAAGGUUUUCAGUGGUCUAAUUGCAUCCAAACAUUGGAAAAUUGGAAAAGGAUUUUUCGAAAAAUAGUUUACACCAAAACAAACGGACACUGAGGCUGUCAUAAAAGGAAAGAAAAACAAGAUGGGGGACAAUUUUUAGUGAUGUUCAUUUUUUUUUUUUAUCAAAUUAGCGUGAUAACCUGCAGGCUAGUCCAAUUCGACCUGCUUAAGUUAAUAUCGUUAAUGAAUUGGCUCAAUAAUAAUUCACUUACACUCAAAUCGUGAUAAACUUAAAACUUUUGGAUUGUAUUUUAAUCGUAUUAUCUUGCCGCUUCAGAAAUUGUCAUCCUUAAAAAGAAUUAUUCACAUGGCCCUAAUUAUUGGACAUGUCCACAUGUAACGAUCUAGCUAAGCAUUAGGGCUUUUCAGACCAACCCUACAAUUCUUGCACAUGGACAUCCCAAGGACAUUAACAAGAAUAUACAGGUUUCUGCUCAUUUUCAUCAUAAAUGCAUCAAAUUCUAUGGACAGGUGUCUAAUAUUUGGCUGAAUAACAUAUGAGCUUUUUACUCAUAAAAUUUACAAUUUUCCAUGCCACAAUUAAAAUGAAAGAAUACCACGCCACGAGGAAAAAAAAAAGAUCAUAGCAGAAUUUCCUAUUUAACAAAUUCGAAGCUUAAAUUUGUCGAAGAAAAAGAAAUUGUCACUGAAGCAAAAUACCAAUUGCAGUGACAUCCAAAAUUUUUCUAUACAAAAGAAAAGACAUCUAAAGAUAACCAAUUUUAAGAUACUAUCAGAUGUGAAACAAAAAAAUAAUAAUAAUAAAAUAAAAGGAAAAAUUGGCAAAGUGAGAUGAAUGAAUCAGUCAGAGAUCAAAUGCAGCAAAGAUUGGCUGGGACCUGGUGUAACCAAGGCUGGACUUGGAGGGCUCAAUGCUGGUGGUGGAGCUUGUGAAACCAAUGGCGGUGGAGGCGGCGGAGGUGGCGAAGAUAAUGGUGGAACUGGAGGUACUGGAGGUGUUGGUGCUGGUAAUGGUGGUGGUGGUGGUGGUGGUGGUACUGAUGUAGAGGGAUUUUGUGGGCUAGGAAUUUCACCACCCGCAGGCGGUGCUAGUCCUCCUCCUCCUGCUGGUGGUGGUGGUGGUGGUACUGAACUUUCGCUAGGACUAGGAUUAGGAUUAGGAUUUGGAGUAGGACUUGUAAGAGACGAGCUUGGUGGACUGGGGUUAGGCACCACUGGAGAUUGGUAACAAGCAUCACCAGAACAUUUGCUGUUGUGGGACUUGUGAUUGCCAUGCCUAAGAAGCCCAAAUCCCAAGAUGAGUCCAGUCACAACAAGAACUGUGAUAAUGAAGAUGAAGAUCUUGGUUGCCUUCCCCACAUAACACAUCUUUUCCUUUCCUCUUUUGCACUUUCACUUUUAGUACUAUGCUCUGGUUUGCGCUCAGAAAUGGGCUCAGGAAUCAGAAUUGGUAUGGUAGAUUGGCAGGGAUGGUUUUUGGUUGUCUUUGUUAAAGACAGAAAAUGUGAGGUGAGUUGUGGUGAGUUUUGUGAUAUUUGAGGUAAUAGUACAGUACAUUUUGACAUACUAGUAUUUAUUUCUAGUGCUCUUUAUGUUGUUGUUUUCUUCUUUUUCUCUUGGUUCUUGUCAUGGUGUAGAGAGUGAAGAUGAAGAGGGACAAGUAAGCAUUUGAUGAGCAGGGAAAGAUGGGGUUGGAUUUGGGCAUUUCACUUGGUUUUGGUUGGUUGGAGGGGGAAAAUGUGCAGACUGGCACAUGGAACCAAUGAAGGUGGGGAAAAAAAAAAUAGUGGAGUAGUAUUUGUUUUGCUUGUAAUUUUUGGCUGUUUCUUGAUUAUGCUAAUGACAAGUUAUUAGAUUUUGGAAGAGAGUGUUUUGUUUUGAGAAUAUAGUGAAUCCUGAAUUGAGAACUUUUUAAAUUGGCUGUAGUAACUCUUGAUCCCUCGUAUUGGUUGUUGAGUUAAUGACUUAAUGUGAGUAAUUUUUCUUGACAUUAUCCUCAUGUUUUUUCACCAGCUUUUGAUUAUUGAUUUACUCCAUUGCGUUGAAAAAGCAAAGGUAGGGAUGAGAAGACCAGCAAAACAAUCCCUUUUGGGUAACAAGACAGGAAUUCAGCGAGUAUGUAGUCGCUUAAGUUUUUAUUUAAUAGAAUGUGUAAUGUGUUUUUUUUCUUUUUGUCUGGUAGAAUAUUAUUUGAAAUAAUUAUUAUAGUAUUUUUUGAGAUAUAAUAUAUAUGAGAUAAAAAAAUUUGUUAAAAAAUUUAAAAAAAAUUGAUUAAAAGUUAUAUUUUCUAUAUAAGCAAAAUAUUAUUUAGAAUAACUUAAUCCAAAUAGAGUGAAUGACUUGAGUUGGACAUUCUACCCUUAUCCCUUGGAGCCUUCCCGCUAACUACUGGGCUGGAUGAACACCAGAUUGCUAAUGACGAACUUGUCACAUCUGAAAUGGGCAGAAAAUGUCGGAAAAUGUAUAUCCGUAUUCUUCUUUGUUCUUACAAAUUUGGAUAUGUUUGUAGAUCACAAUUUUUUUAAAUAUUAGUUUGCUUGCAUUACAAAUAUAUUUUUUUUUAUUUUAUAUAUAUCACGUCACAAAAAGUAUCAUAAUAAUUAUUUCAAAUAAAUUUUUUUUCUUUUUUUUUUAAGGAAAAUCCAAUUGGAUUAUAUAAGGGACUAGAGGAGAGAUAGACUCGUUUAGAUCAAAAGAGUAAUCUGACAUAUUCGAGAGAUAGAUCCAUCGAGAUAAAAAUGAUGCAUUAGCAUACCCUUUGAAUUGUUUUAACUGCACAAUGCGGGAUUUAAACUUUCAACCUAUUCAAACAAGAAUUUUAAAUCCGUUUUGGUAGCCAACUUGCUUAAGACAAGUUGGUUGUGAGUUAAAAUACCAUCUGAUGAGAUGAACUGAUAUUUGUUUUAUAGUUAAAAAUUAGAAAUUCCAAAAUGUUUGGGACUGUUAGCAAUCUGGCAAACUGUCAACGUUCAGCCCUUCCAAUGUCACUUUAAUGCAUCUCAUCACUUAUGCUUUAGACAACAAACAAUUCAAUUUUAACAAACCAAUCUGGCAAAUUGUCAACGUUAAGGAAUUGUGGACAAUGAGGUGGCCUUUAAAGUUGUAACUUCCAACAAAGAAUCAAAUGUAAUGAAAUCCAACUAUUAAGUAUUAAGGAAUGAAUAUGAAUAGGAAACACAAGGAUUUAAAAUGUGUUUAAGCUGCAUUACAAGAAAUCAAUGAGUCUGUUUGGAGAGAAUUGUUCACAAGGCAAAACACAAAAGAUUGCAUUUCUUCCGGUAUUGUUUGGACUGUUGAUUAUUUGCACAAAAAAAAUUUAUUUGCUUUUAUCAGCAACAAAUUUUUUAAUCAUCUUUUUAUUUCACAUACAUCAUAUCAAAAAAUGCUAUAGUAUUUUUUUAAAAAAAUUAUCCCAAAUAAUUUACUAUUCAAAAAUAUAUUUGCUUGCGUUUCUUCGGAUUCGUUACUUUUGCAGUUUUACAUUCUACUUCUUUUCUAUUUUUUUGUGGGGAAUCAAUUAUUUUCUUAUUUUAGUUUAAGGAAUUAAAAUGGUGAAUUUUGAAUAAGAACAGAGAAAAUUAUUAAAUGGAUAUGUGUUGAGCACCUGUAGGAGGGAAUAUUUUGGAAAACGAGCCCGAUAUUUUGUCCGCCAUGUCAACCCUUGACCUAAUCUGGCAAAACGUCAGAUCUGUUCGUCAGCUCCUUGGUUCCAUAAUUGCCCUUAAUAUUCCAGUUAAAUUACCAAAUUGACACAGUCGCUUUUUUACCCAUAGCUGUAUUUGGAUUAGCUGUUUUUGAAGGUAUUUUUUAAAAACUUUACUGUAACUGUGUAUAUGAAAAAUUUUUACUGUAAAUGUUUUUUUGAUUGUAUUUAGAGGUAUUUUUAAAAUAUAUUUUUAAGUAUUUUUAUAAUUUAUAAUUUUUUUGAGAUAUUUUUUUUAAAAUUUUACACGACCCACCACUAUUCCCGCCCUUUUCUUCUCCUUCUCUCCUUUCUCUUCCUCUCAUCCUCCUCUCUAUUUCCUCCCCCUCCUCCUCCCUCUUUCCUCUCCCGUCUCCCUUCUCCACCCUCCCCUCAACCCCAAACCCCUCUCUCGCUCGCAGGUGGUGGCUGUGACUUUAGCCACCACUCUAACAACGACAGUUUUGGUUGCGGCUUCUGCUCGUGAUCAGAUUUGAUCGUGACUAAAAAGGUUGCGAUCAGUCGAGGGGAAGGAAAUUGGGGAGCGGGGAAAGGGAAAGAAGAAAUGAGGAAGGAGAAAAAGAGGGAGGAGGAGAAAAAAUGAAGGAGGAGGAGGAGAGAGGAAGGAAAGAGGGGAGGAGAGAGAGAGGAGAGAGGAGAGAGGAGAGAGGAUCGUGGGUGUGGUGGUGGAAAGUGAUGGAUAGUUGUGUAUUUUUUUAGUAUAUUUGAAAUUAUUUUUGAUAUAUUGUAUGGAUAUGAUAUUUUUGGAGUUAUUUUUGUUUGUGUAUUACUGUAGCAUUGUAGAUGAAAAAAAUUGUUUUUCAAAAAAGUCUGAAUCCCCCAAUAGAGAGUGCGCCCACGCACAUUACUGCACUGGACCGUAUUGAAGAAUCGAUGUCAAUUGAAUCACCAUUAAAUCAGACGGAUACAUUACACACUCAUAUAAAUUUAAGUCACUUAAAAUCUAAGUUAGUAUAAUGACAAGUGGUGAGCGAAAAAUUUGAAUAUUUAAUCUUCCAUUCCACAAAGUCUUGAGAUCAUGGUAAUGGCCAACAGUCAUUUUCACUGCACAACUAUUUAACCUCAUAAUAUUCUUCAAGUAGUGGGCACGCCCAUCGAGGUUAGUACAAUUAACUCAUUCAUUCUUGACGCGCUAGCAGUAGCGUGUGAUUAAUAACUCUUAACUUCCCUCCGAACUGUGGAUUUUUUUUCCUUUCAAUUUUGUCCAAUUGAUCGAGGACAGAAGGGAUUAAUUGCAGUAGGAGUAUUUAGGCAAUUAGAAUAUUUCAUACACUUUUUUUUUUUGGUUUAAGAAUAUUUCAUACACUGCAAUGAUGCUUGGUUUAGCAGUAUACACGACCAAAGUCAAAUUUCAGAAGAGAUUCUGUUUAAAUUUCAUAAUUAGAGCUAUAGUUCUACACAUAAGGCUAGUAUUUGUCUCACCUUCUGCAAGUUAAUUAUCAUAUUAUAUGCAGAUAAUAUAUAUAUAUAUAUAUAUAUAUAUAUAUAUAUAUAUAUGAAAACUCAGCUAAACUAAAGGGAUAGAAUCUCCAUAAUGUGUAUAAUAAUUUAAGGAACCUAUCCUUCCUAUCAAAUUUUAAAGAUAAAACAUCCUUGAAGCUAUCCUAGUAAAAAUGGCCUUUGAUUAAGGAAAAUUUAAUUGGGUUAGUGAACUUUGAUGAUUGAAAAGGAACAAACUCAAGUCAGCUAAGUUACAGUCCCUUCAUAUGUCGCGGUUCUAAUCUUUCAACUAUCAUAAAAUACUCUAAUAAUAAACAUAGAUGGCGAUUCUAAUCUCCCAAAAAACAACUAUUAUAUGAUGCUUUUAUAACCAACCCUCUUGGAUCCUCCCCUUCUCAAGGACUAGGUUAGAAAUUAUCAUCCCGAUACAAAAAUAAAGACAAGUGAAACAGAUAAUCUUAUUAACAUUUAAAAUGUUAACAAAGAAAAUGUUCCAUAAUGAAAUAAGACGGAAUAGAAUUUUCUCUCUCUUUUUUUGGGUACUUAUGGAAUCUUCUCUCCCAGAAGUCACUUCGGGGCUCCGACUCAUUGGCCAGUGAGGCAGCGAUUAAUAAAUUUCUUGGCCAUUCUCUGGAAAGAGGAGGGUAAAUUUCUAGAACUCCUUUCCACAGACUAUGACUUGGAUUUACUGGCUAAUCGAAACAAAUGGAUGACAAUGACAGAAAAUGCUGUCAAAGUCAGGAAUUGCAUAUGAAAAUGUUUGAAGAUUUUCCAUAGCCAGCUACUACAGUAUACAGUCAGUUUCAUCUUUUAUUUUCCCCACCACACUUGCAACUACUAAUGACCAGAGGACUACAAUACUCCAAAACAUGUCAAUUUCUAGAUCAAUGCAGCCCACACGAAAUGGUUCAAGAAGCAGGAAAUGGAAAGAAUCAAGGAUCCAGCUUGUUUGAGUAACCUCCAUGUCCUUAUUCUAGAUUUUUAUGUUGAGCUUACCACAACACUCAUCCAGCAAAAAUCACAAUGACAAGCAUUAUAACCUCAAAACCAACUGGAACACUUAGAAGAACAGGAUUCCACAAAGCACAACUGCUCUCAAGCCUGCCGAACAAAAUUGAGCGGAAGAAUGGACAAGGCCUCAGGUAUAAUCUCACAUUUCGUUCUCACAGAAGGAUGCAAAACCGUCAAGUAAUAGCUUCUGACGUUUCGACCACGCAAGCAGAGGUAACUUGAAGUGAAGUAUAAUAACCAUUGCAGGUUCUCUCUCUCUCUCUUACAUUUCAAACCCCCCCCCCCCUCUUUGCCCGAACCCAACCCAAAAUUAUAUUCUCUUUUUCCAGAAUUCUAUUGGAUGCAAAUGCACUUGUUAAGAUGUCUGGGAAAUGAAUGCAACCCUAAAUCCUAGUAUAGUUCCAAUCCUGCUGUCAUUAUUCCUAGCAACAGCUCUUAAGUUGAAAUCAGACGAGCUACCGGAGCAUGAAAAGGAAAUUAGUAGUGGAGAUUUUCUCCUCCUUCAGCACCCAAUCACCCAUGAAGUCACGUUACUGCCAUGAUAACAUGACUUCACGGCCAACAACCUAUUAGCAGCCUUCUCCAAGUUCUUUAUUAUCGCACCUAUUUUUACAGUCUGAUUGAAUAAGUACUAAAAUGUUCCUAAACCACAGAAUGCAUGCACCAAGUGUUUGUGUGAUACUUGCUCUUAUUUGACAUGUGAUUCUCAAAACCAAUCACAAGUCAGCAAUCAUAAAAAGUGAAAAAUAAGUCAAGGAUAAGACAAGGAAAAGCACAGCAUAUAACAUCAAAGCUUGCAGUACCAACACAUUUGUAGUUUAUCCAAACCAAUAAUAAUCAGAUAACUGCAAGCAAGAGAAGAAACUGUGCUUUCAUUUUUCUGUGAUACAUAUUUAAGCUUACCCUUUUUCCCACCCAGGGUACAGCUCCGAAACCCUCACAUAGCAUAUUGGUAAACUAUGUACCAGUUUAUGUCAUGCUCCAGGUGAGUCAUAAUCUCUACUUUAAAGCACAAAAUACAUUACAUUCCAAUUAGGUGGUGGGAAACAAUAACUGCCUUAAAAUCACAUAUUCCUUUUCAGUUUAUUCUAAACAUUUCUGCUGGUGAUACAGCUAGAUGUUAUUUCAACAAACAAUGCUAUCUCAAACCAAGAAAAGCUUGAGAAGCAGCUGCACGAACUCAGACUAGCUGGAGUUGAUGGCAUCAUGGUUGAUGUCUGGUGGGGCAUUGUAGAAUCCAAGGGUCCUAAAAGCUAUGACUGGUCUGCUUACAGAAACUUGUUCCAAUUAGUUCAAAAACAUAACCUUAAAAUACAAGCAAUCAUGUCAUUUCACCAAUGUGGUGGCAAUGUAGGAGAUGCUGUUUAUAUUCCACUCCCAAAAUGGAUUCUUGAAAUAGGAGUAGAGAAUCCUGAUAUAUUCUAUACAAACCGAUCAGGUACUAGGAAUAAGGAGUGCCUCUCACUUGGAGUAGAUAACUUGUCUCUCUUUGAAGGUCGAACUGCUGUCCAGGUAGAUGAUUUCCAUGAAAUUCUCUAAUGCUGUUCAAAGAUCAUGUACUUAACCAUUAUAAAAGCUCUUUUCUUGAGCUAAAAAGAUGUCAAAAAAGAAAGGUUGACUUAAAAAUCUGGUGUUUGGGUAAAAUCCUUUAAAAUUAUCAUUUGGUUUGUGGCCAUGUUUUCAUUAGUAUGCCAAAUAUAGAGCCUGCUUCCUGACCAAGAGUUUUAUUAAAUAAAACUAAAUCCACUCUUAUAAGUUGAAAGAGUAUCGAGCUUCAAACUGUUGGUAGUAAACUCUGGUCUGCCCUUUAGCUGACAGUGGUCACAAGAAUUAUACCAAUCACAUGUAGGAGAUGAGGUUUGACAUAAGCAGCUCACAAUUUCUGUGUUCCUCUGUCUUUAUUAUACAAUUUCUUAUUCCUCGUAGUGCUUUUGAAGGCCUAACAUUAACCUAAUGAACUAUUGAGCCUAGCAUAUUGUCAUUUCAGUUUUGAUUUGUAAUUAAUCUCCGAAUGUUUUAGAUGUAUAGUGACUAUAUGAACAGCUUCAGAGAGAACAUGUGACUUUUUGGAAGCAGGAACUAUCAUAGACAUUGAGGUAGGCUUAGGACCAGCAGGAGAGCUCAGAUAUCCAUCAUACGUAAAAACUCAAGGAUGGAAAUUUCCAGGGAUCGGAGAAUUUCAGGUUAGAUUUUCAGCCUAUUUGUUGUAAGACUACAUCUUAUCCUCCCGUUAAUCAAAAGAAAGUCAUUCCUAACUAAUGUUCUUUCAAAACUAACACACAAUCAUAACAUAUUUCAGUGCUAUGACAAAUACUUAAGGGCAGAUUUUAAAGAGGCUGCAAAAAAGGCAGGAUAUCCUGAAUGGGAUGCGCCAGACAAUGCAGGAACGUAUAAUGACACACCAGAAAAUACAGGCUUCUUUGGACCAGACAGGAUAUACCUCUCAGACUACGGGAAUUCCUUCUUGACCUGGUACUCCAACAACUUAUUGAAACACAGUGAUCACAUCCUCGGGGAAGCCAACAAAGCUUUUCUGGGAUGCAAAGUCAAGCUGGCAGCUAAAGUAAAUGCUCAAUAAAAAGAAUAACACUUAAAGUAGUGCUUUCCCUAGACAUACUAUUAAAAUUUUCUUAUACCCACUGCAUUAACAGGUCUCUGGUUCCAUUGGUGGUACAAGGAUGACACUCAUGCUGCAGAGUUAACUGCAGGAUACUAUAGCUUAAAUAAUAGAGAUGGGUACAGACCUAUAGCCAGGAUGUUGUCUAGGCAUUAUGCUUGCUUAAGCUUUACAUGUCUAGAGAUGCUGCAGAGUUAACUGCAGGAUACUAUAACUUAAAUAAUAGAGAUGGGUAGAGACCUAUAGCCAGGAUGUUGUCUAGGCAUUAUGCUUGCUUAAGCUUUACAUGUCUAGAGAUGAGAGAUUCUGAACAUCCAGCAAUAGCGAAGAGUGGACCUCAAUAACUAGUUCGACAGGUUAGUUAUGUAGGAAAAGGCAAUUCUUAAUCAUGAAAUUAUCCACCCUGUCUUAAAGCUUGUAAGAAACUAUCCUUUUCCAGUUACAGAUAUAGUUAGUGAGAUAUACCAAGACAAAUCUUGUUAAAAAAAAAGAGAAAAAAAAAACUUAAGACCUUUCCUAGCUGAACGAUACUCACAUCUAGACAUUUGUCACACUUGUUACACAUUUUUGUGCAGGUUUAAGGUGCUGGCUGGAGAGAAAACAUUGAUGUUGCAGGAGAAAAUGCACUUUCAAGUUAUGAUCGUGUAGGCUACAAUCAAAUCCUCCUUAAUUCUAGGCCAAACUGUGUCAACAAAAAUACUUCACCAAAGCUGAAGUUGUCAGGAUUGACUUACCGCCGACUAUCAGAUAAACUACUAGGUCGGAAGAACUUCAGCAUAUUCAAAACUUUCGUUAAAGAAUGCAUGCUGACCAGGUUAGCGGCUUUCCACAAACAUGCACACAAGGAACAUAGAUGAAAAAGAAGAUAUGAUACUUGAACAUUAAAAAUGGCCAUGAUCUCUUAAUAUUUCUAUGUCUAAUAUCAUUACUAUCUUUUCUUAGGAUUAUGAUCCAGAUCACAUCAACUUACCAGCCCUGAAAGCAUUCAAACCGAAGAUUUAUUUUGACCAACUUUUUGAUGCAACUAAACCAAUUGAGCCAUUUCCUUGGGAUGAAGAAACCUAUAUGAGCGUGGGUGCUUCAUUCUUUGAAUUCUUGGACAAUCUCUUUCACCAUUGUUCUCCAUACAAAAGUGAGGGAAAUUAUUUAGCUUCUUGAACCCCGUGAAGGGAUCUCUCUCUCUCUAACCAACAGGAAAAAGGGUGAAAAUUAUACGACAUGAAGGCAAUUUGCUACUUCCUGAGCUCUCAUACACCCCCCAUUAAUAUCAUAGCUUGUUACUGUAAGCACCACAGCAUUUAUCCACUUUAAAUUUUGCUUAAUUGCAUACCCAUGUGUCUAUGAAUCUAGAAUCUGAAAAACCUAUUUUUGAGCAUUGAAAAGCUUUCUUAACAUUUAUAAUCCACUAAUUCUAUAGUAGGAAAAUGUCACCCAGUUUCCAUAUGAAGCUUCUGUAACGGUGAUUGCAUAAAAGGAGGGCCAAAAAGUUCAUCUAUUUGAGGUGAACCAUCAACUCACUCAGAGGUGACAUGGAAAUAACUACCAAAAUCUAACUUGACCGAAUUAAACUAUCACUGAUCAUCAGUCAUUUUUUAGAUACAAGCUUGAUACAAAGACUAAAAGCAUAGCAAUAUUACCACAUUUCCUCUCCCUGAACCACAUCUUUUCAUCUAGGAAUAGCUAAAAGACGUCUGACCAAGCAUGAAUGAGAAAAUAUCAACCGCAUAAGAAGUUAAGGCAUACUGGCUCAAAAUCAGAUGCUAGAACUCAGAAGCAUGACUAGAGGUGGCACAUAAUUUAAAUCACUAAGCUACAAAAACUUCAAGAAAUAAAAGCUUCUUAUACCUCAUAGAUGUUGCCAAGGAAAAUGAGAUUUUAGCAAAAUGAUUGCUUUCACAUUUCACUAUGUUAAAAUUGCUGCAGCAUUACAUCUAAAACUGAAGGAAGAUUUUGAUUGAUUCCUCUUUAACUUCAAGCAUUAACCAUCUUCCUUCCAGUUUUCUCUUAACACAAAAUACAGAAAAAAAAAUUGAAGGAAAAAAGACAAUAAAAGAAAAAGCCUAUCCAUUUUCCUCACCAAAAAUUCUGUGUUCCAAUCGAGGACUAAGACGCAAAAAUCAUUUCUUUAUCCUUCCAUGACUUUCCUCUCACAUAUCUUCGAAAAGCCAACCGUAACCGCAGCGAGAGACGGUGAGGUUCGAAAUCAUCAAAGACGACGCCGUUGCGCUGUGGUACGGCUGCAUUGACUCCAAGCAUGCACUCAAUUCUACCGGACACCUUCAAAUUAUGAACAAAACAAAGCUUAAUCAGUAAAAGACUCAUGUACUCCGAGAACGGAGAAAUGAAUACAGAUAAGAGUAGAAACAAACCUAAAAAUACGACGGGAGAGAGGCUUGGAGGAAGGUGAACGGAAGGGAGAAGUAGAUGGUUUGGACUUAGUGGUAAGUCUGGCGGCGGCGCUGCGGGAGGCGUUUGAUCGGAGAAAGGAGCGCGCGGCCGCAGAUGCGGUGGCGACGACCAUGUUAAACCCUAUGGGGAGUGUUUCGGUGUAGUGAGUCUAGCCCAGCUACAGCCAGUCGAGUGGAUUUUUCAUUUUGUUUAUUGAAUUUAAAAUUUAAAAUUAUCAUUCUCAAUUUGAAUAGUUAUUAAAGCUUAUUCAGUCUAAAGAGACAUGAAAAAUUUUUCUUUCAAAAAUGUAUUAAAUGAGUAAAUUUAAUUAAUUUAUUGUAACCUUGUGGAGGAUUAUUUACUAAUUAUAAUAAUAUUUACUAAGGUAAGUUACUUUGUGGAGUUAAAACGAAAAUUAUACAAAAUGAAAAGAUAUAGUAUAUCUUUAGAAAAGAGAUAAAUGAUGACAAAAAAAGUUUGAUUUGACGAGGGGAAUUUUGUGUUUUGCAUUUGAUUCAUUAGUAGACAAAGAAAGCUUGAAUAAAAGAAUAAACUCGAAGAAGUUAUCACCCAUAUGUUUCCUGCAAUUGGAUGCCAAGGUCGCAUAUUUUUAAGACUAGGAAGUGUUGUUUUCCAACACAAAGGGGAAAGGAUGCAUAAAGAAGUGAAAAGUCGAUCAUUUCAAAUGGCAAUAGUAUAAUAUCAUCAGGAAUUCUCACGUAUCGCCUAUCAACAAAAUUCGAAUAUCGACAGUGAGAUUCAAUAUAUUUCUCAUAUCGAUAAUAAAAUUUGAACAUCCGACCUUUUAUGAGAAAGUAAUUUAUUCUUAUCAAUUGAAUCAACUUGUGUUGGUACAGCUACAGCGCUGCUAAGUGCAUUGUAAUCGGUUGUUUUGGCCUCCCUUGAAUCCAAAAAAAUAAUAAAAAAAAAGCUUCUACAAAAUUAACCAUACAGUCAAAUCAUAAUUGUAACAUUUUUCUUAGAAAAAAUGUAUUAAAACAAUUUAUGUAGUAAAGAUGAGAAUGAAUAAAAGUGUAAAAUUAUUAAUACCAUAUUUAUUCAAAAUUAGAAAGGCAUAAGACAGUAGGAAAGAACUUUUUCAAAGGUAGUUCUAGGAAAAUUGUUGUUCGGAUGACUAUCCAGAGGCAUGCAGAUAUGAUUAUUAGUAUUCAAAAUGCCAGUUAUACAACGCACCAGCAGUCCAUUGUCAGCCAGCCACAGGAAGAGGCUUCCUUGGGUUUAACAAUUUCCUGAGUCUAAUAGGAAGGUGCAACUUUGCAGGCUUAGUUUCCAUGCUGCAAGCGUAGGAAACCAGGGCGUAAUCCAUCCAGGGCGGAGCUAGCUGGGGACAAGGGACCCAACAGUCAUCAGGAAAAUUGUUCAGAGCGAUUUUGUGCAAAAUGCACAAGAUAUAACUUUGUAUACAUAUGAUGCAACUUACUUUCAAUAAUGUAUAAAUAUAGAACAAAUUUUUGUGAGUUUCACACGUAAUGUGAAAAGCUAUAUACAAGAUGUAAUUUGGGCCUUACAUUUUUUUUGACCCUUCGUCCUGGUCCGAGAUAGCGUCUGGUCAUAGGACAGAACUUCUACAAUUUUUAAUUUUUAACUUACUAAUUUAUAGUUGUGCCCCAACUAGCUAAAAGCAAAAUUUAUUUUAACUAGUGAGUUUUCUUUUUAAAAUUUAUUUUCCAGAUAAUUUGCAGAAAGUAAAUAUACGCAUAUGUCAAUAAUAAAUUGACAAUAUUUAUUAGUAAGAUAGACAAAUAAUUGACACAUUUCAUCACUUUGAUAGUGACUACAAGUACAAGGUUAAAGGAAUUUAGUUGAUUAGUAAAUUUUUAUAUACACCUAAUUUUAUACUUCAAUGAGUUAUAGAGCUUUAGCGGGUUACAGGCCUCCUAAAAAUUAGGUGUACAUUCACCCGCCGCCGGCCCUGUUUCUAAAUGGGGGAAAAAAAUUCCCCCUGCCUCGCCUUCCCCACCCCCCAAUUUGCUUUCUGCAGGAUGACUGCCUCAAUUGCCAUCCCUACUCUUAGAUCUUAUAAGUUAUAACUGCAUGCGUAUGCCUAUACUUGCUAUUAGUCAUUAUGUGAACAUUGAACAUUGCUCUUGCAUACUUCUAGUUACAGAAUAAAUUUUUUCUAGCUAUGCUCCACUGAAAAUUUAUUUAGACUCUGCCACUAAAUCUAUCCAAAUUCAAAUUAAAUGCAUCUGAACCAUCAAUUGCACCAUGCAAUUGUUUGGAUGAGAACCGUGCAGUUACUCGAUCCACUUACAGUGCCCAAGGCAUGUGGUUAUAUGAUCUUGGACAUGCCACCAUUAUUGGGCCAGAACUCUAGGCCCUUAUAACACUGCUUGACGUUGGCAUGUUAUAUUAGAAAAUAAACAUCUUUACGUUAGGGGUGUCAAUUCGGCUUUUUGAGCCGAACUUUAAUAAACAUCUCUAGGUUAGGCCUUUAUAUAAGGUUUCAGUUUCUUGCUUUUGAAUUUUAGUUCAAAUUAAAAGGUUGAAACUCAAUCCAGUUCCAGCGAUCAAUGCAUGUGGUUAUAUGAUAUUGGACAUGCCACCAUUAUUGGGCCAAAUCUCUAUCCCUUUGUAGCAUUAGGGUGUCAAUUUCGCUUUUUGAGCUGUAUGGCAAGUUCGGGCUUUGCUCAUAAAUUAUAUGGAUUUUUGAGUUUUGGAUUUUAGUACAAAUUAAAAUGUUCAAACUCAACUCACACUGUUAUGUGAAUUUCCGGCUCAAAAGUGGCUCACUUCAAACUCAUAAUUAAAUACGUAAUUAUAUAUAAUAUAUAUUCUAUAAUUAUGAAUUACUAUAAAUUUAUAUAUAAAUUAUUUAACAUUUUAUGUCACACACACACACUCUCGUGUGCAGGUCAGGUUUUAACGGGUUUAAGCCUAGCAUGACCAAAACUCAAUUCACAUUUAGUUUGGAUCUAAUAUUUAGACCAAAUUUUGUCCAAUCCAAUUAAAGCUAGACUCAAUAAUCCUUUUCAGGGUUGAAUGGGCAGAGUUCGGGUUGGCCUUGCCUCAUUGACCACUAUACUCCUCCGGGUGGAAUUGGAUUCACUCGUCAUAUGUAGAGAUGCAAACAAGUCGAAUCGAGUUGAAUUUUGGCUUAAUUGAGUUGAGCCUCAACAUAAUUUUACGAAACUCGAACUCGAACUCGAGUUUAACGAACUCAAAAUGUCAAGUUUGAGCUUAAGUCGAGCUCCAGCUUAAAAAAUAAAAAAUAAUUAUUUCAUUUUUAAAAAAUGACUAAAAUAAUAAUUUUUCUUUAAAAAAUAAUAAAAUAUUAGGAAUAUAUAUGUAAUUUUACUAUUAUAUUUCUAUAUAUAUAUAAUCGACUUCGAGCCAACACGCGAACUAACGAAUUUAGUAUUUUUGACCUCGAGUUCGAGGUCGAUUUCGACUUGGUCAACUCGAACUCGAUGUUGAUCGAUCUCGAAUCGAGUUCAGACUCGAAUUGCUCGUGAUCGGUUCGAUUUGUUUGCAACUUUAGUCAUAUGAUCUAGAAAAUUGAUAGAGAUUUACUGCGUGGAAAGUUUAGUCAUGAUCGAAAUUGGCAAUGUACACUGAAGUCUUAGCAUGCAAAUGGGAGCGAAAUUGCUCCCAAAUCCUCUUGAUGUUGUGAAUAUUAUGCGAGUAUCCGAUUUUUAGCAGUUUAGCGGGCUUUGCCCUUCUUUCCUACCAGAAAAAUAUAUAAAAAAGAAUUUGUUUUUUCUUUUCCUUCUUUUAUUUUUUCUUGUGCUAUUUGAUGUUCCAAGGUACAUUUCAGUUCGAUCUGGUUGGUAAAAUCUAAUAUAAAAAGCAGAAACCUAAACAAUUCUCAUCAAAGAAACAUAUACUCAUUUUUAUUAAUUUUGAAUCACAAACAACAGAUACCAAAAUAAUUCAGUUUUCAAUCAAAGUUAACUAAAAUAUACGAAAGAUUGAAAAAUUUCACGGCAUGAGCAUAUGGUUUAUGCUUGAAAAUAAGAAAAAGAACCAAAAAAAAGGUGAAAAAUGAUAUUUUAUGGUUGACAUUUAUUAUGGAGAGGCUUUUGAAAGUGAAAUUUGGGAUGCAGUCACAUAAACAUUUCCCUCGUACGACAAUAACUCCUUGAAAAUAAUUGUCGUAUCCAUUAUUUUUUGCAGUUCUAAAGUAAAAAUCAAUUUGUUAUACAGCCCAAAAAAUCUCCCAUCUCAAAAUAUGCACUUCAUGCAAAUAAAUUGUUUAAUUAAUCCCUUUUGAGAACUCUUAUUCAUCAGCCAUGCUGGUUAUUCUUUCUAAUAAUUUUUUUUAGCUUACUAAUUAAUCAACAAUUCCUCGUAUGGAAUACAUAGUUUACAAUUUCUAUAAAAAACUAGCAAUUCUUUUUCCAAUCUAACUUCUUAGCAAAUCCUUCAAAUUUACUCUCGCAGAAUCGAGAGCUAUACCAACAAGUGAAAUCUUCCUUUACAUUUUCGGGGACAUGAUUUUCCGUAACAGUGAAUUCUUAUCGCUUGCUUAUUCGUCAUUUCCAUCCAGCUUAUUUGCGAUUUCACCAAUGGAGCAAUGCCGACAAUUUUCUUCCUCUGGCUUAAAUUUUAUCACGUGGUCAUGCACGGAUGGAGAUUUGAGAUUUUUGUUUUGAUCUUCAAUUAUUAGCCGUACAUUUGGUUGAAGUAUGGCCAGUACUGAUUGCAAAACGAAAGCUAUCCCAGAUGUCACGCCAUUGACGGAGGAGCACAUUGGACCUCUUGAGACUGGGGGACCUCCACUUUACUUUCAUUUUCUUGUCACCUUUCAACUUUUUAUCCACUUGAACUAUUUAAAAGAAAGGUCCUUUGGAUUGGCUCGGAUGAUUUUGGGGUAGUCUAGUUAGAUCUCGAGGUCGUGUGUUCGAAUUAUUUCUCUAUCGCUUAUGUAUUCUUGGGAGGCAGGGUGCAGAAGUACAGAGACAUUAGUCCGACUCCAAAUUAGGAUACUUUCUGUGUUGACAAAAAAGGAGCUGUUUAAAUUGUCCACAAUAUAAACCGAUAUAGAUGGAUGAUAUAUUAUCCCAAUUUGGAGUGCAAAUUGAUUAACAAGUUAUCUAGUUGGCAAAUGAUAUUAUUACAUCCCAAAUUUUAUUGUGAUUAAAAUGAAAAACUCCCCCUCCAAUUUGCAUUUUGACUUAAGAAGGAAAAUUGUGAGUAUUUAAUAGACAAGAAUAGGUGUGGAAAUAAAAUUUGCACAAUCGCAUUAGAAGAAGCCUCACUCAUUGAGGUUGGAUUCUUGGUUGGUGGUGAUGCUAGUACUUAAUAAUAAUAAUAAUCUAUUUCUAUAUAUUUUGUUCACCCUCUCUCUAGCUGUGAAAGAAAGAUGAAAUCAUACACGAGGACUAUAACAUUGCAAAAUAUUUAUUGCUAUAUGAAUUUAAGUUACACCGGAUUGCAUUUUUUUUUUAAAUAAACGAAUAAUAUAGCUUUUGAAGAGCAAAAAAGAAUGAUGAGAAGACGUAUUCGAGAACUAUUCUGAAAUAUUUUUGCAAUAAAAUGAGCAUCACAAACACUAGAUAUAAGGUGGUGUUCACAUUUCUAAUUAUCUUUUCCUCUUCUAAAUAAUUGCUGCGAGUUUGCACAAGUUAUGUAUGUUAAACAAGUUAUUGAUCAUAGGGUGAACUAAUUUCAAAUUGUAGAUCCAAAACAACCUCGUUCAUUUGCAACUAUAAACAGCUGAGAAUGGAUAUUUGAAGUAAGAAUGCUCUAGCAAAUUGGAUGAAACGCAAUAAAUGGUCCUUUUUUAAUUAUUACUUUGUUUUUUCUUGGAGCAGAUGUCAAAUAGAUUGAUAUUUAUAAAUCUUUCUUGACUUGCUUGGUUGGUUUAGAGGAAGCAAGCAUCAUUAUUUUUUAUUUUGACACAUUAACUCUUUACAAUAACACAAGCAAAAAAAAAAAAAAAACUCAUGCUCAUAAUAUUCGCUAGUGGGACUUAAUUCUCUGUAAUUUGGUUGUGCAAUUUUGCAUGAUUGACAGGUAAAGGAUUGUCUAGGUCUUGAAUGCCUCAAUUACAACAUUUUGGAGAUGUAGCACGAGACAGAUUUUAUGUACUUGAACUUAAAUAACAUUUAAGAUUUUGUUAGAGGAUAUUAUUAUUUUUUAUCAUGUCCAAUCUGAUUAACACACCUGAUUUUACAACCAUUAUUUCAAGAUUAGAAGUACUUUUUUUUGUUGUCUUCAUCUCCCAUAGGUUUGCAUAAUCAAUCAAGUCCUCACUUAUGAGCUUGAAACAAAGCUAUGCUAAUUAUUGUGGAUGAAUUGAUUGAUUAUGAAUCUAUGACGAGUUUCUUUAUAAAAUCAAGAAAUGACAGUUCAAGAAAAUAAAAGCUUAUUGACCUUACGAUCUCAUAUACAUGUCCUUACUAUUCAAGGAAGUUUUUUUUUUUUUUUUUUUUUUUUUUUAUGGAGAAUAACUAGAAUGUCAAGCCAAAAGGAGGGGCUGGAAGUAGAGGAACGCGCGGGUUUAUGGGGUCAAGUGCAAGCUCCUACUAAGCUUGUAUUGAAACAAAAAAAUUUGGCACUGCCUGGUUUCUUUAGUGAGCAGUAACAUAAUUAAUUUUCACUUAUAAUUAAUUUUCUUUAGUGAGUAGUAACAUAGAUCAACUAUAAUGUUCAAUAAUUUGAUUACCAUCUUAGAAAGGCGUACCUUAAGUACCUUGAUCAUUAGCUUAAUAGCAAAUUAAUUAGUAUUGUUUGUAAUAUAUGCUGAUUUGAGUUGUUAGAUCAGAAGCCUAGUCAUGAUAGGAAAAAAAUUAUAACUAUUUAGGGUUAGCUAUUUUCAUAAGAAGUUUUCUUGGUACAUUAUUGUGUUGACAAGUUAUGAUCAAAGUUCAUUGGCUCAUAAUUACUUCAAGUAAUAUGAACUUAUGGAGUCCAGGCAAUUGAAGAGUGAAUUAUUGCGCGUUUUUCUUUUUCUUGGUAAUUAGUACUUCCAUUUGUGAAAGGAUAAUUUAGUCUAAGGCCUUAUUUGAUAUCUCAAUUUAGCACUUAAAUUGAAUUGGUUCAGAUCUUAAUAUGUUUAGACUUGUUUGAUAAGUAAAAAUAGAACAUCUUAAUUAAUUAAGUGAAUCUGAAUUAUCGAGGCAAAAUUUACUCUAAAAAAUAAGUGAUAAAUUAUUCAUUUAUCACUUAGGGUCUGUUUGUUUCGACUAAAAAGAUUUUCCAAAAAAUAUUUUCCGUGAUUUCCACUGUUUGGUUCAAUUUAGCGCUGAGAAAAUGAUUUCUCUCGUAAAAUCUUUUCCAUAAGUGGGUGUAAAAUAACUUCACUUAUAAACUUACUGAAGUUAUUUUCAACCGUCUGAUCCUGUCCCUUUUGUGCUUAGUUACAUUCAUCAACAUAAGAAGGAAAAGGACAUAGGAAAUAGUUUCGGUGGGAUUGUCCGAUAUCUCUCGGCAAAACAUCAUCGAUCCUUUCAUCGCCCCUCUAUUCAUUCCAUGUUAUUCCUCCUCUCACAGAAACGCAAUCCAACCUAUCGCACGUCCCAUUGCAUCUGCGUCGGACUUAUAGAAACAAUUAAGAUCUACAGAAAUAGGGAGGAUCUAAAGAGACUAAACAAGGAGAUUGGCAGCAUAACGAAAGAAGAGAUCUCAGAGGAGCUUUUACAUGAGCAAGAAAGUCUUUUAAGAUUGGCCACGGAGGAGAGAGAUGAACUAAUUCUAUAUAUCACCAACAAUGUCCAGCUUUUGCUUUGGAAAUUUCAAUCCAAGAUCUCCUAGAUCUUUGAAAGAAUUUUAGCGGUAAAAAUAUUCUUGUGAGAGUUGGUUAAUUUCAUUGUCAUCUUCAAUGUUUUAUGACUGAUUGGUUGAGCUGGAAAAUUGAUAUUGAUCAUUCAUGUGUCUAUUGCUUUAAUCUCCUCGGUCAAAGAAUGAUGGCAGGGGCGGUGUAUGUGGUGGAGGAAAGUUUUUUGUGGUGGAGACGAGAGAGGAAUGGUGGAGACGGCCGAUGGGAGAGAAUUUCUUGAUAUGGUGAGGAGUUGAAUUAAUUACUCAUGAGGACAAAUGUUUUCCGAAAGUAACCAAACAGAUGAAAAUUGGAAAGAAAACAAAACUUUUCCCAGAAAAAGGCUUCCAAUGAAAUUAUUUUCCCAAAGAAAAUAUUUUACAUCCUACCAAACAGACUCUAAAUGCAGAAUAGACUCAAAUAUUAAGAUUCAAUAACUUAAUAGAUUCAGAUUUUAAUAUCUUAACAAUUCAAUAGUUUAACAUAUUCAAAUUUCAAUUUUAUCAAACGCACCCUAAGUCCAAGUAAGGGUCAGAAAUUAUUUAUAACGCUUGGCUGAGUUCCUUUUUUCAUGUUUUUCUACCCUUAAUCCUCGAAUAAAAAGCUUACUUCGUACCAUUCCCGUUCUUAGUUAUUCAUUUAUUACCUACAAAAUAGAAAAUAGAAAAUGCACUUAACCUAGUAGCUAACUGGUAAAUUUCUUGAACAUUCUUAAGGUAAUUGAAAGACUAAUGAAUGAUGUCAUACUACAAACCAAGAUGGAAGUAAGUGCAGGGACAGCUGAGCCAGGAUUGAAAUGGAAAUGCAAUGCAAGUGACAAAAAUCUUGUAACGUGGCUGAUUUUUUCUUUGUUUUCUUUUUGAAGUAAUAAUAAACUAGAUAAUACUAAUGAGAAGCAAGGUUACAAACGUACGGUACAAACGUGGGCUGAUUAGCUCCUUGUCAUCAGGUGAUUCAUUGUCCAUUUAUGUCACAUUCGACGCCAAUUUGCCCCAUAUCCGUAAAAGUCUUUGUCCUUCUCAACACUACUGUUUUCUGCAUUAUUGCGCCACGAUUACAAAAUCUCGACCUACUCCACGUGCAAUUUUCUUAGCCGUUCUUUCUCUCCUUUUUUUUAUAUGAGGCCUACUUUUUUUUGUUAUAAUUAUUAUUAUACAAAUGGCAAACGAAAUUAUCGAAAUAUAAUGGAAAGAAAACCCAACCGAUCUUUUAAGACAUUAAAGGAAAAGAUCCAUCUAAACAAGCGUGAUGACUCGUAAGUGUAGUUUGGUUUUGAUUUACAGUUCAAAGUAGGGGUGUGCAAAAUCGAAAAAUUUCGAUUUAUCGACUGAAUUCGAAAUUUUUGAAAUCGAUAAUUUGAAAUUCGGCACUGAAAUCGGAAUUUUCAAUUUCGAAUUAUGUGAAUUUGGUUCAAAUUCGGUAAUGGAGUUUUUGAAAUCGGAAAUCGAAAUCAGAAUUUCCGAUUUCAAUUUCGUUUUAUAAUAUAUAUAUUAAUAUUUUUUAUUUAUAUAUAAUAAUAUUUUUUAUUUCAAUUUUGUUUUAUAAUAUGUAUAUUAAUAUAUAUUUAUGUAUAUAACAAUAUUUUAAUAAUAUAUUUAUAUAUAAUAAUAUUUUUUAUAAUAUAUGUAAUAUAAAAUUUAUAAUAUAUAACAAUACAUCUAACAAAAAAGAAAAAAAAGGGAAAAAAUGUUUCUGAAUUCGGAAUCGAAAUCGAAAUCGAAACUGGUGAAUUCGAAAUCGAAAUCGGUCGGUAAUUCCUAUACCAAAAUUCCGAAUUCAAAUUUUCGAAUUACCGAAUUCGAAUUCGAUGCACACCCCUAGUUCAAAGAGUAAUUUUAGAUUGUACUUUGAGUGGGUGUCAUCUUUUUUUUUUUUUUAAUAUAUUUAGUGGGAAUCUAUUCAAAAAAGUUUAAUAGCUUCACUCACGUUGAGUCAAUAUUAGAGUGGAACAAAAACUCAAAGAAUUUUUUAUAUCUCUUCAUAAUUUUUCAAAUCUAUUAUAUCUGUAAAAUUGCAUCUCUAGAAUUUUUAGUGAAUGUUUAACCUGUCAUUAGAACAAUGAUCCAAAUAAUUUUCAGCAAUUUGUUAAUCAAAUUUACUUUUUAUGAAAAAGAACAACCUAAAGAAUAAUACACCGACAAAAAAGGCAAACCUUAUUUGCACUCUAGGAAAAAUGCCUGGUACUUCAACCAUUGUUUUUGAGUUCCAAAAAUAUCUUUGCCAUCAGCUGCUCAUGGUGGUCCUUCUGCCAAAGUCAUGGUUGUUGCUCUUUCAAAUCAAGAUCAACUUUUCUCAUGGACGGUAAUUCAACAUAGCUUUCUACCUCAAAUAAUUUCUUUUUGGUUACAAAUUGUAACUUACAAUGUCACAACGUUUUUUUAAUAACCCAAACUAGCCCCAAGAUUUAUGUUUAGCCUCAAUGCAUCCUAGUAUCACCAAUGAUAACCACCAAUUGGCGUGUAAAUUAGUAACAGUCCUCUUCAAACAAUCAUCACCUAAUUUUGACAAAAUCUAACUCUUAGUACAUAGAAUAUUUUUUUAAUCUUUAAUAAAUAGAAAAAAACCAAUUUUUCCAAAUACUUGCACAAGAAAAAAACCCAAUAAUAAAACAAACUAUUGAACGAGUUUUUUUUUUCUUUUAACUUUAUCCUUCCAUAUCUUGGAUUACCUGUACUCAGGUGCUCCUUAACAUCGCAAGUUUGUUAAUCUAGUUGUGGUGUAAAAUGACAGUGAAUUAGUUGUCAAUAUUUAUUUGAUUGUAUUAUUAAUAUAUUUUUUAAUUAAUUUUUUAUUUUACAUACAUCACAUCAAAAAAAAUAUUAUAAUAUUUUUUUAAAAAAAUUAUCUCAAAAACACAUUCAUUAUAUUUUGAAUAUUAAAAGGAGAGUCACCACCUGUCACUGAACUUAGAUGCGUUUGCCGUAAUUUUUGACGUGUUGGUUUAUGGGACAUGGACAAUGAUGAAGAUGCUGGCUAAUAGCGCCACUGAAAGCGCGAAGACAAAAGAAAAAAGUGGAGAUGGUUUCGUCCGUUGAAACAUAUAUAUAAUGGGGUAAAAUACACUUUACCCCUAUAAUUUAGUACUUUUUUACAUAAUUUUCUGGGAAUUUAAAAAAUUAUAUAUAACCCCCUUAUAAUUUAGUCUAAAAUAUCAAAGUAACGAAAUUUAUAUUUUAUAAUGAAAUCAACUAAAAUGUCAAAAGUUCUCUUCUAUAAAGUUGAAAAUUAUUAAUUAAUCAAAUAGGGGUUAUGUAUAUAUUUUAAAAAUUAUAAGGAAAUUAUGUGGUAAAUUAGUAAACCAUAAGGAGUUAUGCAAUAAAACACAAAAUCAUAAGGGGUUAAAGUGCCAUGUAUAUUACAUUUAUAUAUUUUAUUUAUUUUAGCCAUUUUAGUUUUUAAAUAAGGAUAUUCUAGACAUUUCUUUGGGUUCUAUUAUAUAGAAUCAUUUUCAUCACUUUGAAACUUUAGUCCAAAUUAUGAGGAAGUUUUGUAUAACUUUUAAAAUUGCGAGAGGCUUAUAUAAAAAAUUGCUAAACCACACAGGGAUAAAAUAUAUUUUACCCUAUAUAAUUUAGUAACCAAUAAGUUUUAGAAACAUUUCUGGAAAUGCGAAUAUCAUUUGCUUUAAAAAGAAAAAGGCAUGAAAGACUAACUAAGCAAUUGUAUAAAAGGCUUCUAUAUUGGGGUUUGUAUUUCUGUUUUUAAACUCGGACUGGACCGAUUGAACCAAAAAUCGAUCAAUUAUCCGAUUCGAGUUAACUUAAAAAACAGGGAAAUUAAAAAUUCAGUCAAAUCAAAUCAAAAUCCGAAUUUGACCAGAAAAAAUAAGAGCCGGGAUUCCACCAUGAUCUCAGAUCUCACGCAAGGAAAGGAAAGAGAGGGACCCGCAUCUCCUUGGCUCCAUGUGCCCAGCCAAAAUCCCAAAACGCAACACACGAUUUUUGUAGUGGGACAUGCAUGCACAGUUGGUUACUGCUAUAGUGCUGCUACAUCCCUGGCCACAACUCGCUUGCACGUGUUCAUACAACAUCCAUAUCUUCUUGCUGCCCCCUCUCCAUGCAUGUAUAUAGACUCUUUUUUUUUUUUUUUUUUUACUUUUUUUUGAAAGGUCAAAAUAUUUUUAAUAUUAUAUUUUGAUCUCUAGGUUAUUAAAAAUUAUUAAUAUAUCUCAAAUAUUUCAUACUUUAUCUUAAAAUUUGGUAUUGUUUUUUAAUUAAAUUCAUAAUUUUAAUUCUAAACUUGUUAAUUCUCAUUAAAUAAUAUAAAUUGCUAUUUGAUUGUUCUAAUUUCUUUGUAUUUUCUUAUUAAAUAUAUUUGAAACAUCAAAUAUAUAAAUAUACCUUUAUUAAUAUUAACAUGUUACUAGGUAUUUUACAUAUAAUAUUUUAAUUUUUAAAUAAUUUUUAUUUAUGACAUCAUCCGGUUCAACCCCGAUCGAAUCCGAUUGAACCCAUUGACCCCUGAGCUCGAAUGAGUCGAUAUCCGGUCCGGUUCUGAAAACAUAGGUUUGUAUGAGUAUUGCAUUUACUAGUACUUGGCCUAAUGCACAUUAUCUAUCUGAGGUUGCAAAUUACAAACAUUAUUGUAUAAAUGGAUACGAGAAAUUCCGGAGUGUACGUGCAUUUGAACAUUUCAAUCCAAUUCAUGAUAGACAGCUGAUAGCGAUAAUUCAUUACCACAAAAGGACAGACAGAUUAUCAAACACUUCAGAAAUGUGCUAUGGAUUUUGUAAUGUCCAGAGACACAUCUAAAAUUCAUCUAAUCUACACUACAAUUAUUAUCUUCAUUUACCUUUAUAUACUUUUCCUAUUUAAUCUUACCUAUCCUUCUUUAUAUUUAUUUAAUUUUUUAAUUAAUUUUAUAUUUUAAAAAAUAUGACACCUAAGAUAUAUUUUAAUGUUAGACAGACCUUUUGACUAUUUAAAUUUGAUGUAUCCCAAAUUAAAUUCACCAUAUGGGAAAUAUAGAUAGAAUUCUUCUAUUUUGUGGCUUUGUGACACAAGAUAUAAUGUGGGUCCCAUUUAAAUUUCGAAUGCUAAAAUAUAUAUGGGCUGUAGAUGCCGUUAGAAUUUUAUGGUGAACUCAUCUCUUUGUUUUGUGUGUUUAUCUUGUACCUUUAUGGCACAAUAUAGAAAAAAAAGAAAGAACUAUGAUUUCCACUAUUCGAUGCGGUUAAUGUUUAAAAUGCACAGCCACCUUGGUAAUUUAGAGUAGAGAAAAAUGCAAUUUUGGUAUUCAAAUUUUGACACGUGAGCGGUUUUAGUUCCCAAACUUUGGAUAAAAGCAAAUCUGAUGCCCAAUUUUUCAACUUUUGAGCACAUUUAGUAUCCUUGACGAUUUUCCUAAAUUGCUACCGAAAAGAGUCACGUGAUAGUUACAUGUCUGGCAACUAUUGUAUAAAAAAAUGACUAAAAAAAGUAAAAUAUCCUUCUCACACUAAGUUUAAGAACUAAAUUUUAUGUUUUUUGGCAUUUUUUUUUUUACAAUAGUUGCCAGACAUGUUACUGUUACGUGACUCUUUUCGAUAGCAAUUUGAGAAAAAUCUAUCAAGGGCGCUAAAUGUGCUCAAAAGUUGAAAGAUUGGAUACCAAAUUAGCUUUUGUCCAAAGUUUGGGAGUUAAAAUUGCUCAUAUGUCAAAGUUUAGAUACCAAAACUGUAAUUUUCUUUUUAGAGUAACAUAAAGUCGCCAGGCACAUUCUCAAUAAUUACACCAAGGACAAACAAAAAGUUACACUCAAAAUCUUCUAUAAAAGGGAAUGCAAGUGAGGUAUUGAGAGGCAACAAACUUCAAAUCUUCUGGCAUCUCAUUCUUCACCCACGCAUUUCCUCAUCACCAAGGAUGGCAUCAACUUUACGGUCAAACUAUGUUCCAAUCUUUGUUAUGCUCCCGGUUAGUCAUAGCUUCUCUUAUCAUCUCUAUUGUCUUUUGCAAAUAGAAAAUGAACAUACCCUGAUCAAGAAAAGAUGUGUGUGUGUGUGUAUAUAUAUAUAUAUAUAUAUAUAUAUUUUAGGUUUACAAAGCAUGAUAUAUACAUUUUCACUUUUGUUAAUCACGAUCAAUAACAUAUAGAAUGUGAUCUGACUAAUGGUCUUUUUUGUCUUUUUUUUUGGUGGUGACAAUAGUUGGGAGUUGUUAAUGUUAACAAUGUUUUUGAAGACCCGGAGACUCUUGAGAAGCAGCUGAAGAAGCUGAAAGAAAUUGGAGUCGAUGGCAUCAUGGUAGAUGUUUGGUGGGGACUCAUUGAGAACAAAGGGCCUAAGCAGUAUGACUGGGCUGCUUACAGAAGCUUGUUUGAGCUUCUUGUGAAAAUUGGCCUGAAAAUCCAGGCUAUCAUGUCAUUCCACCAAUGUGGUGGCAAUGUUGGAGAUAUUGUUACCAUCCCACUUCCCAAAUGGGUGCUCGCAAUUGGAGACAAAGUCCCUGAUAUCUUCUACACUAACCGAUCUGGUACCAGGAAUCCGGAGUACCUCUCAAUAGGUGUUGAUAAUGAGAAUCUUUUUCAAGGUCGGACUCCUGUGCAGGUAAGACAUGUGACAGCUUCUUGAAUUUGAUCACAUUAGCCAAUUGUGUUAUUCUUGAGCAGAUUUUUUCUUGAAAGCAGGACAGAAUCAUCAGCUCUUGAUCCUUUCAAAGCUGGAAAUGAUCGAUACUGAUAUGAGAUAUCUAGUUCAGUGUCUUUCAACUUCAGUUCUAGACUGAUAGUCUGUUAAUAUUUAGUACAUGAUAUGAUAAUGGAUCAGCUUUUGGUCGUGAGUUUUGAUUUAUCCCAGCUCAAUGGAUUCAGAUCUACAGUGACUAUAUGAAGAGCUUUAAAAACGCCAUGGCAGGCAUUUUCGAGGCUGGACACAUAACAGACGUUGAGGUAGGGCUUGGUCCAGCUGGAGAGCUGAGAUAUUCUUCAUACCCAGAAACACAAGGAUGGAAAUUCCCUGGAAUUGGAGAAUUUCAAGUGAGUCUAAUUCAAACAAAUCAUAUUCUGUAUCACUUAAUCUAUUAAGUUCCUUCAAGCUAAUUUUUUUUUUCACUCCAAUAUUUGAUGGUGUGCAGUGCUAUGACAAGUAUUUGAAAGCAGAUUUUAAAGCUGCUGCAACAAAAGCGGGGCACCCUGAAUGGGAUCUUCCAGAUAAUGCUGGAACAUACAAUGAUACACCAGGUGAUACAGAGUUUUUUGCAACUAACGGGACCUAUCGCACCGAAAAAGGGAGGUUCUUCUUGACAUGGUACUCAAACAAGCUUAUAGAACACGGAGAUCAGAUUCUCGAAGAAGCCAACAAAGUUUUCAAUGGAACCAAAACCAGGCUAGCUGCAAAAGUGAGUAGCCAAUUAUUGCAAUUUGAUGCCUACUGCUUUCAGCCACUGGCGAAGCCACAUAUAGUUGAGGGUGGGCAAUUGCCCCCUCUCAACUUUGGUAAAAUCAUAAAAUUUUGUGCAAUUACCAUUUAUAGUUGCAUUACCCCCUUAACUAUUAAGAUAUCAUAGUGAUUAUCUUUUGAUUGAUGGACCUACUUCAAGUUAUAUAAUGAUUGAUCCAUUUGGAUUAAAAGUUAUUUGAAAAAUUUUCUUUACUAUUGUAAAUUUUUUUAUGUGAAAUAUGUGAGAUGGAAAAAAUAUUGGAAAACGUGUGUUUAAGACACAUAAGAAAUACUUAUUUUUAAAUUUUUUAAUAAUUUUUUAUGUUCCUAACUCAAAUAAGUAGAAUGAUCUUAUAGUCAAAAAAAUUAGAUUUAAUGGUACAUAUAACUAAGGAUUAAUCUUUCCUACACUGACAGUGUAUACACUAUCAGCGUUGGAUGAUUGACAAUUAUACAAAUUUUGAAUUUGAAAUUCAACUUUUGCACACACGUCAUGAAUCCAACGAUGAUAGUGCAUACACCGUUAGUGUAAGAACGAUUUACUCUAUAACUAAUAUGUCUAUCAAACAGUCUUAUCACAUCGGACAAGAUAGUUGCAAAUUACACCCGCUGAUUUAGGGUCUUGGCUCCGCCACUGCAUGCUUUCAGCCAUCUGCUGAGGAGCACAUGCAACUAUUCUCAAGUUUUUUUUUCUUUUGUUUACUCAAAUAGGUUUCUGGUAUCCAUUGGUGGUUCAAAGAUCAGUCGCACGCUGCUGAGUUAACUGCAGGAUACUACAACUUGGACGACAGAGAUGGUUACCGACCCUUGGCCAGGAUGUUAACCAGGCACUAUGGUACUCUAGAUUUUACUUGUCUUGAGAUGAAGGACUCUGAACAACCAGAAACUGCUAAAAGUGGUCCACAGGAACUUGUUCAACAGGUUCGUGCAUGAUUGUUACAUAGCAUAGCAUAAAUUAAUACAAUUUUGUUCACUUCAUAUUACAAAGCAAAACCAGUGAUGUUUACAGGUUCUGAGCGCUGGCUGGAGAGAAGUCAUUGAUGUUGCAGGUGAAAAUGCACUUUCUAGAUAUGAUGCCACCGCUUACAAUCAAAUGCUACUGAAUGUUAGGCCAAAUGGGGUCAGCAAAGAAGGCGAACGCAAACCGAAGAUGUCCGCAUUGACUUACCUUCGCCUGUCAGAGGAUUUAUUGUCAAAGGAAAACUUCAGUCUGUUUGCAUCAUUUGUGAAGAAAAUGCAUGCUGAUUUGGUAGUGCUGCAGCUUUUAUUUUAUCAUCCCCUCUCCAUCAUGAUUUUGAGUGACAAAAUGAAACACAACAGACUGCUUUUGCUAUACUAACUGUUGUAUUCUUACGUUUUCUUCAGGAUUAUGUCCCAAAUAUAAUUGACUUAACUCCAUUGGAGCGAUCAAAGCCAAAGAUCCCAAUUGAAAAACUUGUGGAAGCAGCUACACCAAAAUUGGAGCCCUUCCCAUGGGAUAGUGAGACUGACCUGCCCGUUGAGUCUUCCUGAUCAAUUGGGCAUCAAGCACCAGCAACAUCAUUUGAAUAAUAAAUUCAGGCACCACUCUUUGUUAGUAAAAAAAUAAUUCUGCACUUCAAGAAAAAUAAGUUUGAGUAGCCAGAGAUUGAGGUGCCUGCCUCUGAAUCCUAUGUACGUAUGAAGGUAGUUAAAUAUCCGUGUUGUUGUCAUUUUCAUGCUGUUUGCUGUACUGUGGUUUCGUUCUGUAAUGUUAAUAAAUGUGUAUUUUGAGCCAAAAUGAAGUCAUGAAGAAGCUGAGAACAUUUUCCCUUUUUAACUUGAAGUUGACCAAGCCAAGAACUUUUGAUGCUGGAAAUCCUAAUAAGGUGGUAUUAAUUAAACCACUAUGCAUAGGAGGUGAAAAACAAUAUUAAUAUGUCUCUACUUUAUCCCUAACAUACAAUUUUCACAUUCACAAAAUCAUUUAAAGUUCAUCUGUUAAAUUAAUAAAGGAAAAGCUAAAGUCGGUCUAGAGGUAUUUGGGUUUGUAAAAAGGUAGUCCCAUCUCCAACCAAAAUGCAUAGAAUGAAAUUAUUUACUAAGGCAUCUCAUAUAUAGGGAUUAUUUAUCCUAAGAUGACUUAACCCAUGAUUUAUAAUCUGUGAAUAAGCAUUCCUACUUUAUCCAAUCCGUGCACCAAAUGUAGCCUAGCAGCGAUUAAUUCACCAGGCUAAGCAAUGGACACCAGAAAAGAACUUUACUACUAAUGGUAAAAUACUAGGAAAAGUAGCAAUUAAUAUACAGCUAAUGGCUAGAGAUGUCAAAAUGGAUUAACGGAUCAUUAAUGGUUGAUCAUUAACUUGAAAGGCUAAAUUCUUAAUUUUGAAACUGAAAAGAAUGGAACCAAAAAAAGAUUAAAAAAAAAAAAGGGCCUUCAAUUGAAAGGAAGCUUUUCAGCCAAACCCCAACCCUAUCCAGACCUCAUAUAUUCUCUCUCCAGGACUAGAAAGCUCCCCCUUAAUGCAGAAAUUUUCUCGAAAUCAUUCUCUUGCUACUACUAGGUGAAUAGAUAAUUGAGAUCUUUACUUGUAAAACCUGUUUUUUUUUUUUUUUUAUCUAUUUCUUAUUUUAGCACCAAAAAAAAUUGUCUUUCUUGAUAGUCUCCUGCCAAUUACCUUCAAACCAUAUGAUAUUGCAUUUCUGCAAUAAAUACCGCGAUAAUCACAACUUUCAACAUUAGCCUGACAAAGCACACACGAAACUGAUGCAACAACACCAUAAUUAAGAAGCUUAUCAUCUUGGGUUGAUAGUCUCUCUUGAACAGCUAACCAAAGGACGAAGGAGUGAUGGGGAAUAGCUUUUGGCUACCAAACAAUGUUGGGCCAAGUGGUUUUCGGGUACAUGAUCUAAAAACUUGAGAAAAUUCUUUCUUUGCAUUUUUGGGUACAUGAUUUUCAGUGGAUUUUUAUUGCAUAUUCGUUAUUUCCAUCCAGCUUAUUGUGAUUUCUUCUAUGGACGAAUGUCGAAAUUUUUUUUCCCUUGGCUUAAAUUUUAUCAUGUGAUCAUGCAUAGAUGGAGACUUGAGAUUUUGUUUUGAUCUUCCAUUAUGAGUCGUCCAUUUUAUUUUUCAGAUAUGGCUGAACUGAAACUGAAAGCAAAGCGAAAGCUGCCCGAGAUGCCCUCAUUGGCGGAGCGCAUUAAUUGGACCUCCUGAAACUGGGGGACCUCCAUUUUAAUUUCAUUUUCUUGUCACCUUUCAACUUUUUAUCAAGCUGCAUUUACUAUUCGAAAAAAGGGAAAUCUCCAAAUUGUCCAUAAUGUAAAUCGAUAUAGCAAGUAUUUUUUUUAGAUAUAGCAAGUAUAGACGAUAUAGUCCAUAAUGCAUAGACUUGCUAAUACAAGAUAAUUCAAUUGAUAAGUACGAGCUACUUCCUUUACGAAGAUCGCGUGUUUAAAUUUCAUUGUCGAUGUGAAAAUCGUAUUGAUAGGUGAUUUGUAAGAAUUUUUAUAAGUGAUCUAUGAUUUUCAGAGAUAUGCUCUGAUCCAUAGUGGUGAUCGAAUCCGAACCCACCUAAACUUUUGAGCAUUUAGAGCAAGAAGUAUCCUUUUUUGGACUGGAAAUUGAUUAACAAGUUCUCUCGUUUCAAAUGGUUUUGUCACGGUCCAAAUUUUACGUUCUAAACAAUAUUGAAUAAAUGAUAAAAUUUACCAUUUGAAGUCCAACUUGCAUUUUGGCGUAAGAAGUCGAAAUUUGCUUGACGAGAUGACGAUUUCACGACAAUUCCACGUCGUUAGUUUUUGUGUAUGUUUCUAUUCGAUCAAGGGGUAAUUGAUAUCUCUAUUGACGGCCUAUGGCUAGAUUAGAGUCGGACGGGUCAUGUUUGAGACUACUAAGAAAUCUUAGAAAGAUUAAUUAUUGAGGCAUUCUAAAAGAGUAAAUUUUAUAUUAACUGUUAGUGUAUACACUAUUACGGUUGGAUGGAUAGUACAUGAACAAAUUUUAUAAAAUGCCUCUCUUCUGUACUAUUUUGUGUUUUUUUUUUACCUAGUUUCCUUUGCAUUUCGUACUUGACUCUCCUUAGAUGUUAAAAGGAAACAUCAAGAUUGCACUCUCUUUUCUUUUUAUUCUUCAAAAAAUCAAACUUUGCCUAGUUUAUUUUGUAAAACAACCUCAAUUUUUCCAUUAAGAAUAUAAUUUUCGAUACCAAACCUAGACAAAAAAAAUGAUACUAUUUUUAUUACGGUCCAUAAAAAUGGAAGAGUUAUUUACGAAAAUCCAAAAAUUACUGCUCACACUCACCAAGCUUACUCCAAUCUUGCGCCCUUAUGGUACAAAUUCAAACGCUUAAAAACCCAAAUUACAUUUCUAUGCUAUUAGCCCAUAACCAAUUGAUGUGUGUAAAAUGCCAAUACAAGGGUGUCAUGUUGUCAAGAAAAUUAAUUUCAGUCAAUUACCACUCAUGCUGAAAACGCACACACUUUUGCUAAGCAUCGCGCCUACUUUUAUUAGACAUGAAAUCAAAUAUUAAAGGAAAAAAACCCAAUGUACAUUAGAAAUUGUCAGCCCAUAACAAUAAUGUGAUAUGUGUAAAUUGCGAAACAAAUUUACCCUAUUGUCAUGUAGCUUCAUUUAUUGGGCUAAUUUCUUAGAUUAUACGUAAAAAAAAAAAAAUCCGCCAAAUGUAUCUCUGACAAGGGGCAUUUCUCAAACUGACUCAGCACGGCCGCAUAAUAAAUUUAAAUUUUUUUUUUUUGAAAAGUCAGCAAAGUCAAAAUGUUCAUGGCAGUCAUUUUGUCAGCUGCGGACGUGCUGACUGGGCACGUCCGCGCCUGACAUUUUUGAUGAGGCUCUCGCCUCUCUUUUUUAGCGGUGAAAAUCCCCAUGCUUGUGCAAUUAUGUGAUACUGCCAAUCCUUCAAGCUGCUUCUCUUCUUUUUCUGUUUCUUUUUUCCGCACCUAAAGUUGUUAACUUAAGUCUAGUUUCUAAAAUUGUUAAAUUAAAAUCCUAAACUUAUUAAAUUUACUAAAACCCCUAAUUAUAAUUUAUAUCUAAUUAUAUUGCACAACAAAAAUCCUAAAAUCUUUUCGAGUUUCAAUUUCAAUUUUUACAUUUGAACUGAAUAUUUGCAGUAUUAUUUGAUGAAUAUUCUCCUAAUACUUCUUUUACAUUUAUGCAUUACUAGAGAGGAUAUUUCAUUAUAUAUUGAGUUGUCAUAAAUUUCUUUAAUCAGAUUUGUAUUCAAUAUCUACUAAAAUGUAAUUGGUUUGAAAAUUUGAACAUAGCACAUUAUACCCAUUUAAUUUUUUUGCAAAAAAUUUUAUAGUAAACGAUAACACGAUUUGAGUGAUAGAAAUAAAUUAAAAGAUAGCUUAUUCCCUUGUUUUGAGGAAUUGCAUAUAAUGAAAUAUUAUAUAUUAUAUAAAUAUUUAUAUAAUGAAAUAUACAAUAAAUAUUACAAAUUGAAAUAUUAUAUGAACACCAUAUUUAUAAUAUUAUAAUAUUUAUAAUUAAUAUUAAUGCAUAUUAUAUAUAUUAAAUAUUUAUAUAUUAUAUAUAUUAAAUAUUUAUUUAUACAUAUUAUAAAUAUUUUAUUUUAUUUAAAAAAUAUUUUUAUAUAUUUAUAAUGUAUUUAUAUAAAUUAUAUAUAAUAUAAUAUAAAUUAUAUAUUAUAUAUUAUACAUUCAUAUAAAUGUAUAUUUAUACAUAAUAUAUAUUAAUGUAUAUUUAUAAUUUACAUUUAUAUUAUGUAUUAUAUAUAAUAUAAUACAUUUAUAUUAAUAUACAUAAUAUUAAUUUUACAUUUAUACAUAAUAUUAAUAUAUAUUUAUAAUAUAUUAAUUUAUACAUUUAUAUAAUAUUCAUUUAUAAUUUAUACAUUUAUAGUAAUAUAAACUUAUACAUUUACAAAUAUAUUUAUAUUAUGUAUUAUAUAUAAUAUAAUACAUUUAUAUAUUUUUAUAUAAAUAUAUAAAUAUUUAUAAAUGUAUUAUUAAUAUAUAAAUGUAUAUUUAUAUAAAAUUAUAAAAAUUAUAAUUUAUACAUUUAUAUAAUAUUCAUUUAUAAUAAUAUACAUUUAUAAAUAUAUUUAUAUUAUGUAUUAUAUAUAAUAUAAUAGAUUUAUAUUACAUUUAUAUAUUUUUAUAUAAAUAAAUAAAUAUAUUUAUUUAUAAAUAUUUAUAAAUGUAUUAUAAAUGCAUAAAUGUAUAUAAAUAUAAAAAUUUUAAAUUAUAAAAAUACUCAAAAAUAUGUUUUAAAAAUACCUCUAAAAAUAAUCUAAAAAACAUUAACAGUAAAAAUUUUUCAUAUAGUUUUUGAAAAACAACCUCAAAAAUAACUAAUUCAAACGGACUUGUAAUUCAAAAAUAAAAUACUACAGUAUUAUUUUUGAAAAUAACCCAAAAAUAGCUAAUCCAAAUAGACUAUUCAAUUUUAAGAGCAAAGGAUUUGAAAGACAAGCAGGGGUGGAAAAAAGAAACAGAAAAAGAAGAGAAGCAGCUUGAAGGAUUGGCAGUAUCACAUAAUUGCACAAGCAUGGGGAUUUUCACCGCUAAAAAAGAGAGGCGAUAGCCUCAUCAAAAAUGUCAGGCGCGGACGUGCCAAGUCAGCACGUCCGCAACUGGCAAAAAGACUGCCAUAAACUUUUUGACUUUGCUGACUUUUCAAAAAAAAAAAAUUUAAUUUAUUAUGCGGCCGUGCUGACGGCCGCUAUAGUUUGAGAAAUCACCUUGUCAGAUAUACAUUUUGACGGAUUGUUUAUUGUUUUUUUUUUUUACGUAUAAUCUAAGAAAUUAGCCCAUUUAUUGUGGGCCUCUUUUGUGCCCAAGUCACACGUUCGUUGCAAAGGAGAAAAAUAUGUCAAUGAGGAGAUGGAGAUGCGGGGUAUCGAUCCCCGUACCUCUCGCAUGCUAAGCGAGCGCUCUACCAUCUGAGCUACAUCCCCGGGCGAGUUUUGAUGCUUAACAAUAUCUUUUAUUGCUUACAAUCUGCGGCCUCCCAAUCCUUCAAACACGUCAUUGUUUCCUAUUGCUGCAGGUGUUGAGCUGCAUGGCAUGCGGACCUGUGCUGCUGACAACUUCUUCACUCUCAAUGGAAGUGAAGGGAAUAUUCCUUCAAGUUUAUUCUCCUCCUUCUUGUUUGUUUUUGCCGUGGGAUUUUAUGCACUUGAAUGCAUUUGUCUUCACUUCUUACUUUUCUUUUUUUUUUUUUCAUCUUCUUGUUUGCUUAUUAUUUGCGUGCAGGGUUCGUGCAUUCAGGGUCUGGGUUGCUAGCGGAAAAGCAAAGCCCAGAAACUCCCCAGUGUAAGAAAUAAUUCAAUUUUUUUGGGGUUAAUUCUCGAUAGAAGAAGAGAAGGGAAUAUUCCUCCAAUAUUAUUCUCCAUUUUUUACCACCAUCAUUCUAUCUACUUGAAUGCAUGUAUCACAACUUCUUACUUUUUUUUCCCCUCUUCUUGUUAAUUAUUAUUUUUAAUGCAGGGUAAGUUCAUUCAGGGUUUGGUUGUGCUAGCUCAAAACUAGUAGACUCAGAAACUCCUCAACGUAAGAACCAAUUCAACAUUUUUAGAAUUAAUUCUCAGUGGAAGAUAAAGGAAUAUACCUCCAGGAUUAUAUAUUUUCUGUUUUUUGUUUUUAAUUUCCUCCAAGAUUUUAUGUACUUGUAUGCAUUUAUCACACUUCUUACUUUUUUUCCGUCUCUUGUCUACUUUUUGUUUGGGUGCAGUCUUCGUUCAAGGUCUGCCUGUGAUGGCUGAAAACUAGAUUCAAAAUCUUCCGAAGUCAAGCACAAUUUCACGUUUUAAGGUAGUUUUUUGCGGUAAUUUUCGUAAUUGAUCGAUUGACAUGCAUGCAUGUUUUCACUUAGAGUAGUGUGUUUUAUUGAUGAUGAAAAUGUCUGAGGUAUUGCUGAAUUUUGAUGAUUUAUUUUAAUGUGAUUGACUGAUUGAUAGUCAUUUAGCAUAUUUUACUGUGAACAUUGUAGUAGAUUGAACUUUUGUCAUAAGAAUAAAGACUAUGGAAAUCCUGAUGAGUAGUAACCACGGAGUACAAUUGUAGCACAAUUCUCUAGCUGUCUUAGUGUGAGGACAAACCCUGCUACCCCUUGUCAUCAUGGAACAAAAAGAGAACAAAAAAACAAAAAACAAUUCUUGAAUUUGAUAACUGUUUUGAUUAUAAAAUGCGCCAUAUAUAAAAAUUUAGCCUUGGAAAACUUUAUAAGGGCUGUUUAUGGUAAUUGUUGCAAUGGUUUCUCUACGCAGUUUGGGAGGUUUAUGAUGUUGGAGUAGGGAAAAUAGCAAGUCUGAAAGGCUAGAACUUUCAUUUUGUACUGCCUGUUACAAGGCUUCAUUUGUACCUACUUUUCUUUCUUUGGUUUGACAUUCAUUGUUGUGCUAUUGUUUGGACUUUGUUGCACUUAAGCAGUGUUAAUGGCUAUUGUUCCUAAUAGUGAUCACUAUAAGAAUGGAGGGACCUUUUAUGGACUUUUGUAGUAUGCAAAAUGGAUCAGAUUUGAUGUAAAAUGCAAGUUACAGCACAACAAAAAAAACAAAGGAAAAAAAAAGAAGCAAAUAUUACUCGACAAAAUCAAAGGGCACAAAAGCUGGGGUAAUAGCCUCUGAAAGGAUGCACCUUCCGAGCUAUAUCUCCAAAUGACUUCCUACCUCAUUAAACUUGGACAAAGAGUUAUCCUACGUACAAUAGUACCAAAAUGAUUCCUUACAUAAUUAGUGAGGAUAUUGAUGCAAACAUCUGAGCUUUAGACCUUAUGCUGUUUGACGUCCUCGUAGGAGGAGUGGGGAAUAAUCUACCAUUGCCAACUGCAAUCCAAAUAGAUAACAGUGCUUACUAAGCCUUUGUUUGUUUGAAGUACUGAUCUGAAAGUACCUACUAGCUGGACACAGACUGACUAAUUGCUAAAAGCUCAUCCUAAGGGUUGUAACUCUCAGUAGGCAUUCAGUAAGAAGUAAGCCAAUUUCUCUUAGCCUUUAGGGUGACUCGAGAAAACUUGAAAGGGAAAUCUGAGAGCCCUUAAGCUUCAAGCUAUUCGGCUUCAAGCCAUUAAGUUGGAAUCCUAGUUUCAUACUAAAAUAAGAAAAUUUAUCAGCACUUUCAGUUACUAAAAGUCAAUCAAGUGCUUAAUCAAGUUAAUAUUAUUGCUUGGAAAGGAGGAGCUAUGGCACUUGAUUCAUUCCUUUCUUUGGGGAAAACAGAGAGCAAUUUGCCAUAGGUAGUGCAUGAACCAAAGUUCAGAGGUGGCUCAAAGUCGAAUCUUGCAGAUCCUAGAUCCUAGUUCACUUACUAAUCGCUUCCUGAUCACUAAAAAACCCAUUUAAAGAUGUCACAUGAUUAUAUUGGUUACAAUAGGUCAACCUAUUUCCUGGUAAAUGUGUACUGGAUUUUCUCCAUAGAUUUUACAAUCCAGAAUUGGAGGGAAUGAAAUCGGUUCUUCAAGCUGGCCUUUGCGAAGACUAUCUUGACAGCGCUGUUAAAGACAUUCAGUUGUCAAAGGUGACUAAAUGGUGCUCCUGACACGACCAUACCGUCUUUUGAGCACUAAUGCGUGAUGUAACACUUGCAAGCUCUAGUUUUUUCAUUUGAGUUUCCUCCUCCCCGUUUUUUGGUCACUCAAUUUUGAAGAUAAACAUAACAUAAAAAGGAAUGAAAUUUCUGUGCGGGCAAAGCCACUCGGGAAGCAGGUUGCUGCAGAAAAUCCUGAAAAUGCUCAGGUAGUAUAUAUUCUGGACUUAGCAGCAAUUGGACUAAAACCACAAUAUUGAAAAUUCUGAACUCAGGUAGUUUCUCUGUACUAUCAUUAGGGAAAUUCUGUCAGGAUGGACAUUGGAUCUUCAACAGUCAAUCAGGCAGCAAACAUACGCCAAAGAAGGUACGACAAUCUGAUGGCCUGUGGCAAAGAUAUCAUUUUUUUUUAACUUUUUCUUCAUUCAUCGCAGAUAUGAGAAUUAGAAGCAGGAUAUUUAGCAAUCACUAUUUUCCUUCUAUUCUUCAUUUUCUUAUUCCAAAUGAUAAUCCCAACCCAGAAUGGGAAAAAGCCUUUCUGCUACAUUGCCACUGUAUACAUGCUUGUCACUAUGUGCAUGUCACCAAUUAUCAGACAGAGGUUCAACACUCUUGCGUUAAGCCUACCAUUAGUUUUUUUGUCAGCUUAUUUCUCAUCGACUUAAAGAGCCCUUAUGUAAUGACCGAGCUGGAGUCUAGUUAUUUGACGUUAGGAAGUUAGUUGUAGAAGAUAUUCCAAAUAACAGAUUGCAUGUGUCGGUUAAUUGAUCGAGCAUGUGAGUCCUUUCAUAUUGCAUGCGUUAGUUAUAUUGUUAGAAUACCAGAAACUAGUAUAAAGCAGAGGAGGAAGAGGAGAUGUAGUUUUUGGAUGUAACAAUUCUCAUUUUCCGUCUAUACUAUCUUAGUCUUCCCCUGCUCUCUCUUCUCAUUUCCCCUGUAUCUGCAUUUCUCUCAAUUUCUGUCUUGAAUCCGUCCCUUGUUGGGCAGGUCCAGUACAAUUGGUAUCAGACGCUUGCGGUCCUUGGAUCUGCAAGCUCAGCUACCGAAUCUGUAGCUGACUAUGGCGGAGGGCACCAGAAUGAAAGGCUUCGAGGAACAACUGAGGAAGCAGGAUUCUCGGAUCCAGAGCAUCCUUGAAGCCAAUGCAGCUGAACGACUAGCACUGGAAGAGAAAUUGGCAACAAAUCACUCUGAUAUGAAGGCACUCUUGGAAGCGAACUCAGCUGAGAUGAAAAAUUUCAUGGUUUCCAUGAAUGCUCAAUACACCGCUUUUGUGAGAAGCUUGCAAAGCGACCGAGGGAUCUUAGGAAUUUCACCAGACAAUACGGAGAGGCAACCUGUCCAAAGGCCUCAGAGAAACUUGGAGUUGGGGCUAUCCAAUCAAGGAGAGAGGAAUUUCCUACCUGUAGGGACUCCUAAGGUGGAAUUUCCCAAAUUUGAUGGCUCUAACCCCAGAGAAUGGGUCAGGAGAUGUGAGAAGUUUUUCCGUUUAUGUCGCAUUCCUGAUUCGCAGCAUAUGGAUUUAGUGGAAUUGCAUCUGGAUGGGAAAGCUAGUAUUUGGUAUCAAGGUUUCAAGAUGGACAAGGGGGAGUUACGAUGGGAUAGAUUCAGCCAAGAGUUUUGUAGUCGAUUUGGGAAUUUAGGGGAGGAUGACGUUAUAGAGGAGUUUAACAAGCUUCAUCAAACUUCCACAGUAAUUCACUACCAAGAAAGGUUUGAAGAGCUGCGAGCUGCCGUGAUGCUCAAGGUCCCUGGUCUUACUGAAUCAUAUUACAUCUCCAGUUUCCUAAGUGGCCUAAAGGAGGAGAUUAAGUCUGUGGUCAAGAUCCACAAACCUGCGACCUUGCAAUCAGCAUUUGAGAAGGCGAGAUGGCAGGAGCAUUACUUACAGGUUAUGGCUAAGCAAUCUAGGAUGGCUACAAAACUAACUCAGGUUACGGAGACAAUACAGAAGAAGCCUGCACAUCAGAUGUUUGAUAGCAGCAACAACAAAACUACUCCCCAAGGCUCUAGGAGGAUUACCCCCACUGAGUUCCAGUACAGGAAGGAUCACAAUUUAUGUUUCAAAUGUGGAGAGAAGUUCUCCCCUGGGCAUGUUUGCAGGAAUAAGGGAAUUCAUUUGCUGCUAGCAGAUGAGGGCGAGGCUCAAGUAGAGGAAGUAGUAGAUGAAGAGGAUGAGGUCAUUGAGUAUCAAGGCAACAAGUAUGGCAGGGAUAUUACACUAUCCCUCCACUCAGUUUCUGGCCAAUUGUCUUCCAGUACCAUUAAGAUGUUGGGAGAUUAUGGUGAUCAAGAGGUGUCAAUCCUGCUGGAUGGAGGUAGCACCAACUGCUUCAUAAAGCCAACUAUUGCUCAACUCUACCCUGAAGCUGUUAAGAAUCAUAAACCUUUUAAAGUCAGAAUUGCUGAUGGGAAAGAAUUAGUUUGUGAGCAAUGGAUUCCUGGUAUGAAGUGGAUGAUGCAAGGCCAUCAUUUUACUCACAAUGUGUAUGUACUAGACUUGGAACCGUACGACCUGAUUUUGGGGGUUGACUGGAUGAAGUGUUAUAGCCCCAUGACUUUUGACUUUCAAAAGUUGUCAUUAUCAUUUGAGAAGGAGGGUGAAAUGGUGUUACUACAAGGGGAUUCCCACUCUGCCAAGGUGUUGAUGAAGCAAGGAGUAUCAGCCCAGAAGUAUUGCAGAAACAAAAUCAGAACAGCCUUGCAACACUCUUGCAUGAUACGAGUACAAAACUCACAGGUAACUACUGUGCCCAAAACACUCACUCAAUUACUUGCUCAAUAUGAUGACAUAUUUGCUGCACCUACAACUUUACCCCCCAACCGUAGCCUCAAUCACCAAAUACCUUUGAAACCUGAUGCUAAACCUUUCAAGAUUAGACCCUAUAGGUACCCCCACAGGCAAAAAACAGAAAUAGAAAGGCAAGUCAAGGAAAUGUUGGCCACUGGUAUCAUCCAAACCAGCCAUAGUCCUUUUGCAUCCCCAGCCUUACUAGUUAAAAAGAAGGAUGGCACUUGGAGGUUAUGCAUUGACUAUAGACAACUUAACAGCCUCACUAUCAAAGACAAGUUUCCCAUCCCAAUCAUUGAUGACCUCCUAGAUGAACUGCAGGGUGCCAAAAUUUUUUCAAAAAUUGAUUUGAGGUCAGGGUACCAUCAGAUAAGAAUGCACCCAUCUGAUAUCCAAAAAACAGCUUUCAGAACCCACUCUGGCCUCUAUGAAUACUUAGUGAUGCCAUUUGGCCUCACUAAUGCACCAGCAACUUUCCAGGCUCUAAUGAACUCGGUAUUUGAACCUUUUAUUCGAAAAUUUGUGCUAGUGUUCUUUGAUGACAUUCUAGUUUACAGCCCCGAUUUUGACUCCCAUCUCAAACACCUCUCCCUUGUUCUUGACACCCUCAGAAAUCACUCAUUAUAUGCAAAAAUGUCUAAGUGUUCAUUUGGGCAAGAUAGAGUAGAGUACUUGGGGCAUAUAGUUACUGGUGAGGGAGUCUCUGCUGAUCCUGCAAAAGUGGAAGCUAUGCUGUCCUGGCCAUCUCCUACCACUGUUAAAGGUUUAAGGGGUUUUUUGGGACUGACAGGAUACUACAGGAGAUUUGUGAAGGGAUAUGGGAAGAUCGCUAAACCUUUAACUAAUCUGCUAAAGAAGGAUGGUUUCGGGUGGGAUGAACAAGCUGAGCAAGCUUUCCAAGAACUCAAACAUGCUAUGACUCAAGCUCCUGUACUAGCACUUCCUGAUUUCCUUGGAACAUUUGUAUUGGAAACCGAUGCUAGCCAAAAGACCAUUGGAGCAGUUUUGAUGCAGCAAGGUAGGCCUAUUGCUUUCAUGAGUCAGGCACUUGGACCCAAAAAUCAAACACUGUCCAUAUAUGAAAAGGAAUUAUUGUCAUUGAUUACUGCAGUAGGGAAAUGGAGACACUACUUGCUAGGAACUCACUUCAUAAUCAAAACUGAUCAUGAAAGUUUGAAAUACUUACUGGAACAAAAAAUCACUACACCUCUCCAGCAAAAAUGGUUAGCAAAGCUGAUGGGACUAGAUUAUGAGAUCCAAUAUAAAAGGGGUAAGGAUAACUUGGUGGCUGAUGCUCUAUCUAGAAGGAUGGAAGGAAGGGAUGAAGGGUCAGGUGGUGAGGAGGUGCAGGUCCAUGCCAUUACCACAGCAAAGCCAUUAUGGUUAGCAAGGGUCUCUAGCAGUUAUAAUGGGGAUGAGAAGGCCAAGGAACUACUGACUGCACUAGCGGUAGACAAAUCUAGUGUGCACGAUUACACAUACCAUCAAGGGAUUAUCAGGUAUAUGGGAAGAAUGUAUAUUGGGAGUAACUCAGAAUUAAGGGCUCAGCUCAUCAAUUGCAUGCAUGAUUCUGCAAUUGGAGGGCACUCGGGGAACCAAGGAACAUACCAGAGAAUGAAGAACUAUUUCUACUGGCCGGGCAUGAAAAAGGAUGUGGAAUCUUACGUACAGGCUUGUGACAUUUGCAAGAGGAGUAAAGGGGAGCAUUGCUCCUACCCAGGGUUGUUGCAGCCAUUGUCAAUUCCUGAGCAAGCAUGGCAGGAAAUUUCUAUGGAUUUUAUUGAAGGACUACCCAAAUCAUAUGGUCAUAAUGUCAUUUUUGUGGUGGUAGACAGAUUUACAAAAUAUGCUCACUUCACCUCCAUGACUUCUCACUACACUGCUAAGAGUGUGGCUCAGGUAUUCUUCGACCAAAUAUUCAGGUUACAUGGGCUGCCUAAUGGGAUUGUAUCUGAUAGAGACAAAGUGUUCACUAGUAUAUUCUGGCAAGAGCUUUUUAAGCAAGUAGGGACUGAACUUAGUUUCUCUUCUUCCUAUCACCCUCAGUCUGAUGGACAAACUGAGAGGGUGAAUAGGUGUCUAGAGACUUACUUAAGAGCUAUGUGCUUGCAGCAACCAGGCCAUUGGAAAAGGUGUUUACCUGCAGCUGAAUGGUGGUACAACACUAACUUCCACUCCAGUUUGCAGAUGACUCCGUUCCAAGCUUUAUAUGGCUACAAACCAUCCCAAUUGAGUUUGCACUCAAGUGACACUCAAGUUGCUGCUGUGGAGGAUUGGAUAAAGGAAAGGGUAAACUGGAAUACAUUGCUCAGGGAAAAUUUAUUGCAGGCUCAGAACCGAAUGAAGCAGUUUGCAGACAAACACAGAAUAGAUAGGUCCUUUGCUGAGGGUGAUUGGGUGUAUCUCAAGCUGCAGCCGUAUAGGCAGACUACGGUAGCACUAAGGAGGAACUUGAAGCUGGCAGCCAAGUAUUAUGGCCCAUAUCAGGUGGAAAAGAAGAUUGGGUCAGUUGCUUAUAGGCUCAAGCUUCCACAGGGUGCUGCUAUUCACCCUGUUUUCCAUGUUUCACUCUUGAAACCAACGUCUAAGGGAGCUCCUAUCAGCAAUGAAUUGCCACAAAUAUCGGAGGAAGGGCUCUACACUACUGCCCCCACUGCGGUUCUAGACAGAAGAAUGAUAGACAGGGCUGGUCAGCAGGUGGAGCAGGUCUUAAUUUGUUGGAAGAACAUGAAUGAGGAGGAUGCUACCUGGGAGGACUUGACUGUUAUACAAAGCCAAUUUCCAUCCUUCAAUCCUAGAGACUAGGAUUGUUUGAAGGGAGGGCAACUGUAAUGACCGAGCUGGAGUCUAGUUAUUUGACGUUAGGAAGUUAGUUGUAGAAGAUAUUCCAAAUAACAGAUUGCAUGUGUCGGUUAAUUGAUCGAGCAUGUGAGUCCUUUCAUAUUGCAUGCGUUAGUUAUAUUGUUAGAAUACCAGAAACUAGUAUAAAGCAGAGGAGGAAGAGGAGAUGUAGUUUUUGGAUGUAACAAUUCUCAUUUUCCGUCUAUACUAUCUUAGUCUUCCCCUGCUCUCUCUUCUCAUUUCCCCUGUAUCUGCAUUUCUCUCAAUUUCUGUCUUGAAUCCGUCCCUUGUUGGGCAGGUCCAGUACACCUUACCUCUGUCUAGCAAUAAAGGCUGGGCUUCAGCUAGUUGCUAAGUGCCUCCCAGUAGAUGUACAAAGGGUAAGGAUAAUUCGUAAAUAGUUCCGCUGGAUGUAGGUUUGAUGUUCUAAUAUUAUUUUCCAUCUCUUAAUGUGCUUUACUUGUCUGUUUCAUUCCUGACAUAGAAUGAUUUUAUUGAGUGUGAAAGACAGAAACUAUGAACAUUCCUUGCUUGUAAGUUAACUUCUUUAAGCAAGAAAACCAGAACCAAAAGCAAAAUCGUUUGUGCUGCAUACAGAAUGACAAGUUUGUGAGUGAAAAAUAAACUUGAUAUAGGGUCAAAAAACUUUGUCUAGAAUUUAAUCAUCAAUGUCACCUGCUAUAUGCUUCCCAUGUGUUUUGGACGGGAAAUCUUGGAGCAUGCAAGUCAAUUUACAAUACAAGCUUUGGCCUUUACGGAGGUUGCAUUGCUACUAUGUCAAUUACUUGUGGUUACGUUAUAAAUAGAAAGAGGUUUUUCUUCUUUUUAGUGUUUGAAAUUAUCCUCUUUGCUCUAGCUUGCAUGUUGAAGGAGGCAUGCAUCAUGAAUAUUCAUCAUUUAACCACGUUGAAACUCAUGUUCCUUUUUCUCAUACCUAAUGGUUUCUGCACUAUGGUCAUUUUAUCACUAGGACGUUCCUUCAAAGGCAGCCUGGUGAAGGGACUUCCCGAUCAACAGGUCCUCAUCUGAUCAUUGAUUUCAUAAAGGCACAGCUGGCUGCCAGACAGGCUCUUAAAGAGUAAAAGGUUACACAGCUUAAGCGCGAUAUUUCCAUAGGUCGAAUGCAAGUAAAUAAAGUAGCAAUCAUUGAGUUCUUUGUUCUGUGACUCAAAGCUUUUAUGGUACUAAACCUUUAAGGAGUUCUUGAUUUACCAGCAUAAUAUUAAUGUAGCACUAUGACUUAGAUUUAUACUUCUAUUUUGGUUGUCAUAUGUUCUGAUAUACAGCUAGUAUUCUUAUGUUUGCAUAUUUGGAUAGUACACUGUGGUCCUUAUUGUCAAUUUUAUUCAAAUAAUGAUUAGAAAAUCUUUUUUAUUUGUUAGCUCAACACUUUGUCUCGCCGUGACCUUCUCUUGAAUUCUCAAAACUAUUAGAUCCAGGAAGCAAUCAUAUAGACCAGCUUGAUUGUUCUGGGACGAGUUAGUGAACUUUCCUUGGCCCAAUAGGAUUUGAGUGUAGCAUAAUCUUGCUGCCUUUUUCCAGUUUCUGUAAUUGACAGCAUGCAUCAUGCAGCAUCUGCGUGCCGUUUCUUUUCAGCCAUGUUAAGAAAAUAGCCAGUUUUAUACAGGAAAUUUUGGUGUAGGAAAGAGUUCUGAAAAUUUGAGUAAGACAUUGAUGCUGUUUAUAGUUUAGGGUUAUCUAAUUUUGCUUUGACGUAUACGUUGGGUAACAUAUAGUAUUAAAAUUUUCUAAAGAUUACUAGUUUUCAGUGUUCAGCAAUUAAGUAAUCAAAAGAGAUGAUGAAACAAAAUAGCAUGCAAGAAAGAGUACAAAAAAUCUAAAGAUCCCAACUAUGUAUUUACCAUGUGGGGUUUAGGCUAGGCACCAAAAAGUUUGAAAAUGAGCACAUCAUAGGAAACAGAACAAUGCUAGUCUCCAAUUGCCAAAGUAUGUAAAUAUACACACUCAAAAUAUUAUUCUACACCUAAUUCAGUGUGUAAAUAUGCACACUCAAAAUUAUUAUUCUACUUAGAUUUAGACACUUUACAUGUCUAACUUAAAUCUUUCACAAUAUCUAACUUUAACUUCUCAGAAAACAAAAACUAAUAUUCAGCCUUUUUGCAACAUCUUUGCACCUCUAGGUUUAGAGGUUUUUUAUUUCAUGAAAGUAAGAGUUGUAAUCAGACACAAAUGGAAUCCAAAAGACAAGGGAGGAUUCAGAAAAGAUGAAAAAAAAGUGAAUUGAUCAUUAUUUUUUCAAGAAAACUACAUAAUUAAAAUUUUCAAAAAACAAAACUACUAUUCCGCCUUUCGCAACUUCUUUGCACCUCUAUGUUUACAGGGUUUCUUAAUGAAAAUAAAAGUUGUAAUCUGACACAAAUGCAACCCAAAAGACAGGGAUUCAGAAAAGAUGAAAUGAUCACUUUUUGAGUAAAAUUGUCUAAUUUCGAGUUAGAUUAGACAGAUGAUUGGAAACUCUCUUUAAUAUUAGUGUAUAUAUAACACCUGAUACAUGACUUGUUGUUCGUAUUUUUAGAAUUUUAUUUUCUACUUGCUAGAAAAAUUAUAAAUUACUAAAAAAUAGAGAGAUAGGACCAAAAAAGAAACAAUUAUGGAUAUCUAAUUUUGGAGGAUUCUCAAAUCUUAACAGAAACCAAAAAAGAGGGGAAAAAAAAUGUAUACAAAGUCUACAGUGGCCACCUACAGCAAAGCUUAGAGAGCUAGAGGUCAAAAUUAUUUUCUAUUUUGCUCUCUCCCUCUCGCCUCUGCGUAGUUCUCUGCACCUUUGUGUGUUCGUUUAUCUGAAAGAUAAAUCUGUAUUUGUCAUUUUCCGGUCUCUUUUCUUCUCUUCAUUUGAUUCUUUGUGCCUCCGAAAAACCUGAAACAUUCCAACGAACAAAAAUCCCAACUGAAAAUCUGACACAAAAAAUUUCAAACGUUUUCUGCAAAUCCCCUUUUUGCCCCCUUAUUGCAUCAGAGAAAGAUAGCUUGGUUUAUGAUUGCUUCAUAUAUUCAAUCUCCCAACUAUCUUGAAACAUUUGUGGGUUUUCAAAUUCAGCCGAAAGGGAUUUCUGGAUCCUCAUUCUUUCUUGUUUUUAAGGACUUUUUGCGUUUGCACUUGGGCUUCUUCUGCAUGUGCAUGGUUGGGAUUUUUUGUCUCGUUGGAUGAAAAAUAAAAAAGAAGAGGCCAACAAAUCUUUCCUUUUUGGCUUGCCUGAUCCUCGAAUUAUUGUGUUUCUCUGCAUACAAAUAUAACAAAACUGAAAGGGGUUUUGUUUCUUGAGUUUGUUUGUUUGAUGAAAUGACAAGAAGUGAAUUGUGGGAAUGGCAAAGUCAUCUUGAUAAUCAAUGGACGUUGGAAUGUCCCGUACAAACUUUCUUUUUGUUGCUUUUUUGUGCGUUUUUGCAGCUAGUAAUUUAAAGGGCAUUAGGAAUUUUGCAGAGGCCUUUAGUGGCAAUGAAGUUUCUUCGGAUAUUGAAAAGAUAGAUUAUGAUAAGGUAUGAGCUUCUUUUUAUGUAAAUCUUGAUUCAAUACCUGCGAAAAAGGACAUAAAAACACACACUACACAAGACAAAAGUCUUUUAGUAGCGUAAAUUUGAUUUCUGUUGCAAGAAUUUGAUGCUUGGUGUGUGAAUAUUACCAUUCAUGGGUUGGUAGUUUCUUCUUUCUUAGAGACUUAAUAGUAACUCUUAUAUUAACAGCUCAGUUUGCCAGACUUCAGAGUUAGUGUCAUCUUGAAUUUGAGUGACUCUUUUAACAUGUAGAAUGAGAAAGACAUGAACCGUUACAGCCCGCAUAUUAAAGUAAACAAAAUUCUGUGUGUGUUGGUCUUAUUAACCAAAGUUUUUAGCAACUUAUUACUAGUAAAUGCUUGAAAACCUUGAUAAACUGAAUAUUAUUUUGGAGUAUUUCAUAAAUGACACUGUUAAAUUGGAUAAGUUUCUGUGGCAACUUGCCAAUAUUGUUGCUAGGUCCGCAAUGUUUUGAGUUGGACUUCUACGGUCCUAUUUCAGUCAUUCUUAUUUAUGAAAUUUCAUGUCUCUAAGUUCUAGAUUAAUACUUUGGGAUGAAUCGAAUCUCUCUGCAAUUCUGGCCAAAGCUAUGGGUAAUGUAACCAAAAGUUUUUGUAAACUUUGAUGAGGGAUGGAAAAUUUUGGGAUACGCAGUCAGGCUGUAUAUUUUGUGUUGUUAUAUCUCGUGCGAUACUGAAAAAUAAAAUUUUGGUUAUUAUACUGAUUAUUGUGGUAGUGCAGUUUAUAGGACUAUUUCUAACCGGAAAUGAUUUUUGUCUAACCCAAUCAUCAAUGCUACCUUCCAGUCUAUACGUUGUGCUGAAAAUUUCGGAUUACCCCUUUAAAUCUCAGACAUAGCAUAAAGUGGACAACUGCUUUUUAGCUAGUAAAAAGAAAAGGAACAGGAUUGCAUUUACUAAAACAUAUUCAAGAUGAAUUCCAAGCUUUACAUAUUUCAAUGUCUUGUUCAUUUAAGAUGUGACUGUUUCACAGGCAGAAGAUGUAUGGAUACAGUGUAGAAGAGAAUUGAAGGAGUGCCUUCAGUUUCUUGAAAGUUUAGAACUAUAUCUCUCUCAGAUACCAGAGCCUUAUGAAAAUCCAACAUUGCCUGUUGAUUUGUUGGCUAAAAGAAUUGUACAGCAGACCAUACCCAAUUUAACUUUCCAAGAUAAGCAAUUUCUCUUUGAGUGCUUAAGAAAGAAGCCAUUGCAAAAUCAUGAAUCUGGAAAAGAAUUUGGUUCCAAUACUCAGUUCAAUAAGUGCCCGGAGCUAUUUUCGAGUUGGUCCUCUGCUCCCAGAAGGUUCUUAAGACAUCAUAAUCAUCAUGUGCUAAGCCUCGUUCAAGCCCCAGGUUCUCCAGCUGCAUCGCCACAUCACGCUCCAGCACCAUCUCCAGUGCCUGCUAGUUCUCCCUCCCCAACUCUUCAUUCCCCUUCUCCAGUUUUAGAGCCACCUUCACCAGAACCAUCUCCUCUACAAAAUGUCAUCCAUUCUCUUCUACCACCUCAAACUGGUGCACCAACUCCUUCAGGAAAUGGCUUGGACAGAAUUUAUGGCACUGCAGCCAUAGCUGCAAGUGCAGUGGCAUCGCCACAUCACGCUCCAGCACCAUCUCCAGUGCCUGCUAGUUCUCCCUCCCCAACUUUGCAUCCACCUCCUCCAGUUUUACAGCCACCUCCACCAGAACCAUCUCCUCCACAAAAUGUCAUCCAUUCUCCUCCACCAUCAUCCAUUGUUGGUCCUCUACCAAGACCUCAAACUGGUGCACCUACUCCUUCAGGAAAUGGCGUGAACAGAAAUUACGUCAUUGCAGCCAUAGCUGCAAGUGCGGUGACAGGUUUGGCUCUUAUUGUACUGUUCUUGAUAUGCUGUAUCAACAAGAGAAAAGAACAAGUUGCCCCUGGAAAUGGACAAAAGAAUGAAAAAAGAGAUGAAAAGCCUCUUCUAAACUUCUUCUCCAGUGAUCUUUCUGCUGGUAUUUUUCAGUAACAAUCAAUUAUCCUUUUUCAAAUAUCAUUCUGUAUUCAUUUUUAUGACUUGUAUACUUUGAUUAUCCAGGUUCUCCUCAGAAGUCUCAGAAAAUAGUAGCCUUUAAUAACCAAAACCUCAAGAUGUCAUCUACUGUCAGCAAUAUUCCUUUCGCAGUUAAUGUUGCUGAUUCAUCAACUGAAACUCAGUCAACAAAAGUUACAAUUGAUGCAUCUGAAAAUGUUAAUUCCUUAUUGCCGCUUCCUCCAGGAAGACCAGCACUUCCACCGCCUGGACCACCACCACCUCCUCCCCCUAAACCUCCAGCUCCUGCCCCUCCUCCUCCUCCAAAAGUGGCUCGACCUCCUCCUAAUCCACCAAAACCUAGUAAUUUGGGAAGGCCUUCUCCUCUUGGAGCCAAUAAUCCCAGAUGUUCUUCUGGAGGCAAUACAAGUGAAUUGUCUGGUGAAUCUGAUGCUCCAAAAGCUAAGUUAAAGCCAUUUUUCUGGGAGAAGGUUCCAGCGAACCCUGAUCACUCCAUGGUUUGGCAUGAUAUCAAAGCUGGAUCUUUCCAGUAAGAGUUUAUAUGGUUAACUAUUGGCUAAUUCUGGGGAUCUUUAUUUUAGUAGAUGUGUCAUGUGAACUGUAGAGUGGUUUUUUUUUUUUUUUGAAUUUACAGGGUUAAUGAGGAGAUGAUGGAAUCCUUAUUUGGUUAUGUCCCAGCCGAAAAAGGCAAAUUUGAGCACAAGAGAAAUUCAUCUUCUGAAUCUUCAGUCCCCUAUGUUCAGAUAAUUGAUCCGAAAAAAUCACAAAAUCUUGCAAUUCUUCUUAAAGCAUUGAAUGUGACAACAGAAGAAGUGAUUGAUGCUCUAAAGGAAGGUCUCUCUCUCUCUCUCUCUGUGCUCUUGGACAUGUCUGUGAAUGUGCAUCUCAUCUGCAUCGAUAGGGUGUAGAUUUUGUCUGAAGUCUUUGUUGACCAGCACUUGGCACUGACGUUGUAUUUAAAGAAAAACUGAACACUUAUACCAUGUAGGUAGUCUUGAUAUUUGAUAGUUUAUUCUCUUUGGUUAAGUCUCUUCUCCUCCUAAACUAUCAUUAGGUUCUCUAUGAUGACUGGACUUCAAAGUAACUCUGGAAAAUAAUGUGAAGCUCUAGCCUUAUUUCAAGAUAGAACAGUAUAUGCUCGCCACAGUUAGAUUCUUAAGAAUCCAUAAUGAUAAUGGAAGUUUCAAGUUGAUGACACUUUUUUCUAGUAUUAAUAACUUGGUAUUCAAUUCUUUGUUGAUUGGCUAAUUCUUGGUAGUGGUGAUUCCAUCUGAAACACUAGCUGAAAGUAAUCUUUACGCUCACAACUUUUGUAAACAGCAGGUUGCUGCUUUCUUUCCCCAUGUGGUUACCAGAAAAGAAUUUCUGUUUCAUGUUCUUUUAAUUUUACCUUCCCAGGUUUUAUUGUGAUUUCAAUAGUCCAGAUUGAGUAACAAAAUUGAAUUUUCAUCACUCAGUUUCUACAUUUUUUCCUUGUUUUUGGUAUAAUGAAUAGAGUUGUUUUUGUUAGUGCAAUAUUUAUCUUCGAUAUUGCUCUUGCCCAUAGAUUCAUGAAUACUGUGUGGAUGUCUUUGUCCCUCAACCAACUUAUAUUUACUGAUAGAUAUUAUUAAGAGAAAGAUAUGGAUUUUGAGUGAAUCAUUUGGAUUCAGUCUUGGCGACUUACCUAUGUGCAACUUAUAUCACCUGAGCAUGUAUGAAUUCACAUUCUGCACUCAUUCAUGUUUUGUUAUGGGUUUAUGUCUUGGCUGAAAUAAUUCAACGUUGUGUUUGCUAAUCAAAUCAGGUAAUGAGCUGCCAAUAGAGCUUGUUCAGGCAUUACUGAAGAUGGCACCUACAACAGAUGAAGAAUUAAAACUGCGGUUAUUUAGUGGGGAUGUCUCUCAGCUUGGCCCUGCUGAACGCUUCCUGAAAGUCUUGGUUGAGAUUCCAUUUGCCUUCAAAAGGAUGGAAUCAUUGUUGUUCAUGAGUUCUUUUCAGGAAGAAUCUUCUUCCGUCACGGAAUCCUUUGCUACUUUAGAGGUUAGUGUAAAUUGAUUUACAAAUUUAGAUGUCUAACUAAUUAUGAGUCAUCUGUCUUUCCAUUUCCCAAAGUCCAUAAACUGUUCACAAAGUAACUUUUUUCUUCUUAAAAAGUUACAAAGAAAAUACUAUGUUAACUCAAUUAGUUUGUAUCUACUUGCUCUUUCUGUCCAAUGACUCCGAGAAUACACUAACAAUUUUAUGAAUAACUGGAAAUAUUGUUGCAUAAAAUAGUUUAGAACAUAUCACAGAAAAUGGUGAGAAAAAGAGGAAUUGUGUUUGGUAAGUAAACUAAUACACCAGAUUUCAAAUUAGAUAAUAUAAAGCAUACCCUCAUGUAUGCAUUACACACUAUCAUGCUUUGUCCAUUUACGACCAACAUGAUGUGUACUAAAAUCUAAAAUAGUUGGCAACAUGAUCGACGUUUACCUUUUGGCUGCCCUGCUGUUGUAUUAGGUUACCCAAGAUCUGAAAAUUAAUUCAGGGAAGUGCAAUGCAAUUUGUUUACUUGUCAAAGUCUCACUGAUUCAAAGACUUUAUAGUGUUCAAGUUUUUAUUAUUUUGCACUUGGGAAAUAAUUCUGGGAUGGCAUUUAAUUUGUUGGCUAUUAUAUGUAUAGCUGUGGUCUAUCUGAAACUUUCCUAUUUGCAAUUGGUUGAGAAAUAUUUAACUGGAACAGCUCCAAAGUAGCCUUUUAACUUUUAUGCAGAAAAUGUACGCUCCAGAGCAUCUUGUUAUUUUCAGUGGUUGCUAAAUGAUUCAAAAAAUCAUGAUUUUCAUUUGUUUCUUUUCAAAAAAUCAUGAUUUUCAUUCGCAGGUAGCUUGUAAGGAACUGAGAAACAGCAGACUAUUCCUGAAACUCUUAGAAGCAGUUCUGAAACUUGGAAACCGCAUGAAUGAUGGCACUUACCGUGGUGGUGCAACAGCAUUCAAGCUUGACACUCUCUUGAAACUGUCAGAUGUAAAAGGAACUGAUGGUAAGACCACACUCCUUCACUUUGUUGUUCAGGAAAUCAUCCGAUCUGAGGGUCUAAGGGCUGCACGUAGAUUAAGAGAAAGCCACAGCAUGUCCAGUGUGAAAACAGAAGAUCUAGUGGAGGAAUCAUCAGAGGAAACAGCUGACUACUAUCGCAGCCUUGGUCUUCAGGUGGUAUCUGGGCUGAGCAACGAUCUGGAGAAUGUACGAAAGGCAGCACUUAAAGAUGGUGACGACCUAGCUGGAGCAGUUUCCAGUCUUGGGCAAUCGUUUGUAAAGCUUAAAGAUUUCAUAAACAAUGAAAUGGCGAAUGUUGAGGAAGACAGUGAGUUCCGCACUACACUGACUAAUUUUGUGGAGCAUGCUGAAGCUGAUAUCACAAAGCUGCUGGAGGAAGAGAAAAGGAUAAUGGCUCUUGUGAAGAGUACAGGAGAUUACUUUCAUGGAAAUGCAGGAAAGAAUGAGGGCUUGCGCCUCUUUCUUAUUGUUCGUGAUUUCUUGGUAAUGGUGGAUAAGGCAUGCAGAGAUGUUAGAAGCUCAACAAAAUUGCCAGCCAAGACCCCUCGAAAAGAAGCGCUAGCACCAUCACCUUCUGAAGAAUCCAAUCGGGAGUCUUUGCCAGAUUUUCGGCAACGAUUAUUUCCUGCAAUCAAAGAAAGGCAUAUGGAUGAUUCCAGUUCAGAUGAAGAUGACAAAUCUCCUUAGUAUCCAGUCCCAGAAGGUACUUUAGCUAAAGGGUAAGUAGAGAACAAAUUAAAAUUUUCUUCUCCAUUUGUGGGAAAUCAGACCUCUUAACAGGUCUUUUGAUAAUGUAUCUCAGGGCUUCUUGUUAUUAACAACUUUCUUGCUUUGGCAGUCCAAGUGUUUAAGAGUUCAAUUGAAGGGGAUAAUGUGGCAAGGAUGGGAUCCAAAAUAAUGCUUACUUUACCAAAUAUUUUGGGGACUUAGGACUGCAAUCACUUUAAUUGAGGUUGUCACGAAAUAAAAGUCAAUUGAAACUGCAUCACUAUUUUUAGCCUGGCAAUGAACAUUUUGGAGAGCUGAGGUACUUGGGUCUAUGAUUAUAUGAAGAAAACAUUUAAGUCUAUGAUAUGCAGUUUUUUUAGAGCAGUAAUUUUAUGUUUGAUCUGUUAAUGUUUCAUAUUGCUAAAGGAGAAGGAAAAUGAAAUCGAUGUUGUAACAGUCAAUAAUCUGGUGACCUAUUCUGUGGCUGGACUAUCGUAAGAUACUUGACUGGUAAAGUAGUUGCUUUUGUUGAUUGUCCACAGUACAACUCAGGGUCCUUAAUUUCCUGGUUAAUUCAGGUGGAAAUGAACUUCUGAUACAAGCUUUUAUUAACUGGAGUCCUCAAGUUCUGACGGGUCACAACUCUCCUCUAAAAGAUUCUCGGAUCAUUGGUUUACAGGUGCUCAAAUAAUCUGUCGAUCAAGUACAUGAGGCUUAGCAUCUUGUUUUAGUCCUCUAAAUGGAUAUUGUUUCUCAAGAAAGAGGAUGAGACUCUGCCAUUGGGCUUUAUCCAAGCAUUAGAGGGGCAAUGUGAAGAAAUCACACUAUUCCUGCUGUUAUUUAGGUGUCAGUUGAAACCAACAUUGUAAUUAUGUUUCUCUGUUGUAUUGCACUCAAUAGAUGUGCAAUUUGUCGAUAGGUAAAACUCACCCUUGUCCACAGCAGAUCCAAGAUUUUCUUGGUCUGAGGUACUGAUCUUCCAUAAUCUCAGUCCCGUUGUGUUGUCAACACGAUCUAAUUGUUGAACAAUCUAUAUUGCUUACUAUCAGCUUCUCACUGUUUCUCAUUAUUUUUCUUAUUUAUUGGUAGCCUAUUGUUGCAAUUGACUGUGAUUUGAUGUAAAUGCUUGUGUUUGUAUGAGCUUUUGAACAUGUGAUUGCAAGUUUGAGAGAUUACUUUCAAAUGGAUGGUAUCCAUGAUACCUGCGAAAGGUGACACUCAUGCUGUCAUGCAUACCCCGAAAUGGAGCAGGAUUUUGGUUGGAAGGCCAUUUAGGAAAUAAUUGUUGGGACCAAAAUGAAUAUGAAACAUUUUUUCUUCCGUGAUUCUUUGCUUAGUUUGCCUCUCUGUGUUCUAGGAGUAACUUUCUUGCAGUAAAUUCUUUAAGUCAAAAGAGCUCUUGAUUAUGAAUAUAGCUCGUGAGUUACUAACAUCUUUAUCCAGUAAGUACUAAUGUUUUUCGCUGUUGAACAUAUUCCUGCAUAAUUGGUGGUCUCUUGCUUGUAAGAUCUGUGUAAAAUUUAUUUUAUUGUUCUCCAGCCAGACUUCUUCAAGGACGAAUUUCUCAUGAUCAAUAGGACUAGCUCAACAAUGGCUUGGAAGGAAAAGGUAGAUUGAUGAAAUUAAAGGUUUUUGUAUCGCAUAAUUUUAGUUUUCUGACCGAAAUGCCGGUCGAUUUAACGUGGCAUACUUACCUUACAAUAAUAAAAUUAUAAAGCCACUGAUAUUACACAUUUAAUAGAUAGUGUUAUAUUGAAGAAUGAAGUAGACUUGUAAAAUUAAUAAAAAUUGCAAAGUACUGCUAGUCAACAAUUCCUCGGUAUUAUGUAAAAACCAAGAAACCACACCACAGGCAUUUUGAGUAGGUUGACGAAAAACUUUAUUUACAUUUGAGACGCAACAAAUCUCGGAUUGUCAAAGUUUGAAAAUGGAAUCUGAAGACACUAUUAAAUGUUGUUCGUGAGUGAUUUGGAAUUGAAGAUGUGAAGACUCGUCAAAGUGGAGAUUUGUUGACCAAAGUGCCUCAUCCCACUAUUCAUCUUCUAUGGCACUUUUCUUCUUUCUCCCUCUAUUGUAAUAUUUCACUUUGGUAUCAGAGCUGCACAAACUUCACUGAGAGAUAUAGUAGCCUUCCCGUGGAGUAGAGUGGUUUCAAGAAAUUCAAACUCCUCAGGAAGUGAUCCCAAUAACAUCAGAGCUAGAUCUUCAUCUUUGAAUGUUUCAUCCAUGUUCAUUAGAUCAGUAACCAGCUGAUUAAAAUUGGUAAUAUGAUCAUUCAUUGUGGUACCUGGAACAUAGGUGAAGCGAAACAGUCUCAUUUUCAUAUGGAGCUUGUUGCUUUUCUUCAAAAACUUUUUUUCUAGUGCCAUCCACAAUUUAUUUGCAGAAGUUUCCUUUGAAAAUACAUACCUCUGCUCCCUUGAAAGGCAAGAUCGAAUUGUAACACAUGCUAAUCGAUUGAUAGUCUUCCAAUCUUUCUCCUCAACAUCAUCUGGUUUCUGUUCUUCAAUAGCAAUGUCUAGACCUUGUUGGAAGAGAAUGUCUAGAACCUCACUUUGCCACAUGCCGAAGUGACCGGUGCCAUCGAAAAUCUCCACUGCCAAUCUCGUAUUUGUGACAGCAGUUCUUGCCCAAAUAGACGGUGAUGAAACUGCUGUCGAGGUGGACAUCGAUACUUUUGUACUAUUUUUCAUGUCGGUUACAAAUAUUCUUCAAUAACAACAAUGAGCGGACCCCACAAAAUGAGCGGACCCUACAGGUUGACCUCACAGACAGGGCCUACUGGCCCUACAGGCGAACCCCACAAGUGGACCCCAUCGGUCUCACAGGCGGGCCCCACAAACAGGCCCUACUAGUCCCACAAGCAGCUCCCACAGAUGGACCAAAGUCCAAGGAUAUUUUUUGCGACCACAGAGCAUAUUCAAAAUAACCUCAAACUCUGAUACCACUUGUUGUGCAUCAAAUAAUAACUACACUCUUUUAUAGGUGAAUAGAGAGUGAAGUAUUGUACUAAAAAUUACACGAGGGUUAAUUCCCAGGAAAGAUUGAAGGAGUCACAAACGGUCCCGCUUAAAAUCCAAUCUCCUUAGACAGAAUUACCCUACUAAUAUAAUUUACUAGCACAAUAUAACACUACAGCUAUACCCUAUAAUAGCUAUUGAAGAAAUAAAUAACAAAUAAAAAAUACUAGAAUUUAACGAGGUUCGGCCAAUAAUGCCUAUGUCCUCAGACACUACCAAAUUAUAUUUCACUGAGAAUAUCUACAAAGUAAAAUAUUACAACAGAGAGAGAAAGAAGAAAAUUGCCUUAGAAGAUGAAUGGACAAUUUUGGGAUGAUUCCAAGAUAAAGAGCCAGGGCCCUUAUUUAUAGUUAGGAAAGGCCUUCAGCCCUUCCUAAACUUCCCAUGUGGGAUGAGGCACUUUGGUCAACAGUUUGGCAGUGAAUGUCUUCAGAAAUUUAUACCACAAUAAAAGUUUCCAAGUUUGGGAAACUGGCUAUGGAUGAUGCGAUGGAAUUCGAAUCAACUAGAACUGCCAAGUACCUCAAUAGAACUAGUAAACUUGGUUCUCCAAGAAAAGUAGAAUCUAGAACUACCUGGCUCAAAUCUAACACUCUAACAAGUUUAAAGAUGCCAAAAAUGAAUGAUAUAUUGAACAUAGGUCCGUUGUACCUUUUCCCAUGGCUGAAGAAUAGUAGGCUACGUAUUGUGGGAACAAACAACCUGGACAUGCAAAAGUGCUCUGGCUCAGAGUGGAUGCAUAGGCGCCGUAGAUUGUGUUGCAUGUUCAAAGUAUACAGUUCAUCAUACCCACAUGCCAGCUGCAUAAAUUUUUCUUCUUUGGCUUUUCUCACACAAAACUCAUGUACCAAAUCAUGAAUUCGACAAGCCUUGAUCCCACCAGUGGAGCUUUGUUUGGAAACCAUGACUAAGCUUCUGCUUAUGAGAUCCAUCAUGUAACCAUUUGCUACAUCCUCGGAGCUAUUGGAUUCUGCUUUUUGCACUAAUCCAUCAGCAACCCAUAGCCAAGUCAACCUCUUAGGAUUGUGUUCAUAAUCUUCUGGAAAUGCUCCAAAGUACAGAAAGCAUGGGUUUAUAUGAUCUGGUAAAUUCUUGUAACUCAGAUCUAGUGUAGCAAUACAUUGUUCUGUACAGAAGAGAACGUUUGAACUCAAACUUUCCACAAUUUGUUUCCAACCACAUUUGUCCUCAUUUGCAAGAAUUCCAGUAAGAACAAUAAUUAUAAGUGGUAGCCCCUGAUACAUUUCCAAGAUCUGCCCUUGAAGUCCACAUAAUUCUGGAGGAUGUGAAUUUUUUCCAGGAAAUAACUUUCCCACUAGCAAAUCCCAACUCUCAUCAUGCCUGAGUGAACGAAUAAAAUGAGGUCCUGCAUCUAGUUCACCCAGCGGAGCAGCAAUGUUGCGAUUUCGACUUGUCAGGAUCACUCUACUUUCAUUUCGAUUAUCUGGCAAUGUGGCUUCCAAUCCUUUCCAUGCUUCAAUAUCCCAUACAUCAUCCAAAACUAUGAGAUAUCUGUUAUUUUGCAACCGUCGUUUGACUUCUAGUUCCAGAUCUUCUUCACUCUUUUUAAAAAUUUUGUCAGGAAGAUUUGAAUCAAGACAAAUCAAAAUUUCAAGGAGCAGGUUUUUGUUGUGAUACACUUGAGAAACAGUACACCAAGCACGCUUAUAAAAAUGGGACAUCACAAUAGAAUCAUUGUAAACUUUUUAGCUAAAGUGGUCUUACGAAGUCCUGGCAUACCUACAAUGGGAACAAUUUGCACCUGGUUUGAUCCCUUCUGAGUCGAUUGAUUAUAGCUGUUGCCUCAUCGUCGAUUCCCACCACCACGUCAUUGAUUGUUGGCUUAGUUCUGUGUGACGGCAUGUGAUCGAGUGUCUUGGUAACUUCCUUAACCUUGACACCAAGUCUUUUGGUCUCAGAAAUCUUUAAGGCCUCAGAUUUGAUGAUUUUAAUUUCUCCUGCAAUGGAAUCAAACGACAUUGAAAAACAAUCUACACAAUCUCCAACUAGUAAGGAAUCCAUGAGAAACUCUGCCCUGUAUGCCUUGUCCACCACACGAUCCCAGAGUGAUUGGAGCUCCUCAUCUUCAUUGCGCAGCUCCACAAUUUUCCCCAAGAAAGAGGGAAAGAAGUCAGGCUUGUCCUGCAUUAUUUGAACUGUACGACCGACAAGAGCAGCUGAGCCAGCCUGAGAACUUUUCAGAUCCAUCAUAGACUUUAGAAGAGAAUCAGUAAAGGCCAACUCGUUAGUCCUGGGAAAGUUGAAUGGUGAUGUUCCCAGAUAUUUCUCGGCAAUUGUUGCCUUUAUGAACUUAAUCCUUUCCAUCAAACAUGAAGGCACAAGAUACAGUAAUAAUCUUUUGCAGCCAAUCCAAUGUAGCAUUCCUGACUGAGGUGUCCAGUUCUCUACUCGCAUCAACGAUCCAUCUGAAAUAGAGACAUGCUGCAUUGACAGCGGCAGAUUCAGUGUGAGUCAAUAAAGGUCCCAAUCGGUCAUCUUUAAUGCCGUGCAGUGUGACGAAACAGAUAAAGUUUUUCAAGAAUGUUAGCUUCUCAUUAAGGGCUUGUGUUGGUUCUGCUGCACCUUCGAAUGGAAGAUCUUCAAAAAGAAUAGUUUCACGGAAAGCCUCAAGAAAAGAAUGAAUCCCAUAAGAUCAUCUGUUUUUAUCAGGGAAUUACUAGACUGCCUUAAUGAGCGAUACGAGAAAAUCAAGUACCACUCUUUUAUUUCUGCAAAAGGAAAUUCCUUAAUAAAACAACAGGCCAGAUUUUCCAGACUGUGAUCAGUAACACCAUCUUCCAGCUCUGAAUGAGUAAGACACAAGGAAUGGAUCUCCUGUCCGGUUUUGGAAAUGGCAGCUUCAAGCCCAACCAGCAGGGUUCCUAGACUUGCAUCAUCAUUGUUGCCCCACUUUCUCGCACACAUAAGGAAUGAUUUUAACAUUCCUAGGCCACUCUCAGGGAACUGAACUCUGGAGAAAAUGAAUGGACUGCACAUCUCUUCUUCAGCAACUACAGAUCAUCCAAGAUGGAAGAAAUGCAAGUAAGACUACUGGAGGCCAUCUAGUAAAAGGAUGAUUAAUAAGGUAACCAAAAGUGAAUCCAAUUUAGAGAUGAAAUGAAACAACUCCAAUAUUUCUGAGGAAGGAGAAGAAAUCAAGGGAUAAUGGUAGGAAGAUGAAAAAAGUUAAAAAACUUUAAUCCAGAAACUAGUAGUAUAUAAUCACUACUAGCAACUAGGAAAACUCUGAGCCUAGAAGUUAGAUUGGAGGUUCAUUUAAAGCGCUUCCAACCAAGUAGGCAAGCACUUGCUGGAUACUUCUUACUUCUGGUCGAAAAUGAAAAAAGUCACAAAUAAUGACUCGAUUGCACUUGCUCAUGCAUCUUGUACUUGGUCCAAAUGCUUAGAUCAAAACAAAAUGGAGCGUUAAAGUUUACAAUAACAUUAAAAAAAAAAAGGAAAGUCAACGACUAAUUAAACAUAACUUAUUUAUGUUUUUUAUAUUAGAAAUUUUGAUAUAUGUGUAUCAAUUUUAAUCUAUAUUAUAAAAUUAGUAUUAAUUUUUUUAACCUUUUCAUAUACUUCAUCCUAUACUACAAUACAUAUAUAUAUAUUUAUUAUUUUGAAUUGAAAUAUAAACUCCUGCAUAGCACGAAUCAAAAUACUAGUAUAUCAAAAUUUAUAAUAUAAAAAACAUAAAUCAUAACUAAUUCAUUUUCUAUGAUUUGAGGAAAAAAAAUUUUCUCCCAUCCUGUACCCCUAAUAUUGUUGAGUACUUAUAGAAUAGUGUUUUUCAUAAACUUUAAUAUAGAUUAAAAAACAUAUUUGUAAGCAAUGCUUUUAGAUUUUAGAAUUAUUAAAAACUAUCACCCUUUCCAUCUCUUUUUACUUGCCAACUUACCAUCUGCUGCCUCGUAUGAUUUUGGUACCUCCUACCACAAUGCUAUCCUUCCUAUCAUCUUUUGCCACUUCUGCCAUAUCCCCACAAAUCCCUUCUUUUUUUCCUCCUCUCUCCUAUCAACUUUAUAGUUCAUCUUCCUUCUUUGACUUUUUCACCAUUUAUUAACUCUCUAUUAUUCCCUUCCCUCUCCUUUAACUUCCUAUCCCUGCCCCCAAUUUUCUAUCCCCUUCUCCUCACCAUUCUCCCAAAUCCUUGGAUAGCUGCCCAAUCUCCAUCCCUUACACCCAACCUCCUCCAUUUCAUUUUUCCCUACUCAUCUCUUCUUCUUAUACCUGGUCAACCAGAAAAAAUUAAUAUUAUAGUUUUUUUAUUUGAGAUAUGUUAUUCGAUCAAAAAUCUCGCUAAAUUCAAUAUUCCUUUACUUCAUUGAUGACACUGUAUAGACUUGUAGUAUAGAUUACAGGUUUCUUUUCUUGAUUUGAUGUAUUCGAUUAAGGGACAAUCCUUUCUAUAGUGUACAUUCUUCUCUGAAUCAAUAAAAGAUUAGGAUUUACAUAAAUAAAAAAAAAAGGAAAUGACAAGCAAUAUAAAUCUGAUCAAUAGAAUUAAGUACAGAGCUAUGGAUAUUGGAAUAGACAUAGCCAUUGGUCAUUCAUUGUAACUGAUCAAUGGAACUAAAUAAAAGCUUUUCACUAAAUUCUCAUCACCAUGACUCCUUUAUGCUAGUCUUCAAAGUAAUACAAAUUGAAAGCAACACGUUUCAGCCUGAGGAGCAAGACAAGGGAAACUUGAAGCUGGAAAGCAACUUUACUAGGUCGUAGUCCUUCCUUCGUUUCCAAACAAAAACUACAGCAAUUUCAUCAUUUAACACAAGGAAGGGUACAAUACAUCGGAGCAAGAUUCCACGUAAACUUAACAAUACAAGGAAACAAGAUGAGGAGGUAAAAACCAAACCUCUAACAGGAAGAAAAGUACAAGACCCUAGAUUCAAUGCAGCAAGAGUUUCCUGGUGGAAAGAGAAUAUCUAUUUCAAUCACUGAAUUUGCCAGAAGAUCCAUGGCCUUAUUUCUAUCACAACAAUUGCUCAAAAGAAAAUUUGACAUUUUCAAAGAUACUGAAACAAAAAACAAUGCAAAGAAAUCAUAGCAGCUGAAUGUUGUUGCCCAGAGCCAGGUACUGGGCCUUUAUUACUGCAGAAUAGAGAAGAAACACGAAAGAUUGAGAUAGAAGCUUCAGCGUCUCCACAUUACGAAUUCAUUCAGGCGAGCAGA